This 285092-nucleotide long non-coding RNA is filed under the name Eucalyptus grandis. Its description in RNAcentral is "long non-coding RNA (EGRA_LNC000624)". Lineage: Eukaryota; Viridiplantae; Streptophyta; Magnoliopsida; Myrtales; Myrtaceae. The record is from RNAcentral.
ACAAACUUCGCACAAUCGCUGCAAAUUGCCCUCGCCAACGGCUUUGGCGAAAAUAUCCAUCAGAUAUCAACAUGGCAAAGCAAGACUACCAAACACAACAAUCAUCAGUAUGGCCAAUUGAAGUCACAGGAACAAGAAAAAUCUAAGAUGAGAGUGGAUACAAGAGAAACCAAUUCCACACGAGGUCCACAACAUAAGACUUCACACAAUUGUCAACCAAUCAAAAUGUGCAGGACAACCUUGGUGAGAUCAAAAUGGAGAAGUCACAAAUACGACCUCUUUUAAUUUCAAAACAUUAACUCGAUUGCUUAAGGCGGUGCUCAAGAUUGGCAAAAGGAUUGUACCUGAGAACCCCUGCAGAAUGGGUGAACAGCAAAUCGACAGCGUCGAUUGUGGUCAAAUGCUAAAAGAUCACCUUCGCUGUCCUCCCCUCGAGCAGAAAUAUACCCUUGCGAAAUCAAUCGCUGGAUGAGACGGAGUAUGAAUUUUUCCUCAUUUUUUCUCGCACUCUUCGGAAUGAAGCGAUGCGCCCAAAGCUUUAUGCGAUUUUUUUCAUGUCCCUCCCCAAAUCAAAUCGAGUAUGGAAACACGAUAUCCGAAAAUUAAAAAUGCAAAAAUCUGGGAAACAAGGUCCCCACAUACCUUCAGUGAAGAAAAUUAGGGCUAGAUUCGUCUUCCAAUGUUUAUGUUUGGGAUAUGAGCGAUCUUGUCCCAGUGCUCGCCUGCUUGUCUUUCACACCUCUUCUCCAAUUCUCUGCAAUUGUAGAUUCGUAGGUGAGUAAGGGAUGUGAGCCUUCGCAUUGUUUCAGGGAAUGAUGUCAACGAGGAGCAUCCGCUGCCGAUGUCGAGACGUUGAAGUGAUUGAAGGGCCUCGAUCUGCUCUGGUAUAGCCUUCAAAUUGCGGCAACCGCAAAUUGCGAGACGCUCGAGAUUGCGGGCUUGUAGAAGCCACUGCGGGAGAGAUGUUAGUUUGGGAAGCUCAGAGAUUGUCACGGAGCGAAGACUGUGAAGGCAUCCAUGGAAAUCCAAGAUGUUGCCGCUUUCGUCUUUGGAUAUAUCUAGCUCCUCACAAUCCCAGAUACAGAGAUCCACGAGGCUCGAUAGAUGUCGCAUACCUUGCCAGAGGGAAGUCAACUGAUGACAUUGCCAGAUCAAAAGAGAUUCAAGGGAAGUGAGACUUUGGAAACCCUCCUCAAGCAAACAUUCUGGAAACUUUGUAUAUCGGAUCACUAGUCUCUUCAACUUAUUAAGGCCAAGCAUCAUCUGAUUUAUCAACAACGCUCCGUUGGCUUUAUUCAGAACUAACUCCUCAAGAUGAGGAGUUAGUGGCAUGGUUUUUAAUUUUUCACAGCCAAUGAUCUCCAAUUCCAAUAGACUAGGAAAUGAUGCCGGUGAAGGGGAUGAUUGGUCCGACUCGAUAUAUUCCAAUUCAGGCAGAUCCUCAAUAUAUAAAGACUUGAGGCGAGGUAGUCGGUCCAGUGGGGGGAGACAUUCACAUCUUUCACAAGCACCGAACGAUACGUCAACUAAAUGUGGCAAGAAAGAUACAAGGCUAUCCAUCAUCCACUUGGGGAAACUCUCACCUUUAUAUUUCCAGAUCUUCAACCUUUGCAGAUUUGAGGGCGGCUUCAGUCUAUCAAAUAGCACUUCAUCUAUUACUACAUCAUCAAUAUUGAAAUUGCCCCAACUAAGUACCAAAGAUUCCAGAGAAUGCUUCCCCAUCAAUAUCUCAUCCUCACAUUUGACUUCCGUAUUUGUUACGUAUCCCAAAUUUUCAAUUGAAAGUUGUCCUCGGAUGUUAUUAAGCCCCUUUAGCUCCCCAAGUCCGCAAUAAUUCUUAGCACGAGCUUUAUCUUUGGGCAAAAUGAAGUUCGUUAGCCUUUGCAAAGAACUCAAUUUCCCUAUUCCACGUGGCAAAUAACUAAGUUUCGAACAACCAUCUAUGUCCAGAUUUCGAAGGCUGACUAACUUCCUUAUAUCACUUGGCAAUUCUUCAAGGACAUAACAAGAGUGAAGAUUAAGUGUUUGCAAGCUUUGCAAUCUUGUAAUGGAGUUAGGAAGCCUUUUGAGUGUUUCACUGUAAGAGAAAUUGAGAUAUGUGAGAUACUUCAACUCACAAAUGGACCUUGGCACCUUCUCGACCUUUGUGGUAUGCAGAUCCAAGAUGCGCAACCUCUUGAAAUUUUGAAUUAAUUGGCGUAGGUCUACUUCACUUGUUAGAUUUCUUCCCCAACCUCCAAUAGUACCCAAAAAAGUUCUCAAUACACUUGGUUUCAAGCGUGAGAUUGGAAGUUCACCCAUCAAAUUGAAAGUUGAACCAAAGGAUAUAUGACGAGUUCUUUCAUUUAUUUGAUUUGUGUCAUCCCUUGCCACCCAACACCUAUUCCCUGCAAUUAAGCAGGCUAGGUCAUGCAUCAAAUCAUGCAUCUUGCAAGUUUCCUCCUUUGUGUAUGGAUCUUUUUUAAAAUCUUGGAAGAAGUUGCUCCAACAUAGAUCCAUGAAAUAUUCAUGAGCAAUGUCUUCUAAAAGCUUACCUGAAUUUGAUGGCUGGAUAAAUCCUUCUGCCAUCCAAAGAUCAACUAAAGCAUGCUUCUUUAUCUCAUAAUCUUUGGGAAACAAUGAACAAAUGGCGAAACAUUGUUUUAAAUGUGAAGGAAGAUGGUCAUAACUUAGCUUGAGAAUAGAUAUUAUUGGGUCUUCCGUUCGAGACACUUUUGGGAGCUCAACAUCUUUGAAACGUAACCAUUCAUCUUCAGUUUCCUUUUGGAAUAGUAAACCCCCAAUAGUUCGAAUGACCAAUGGAACCCCAAAGCACUUUCUAACUAUCUCUUCACCAAUAGUUCGCAUGUCGAGAUCUUGUAUGCCUCCUUCUUUUUGAACAGCCAUUCGCAUUAACAAAUCAAGAGAAUUACUUUCAGAUAAGCCCUCAAGAAGAAGAGGCAGAGCAGGGGAGGUGAUCUUUGCAACCAAAGGAAGGCGUGUAGUUAUAAGGAUCUUGCUUCCUUUAGCACCUCCCAUCAAUAAUGAUUUCAAGUCGGACCAUGUUUCUAAAUUUGCAUCCCACAAAUCAUCCAAAACUAAGAGAUAUCUCUUUCUAUCAAUUAUUGUCCUUAGUUUAAUUUGCAACCUAUCCAUCACAUUGUAGCUCGGUUCUUUCUCCUCCACACAAACUAUGAUAUUUUUCACUAUUUUUUUAAUGUCGAAGUCAUUAGAGACACAAACCCACAUUUUCAAGUCAAAAUGUUUACUGACCAUCUUAUCAUUAUAUACAAUUUUAGCAAGAGCUGUUUUUCCAAGCCCACCAAUACCAACUAUUGGAAGGAUAGAAACGUCUUCUUUCACAUCCAAAUCCAGUAAGAAUUUCAUGACGUUCUUUUUAUCAUUAUCUCUUCCAAUAAUGUCUUCCUCACGUAUAAACGAAUGCGUCUCCUCUCUCUUCCUCCGCCCUCUCUUUGCUUGCGAAUUCAUAGGUAGCUUGUCCAAGAGGACUUUAUUAUCAGCCUUAAUAGCUACCAAUCUCUCCCUCACUUCUCUUAUUUUUCUACUCAUCUUCAGUCCAAAAGCAAGCUGGUUUGAACUUGAGAAAAAUGUCCUUAUCACCUUGAUCAUCUGAUUGUCACCCCUCAGUUCUUGUCGCAUAGCUUCUAUAUCAAAUUCUUCAAGCACAUCUUGCAAGUCAUAGAAAGCCUCUUUUAGUUUCUCCACCAAAUCUUUGAUUUGGGAACUCUGCUGGGGUUGCUCUUCUGCAUCCUUCAGCACAGCAUGAAGCAUGGUGGCGGUGCUCCUGAGCAUCUGAAGUUCACGCUUGACAGCUCCUAACUUUCCAACCUUUUCCAGUGCUUGAGUAAUCCGAUCGGCAAGGAUGCUUGCACCAAUGCUAAUGACAGCUUCUGCCAUAUCUGUUCUCUCUCUCUCUCUCUCUUUCUCUCUCUCUCUCUCUCUCUCUCUCUCUCUCUCUCUAUGGGGAUGAGAAGAUAUUAGUCCUGUCGUUUCAAGGCUAGAGUCUUCUUAGAUGAUGUAUUAGAAAAACAAAAGGACAAGUUUGAAAAAAAAAUGAUGCUUUCUGCAAUGUAACAGUAAAUCUUAAUUUGUAACACUAAAAAUUUACAUGAAGUUUGUAACCUAUUCAUGGGACGAGUAAAUGUUACUUUAAAAAAGUAAUUACCACCGACCCUGUUUAAUAAAAGAAAUUUUAGGAAUUGACAAACAAUAGUUAAGCCGCCCACGGGUCUAGAAAGUGAAAAUUAAAGUUUCUUUCUCAGCAGCUGUAAAUGAAAAUUUCACCCAAGGGGGGCUAAAGAACAAACGAGCCCGGCUUUUUUCUGAUGAUGCCCAUUUUCCUAGUUUCAUCACAUGCUUUCCUUAGAAAACAGUGCACGUUCACAUGCUUUCCUUUUAAUACAGUGCCGGUUUACAUGCAUGCCCCCAUUGUUUUGUAGUAAACACCGGAAUCUUAAGAUUAAUAGAACUUGGAUCUUGAGAAGACAUAAAAUUAUUAUAGCUGCGGGGGCAACUUCAACAUCUAACUUCACAUGGUAAAAAAAAUUUAUGUUCAUGAAUUUCAGCUUUUGUCCAAAUAAGAAACUGAAGAAAAGAUUAUGAAGCUUAUAUUGUGAAUGAAAUAGUAUGAAACCUUUUGUGUUCAAAAGAUAAAUUACAUAUUGGUAUUGAAGUACGAUGAUGUGCGGUGGGAUUACAAAAAAGCAAGCUGAUGAGGAUGCUUUUCAACUUUAGAUUUUAAUAUGCGGAAUGGUAGAAUGGCUCUUAAAGUUGGCUAAUCUUCUCGUGAAUUCCAUUUAGAAUUGGAAAUUGGGACAUGUUACAUCUUCUUAUGUGCCCAAUUUGAAGAAGGCUAAAUAUCCUAAAUAUGUAAAUCUGUACACCAUAUAAGUUAUAUUCUUAAAUCCAAAUAAAAGACGUCGAUAGUUUUCCUAAGCAUUCUUUGUUUCAUCAAUCUAUUCAUUUUCAGAAAAGCUCUAUGGUUAGUCGCUAUAAGAAAGAACGAACCUGGCUAAUAGUGGGCUGAUCGACGGCCGACCAACAAAGGCGAGGCCCCAACUGGCCAAAUCAAGAGAGGAGGACAGGAGACGGUGUCGGCAAGAUCAAGAGAAAGAUGAGAUGAGACGGUAUGGGCAAAGACUCUAGGAAUAGAGAGAUCAAGGGCACUGCUGGGGAAAGUUGAGAGACGAACAAUCUGAGAGAGAGACUAGCUAUGGGAGUGAGAAUUGAAAGAGAGUAGCGAGGAUCUUUAAAUAUAAAAGAUUUAGCACUGUUCCAAACCAGUUCUUCCAAAGGCUAGUUCCCGAGAUUUUUACAUGAGAGCUAAUCGAAAGUUGUUGAGGUCAGUGAAUCUGAAACGUUGCAGCACGUGGCAGAGCGUGACGUGCGAAACUCUGCCACGUGCGGCAAUGAACGGGGCUGAAAUUUCAGGGCCUGUCACUUUGGAGGAUGCUGAGUUUGAUGAUGGCGUCGAUUUUGCAAAAAAAAGAACAGCAGAAAGGCGGCGUAAUGACACUCAAUAGCGACGGGUUUGACCAAAUACGGACACCGGGAGAGUUGACGUAAUAUUGCAACCAUCAUUAUAGAUUAAAGACUUAAUGGCGUUUCAUCAAUUUGUAAUGGCUCUAGUACCAUGAUAUGAAUAAAAUGAAGAGAGAAAAUGGGGAAUAACUAUAUAUUUUUAUGUAUUGAUAAACAAUACAUGAGACUUUAUUAGAUAACUAUUUAAAGUAAUAAGAUAAAUAUAAUGCCACAUCUAAUUAAUCAAGGAUAUGCAUUAUUGAAGGAGAUAUGUGUAUAAUCCUGAAAAAUAUGCAAAAUCAAGUAAAUAUCCAAAUAUCAUUAUCAAUUAGAAUGGAGAUUUUACAUACUAUAUACUAAAAAUCAAAUGUUAAUUUGUUAAGGGCUGUGCUAUUUCCACCCCCCUAAAUAACUUUAUCCAACCCCAUUUAUACUAAAAAGACAACAUUGUUCUCAAUCUUUCGGUUGCAGUUUAUAUUGAUGGCCCUUUUCCUUUUCUAUUUAGGAUAAUUACGAUAAUUAAACAUUUCAAAUGUUUUGUUUUGCUUUUUAGUGUAUUAAAGCAAAGUGCGUUGUCAAAUAUUCUUAUAACGUUUUAUAUACUCCCUGUCAAAUUAUCUCGCUAAUAGUAAAGACAUUUUUUGAUAUCGUAUAAAAUUGAAAAGUCUCUUCUUCAUCAUUGAUCUUAUAAUAAUUUAUCCAUUUUUUUGUCCCUCUUAUCUCAAAAACUCACUUCCUAGGUGAACUUUUUAUUUUCACUAGUCUAAAAUAUUUAUCAAGUCCCUUUAUUUACUAUAUCAAGGAAUUUAUCUUUUUUCCUUAUUAUAUUGGCGAGAUACUUUUAUAGAAAACAUGUAAGAAUAUACAAAAAAUAUUAUGUACAAUGAGGUAUCUUGAUAUUUUUACAUAAACAGUUCAUAGAUGAUUUUGAUUUUUGUCAAUCCAAAGUUCUUAUUUUAUGUGAUGUUUUGGUUUGAUGAAAUUUUAUCUACUUAACAAUUUAUCCAUAAAUUUGAUCAACUAUGUCCCCCGCCGGCGUCCACGUUAGCGCCGGCCGGCCAAUUUUGGCCGGAUGGACUAAAUUUACACAAUUAUAAAAUGUUUAGGACUAAAUUGGACCAAAAAAAAAAAGUUUAGGACUGAAUUGGCACAAUUACAAUAGGUUUAGGACUUUUUGGGUAAUUCUCCCGAUAUAGAAAUACUAAAAAAAAUGGAAAAUAAAUAAAUUUGGGACAAUCAAUUUAAAUUGCAAUUGAAUGAUAGAAGGCAGUUUUGCCUUUUCGUGAAAGAUGGAUGGAGUUAGUCAUAUAGGGGUGGAAAUCACCUUGGUUAAUUGUCCCUCAUUAAUGGCCAAUCACCUCAUUUUAAAGACAAAACUUAACAUCAGCACCAUACCUUAAUUAUUUUACAGAAACUCUCUUAAGGCGAUAUGAUUGUACAAUAACAAUAGAAAAAUUGAAACUACCUAAAUGACAUACAUUGAUAGCAAAACCUCCCUUCGUCAAUGCUCAAAACUAUUUCAUCACAUGCUUUCCUCGGAAAACAUUGCACGUCACAUGCAUGCCCAAAUUGUUUAGAAUUAACAUCGUAUUCAAAUUAUUAGGAUCUUGAGAAGAUAUAAAAUUAUUAUAGCUCGCUAGGCAACUUCAACAUCUAACUUCACAUAGUUAAAAAAACUUACGCUCAUGAAUCUCCGCUUCUGCCCUAACGAAGAAGAAGAAAGUACCAUUUUGAAUGAAGUAGCAUGAAAUCUUUUUUGUGGUGGGCACAUAAAAGCAAGCUGAUGAGGAUUUUUUUAUAACUUUAAAAUUUUAAUAAAAGGAAUGAUAAAACAGUUCUUGAAGUUGGCUAAUCUUCUCUUUGCAAAUACUUUAUAAAACCCAUAUUGUUUUCUCGUGUGAAUACUUUAAUAUCUAUCUAGGCUACCUGAAGUAUCCUUUAACAUCUAUUUGGAUCAUCUGCGGGUCUGCAUGUUCUGUGUGAAAGACUAGUAGUCAUCAUCUUUCAAAGAGAAUGUGGUAGGAGAAGUAACUCUUCUUGACAACUCUUGAAAGAUGUAAUUCUUGUUUUCUCUUGCCAACGACAUGUUUCAUGACCAUCGCUUCAAUUAUGGUGGUGUCGCUGUUCAUCCACCUUUGGUGUCCCUCUUCUAAUGCAUUUCUUCUUUUCAUGCCUUUGGACUCUUGUGUUAUCGUUUUGCAUUAUGCAAACAAGAGAGUUGCGGGAAGGUUCAACGAAAAAGCCUCGAGCAACCAGUCAGCCAGUAGGUGGCGAAGACGAUUUGUUAGUUCCCACAAAACCAACCGGCUGCUGAGAUUGCCGCCUAAGACCAACCUUGCCUAAUCCGAAGAUAUUCUUGGUUGGUGGGUAAGUCAACAACAAAUGUAUAUCUUUGCAUUGUUACUUUCUUUUUUUUUGGCCAACUGCAUUGUUACUUAAAAGCAUGUUUUUUCAUCUGUAGAUGUUUGGCGCUUGGUAGUCGCACAAUAUUUAAUAAUAUAUACAUAUUGAUUAAUAUAUACUUUCGUUUUAUAAUUUUUUUAUAAUUUGUGUUGUGGCAGAAAAAUAAAAAGAUAUAUAUAUAUAUAUUUAUGCUGAACACAUGCCCUGACUUUUCACAUGUUAUUAUCGCGUAGCAUUCAAGUAAAAGCAAAAACGAUAUGGAUAUAUUAACUAUUCAAAUAAAUAAUAGAGUAAACCAAAAAAGUUGCAAAAAUAUCUUUCAGGUGGACUCGAGGCCUGAGAUCAUCAUUUGGGUUGAAGAUUCCGUUGGUACGUGGUGAAUCUGGAGCGGACAACUGUGUACAAAGAUAGAAAGGACGAGUACGGAGUAAGGCCCACGUGUAUAAAGUUAUAUUGGUACGUGACUGACAUAACCAAAAAGCAACUUAACUCUCCACCAUGGCCACCUAUUAAUAUCACUUGGUUAUUAUUAUUAUUAUUUUAAAAUUUCUUUCUGCGUUUUGCGCCACUUCUGUCUCCUUCUUUCCUCCUCUGUAUUUUAAAGAUAGAGACAACUCGAGAUAUUAAAGGCCAAAUCACCUCAAUUGUCACUCAUUAAUGGCCCACCACCUCAUUUACAUAAAACUUAAUAUAAGCGCCUUCCUCAUUUAUUGUGAAAGAACUCCUUAAAUAUGAUAUAAGUGCACAAUAAUAGUAGAUAAUAAAUAAUAUUUGAAUGACAAACACCAAUUGCAAAACCUAUGUCUAUAUGUAUAUAUCGAAAAAAUAUGUAAAGUAACAUGUCUGAUUAAUGUUAAGGAAAGAAAGAAUGAAUGAAGUUUUGCAAUGAUAUAGCUCGACCAUUAAGCUCUAUUCUAUCUUACUUUCUUAUUAUAUAUAUUAGCUUAGCAAUGGUCUCUUUAGCAAUGCUCCCGAGGACAACUUUCACCAUUUUUGUUCUCUCUCUCUCUGGAUUAGAAGAUGAUUAGUCCAGUGGUUCUAAGUCCAUAGACUACUCGGGACAUUUACGGCAAGUCUGUGUUGAAAAUAGCAUUUCUCAUCAGCCACGAAUAACAGAAAGUGAAGCUUAAGUCCAUAAUGCAUUUAGGACCCACCGACAUUGAUAUUUAUUUCACAGGUUGGUUUUAUUUGGCAAUUUCUGAGACCCGGAAGCAAGGGAGAAUAGGACCAAGUUGUGAAAGCAAAUUGCCUCUCCAAGGACAAACACUUAUUUUUUUUUCCCAAGGUUUCGUUCUAUAUAUUAAUUUUUUUUUAAAUGAUGGAGGUCAUUGUUUAAUUUAAUCGGAUGGAUUUUGAGGUGUGACAAAGUUGGUAACAAAAAAAAAAAAAAAACCUAGGGUAUAUUAAUUUGUUUUGAUCCAACACCAUGAGAUGUGUGAUGUGAUUAAUUAGUAACUUAUAUGUGUAGAUGUAUUGAUACAUAUGAUAUAUAUGUUGGACUGAGAUUAUUUCCAUUAAAAUAGAAAUUUUUAUAUGCAUGGAUAACACCAGAUUUGUUAACAUUCCAUUGCCAGCACUACGCCAUCACUACACCUCUCAAUUCAAAACUCUCCUUCAUAUCUUCACUUGACAUUAUUGGUAUUAUUUUACUAAAACCUUACUGUUUAAGGAAGUUCACUCUCCUUGCCAAUCUUUCAAAACUAUUUGCUUCCUAUGAAUAAAAUGCUUCUAGAUUAUUUCUUUCUUCCUUUAUUUUUUCAUAUUCUCUAAGUAAAUGAAUAAAACUGCUUUAAAGAUCUCUCUUCCAUUACUAGACAAUAUGAAAACUUGCACAUUUAUGUAAUGUAAAAUGAUAUAUUUUGACAUUUUAUGCAUGUCACUCAUUUUUUAUAAAUUUCAAAAGGAUUCACAUUUAGGGCAAACUGACAUACACACGAUUUUUUCUAGCAUAUACAAUACGUACAAAAUCUUUUACUAUCUCAGUAUCCUAUUGCAAUUAUAUCGGUUAGUUUAGAAUACUCUUUAGUUCAAAUUUAUAGCUUUUUCUUUAACAAUUACUAUAAGAUAAGUCAUCUUUCUUAUCUUUUGAGUCUGGCGCUUAUUUCAAUCCCCCUAAUAUAUUAUUCUUCCAUUCAAUGUACAAAAUCAAAUCUUUGCCAAGUUUCCUUGUGGAUGUUUUCUAAUAGUGCUUGCAAGACCGUCAAAAUUCCUAGUUGGCCAUUAAUGACAAGUUAGUGACAUUGGACCAAGUAGACCUUGCGUGACAAUAAAAUUUGUUGAAGUGGUAUGGAUUAUUGUGACAGGGCUAGAAUGUGCAAAGCAUCUUUUAACAUCCUAGAAAAAUUCGGAGUGUUAAAAAAAUCCAUGCUGCUAUCUUGCUUGAAUACUCUAAUACCUGCUUGAACUACGCGAGAUACCCUUAACAUACUUGUGGAGCAUCUUUUGUAGUGUAGACACGUUCAUCUCUGUGUAUGCGCCUAAGCUAUGUGCGAAAGACCAGUAGCCAUUAUCAUUCAUGGAGGAUGUGAUAGGAGUAACUCUACAUAGCCUUGUGCAGCAAUGAAAUUUGUAACUCUUCCAAAAAGAACGUAACUUUCGUCUUCCCUUCCCAAGAAUAUGUUUCCCGACAAUCAUUUCGACAAGCAUUUCCUUUUUUUUUUUUUUUUUCCAUUACGGAAACAAGAGAGUUCCUGAAAGGUAUGGCGAAAAAUCUAGAGCAACCGGUUAGCCAGCAGAAGGUGGUGAAGGUUAUUCGCCAAUUCCCACGAAACCAAUCAGCUGCUGAAAUUGCAUCCCCAAAACAAACCUCGCCUCCAAAAUAUAUGAAUUUCCGUUGUCAAGACACCCUAGUAAAUGUAUAUCUUUGCACCGUUCUUUGAAAUCUGACUUCUAGUCUGCAGGUGUUUGGCGCUUCUUAAUCACACAAUUUUCAUAAUAUAUGCUUUGUCGUGUACACAAGAAAGAUUAGGGCUCAUUCAUAUGUGUACGGCAAGUUCAUGUUCAUAUAUUGUUCUAAAAAUACUAUAUUAAGGUUUUCAUUUAUUUCAAGAAAAAUAAAUAAUUUAAAAAAUAUCUUUUAAUAAAUAAUCACUUCUAUCGCUUAAAAUAAUUAGUCAAUAAAAAAUAUUUUAAUUAAUUUAUUGUCUAAAAUUUUUCAUAGACGUUGAAAAUAUUUUCAUUCUUUUAUUUUUGUAAGCGAUACAAGCGAUUAUUUUUACUUCGUAAAUUUUUUUAUCACAUAAAAAACUCCAAAUUAUAUUCACCGCAACACAUUUAUUCCAAACUUAUUUUUGUGACAUCAAGAACCUUAACCUUAUACUCAUGUGAUAUAUUUACUCUUUGUCAAAAUUUUGUCAUAUGAUUUUCCAAUCAAAACAUCGUUUUUAUUUCACUCAUGCAUUUGCUGCCAACCACAUUUGGCUUUUGUCAUCUACAAAGCUACAUUUUUAAUGAUGCUCAUUGCGGGAAUUAUCGUAUAGGUACAAAUUUAAGAUUUUUAGUAUCACAAAAAUGUUUAAGGUAAAUAUCACAGUGGAUAAAAUUUGGAGUUUUUAAUGACUUUUUUGUCAUAUCAAACAAGGUGGUUGAGUUUUAUUUUACUUUAUUGUAAAGUAAUAUAUCUAAUUAAUCUAAGAAAGGUGAAAGAGUGGAGUUUUGUGAUACUCAACCAUUGAACUGCACUCUUCCUAACUUUCCUAUAAUUGAUAGAUAUAAACAUAUAUACAUAGUUUUGGUUUCACAAAUGACACGUAAUAGUUGAAUUUUCUUAGCAUUUAUUUAUUUAUUUAUUUAUUUUGGUCAGAAUAGCAUUAAUUUGUUUAUGUUUCUUAAAACUCAAAAACAAUUGUCUACUUUUCUGUUAAAAUUCGAAAUAUUAUUCGAAUAAAAAAUAUAUACAUAAUUUGGUUUCACAAAUAACACACAAUAAAAUAGAACGAAAGAAGGUAACAAUGAUGAUUAGAGUUCGCAAUGCAAAUGGUAAUAUUUUUGUUACAUGGAAUAAUUUCUUUUAUUUCUACUCUCAAUGACACUUAUAUAAAAUUUAUAUUUUCAGAGCAGAAAAAGAAUAUGAAUGCGUUUGGCAUGAUCCACAAAUUUUCUUUUGUAUUUUUGUGCUUUUUUUUCUUGCUCGCUGAUCUUUGCCGCCAAUCACCGAUGGUGGUAGGUAGAUCCAAGGGCGGCGGCCAUGGCAAGGAAAAAGAAGAAAAGAAAAAGAAAACAGAAAAAAAUGACUUAUUUCUAAAAAUUAUUCCCGAAAACAAGAAGUUAUUUUUUUUUUACUUUUUAUUUCUAUUCCAAAUCUAUUUCUCGAUUACUUUUCUAUUUCAAAAAAUAGAAAAAUUAAUUGACGUUACCAAGUGAUUUUCUAUUCUUUUUCUAUUCUAGGGAGUAAAAGAAUAGAAAAAUCAAGUAACCGAAACGUUUCCAUGCGGCCCUUAAAAUUUCUUAGGAGAAGGUUUGUCUGUGCUUUUUUAAAAUGCAAAAUUUAGAAUUUUUAUUUAAAUAUUAACAGAUUUUGAAAAUAUUAUGCCUAAAUUACAUAUCAAGAUUUAACAAUUGUGAAAAUUUAACAAGCUUCAAGCCAAAAUAACUGUGAAAGCUUGAUCAAGGCAAAGAUUAUAUAUGCGUGUGUAUUAUGCCGAGGUUCGUGAGAGCACAAAAUUCGAAAUUCACGGUAGUAUAGUCAUUUGAUUUUAUGCGUCCGCUUUUUCUCGUCCUUUAUUUGUCCUUACUUUUUCCCUUUUUCCAAGCAACCAUAAAAAGGUAAGGUAAUGCGUUGGCGAUUCCAUGGGUACGUGGAAAUUAUGGAUUGGACAAUAUGUAAUAAAAGGGAAUAGGAUGAGUAGGGUGGAGUUGGGUCCAUGAGUAUUUACUAUUCACUAAGGCCUAACUACUACUGGGGUUCAUGUGAAGCCAUACUGCCACAAGGUUGACAGGAGCCUGGAGGCAGCGUAAUAAUUGCCACAUGGCCGUCCAUAAAGCAACUUAACUCAACCAUAGUACUGUGUUCUUUUGUUUUUGGUUUUUUUUUUUUUUGCACCACGUCUUUACUCCUCUCUUCUGCUGUCGUCUUUCUUUCUCCUCCUCUCCUUUUUUUUAGAUGGGGAGACCAUAAAUGGGCUUCACGAACCAAAGAUAAUAUGGUCUCGGAAAAUCUUUUUGGGUAAUCCAAGACUAAAUCAUAACAGUCAGUCUCAUUUUUAGUGUCAAUCCUUCCCCUUUAUCAUGUAGCGUAAUUAGCACACCCUAAUUUCUGCACAAAAAAUGGGAGUGGCAUGACCAUUUUAAAGAGAAAUAUGAAGCCCUCAAACAAAUCUCGCCACAAAUCAACUAUACCAAAAACAUGCAUGUAUGGGCCAAAAGCUAAUAUCAAUAGAAUAUAGCCCAAUAAUCCACACAUUGAAGCUUUUAAGUGAAUUUAUUGUUAUAGAUAUGCAUCAUUUUGUUUCUACAAUUCUUUGCGAAAUUAGACAAUCACUUGCUUGAAGCAGGAGUACGUGGCAUUUUCCAUGCAUUUAUGCUGUGAAAAUAUGUUCCAAGUUCUAAUCAGGUCAUUCCAAGUUGCUCCAAGCCAAGGUUAACAUAACUUACAACAAAUGGUCGAUUGGUGUUGUUGAUUGAAGAGAUAAGUGGUGAUGCAUCUCAUCACUCCUUUGUGAAUAUGCAAUGACAUAAUCACAUCGGAAGAGAAGUGACUUGAGACUCAAGAAAGACAUGAAACUAAUUACCUGCACUCAUUCAAAGUAGCAACAUCCGUGGCUUGAACUAAAGUAUCUUUUGACCUCAAACCCCUGGGAUUUGGCAUUGCGUGAUUGUGAUAUUUUGUUUGGAAAUUAAACCCUUCCAAAGUACCCGUUGCAAGAAAAAAGAGUAACUUUCAUACAUGAACACAAUCAAUUUGGAUUACUUCUGAGGCCAAUCCUUGUUAGGAAAUUGCAAUAUCACAUGAGGUCUUUCGGACGACAUAAAACCACUAGAUUCAAUUAUCCAUAGAGUGAGAAUUGAGUGCAUGAAGCCGACAUCUCUUGUAAUUUGGGUUUUAUGAGCACAGUUCCUUUCUGCAGCUUAGCUGGUCCAUCCAAAACUCUUAUUGCAACAUCAUUUCCUCCGUUAAACUCAAUGCAAAAGCUGUUAUAUGUGAAAUUUUCAUGAUUUUUGAAAAUAUGGAAAUUUCUAUUAAUACUUAGAAACUAUGAAAAUUGUGUAAAUCGUGAAACAUGGUUCUUGGGAUAUUCAAAAAAUUUUCAGUCAAUUUGGUUAGAAUAAAUGUGAUAUAGUGUGCAUAAUUGGGGGUUUUUAUUGACUUUUUUUCUAGAUCAAAUGAGAUGAUCGAUUUUUUUUUUUUGCUACUUUAUUGUAAAGAAAUAUGUUUAAUUAAUUUAAGAAAGGUGGAAGAAUGGAGUUUUGCGAGAAUGUGACAUAGCCAUUUAACUGUAUUCUACCUUUUCCACCAUGGAUAGAUAUGUAUAUACAUACAUAAUUUUGGUUUCACAAAUGACAUACAAUAAAAAAAAAUGAAGGAAGGUAAUUAUGAUGAUGAGAGUUAAUUGAGUUUUCUUAGGACUAGUUUGUUUAUGCUUUUUAAAAUGCAAAAAAUAAAUUUUAAAAUGUUAUAUAAAUGUUAAAAAAUUUUGAAAUUUUUUUUAUAUAAACUAUAAAUCAAGAUUUAAUGGUUGUGAAAAUUCGACAGGUUUCAAGCCAAAAAAAGAGUGUAAAAACUUGUUCCAGAUAUAUAUAUAUAAAAUAACAUAGCCCUUUAGAUAUAUUGCUCAGGUUAGUGAGAGGGCGAAGGUUUAAAUUCACCAUAGGCGAUAUCACUGUCCUACGAUUUGAUGUGUCUUCUUUUAUCCUUUCCCUUGUUUCCUUUUCUCUCUCUCUCUCUCUCUCUUUAACGCAACCCAAUAAGAUAAUGUGUUGGUGAUUCCCUUAUUACGUGGUGACUCUAGAUGGACAACCUAUACUAGAAGAUAGAUAGGACAAGUAUAAUGAUUGGGUCCCACAACUAUUCAUUAAGGUUUGGCUAGUGGGGUCCAAGUCUAUGAAGCUGUACGACCAUCUACGACAUAAUGUUGACAGAAGAGGAAGCAUAAUAAUUGUCUAAGGACUGACAACCAAAAAGUAACUUAACUCGACCAUGGUUAAUUAUUAACCAUCAUUUUGUUCUUUUUGUUUUAGGUUUUCUCGCACGCCAUGUCUUUCUUUCUCCUCCUCCGGGCGUUAGAGAGAGGUCAUGCGCUUUGGAAACUUUAUAAAUUAAUAAUCAAAUCUAGGAAUUAAUAGUCAAAUCUUUGACUUGUUAAUGGUCCUCAUAAUAAGUGAGCUUUCAUAUAGUCAAUUUUAGUAUGGUGAUACAAAAACUGUAAAGAUGAAUAGAUAGGCUUCAACAAUUGAAUAAUACAUAAUCUUGGUAAUAAGUUUUGGAUACUCCAAAACUAAGUCUUGACCAUUAAUCUCAUUCUUCAUGUUGGCCCCACACAAGAAUAAGGGAGUGACAUGGGCAUCUUUUAAGAGAAGGACAAUGCUACACCAAAAAUAUACACAUAUGGGCCAAAGGCUAACACCAAAAGGAUAUAGCCCAAUAUCCACAUGUCAAAGCUUUUAAGUGACUUUAUUCUCAUUUUGUGUUUACUUUGCGAAGUUGGGCCAUUUCGACUUGAGUUUUGCCAUGUGAAAAAUAGAGAUGCAACUUAUCGACUCACUACAUCACUUGCUUGAAGCAGGAGUGCGCACCAUUUUCCAUCCACAUACGGUGCAAAAAUAUGUUCCAAAUUCUAAUCUGGUCAUUUCAAGCUACUAUAAUUCAAUGUAAACAAUGCUUACGAUCAACAGUCGGUUAGCGUUGUUAAUUGAUGAGACAAGUGAUGAUGCAUCUCAUCACUCCUUAUAACGAAGUGUCAUGACAAAAUUGCACCGGAAGAGAAGUGACUUGGGACUUGAGAAAGACACGACACAAAGAAUCCAUAUUCACUUAAAAGUUCAGGUCUAGCAAAUAUCGAUGAUGAAGUGGGUAGAUUUUUAUAUUCCAAACAAUAAAGGGAAUUUCGUAAUAUUGAAAAAAUGAAAAGGAAAAGAUGAAACAUUCGGAUUAUUUUGAUAAGGCAAGAAACGAUUUUCGAAGGUAAUUAUGGAACUUGUCUUUGCAUAGCUUGGCUUGUUUUCUCUUCUGAUAUUCCUAGGAUUGGCAUUUGCUUAUUACCCAAAAUUAAAGAGAGAGGCAAGAGGGUAGAGAGGACAGGGACGAUGGAGGCCCAAGGCUCGCCGGGGAGUGUCCUUUAUUGCUGGAAAACUUGGCGAUGUUCAUGGCUUGAACUGAUAUUUCCUUUGACCUCGAAUCCCUAGAAUUAGGCAUUGCGUGUUAUCGACGUUUUGUUUGGAAAUUACACCCUUCCAAAGUCGCGGUUGUUGGCUGGUAAAGAAGUAUAACUUUCAUGUAUGAACACAAAAUAUUUGGAUUAUUUUCAAGGUUGAUUCUUUUUACAAAAUUGUAUUGUUACAUGAGGUCUUUCCAACAAUACAAAAACCACUAGAUUCGAUUAUCCGUAGAGUGAGAAUUGAGUGCCCGAAGCCAACACCUCUUGUAAUCUAGGCUUUUACCACUGCAGUUCCUUUUGGCAGCUUGCCUAGUCCAUCCAGAAGUCUUAUUGCAACACCGUUUUCUUCGUUAAACUCAACGCAAAGGCUACUAUGUUAUGUGAAAUUUUAAUGAUUUUUAAAAAUACAGAAAUUUCUAUUAUUACUUAGAAAUUAUGAGAAUUGUGAAAUUAUGGAACAUGGUUUAUAGGAUGUACAAAAAAAUUCAAGUCAAUCUCGUGAGUUCAUUUCAGGAGUGGAUUUCGACUCCCACACCUUGCAAAGAGGCAGGGCAAAAGUCUGAGAGUGUGUGUUAGAAUAGGAUUAGAGUAGGACCGACAAAAAAAAAUCUCGUGAGUUCAAAGAUAAAUAUUAAUUGUGGAAAAUUCUAAUUCCUUUGAAAAGUUCAGUGCUAUCAUUGAAGAAAAAGCGUUGGCGCACUUGACAUUGGAAAGAUCUAAUUUUUUCAGUUUUUUGAAAAAUAAAAUUAACUAAUUUCUGCAAAAAAAAAAAAGAGAGAUUAUUUCAUAUGAUUGAAACUGUGACAUCCAGAUUUUCGGAUUUUAAUUCGACUGGAUAAAUAGGACCGUUUUUAUUCAGUUGAAGCCAGGGAUUGUGAAAUUGGGAUGCAAGUGGGCUAUAUUGGUAAGGAAAAAUACCAAUUGGAAUGACGAGGUGUUGAAUAAAUUAAUGGGGGUUAGUUUGAUUUAAUUCAAUAGGAAUUAAGGCCCAAUUGAAAAGAAAACCUAGCAAAAUUCGUAUGCCACUUCUACCCCAUAUUUUGGCCUACCUAAAUGCUUCUAGAAGGGGCAAGUUUGUCUUUGAAUUGUGAGUGGAUGACAGCCCAUGGUGGCCCACGUGCGGAUGACAUAAGAGAGAGAGAGAGAGAGAAUGAGAGAGGAAAAAGGGGAAACCGGUUCCCCCUUCUCUUCCUCGUCGCUGCCUCUCUCCCCUGCAUCUUCAUCUUCAGCUGCACGACACCAUGGAAGCUGAAGAUCAGCGAACUAGCAAGCCGAAGCAGCGAUUUCUCUUGGCGCCGAUGCAGCAAGCAACCGAAGCCGGAGUCGCCGCCGUCCGCCGUCCUGCUGCCUCGCGCAUCUCCGCCCCCUGUCCCUCCUCUGGUUCGAAUAGAACCGAAAGCAGAAACAGAAGUAGCAACCAUCGUCGGUUGAAGGAGCUGCAAUCGCGCCGGAGCUGCCAUCGCCGCCGCACAUCGCUCCGCCGCCUCGCCACUACUCCGUGCGUCACCAUCUCUCCCUUGCUCAGCCCUCUGUUUCAGCGACGUUUCAGAUCUGGUGGAGCUCCGCCGGAGCCGUCCACCCCUCCUCCGGCCACCGUGAAGCCUCGCCUAAGUCUUGUUCAGCCUCUCCGUCCAUCUAGGUCUGUUGUUGCUUCAAUUCGAGCCCGGAGCCGCCCCUUCCAGCAGCGAUCAGAGAAGUCAGAAAAUGGGUAUUGCAGAGGGUUUUGGCCCGUUUUGGCCGUCUUCCCGAGCCCGGAUGCUCGGCCCGCUUUGGGGAAAGUCGAUCCUCGCGUCGAGCCCGUCGUUUUGAGUGAGUUUUACUCACUAAUGCUUUCUUAGUUUGCUAAUUAUGCUUAAAGGUUGAUUAGUGUUAAUUAAGUGUAAUUAGGUUGUUAGAUUAGAAUUGAUUAGUGAUUAUUAGUUAAUUACAUUGUAUGUUAGUUGUUUGGUUAGUGUAAUUAGAUAGAGAAUUGCUUGUAGUAUUUAUUGGAUCAUUCUUGGGAUUUUUCCCGUCCCUUAUCGGGUGUUUAUUAAGCGAUUCGGGCCUAGGUGGUAUUUUUAGGAAUUAAAUAUUAAUUUUCGAAAUUAAUUAUUUAAUUAUUUAUUUCCCGGAAAUUCAACUGGGAUGGCCAGUGACCGGGAUUUUAUGCUGAUGAUCAUGGCGCAGUCCGUUUAUUUAAUUGAGUUUUAUAUUGUGCUAAAUUGAAUUUAUUGUAUUUAUUUAUUUAAUUUUCGAAAUUAAUAAAUUAAUUAAUUAUUUUUCGGAAAUUAAGAUUUCGAUGGCCGACGACCGAAAUCUCGUGCUGAUCGUCGUGGCGCAGUCCGUUUAUUUAUUUGAGCUCCACGUUGUAUGGAAUUGAAUAAAUUGUGAUAUUUUAGAGAUUUACCCUAAAUUGAUUGGAAUUGAUUGAGAUUGAAUUGUAGAUUGGUAAAUGGCCAAGUAUGUUAUUCAGCAUUUAUAAUGCUUUGUUGAGUUGAUUUAAUUACUUGAUUGAGAAAUCGUUGGGCAUUGGUUGUCGAUAUUGAUAGUAGAUCCUCGAAAGCCGUCAAGAUAUGGCUAUGCCAGUGGGGCCGAGUUUUGCCACCGAAUUUGGAGUCGGUCGCGCCCGUUGGGCCGUAAAUUGCCACCUAUUAAAGGUCGCGCCUGUUAAGGCCGUAAUUUGCCACCCGAUACGGGUCGCGCCUGAUAAGGCCGUAAUCCGCCACCUAUUAAAGGUCGUGCCCAUUGGGCCGUAAUUUGCUACCUAAAGGUAGGUCAUGUCCUUCGGGACUGUAAUUUGUUGCCAAGAUUUGGUAGUCUGUGCUCGUGAAGCAGUGAGUAAGAUUUUGAGACUGAAUAAGGGAGGUGACCAGGGAAUGGUCGGAUUGACUUGUAAUCGACUAGGUCGAUUGAUCGAUGAUUCAAUCUGAGUGUGAUUCAAUGUGAUUGAUCAUUGCCUUGAUUUGAUGUUGCGAAUUGGUUGAUUGAAUGGAAAUGACCGUGAGUGGUCUUGUUGGCGUGUAAUCGAUUAAGUCGAUUAGAUCGAUGCUUCGAUCUAUAAUAUGAUUUCUUGGGUGCCUAUAUGAUCUGUGCUAACAUGCAGGUGGAAUCUGAGGCCAAGGUAAGUCCUCUGACUUAUGUUGUGCAUAGGCAGCCCUAAGGUGUAUUAGUUUACUAAUCGGGUCUUAGGAAGUAGAACUUGCUGAGACGUGGUCUCAGUGGUUAUUGAAUAACCAUUUCAGGACCUGGAUGAGGAGCCUAAGGAGCAUGAAUCUGAUGAGGAGGUCCCUGAUGAGGAACCCGAAGAGGAGUACGUGGAGGAGGACCCCGAGUACGACCCGGAUGAGGACCGAAAUCCUAUCCUGUCUUGUCAGACCUUGUUUGCUUGUAAAAAGUUGUAGUUGUGAAUUUUCAGUAAGAUAAAUGUAUGGCCUGCUUUUCUAUCCCAUUGCUUUAUUGUCUGGGGAUUUAUAACUGCUUCCGCAUGUGCUAUUAAAAAUGAAAGGGUCGGCGAUACAUAGUCCUGGGAUAUCGCAUAAUAAAAUCGACCAAAAGUAAGGGAUGUGUGCGUGCCUGAAGGUCGGGGCGUGACAGAAACAGUAAAAUAUCUGUUGGGUCAUGGGGUGCAUGUUGGGGCCUAUGCGCUCGAAAUCGAGUCUUGAAGGGCAUUUACAUAAUUGUUGUCUGAAUGAGCUUUUCAGCCCAAGUGCAUUCAUCCUCUGUUCAGGGACGGAGGAAAUAUGAGAUAAAGUUAUGUGACUUGAAUUAGCGAUUUAUUGAGGUAUGUAAUUUCCAACACUUCCAUAUUUUAAAAAAGUGCAUGACAUGAUUUGCCGAGAAGAAGCUACACUGUGACAUGGUUUGUUUGUUUUUUUUGUUUUUUUAAAGCAUUUUAAGCAUAUAAAUAGAUAUUCUUACAUGGCAUGCUAUUUUAAAAAGUCAGAUCAAGCAUUGGAUAUUUUUGAGCCUCUCUAAUCCGGAAAUAUUCUAAACUGAAAUGCUAUAUAUAUAGUGUGUGGGGGCAUGCGGAAUAAAUAUUUUUAAAAAAUCACUAAUUUUGGGUGAAGGCUGGUCCUUCAUUUCUUAAAAAGAAGGCUGGGCAAUCCCUUCCUUCUCACUAUGGAUGUGAGUGAAAAAGAUCGAGAGUACUCGACUCAUAUAAGUUCGAUUUAUAGUUCUAUGUGUGUUCUUAGAACGUCGAGAUUGAACUUGGAGAUAUGCCAAGCGGUCUUUGAAUUGGAAAAAUCGCCCGGUUUGAUUAAUACCUAUCUCCCCAUGUGAUGUAACUUACCGAAUCAAAAUGCAAGUUGGCCUUCGAAGCGUUGGUCUCUAAAACGGUAUGAGCGAGACCUGGUGUCGAUCCUCUUCUUUCACUGAAGCCUUCGAUUCUCCUCGGAGAUCAAUCAAAACCCAGAGCCGACCAAGUAAACUGGAAAAUCCUCUGAGGGAAAGUGGAGAUGGUGGGAGGUGUGCAAGGAGCGAGCAAGAGGCGAUCGAAUGCCGUCCGGACGCAAGCAGUGAUUGUGAUCUCUCGCGAGAGAAUUGAUGACGUCAUCGCGCAAAUGGGGAGAGAGAGAGAGAGAGCCACGCGACCUCAAAACGCACGGGAAUUGGAGCCAAAAAAGCGGGUUGGAUCCACCAGCUUCGAUCGUCGCUGCCAAUGCCGUCCAAGACUCCGGGUGCGUUUGGGAACCACUUCCCAAAGCCCCUUGGGAGUCCAAAGCCCUUUGGGCACAAAAAAUGGUGUUUGGCAAAAAACUUUGAAAGGGACUUAGGCAAAAUGCUAGCAUUUUUAAGGCUGAAAGCCCAAGGCAGGUGGGGGGCUGCCUUGGGCUUUUCAGCAUUUUCGGCAUGCUGAGGAGCACUGUUCACUUUUUUUUUUUCCAAAAUUGUCCUCAUGAAUUAUUGGUUUUUCCGGUGCGUGCCCUUGGAUGAACACUGUUCAUCUUCUUCGGGCGAACGACCGCUACAGGGACGCCGCGACCUCGCCGCCCUUCGUCGGAGAGUCGGGCGACCUUCGCGAGUCGCGGCGUUGCCGGCGACCGUCGCCUGCUGCACCGCGACCUCCGCACGGAACUCGCCGGGGCCGCGCGACCAGAUCCGGACGUCGCGAGCCUCGGGGUCGGGCGACCUCCAGCGAGGGUCCGCCGGAGGUCGCAGGUCAGCCGGAGGUCGCAGGUCCUCGCGGCGACCUCGCGGCGACCGGAUCUGGUCGCGGCGACCUCGCUGCGCGACCUCUGCGCAACCAGAUCUGGUCGCCGGAGGUCGCACGACCUCGCGGCGACCAGGUCUGGUCGCGCAGAGGUCGCACGACCUCGCCGCGCGACCUCCGGCGAACAGAUCUGGUCGCGCGACCUCCGCGCGACCUCUGCGCGACCAGAUCUGAUCGCCGGAGGUCGCGCGGCGAGGUCGUGCGACCUCUGCGCGACCAGACCUGCCUCCGGCGACCCAGAUCCGGGGUCGCCGGAGGUCGCCGGAGGUCGCCGGCGGUCGCCGGAGGUCGUUGAAGGCCGCUGCCCUUGCCGGUCAUUUUUUUUUAUUUUUUAUUUUAUAAUUUUUUUUACCACAAAACUCCAUUUGCAAGUGUAAUUUCCCAAACACUAUUUUGCUCAAAGCACUUCACAAAGAGCUUUCAAAGUAUAAUUUACCAAACACAGUUUGCAUUUUACAAAACACUUUAAAGUCAAAGGUAUUUGCAUUUUCCUAAAGGCUUUCCCCAAAAGUAGUUCCCAAACGCACCCUCCCUCUGGUUAGUUGAACAACCGAUCGUGACCAAUGAUUGCUCCUCGCUGAGAUAAAAGCUCUCUGUUCUGUUUUGAGUAUCGCACGUGUGAAAUAGAGACCGAGAGCUUUGUUGUUUGCUAGCAAUGAAAAUUGUUCACGUCCGAGAUUAUAUUACUAACAACUGCGAUUCGGUCUUCAUGAUCUCGUGCUGAUUGGGCUGUGAUUCUCGCUCUCUCGUUGCUGGAUUGUGCCAUUUCAUCGAAUGCACAUUAAAUGUCUGGUGAAAUGCCUGAGCCAUAUUAGUCUGAAUACACAUCGUCUUUGUCUGCUUGAAUGACUCAUUGUACCAGUUGGAUAGGUUAAGUAGAUCUAAAUUGAUAUCCACUUUUGAGUCCAUUCCCGAAUGUCUCGGUCUUGGUAGGCUUCCGGUACUCUAAGGCAGAUAAACUCGACUCUCUGAAAUUAGCUAAAAAAGAUGAUUCCGGUACUCUAAGGCAGAUAAACUUGACUCUCUGAAAUUAGCUAAAAAUGACGAUAUGCUGAAUUGUAAAUACUCUAUCGAUGGUUGCUGGUGCGCUCAUGAAGCAUAGGCUGAUUAUGGAGAGACUGAUACAUUGUAGUGUGGAUCUCAUUUGCUGUACAUAUCUUUUGAAUUCCAAAUCAUGUCUUCUCUGCGAGUGAACGUGAUUAUGUGUUCAGCGGAUGAAAAAAUAGUGUGGCAGUGCCGCCACGUUCUUGUUGCAAGAUUAAAUGACAAACAAGGUAGAAUUGAAAAGAAGUUGGAAUUUUUUUCUAAAAAAUAAAUAUGAAACGUUAUAAAAAAAAAAAAUAGUAGACUCGCGUCCUCACAAAUCUACAAUGAUGCAGAUCUAUUAGAAAACUCGAUACAUCUAUAAUCAUAGGCAAUGUAUAGCUUUUUAUAACUCAAAGGGAUGAAUAGACUCAAAGCUCAUGGAACACCCUAUUAUAAAAUAAAUAGUUACAAAAACAGGCCACACUAUUUCCACGCUCGAAAUGGAGGGAAAGGUUGAAAGGGAUUAAAAAAAUGCAAGAAAUGUUCUCAUAUGAGUGGACAGCUCCAUUUAUUUCUAAUUCACUUAUGAUCGGACCAUCAUCAUAGCCAUUACGCCAUUUCAAAAUAGAGGCAAAAUCCCAAGAAAAUCAUCAGUUUGACAAGUUCUGGAAAUUCUCUCCCUAAUUUAUUAGAUAAUAAUUUCCAAUAAAUUGGACAAAUUGCGUCACCCUAAGUUAAAAAAGAUGAAUAGUACUAGAGACACUCAUAUUGACAUAUUCAAUUGGCUCAAACUUUAUAAUACUCAAACAAUAAAUAGAUUUAUAAAAAUUAGAUAAUGUCACCAUUUUGCCACAUCUAAUGGAAACUGAAGGUGGCAUUGAUAAAAAAUCUUCCAACAAGGAAUGCAUUCAUCAGUAGUUAAGCGCAAAGGAGUAGACUUAUUGCUCUCAGACAUUUCAAAAAAAAGACUAACUUGAGCUGUGCAAGCGCAACAUCUUGACAACAUUCAAGAGGGUUUGAACCACAGCAGCAUCUGCUACCUUGGAAGCUGCUCUAAGUUAUUAAAGAGUUGAGAUUCGAGGUACUAACCCCCUUUUAAUUACAACGGGCAUGCCUUUUCAAAGGCUUGCUGCUCUUUGCGGCAUAAAUCGAACUCGUUUGUGUGGUAAUACAUGCAACCAACAUAAGCAUCCAUCUCUUUUGUGCACCUCUCGUGAAGAUCUUUCAGCCCAAUUCUCCUAAUUGAAUUAUGUAUAUAUAUAUAGCAUAAAAAAAAUAAUAAAUAAGAGAAAAAUAAGCUUGAUUUGCCCAUGCAUUCAGCCAAUUCCUGAGCCUACCCAAGGCAUAUCUAACUUGGGACUCACAAAAAAAAAAAAAAAAGCGUUCUCUUCGAAAGAAACGACCAGUUGGCCGUUUAUACUCCUCCGUUCGCCGCCGUUCGUUGUAGCCACCGUUUCUGACCUCGCCAGAAACGACAAUCCUCGACCGGCGCCAAGAGUUCCUUCUUCGCUUCUGUUAAGAUCCGCUUUUCUCGACACCAAAUCGAUGCGGGAGCCGAAGUUCCGACCACGAAGCAAGUACAAAGCCAGGCCCAGCCACACCGAACAAACCAAAGACGCUCCUCUCCGUUGCCCCUGCCUUCCGCUACCUCAGAGCUCACCGGAUACGUUUGUGUUUCUCGCAAUUCGAUCGAACCACGCCCAGUUUUAUAUGCGAGAUAUAAACGCCUGUUGGAUGCUGAUAUAUCAGGUGAAUUGAAACGUUGAAAUCGAGUCCAUAGCUCAGUUUCUAAAUCGCCCAUGCACCGUCCGACGAAAUACCUCAAUGAAGGAAUCGAAUCCGAUUUAGCCAAAACAGUGUUCGAGAUGUUAUUUUUAUGCUCUAUUAGUUCUGAAAUCAUUAAACUGAGACUGAAUAGGCGUUUUCUUUGAUUUUUGGUGGCAUUAUUUCUCAUUAUCCGAGUCGGUCAUGAGCGCCUCGCCGGAGGAACCCGUGGUUAGAGGCCGCUGUAGUUAGUUUCUCGUUUACGCACUUGUGUGCUUGUUCCGUUAGAAUGGAUGCCGUUUUACAAUGUCCAUUUUUUUUUUUUUUUUUUUUUUUUUGGUGGCUUAACAUCACCGGUGAGGUUCGGUGAUGGCCGGAAAGGGGCGGACGGUGACCAAGCGAUGGCCGGCGGUGACUGGCGCCUGUCGGACCGAACGACCCAGCGGGCGUGCUGGCUCGACGGUCGCCUCAGCACCGGCGAGGGGCUCAUCGGCCGGCACUCAUCGGAAAAUGGUGCUGGCUGGGAGUUAUGGACUGAGUGUAGUGAGAUUAAAAUGAAGAGAGUUGGGCUGAGUGUUGUCGGUCGGUAGUAUCAUUCCUAAAAUUAAAAUUUUUUCUUCCAGCCUUAUGUUUUUUCAUCAACCCAAGUCCCGACUUGUCCCAAAAAAGCCAAAGUCAGGUUUUAAAGGGGCACUCUCGUAAUUUUGCGGACACAAGCGUUUCCAUUUACAAGAGAGAAAUUCAGAGGUAUUGUGUUAAUUUUUUUUUAUCUCUGAUUAGUGUUUAUAAUCAAUUCUUUACUUGUGUUCUCAUGUAUUUGUAAAAUGAAGUUCAACUAUAUGUGUUUGUGCUCAAAUUACAAGAGUUAGGCUCAGCGGUUGAUUGUCGUUUGAGUUCAACGAACUGGAAAUGUCGGUAGAACUGCAUUUCUUGUGCCUUAGAUAGACACAGGCGACUAAGAGAGGAACAUAAACUCGAUCUUGAUUCUUGGAUUUUGAAGUCCAGGUUUAGGACGAUUUGGACACCCGAUCGUAGGCUCUCGAAAUUGAUGGCGGGAUAUCUCGAGCUAAUAAACUGUUUGACAUAUGGUUAGUGAAGAAACCUGUUUUUAAUGUUGGUUUCUGGUCGGAGGAAGAAUUGCUGUUUUAAUUGAUUCUCCUCCUCCUCCAUCCCUCCCAUUGGAAUACUAAUUUGGAAUACAUUGAGCUGCCAAGCUGCAUAUGAUUGAAGGAACAGAUGACCUAAAAAACUUUUGAGAGAAUGAUUGGUUCUACAAUUCCAGGCUUACAUAAAAUCAAUUCGCUGUUGCCUUUUUUUACUAAAAAGGAUGGCACUUGUCACAAGACAUCUGCGUUUGUGAGUGUGCCAUAUUGCCAUUGUUUUACAGGUUUUUCUUACCUGUGUUUACAACGUGGGUGCCAUUUUUGAGAGGCUUGUUGUUGGCUGUUUUCUGAUACAAACUAAUAAACUGUGUACUACUUUCUUUUUUGGUAUUAAGCUACUGGGAUUUCAGAAAUAGGCAAAAAUCGAAGAGAGGAGAACCAUUACGUGUUGAUCUUUUUAUAUCUCAUCUCCGACAAUCACGGGGGAUGUAAUUUAGUGACUUCAGUGAUUGUAUAUUGCAUUAACAGGGAGCCUCGUGGCUUUGGAUUUGUGAAGUUCCGAUAUGCGGAAGAUGCAGCUGAGGCUAAGCAGCAAAUGAAUCAUACUGUUAUUGGAGGACGUGAGAUAAGAAUUGUUUUUGCCGAGGAGAACAGAAAAACUCCUCACGAGAUGCGCGUGACUGAGAGUGUGAGGUACAAUUUGUCACAUUCUCCAUUUCACUAGGUUGUCUUUAUGGCAUUUGUUUCCAUCGAUUCAUGACAGGUUUUUUUGGUAAACUCUUUUUCCCCCCAUUUUAAAAUGAAGUGGGCGACACAGGGAAAGAAGGAGAAGUACAUCAAGGUCUCCAAGACGCCACAAUCAGUGUCAGUAAUUUUGACUUCAUGUCCAUUCUGAUUUGUUGCUUUCUCUCCCUUUGGGCUGUACAACGAAUGGAGCAGUCUGUCAUGAUGGACAUCCUUGUGAGUUUGGAGAAUCUUAUUCUGUUUUUGUAUUUUCUUACAGCUUACUCUAGGUCACCAACACCAGAUAGGCAUGACUCAAGGUUUGGCAUUUUUGUCCGAGUGGGUUUAAUUGCAUUGUUACUGGUUUUAUACUUUUUCUGUUCCUCUUUUAGGAUGAUAAGUACACUGUAGUUGAGCAUAUUAGGAACUUACAGUACUAAGGGUGCCUUAUUGGCCUGGGAAGAAUAUACAGAACUCUUAGUGGCAUUCUUUCACUUUUAUGUCAAGUAUAAUGUGAUAUUUAUACUGUCUGUAUGUAUUUUCAACUAGUAAUGCUUUGUACAUUGUAGUUUUAAUCUUUUUGGUACGUGAAAUUUAGAUCAAGUUAUUUCAGUUCAAUCUUUGCUAUAUAAAAAGUAGUUUGAGUUGUCUGUCGAUUCUCAUCCUUGGUGAACUUUAGUGGAUGAUAUUGCCCAAGGCAUUAAAGUAGUAGAAUUUCACACUCUUUUUAUAGUUUUAUGUGUUUUGUAAGCCCUGUAUGUUUGUAGUAAUUGUGGUAUGGGAUUUUCACUCUAGCUAAAUUUUGAACAGAAAGCUAUGCAUUCUUCAUUCAUUUCUUGUCAAUAUAGGUAAACAUUUUGUUGUUUAUUUCCCUUGGACAUUUGUGCUUAUAGAUAGGAAGCUGUUCGUCUAUUCUGGAUAUAGACCAUGGCGAACUAUUCAAAUUUAAUUUAUUGAAAUAGUAGCCUUUUGUUAAAAUAUCUAGAACUGGCUAAAUGAGUGGCAAAGGCAACCGAUCGUCCUAGCCAACCAUUUUUCUUGGAAUGGUUUACUUGUGGACCAAUCACAUUAUGCUUAUGAGUGAAAAAGAGUGGCCAUGUACAAUUGAAAGGAAAACUUUGCUGACUUUAGCAUGGCAGAUUGGUGUAUAUGAGAAUUUUAUUAUUUUGCUGGCCUUGUUACUUUUGGUAUUAGUAAUCUGAUGCAUCUCUAUCCUAUUAUGUUCAUACUACAGUGGUUUUUAUCAAUUUGGGGUGAUUGAUGCAGUACAGCAUCGUUUCUGUGGUAUUGAACAGUAUCUGCUUGUGGCCUUGUUUAUGCAGAUAUUAAAGUGAACAGGAAGAUUUUAAAGACCUAUGGGUAAAUAAAGUUAAACGACAAAAGAGAGAGAUGGACAACUCCCUUACCAUUCUGUCAAAGCUUUUCUAAUGUUAUUAUCCCACCUUCGCCAAUUACUGUCAAAGCAUGGGCUUUUGCUUACUAGGUCUGGUGGCCUGCAGUUGCAACUGAACUGAUUAGUAAAGCACCGUCGGCAGAUGAUUAAAUCACUAAAGUACCUUUUUUUCACUAUUUGUUUUCUCUGUGUGAUCUAACAUAGUUAUUAAUGAAAAGGUUUUGAAGCUUUAUUUUGUUUUGCAUAUACCAUCCAGUUAAGAAAAGAACUAGAGCUUUUUUAUGGCCAAAGAAAGAAAUCAUCCUCAAUCAAGGGAAGCAAUACCGGUGUAGAGAUAUGAUGACAUUGUCAAAGAUAGUUUGAGGUUUUAGAAAGUUGGGCCAAAGAGAGCCAUGCAGUUGUUGGACGCUGACGGUACAUCGUUAAUGAGACUAAUUCCAGUAUUUGGGCCCAAGUUGGUAAAUUGUACGGAACUCUUAUUAAGGUGCAGGUAACGGUCAUCUUCAAUCAGUUAGAUAGUGAUGCCAUCAUGUUGAUGCUUAUGUAAUUUUGUAAGUUGAGUGUAAUUUUUUUACUUGCAAAACGGAUUUUCUUGGUACUUUUUAUUAGCUUUUGCUGAUGGUAUUUUUUUCUUUUUUCGUAAAAUUCAUGCUUCAAGCCGAGUAAUGUUUCCUUGUAAGAUCUUUUGUUACCCUAGAUCGUGUUCUGUUUUAUGUAAGGGAAUCUUUAUGUUCCAUUUUUAUUAUUUCCCAUCUCAAUGGAUAUACCGAUUCCUUGAACCAGGAGCCGUGGGGCAAAGGAUUGAUACCAGUCUCCAACGCGAUCUGGGUCUGUACCACAUUCUCCAUAUCCUCAGGAGCACAAGAUUAAGCGGUCUAGUAAGAGGUCUCCAAGUCCAAGGGAAGAUAGUCGAAGUCCCAUUCAGGAGAGGGGUUAUCCAGCAAGCAUGUCUCAGAGUCCAAGGGGCAAUAUUCGCAGUCCUUCAAGGUCUCGUUCACAGUCUUACAGGUAUAUCUGUUGUUUUUCUAGUCUUGGUUGGAAACAACGCAUCUCUUCCUUGCGCUUCAUCCAAUUGUCAAAUAAUUUCUCCUUUAAUCUGUUAUUUUUCUAGUCUUGGUCUGGAACAAUGCAUCUCUUCUAUGCACCGGCUGAUUGUCAAAUAAUUUUUCCUUUCAUCAAAGUCAAUUUUCUGUUUUCGGAAUAUGACCUUGGCGAUUAGGUUGGCAUGAACUUGGUAAUUAUUUUUAUGUUGCAAAUUUAGUGGUUGACCAUAAAUGGCAUAGGUUGUUCUGUUGAGAUAGAUCUGUGAGAAUUCCUCCAGGUGCAUAGGAUGCGGUAUUUUUUGAUAUUUUACUCAAUUUUAGGUGCUGUACCGAUAGCAAUUGAUAUUUAUCAGGUGAUUGCUUUGCUGUGACACCCAUAUGAUGUUCCAUUGGCAAGAGAAUUGAUAAAGAUGGUAAAGUACUUCAAAUUUUCUUAUGAGAGAAAGUAUUAAUACUUUGAAUUUGCAUGAAUGAAGCAUGUUCCCUCAUUAUGUUGUUGAAAUUCAACAGUCCCAUUUACUACUAACCAAUAGCUAGAGGAUUUAUCUGGUUUAUGGUGGCAUAGUGCUAGUAUCUACAGUUUUAGCAUAUUUUCUGUUCAUUAAAGUAGUUUCUUUGUGCAUUUCCUGUGCAGCCCACGCUGAGAGCCUUCUGAGUAAGAAUUACGGGGCUUGCAGUCAAGUUGGUGGUAUGCCAGUGGUGGUUCUUUACAAAGUGCACUUCCAAGUAUCAAAGUGAACGAUAAACAGUGUCCUUUUGGAGAUCCUAUUGCUCUCUUCGAAUUUUAAAUAUCAUGGAUUAGGCUAUGCUUUAGAAAUGCUUUGUACGUUUUUGUUGGAGUUGGGCUUUAUGAACAUCAAGUGCAAGAUGGUUGUUGGUUGUUGGUUGCUGGUCACUCUUUUAAGUCCUACGUUCGACCUUAAUGCAUGGCUCUUAACUUUAUAUGUGUCUGGUUUUUCUUUAUUGUCGGUUUAAUGUGUAUUCCCGGGCUUAGACACCAGAUAAAUGUGUGGGGUUACCCAGUGCUUGGGGUCGGUCCCAGUUCUGUAUUAACCGCGGUUGAUCUGCAAUGAGCUACUCUGUCUCUUCCUUGUUAUCGUCUGAACAUAGUCGCGUUGAAACUAAGCCGGUUCUUGCUAUUUGAUGGUCAUCUCCAUGCACAGGAACAGAUGAUCAACAUUGAUUUUGAAUGCUUGAGGGUCAGUGGACAUAUAAACACUGAAUCAUUUGAAGCUGGGUGGUCUGGGAGGACUUGGAUGGAUCAUUUGAACUUAAAUUGUUUGGUCAAAAUAUAGCACCGACAUCCUUGGUGUAAGAGACCUGUUUUGGCGCCCCAGGUUCUCGCGAUUGUUGUCAUCUCAUCGAUGGGUAUGGAAGAAGGAGGAAGAGAGGGAGAGGCGGGGCGGCUAUGGAGAUCGGAACGCAGCUAUGGAGAUCGGAACGCGGUGGAGGUCGAUAUCAGUCGUGUCGUUGCGUUAAGGAGCUAUCUAGAUGAGCUAGGCCCUCUUUAACCCUGCCCAGCACAUAGCCUAAGUAGGGCCGAACUCAAUCCCAUCCGAAGAACUACAUUCGAGUGCACUGAAUUAAGCCACUGCGACGACCAUCACUCUACGAUGUGCCUCUGCUGCCGAAUCUCAUCCAUAUGUCUAGAGAAACACCUAUCCUAUUUCUUGAAUUUUGCUAUCUGCUAGAUACAACGUGACUUAUAAAUUAGCAUCAGUGUCAUUUUUUAAUAUUUGUUCUAUUGUCGAAUAAGACGUUUGGAUUGGUGUGAGAAGAUGAAAAGAAAAAGGCCCAGAGUAACUUUCAGUUUUGUAGAAGUAAAAUGGUAGGUACUGCUAAAUUGCAUUUCAAUGUUUGUACUGCACUUUCCAUGUAAAUGAGAAACAUUUCUUCGCCUUACAAAUAAAAUGAACUUGCCAAGUUGCACGGACAAACUCGGGUGACCUUCUUCCCAAAGUUCUCUUAAUAAGAAAUUGGAAGAGAUGAAACUAACUCAUGAAUCUCAUGUUUACUGAAUGAGAAGUCAAACAACCUUUUAUUCAAAAGAAAGGUCGACAUGCCAAAUUGAAUGACUUGAGCUUAUGAGGACACUCAAAAUUUGGAUGAAUUACGCUGACAUGUCGAAGUAACUGAAAUACAAAGACAAGAAGUCAGCCGUGACACUAAAGGCAAAUAGGUGAACUCAAAUGCCCAUAACGGUGAAACUACUCGCAAAUGUAGGAUGAAACCAAUGUAAUGGAGAUCACGUCCGAGCUUGGACACCUAAUUUUCUCUUCCUCUGGGAAGCCUUAUUUUCAUGAGGAUUUUCUGUCAAUGACCUAAAUCUGAAGGAAAAGGAGUUCAAUAGUAUCUCAGCCUGGAGGUCUCCACUGAUUUAAUUAAGGCAAUUGGCCGUUCUUAGCCAGCAGUUUGAAUUUUAGACCUUCAAUGCUUGCUUCUCAGCAGCAAGAAAUUCACCCUUAAGGGGGGGGGGGGGGGGGCUCCCACAAAAUUGUAGUUUCAGCAAGUAAUGAGGUCACAACGUAUGGGUUCUUGUUUGAGGCAGGACACCUAUCUUCCAAGUAACCUGUAUAUCAUUUUAAGCCAUUAACUAACUGAGCAAGGAAGGUGAACUUUGUACGUUUUAUCGAUAUUCAGAAAUAGUGAAGCAUUUCAGAAAGUCUUUGAUGCACUAAAAGAACCAAGAUGUCCAAAGUUCUUACUUCAGCUUAGGAAGCAAGACUGUGGGAAUGCUUUAUGAUUGUUAAAAAGUCAAAAUUCCUUGUGCAUAGUUCCAAUCAUGGAAUCGAUUGAGACCAGAAAGGAUAAAGAAUACUUAUAUGUAUUAUUUUUUCGUGGUAGUGUUUCUGGAAUCAUUUGAUAAAGUUGAGCACCUCCAAAUGAUUUUCAGAUAGAGCACAGAAGGGAACCGGUAUGGUCAUUGUUAUGGUACCUUUUCCUUGCUUCUCAUUGUCACGGCCCACACAGAUUAAGCAACCACAAUUGGCAACUCCCUGCAUAACAAUACAAGUAAUUCAGGCAUCACAAUGAAAUAUGAGUUCAUUAGCAGGGCAUUGUUCAUUAGCAGGGCAUUCUUUAAAUUUGACUAGUAGUUGGUAUGCUUCUUCUGAGCAUUAUCGAAGACAAUGUGUCAGUGUUGACUAUUUCAUGCUUUCCCAUCAAUCUUCUCCAUAGGCGCUAAUGUGCUCCUCAUGGCGAAGUGAGAGAUUCAGAAAUGCCUUCUUUAUCGCUUCAAAGCCUCCCUCUUCUCUCAUGCUUUUUGUAUUGUAGAAAAGUUGAAGAACACACUCUUAAAGGUCCUUCAUUGAACAAAAAUUCUUAACCAAGUCCAUGUUAUUUCUAUGGUGUGAACCUGUUAGUUGGUAUGGCAUCCUGCACCAUUCCAAUCACCCUGAGAAGGAAGAGAAUGCUUUUAUCAACUUUGGGGUAUAAUAAUGCGUAAACGGUGAUAGGGAAGUCAGCUACCUCUAUUGGCUUUGGAUCUUACAUGAGGACAACACAAGCUUGCUCAGUUAUUCUCUGUUGUAUAUAAAAGAUAAACAAUCAAGUAUUUAAAUACCUUAGAACAUGUCUGUAUGCACUUAUUUUGUUUGCUGUUAAUGGAAUUUCGUUAUUUUCUUGAGCAAGUAAUUGAAAUUUCACCUAAAGAAGGUAUCUUGAACACCAGAGAUGAUCUCCUGCUUCAAUUCCCAUGCUUCGUCUGACUUGGUGUUCUCACUGCAAGAUAGAAGCCAGUGUUGAUAGCAACAGCCUCGGUGGUUUUCUAUUUUCCUUUUUGAAAUAACAAGCAAGCUGGAGGUCAGGUAUUACUUGGCCCAGAUCACCACUCCAUUGGUGCUAUUAAUGUUCAUACCGGCAUAUAAGCAAGCCUUGUAGCGAGCAUCGGAUAUAUCUCAGUCGGAUGACUUAUCAGCCCCAACACCACAAUAAUAAGGCCCCUAAAUGAAGACAAAACCUCGCAUCACAAUACAAUUUUUUUCUCAUCAACUCAAAGCCAAUUAUCUAUCAAUAUACAGGGAAAUUCGUUGGGAAAAAAAUUCUCACCUGGGAACCUCGAUAUCCUCUGAUAGGCCAACCGAAUGGCUAUUGAACAUUUAUCUGCAAUACGGUGUUUUCUUGCUCAAUCCAAUACAUAAUGUGAACAUUUAGCCCAAAAGUAUGAACUUGUCUAUUCCAAAACUUUCUAAUUCACGAUAUAUAUAAACUCAUGUUUUUGGAUCUCCCACCAUGAAAUGUCAUUGAUAACCUUUGGGUUACUGAAUUUCAGCAACCCUGGUGUGCUUGGUCGCUGGGAUCGGCUUACCAGCAGGUGUAUAUGAAUUGGAAAUAACUCGAAGACAAACAAUAAUACUCCGUAAACCAAUUGAAACACCCUUCCUCAUUUCAUCAACCUGUUUAGAUGAUCUAACUGGUGGUCAGUGAGUUCUUUGUGAUCCUCAUUUGGCAUUGUGUCCUCAGUGCCAAAAUUCACACCAUUUCUGUCUAGCCUGAAAAAUAAAGCAGUGUAAGAAAUAGACAUAUCUACUGAAACAAAAGCCCUAUGAGGUUAAUCUCAUGUUAGAUAGUUCAAACAACGAGCUCUGUCCGUAUGACUUGGCCUUUUGGUAUGCAUGAGAGUUUAGUUUUGAAAAGAUAAAAAGAAUAGACUGAGGCUGCGUUUGGAUUCGACUUUUCAAAGCUACUUUGGGCUUCCAAAGCCCUUUGGGCUAAAAACAGGCGUUUGGGAAAAAAAUUUCUAAAGAUCCUUAGCUGAAAGUUUGCAUUUUGAAGGCUGAAAGCCCAAGGCAGGGGGAGACCUGCCUUGGGCUUUCGGCAUUUUCGGCAUGCCACGCCCGCACUGUUCACACUUUUUUUUUUCCAAAAUUAUCCUCACGAAUUUUUGGAUUUUCCGGAUGCGUGCCCUUGUCGACACUGUUCAUCUUCUCCGGGCGUAAAGAGACGCCGCGACCUACGUGAUCUUCGUCGGAGCUUCGGGCGACCUCCGCAAGUCGCAGCUCUGGUGGCCAAAAGGCACGCGGUCACCGGCGACCGUCGCCUGCCGCACCGCGACCUCCGCACGAAGCUCACCGGGGCCGCGCGACCCACCUAGUUGCAGGUCUGGUCGCGACCAGAUCUGGUGCCGGAGGCUCGAGCGGCGACCAGAUCUGGGUCGCGCCUCGCCGCCCACGGAUCUGGGUCGCGGUGGCGCCGUGCGACUUCCCGCGACCUCGCCGCCCCAGAUCCGGGGGCGGCGAGGCGCGACCCAGAUCUGGUCGGCGGCGAGGUCCUCCCCAGAUCUGGUCGCGACCAGACCUGCAACUAGGUGGGUCGCGCGGCCGCGGUGAGCUUCGUCCGCCCCAGAUCCGGGGUCGCCUGAGGUCGAGGCGGCGUCGCGCGACCUCGCCGCCCCAGAUCCGGGGUCGCCGGAGGUCGCGACGGCGUCGCGCGACCUCACCGCCUCAUAUUCGAGGUCGCCGGAGGUAGUCGGAAGUCGCCGGAGGUCGCCGGAGGUCGCCGGCGGUCGCUGCCCUUGCCGGUCAAUUUUUUUUAAUUUUUCUUUUGUCAAUUUUUUUUUUAUCACAAAGAUCUUUGUAAAUGCAAUUCCCCAAACAUUAUUUUGUUCAAAGUACUUCACAAAGGGGCUUUCAAAGUACAAUUUACCAAACACGAUUGCAUUUUAAAAAAACACCUUUAACUCUAAGGUUUUUGCAUUUUCCCAAGGACUUUCCCCAAAAGUAGUUCCCAAACUCACCCUGAGUACUUCAAAGAAAGGGGUCUCCUUAGCAAGUGCCGUCGUCGAAAAGUUGAAAACCGCUUUUUGAAGACUAGUUUCAAGAAGGAUGGCUUACAUUUUGAAGCAUAAAUAGUGAGUCUUAUCGAUUUCCCUAAGGACACUACCACAAAUUUCCUUUAAAAGAUAAACUAAAAAUAGUGACAUAACUAUGCUUCGCAUUUCGGAACCAUUUCAAGGUUAUUCUCAAGCCUCGUUCCCAAAAGUGAGCUCGCGAACAAGCAAAAAACCGAGGGCAGUUACAGAGUUGAAGGAAGUAGACUGCAGAGUGCCACGGUUUAAGAGAAUAAUGAAAUUCCACCCCAGCAAGGAUCAAUCAUCAAACAUGUUAUUCUGAUAUUUCCUUAGAUCUAAUGGAUGAUCAACUCGUGAAUAUUGACAGUGCACCUAAUUCUUUCCUCUUGCAAUCAAAAGGCAAUCACAUUGAAGUACUUUCUUCUCUCACAAACUUCGCACAAUCACAAAUUGCCCUCGCCAACGGCUUUGGCGAAAAUAUCCAUCAGAUAUCACCAUGGCAAAGCAAGACCACCAAGCACAACAAUCAUCAGUAUGGCCGAUUGAAGUCACAGAACAAGAAAAAUCUAAGAUGAGAGUGGAUACAAGAGAAACCAAUUCCACACGAGGUCCACAACAUAAGACUUCACACAGCACACAUUUCUUCUGCCUCGCACAGCACACAUUUCUUUCAUAGACAUUGUGACAAGAGACGAAGAACAUAUCAAUUGUCAACCAAACAAAAUGUGCAGGACAACCUUGCUGAGAUCAAAAUGGAGAAGUCACAAAGUUCGACCUCUUUCAAUUUCAAAACAUUUACUCGAUUGCUUCAGGCGGUGCUCAAGAUUGGCAAAAGGAUUUUACCUGAGAACCCCUGCAGAAUGGCCGAACAGCAAAUCGAGAGCGUCAAUUGUGGUCAAAUGCUAAAGAUCAGCUUUGCAAUCCUCCCCUCGAGCAGAAAUAUAUACUUGGGAAAUCAAUCGCUGGAUGAGACGAAGUAUGAAUUUUUCCUCAUUUUUUCUCGCCACUCUUCGGAAUGAAGCGAUGCGCCCAAACCUUUCAGCGAUUUGUUUCAUGUCCCUCCCCAAAUCAAAUUGAGUAUGGAGACACGAUAUCUGAAAAUUAAAAAUGCAAAAAUCUGGGAAACAAGGUCCCACAUACCUUCAGUGAAGAAAAUUAGGGCUAGAUCUACCAUUCAAAUGAUAUGUGCGGGAUAUGAGCGAUCUUGUCCCAGUCCUCGCCUGCUUGUCUUUUGCAACUCUCCUCCAAUUCUCCGCAAUCUGCGAUUUGUAGGUGAGUAAGGAAUGUGAGCCUUCGCAUUGCUUUAGGGAAUGAUUUCAACGAGGAGCACCGCUCGAUGUCGAGAUUUUGAAGUGAUUGAAGGGCCUCGAUUUGCUCUGGUAUAUCCUUCAAAUUGCGGCAUUUCCAAAUAAGGAGACGCUCGAGAUUGCGGGCCUGUAGAAGCCAGUGUGGGAGAGAUGUCGGUUUGGGAAGGAGCUUUAUUCUCACGGAGCGGAGACUCGGAAGGCCUCCAUGGAAAUCCAAGAUGUUGCCGCUUUCGUCUUUGGAUAUAUCCAGCGCCUCACAAUCCUUGAAACGGAGAUCCACGAGGCUCGAUAGAUGUCGCAUACCUUGCGAGAGGGAAGUCAACUGAUGACAACCACCGAUGCUAAGAGAUUCAAGGGAAGUGAGACUUUGGAAGCCCUCCUCAGGCAAACAUUCUAAAAACUUUAUAUCGUAGAUAUUCAAUCUCUUCAACUUAUUAAGGCCAAGCAUCAUCUGAUUUAUCAACGCCGCUCCGUUGGCACGUGUCAGAUCUAACUCCUCGAGAUGAGGAGUUAGUGGCAUGGCUUUUAAUUUUUCACAGUACUCGAUCUUCAAUCGCAAUAGACUAGGAAAUGAUGCUGGUGAAGGGGAUGAUUGGUCCGACUCAAUAUAUUCCAAUUCAGGCAUAUAAAAGAAAUCCAAAGACUUGAGGCAAGGUAGUUGGUCCAGUGGGGGGAGACGUUCACAUCUUUUGCAAGCACGGAACGAUACGACAACUAAAUGUGGCAAAAAAGAUACAAGACUAUCCAUCAUCCACUUGGGAAAGCUCUCACCGUUAUAUCCCCAGAUCUUCAACCUUUGCAGAUUUGACGGCAGCUUCAGUCUAUCAAACAACACUUCAUCUUUUACUACAUCAUCAGUAUUGAAAUCUUCCCAACUAAGUACCAAAGAUUCUAGAGAAUGCUUCCCCAUCAAUAUCUCAUCCUCGCAUUUGACUUCCACAUUUGUUACGUAUCCCAAAUUUUUAAUUAUAAGUUGUCCCCGGAUGUUAUUAAGCCCCUUUAGCUCCCCAAGUCCGCAAUAAUUCUUAGCACGAGCUUUAUCUUUGGGCAAAAUGAAGUUCGUUAGCCUAUGCAAAGAACUCAAUUCCCCUAUUCCACGUGGCAAAUAACUAAGUUUCGGACAACCAUCUAUGUCCAGAUUCCGAAGGCUAACUAACUUCUUUAUAUCACUUGGCAACUCUUCGAGGGCAUAACAGUGGUAGAGAUUAAGUAUUUGCAAGCUUUGCAAUCUCGUAAUGGAGUUAGGAAGCCUUCUGAGUGUUUUGCUGUAAGAGAGAUCGAGAUAUGUGAGAUACUUCAACUNNNNNNNNNNNNNNNNNNNNNNNNNNNNNNNNNNNNNNNNNNNNNNNNNNNNNNNNNNNNNNNNNNNNNNNNNNNNNNNNNNNNNNNNNNNNNNNNNNNNNNNNNNNNNNNNNNNNNNNNNNNNNNNNNNNNNNNNNNNNNNNNNNNNNNNNNNNNNNNNNNNNNNNNNNNNNNNNNNNNNNNNNNNNNNNNNNNNNNNNNNNNNNNNNNNNNNNNNNNNNNNNNNNNNNNNNNNNNNNNNNNNNNNNNNNNNNNNNNNNNNNNNNNNNNNNNNNNNNNNNNNNNNNNNNNNNNNNNNNNNNNNNNNNNNNNNNNNNNNNNNNNNNNNNNNNNNNNNNNNNNNNNNNNNNNNNNNNNNNNNNNNNNNNNNNNNNNNNNNNNNNNNNNNNNNNNNNNNNNNNNNNNNNNNNNNNNNNNNNNNNNNNNNNNNNNNNNNNNNNNNNNNNNNNNNNNNNNNNNNNNNNNNNNNNNNNNNNNNNNNNNNNNNNNNNNNNNNNNNNNNNNNNNNNNNNNNNNNNNNNNNNNNNNNNNNNNNNNNNNNNNNNNNNNNNNNNNNNNNNNNNNNNNNNNNNNNNNNNNNNNNNNNNNNNNNNNNNNNNNNNNNNNNNNNNNNNNNNNNNNNNNNNNNNNNNNNNNNNNNNNNNNNNNNNNNNNNNNNNNNNNNNNNNNNNNNNNNNNNNNNNNNNNNNNNNNNNNNNNNNNNNNNNNNNNNNNNNNNNNNNNNNNNNNNNNNNNNNNNNNNNNNNNNNNNNNNNNNNNNNNNNNNNNNNNNNNNNNNNNNNNNNNNNNNNNNNNNNNNNNNNNNNNNNNNNNNNNNNNNNNNNNNNNNNNNNNNNNNNNNNNNNNNNNNNNNNNNNNNNNNNNNNNNNNNNNNNNNNNNNNNNNNNNNNNNNNNNNNNNNNNNNNNNNNNNNNNNNNNNNNNNNNNNNNNNNNNNNNNNNNNNNNNNNNNNNNNNNNNNNNNNNNNNNNNNNNNNNNNNNNNNNNNNNNNNNNNNNNNNNNNNNNNNNNNNNNNNNNNNNNNNNNNNUAGUUUGGUGGUUCUUUCUUCUCCACACAAACUAUGAUAUCUUUCACUAUUUUUAUCAUGUCAAAGUCAUUAGAGACACAAACCCACAUUUUCAAGUCAAAAUGUUUACUGAUCAUCUCAUCAUUAUACACAAUUUUAGCAAGAGCUGUUUUUCCAAGCCCACCGAUACCAACUAUUGGAAGGAUAGAAACGUUCUCUUUCACUUCCAUAUCCAGUAAGAAUUUCAUGACAUUCUUUUUAUCAUUAUCUCUUCCAAUAAUGUCUUCCUCACAUAUAAACGAAUGCGUCUCCUCUCUCUUCCUCCGCCCUCUCUCUGCUUGCGAAUUCAUAGGUCCCUUGUCCAAGAGGAAGUUCUUUUCAGCCUCAAUAGCUUUCAAUCUCUCCCUCACUUCUCUUAUUUUUCUACUCAUCUUCAGUUCAAAAGCAAGCUGGUUUGAACUUGAGAAAAAUGUUCUUACCACCUUGAUCAUUUGAUUGUCGCCCCUCAGUUCUCGUCGCAUAGCUUCUAUAUUAAAUUCUUCAAGCACAUCCUGCAAGUCAUAGAAAGCCUCUUUUAGUUUCUCCACCCAAUCUUUGAUUUGGGAACUCUGGUGUUGUUGCUCUUCUGCAUCGUCCAGCACAGAAUGAAGCAUGGUGACGGUGCUCUCGAGCACCUGAAGUUCACGCUUGACGCCUCCUAAAUUUCCAACCUUCUCCAGUGCUUGAAUAAUCAGAUUGGCAAGGAUCCUUCCACCAAUGCUGGUGACAGCUUCUGCCAUAUUUGUUCUCUUUCUCUAUGGGGUUGAGAAGAUUUUAGUCCUGUCGUUCCAAGGCUAGAGUCUUCUUAGAUGAUGUAUAAAAAGUCUGUCCUUGAGAUUAAAUAAGUGUACAAUAAUAGUAGAUAAUAGAAAAUAUUUAACUGACAAACAGUAAUUCCAAAGCAUCCUAUGUCAUAUAAGAUUCCAUCCCAUCUAAUAAGUAAGGCGAGUUCUUAUUCAUACAUUCUUCUAGAAACAUCAUGUUAGAUUAUAUUAGAUUGAUAAAGUUUUUUUUUCUACCAUACUGUUAAGUAAUAUGUCUAAUUAACAUUAAGGAAAUUGGGAGGUAAUUGAGUGAUGAUGUGGUUUGACCGUUAAGCUCCAUUCUGCUGGACUUUCUUCUUAGUUUGGUUUUAAUAUAUGAUGCGUAAUAAAUUAAAUUGGAACAAGGUAAUCACAAUGAUCGGAGGCUUUUUAAAAAAUAAAAACAACUUUGUGUUUUCUUGUGUAAAAUUCAAAAUGUUAUUUAAAUAUAAUAAGUUAUGAUUCAAAUUACAUAUUAAUGCUUACGUGUUGUGAAAAUUUAAUAUGUUUAAAGACAAGAUAAUGUAAAAUGUAGACUGAGACAACAUUAGAAUAAACAAAAAUAAAAUGUAAAAAUCUAUCAAGACAAGCCAUUAGCUUAGUUGGUGAUGUUCUUGAAAUCCGCUAGAGGUGGUGGACAAUGUCAUUGUCCUUUGUACUUGUCAACUUUUCUUUUUUCCUUACUUUUUCUCUUUUGGGCGAACAGAAAGUGUAAGGUAACAUGAUGUUGAAGCAAAGCCAUAAUUUUUCACUUCAUUGGCCGACAAAUGAGAAUCAAAAUCCACUUACGAGGGCUACAGCAUCUGCUCAAGCCCGGAAACCAUCUCAUUGCAGCUUAGAAAGUUAUCAUAGCUGUCUCGACAAGGGCAACAGCAUAGGGAAUGCCCCGAUGGAUGCCCACUCUCUAGUGUUCAGUGGACAAGAUCAGCUUAUGCUCGGUGAUAAAAUGUUGUACUUUGCAAGACCGUACGUGUCAGAUAACAAGACAAANNNNNNNNNNNNNNNNNNNNNNNNNNNNNNNNNNNNNNNNNNNNNNNNNNNNNNNNNNNNNNNNNNNNNNNNNNNNNNNNNNNNNNNNNNNNNNNNNNNNNNNNNNNNNNNNNNNNNNNNNNNNNNNNNNNNNNNNNNNNNNNNNNNNNNNNNNNNNNNNNNNNNNNNNNNNNNNNNNNNNNNNNNNNNNNNNNNNNNNNNNNNNNNNNNNNNNNNNNNNNNNAUGAUACUAAAUAUUUCACGAAACAUUUGGCAAGAUGCUGAGAUCUUUAAUAAGGAUAGCAGUGUUGCACGUUCUUAUUCACUUAUAAUCACAAUUAGUUGUUGUAUUUGGUCACUUCCCUUCCAUGUUAGUUGCAUGUUCAUAAUUUCUAUGGAUGCCGAUUCAAUUAUAUUUAAUUCCAUUUCUUUCUAACCGCCCCUUGCUCUGCCAGGAUUUUCAAAAGAAAUCAUGUGACUCUUAGUAUGUACGUAGCGAGUAAUUUUUCAUGUGACCAGUAACUUUUUACAAGAUAUUCGACUUCCAAUAUAUAAAUAAAUACUCACCUAUUUACAUUAUUAAUAAUUUUUUACAUAAAAGGUAACCUAUCUACAUUGAUUCUUAUCGUCCCAUGUAUUUUUUUUUUAAAAGGACAAGUUUGAAAAAAAAUUGAUGCUUUUUGCAACGUAACAGUAAAUCUUAAUUUGUAAGACCAAAAAUUUACAUGAAGUUUGUAACCUAUUCAUGGGAUGAGUAAGUUUUGCUUUAAAAAAGUAAUUACCACCGACCCUGUUUAAUAAAAGAAAAUAUAGGAAUUGACAAACAAUAUGUAAGCCGCCCACGGUCUAGAAAGUGAAAAUUAAAGUUUUUUUUUUCUCAGCAGCUGUAAAUGAAAAUUUCUCCCAAGGGGGCUAAAGAACAAAUGAGCCCGGCUUUUUUCUGAUGAUGCCCAUUUUCCUAGUUUCAUCACAUGCUUUCCUUAGAAAACAGUGCACGUUCACCUGCUUAGAAAACAGUGCAUGUCCACAUGCUUUCCUUAGAAAACAGUGCACGUUCACAUGCUUUCCUUUUAAUACAGUGCCGGUUCUCAUGCAUGCCCCAGUUGUUUUGUAGUAAACACUAGAGUAUUAAGAUUAAUAGAACUUGGAUCUUGAGAAGACGAAAAAUUAUCAUAGCUGCGGGGGCAACUUAAAAUCUAACUUCACGUGGUAAAAAAAAAUUAUGUUAAUGAAUUUCCGCUUUUGUCCGAAUAAAAAACUGAAGAAAAGAUUAUGAAGUAUAAAGUGUGAAUGAAGUAGUAUGAAACCUUUGUGUGCAAAAAAGAAAUUGCAGAUUGGUAUAGAAGUACAAUGUGCGGUGGGAUAACAAAAAAGCAAGCUGAUGAGGAUGCUUUUCGACUUUAGAUUUUAAUAUGCGGAAUGGUAGAACAGCUCUUAAAGUUGGCUAUUCUUCUCUUGUGAAUUCCAUUUAGAAUUGGAAAUUGGGACAUGUUACAUCUUCUUAUAUGCCCAAUUUGAAGAAGGCUAAAUAUCCUAAAUAUGUAAAUCUUUACACCAUAUAAGUCAUAUUUUUAAAUCCAAAUAAAAGACAUCGAUAGUUUCCCUAAGCAUUCUUUGUUUCAUCAAUCUAUUCAUUUUCAGAAAAGCUCUCUGGUUAGUCGCUAUAAGAAAGAACGAACCUGGCUAAUAGUGGGCUAAUCGACGACCGACCAACAAAGGUGAGGACCCAACCGACCAGAUCAAGAGAGGAGGACAACAAAUAGUGUCGGCAAGAUCAAGAGAGAGAUGAGAUGAGACGAGACGGCAUGGGCAAAGACUCUAGGAAUAGAGAGAUCAAGGGCACUGUUUGGGAAAGUCGAGAGACGAAGAGUCUAAGAGAGAGGCUAGCUAUGAAAGUGAGAACUAAAAGAGAGUAGCGAGGGUCUUUAAAUAGAAAAGAUUUAGCAUUGUUUUGAACUGUUCCAAACCAGUUCUUCCAAAGGCUGGUUCCCAAGAUUUUUACAUGAGAGCUAAUCGAAAGUUGUUGAGGUCAGUGAAUCUGAAAUGUUGCAGCACGUGGCAGAGCGUGACGUGCAGCAGCGAACAGGGUUGAAAUUUCAAGGCCUAUCACUUGGGAGGACGGUGAGUUUGAUGAGUUUGAUGAUGGCGUCGAUUUUGCGAGAAAAACAAUAUAAAGGGGGGGGGGGGGGGGGACAUCCAAUAGCGACGGGUUUGACCAAUACAUGAGACUUAAUGGUGCUUCAUCUAUUAAUAAUGGCUCUUGUACCAUGAUAAGAAUAAAAUGAAGAGAGAAAAUGGGGAAUAACUGUAUAUUUUUAUGUAUUGAUAAACAAUACGUGAGACUUUAUUAGAUAACUAUUUAAAGUAAUAAGAUAAAUAUAAUGCCACAUAUAAUUAAAUAAGGAUAUGCAUUAUUGAAGGAGAUAUAUGUAUAAUCCUGAAAAAUAUGCAAAAUCAAGUAAAUAUCCAAAUAUCAUUAACAAUUAGAAUGGAGAUUUUACAUACUAUAUACUAAAAAUCAAAUGUUAAUUUGUUAAGGGCGGAUCUAUUUCCACCCCCUAAAUAACUUUAUCCAACCCCAUUUAUACUAAAAAGACAACAUUAUUCUUAAUCUUUCAGUUGCAGUUUAUAUUGAUGGCCCCUUUCCUUUUCUAUUUAGGAUAAUUACGAUAAUUAAACAUUUCAAAUGUUUUGUUUUGCUUUUUAGUGUAUUAAAGCAAAGUGCAUUAUCAAAUAUUCUCAUAACGUUUUAUAUACUCCCUAUCAAAUUAUCUCGCUAAUAGUAAAUACAUUUUUUGAUAUCGUAUAAAAUUGAAAAGUCUCUUCUUCAUCAUUGAUCUUAUAAUAAUUUAUCAAUUUUUUGUCCCUCUUAUCUCAAAAACUCACUUCCUAGGUGGACUUUUUUAUUAAUUUCAUUAGUCUAAAAUAUUUAUCAAGUCCCUUUAUUUACUAUAUCAAGGAAUUUAUCUUGUUUCCUUAUUAUAUUGGCGAGAUAAUUUUAUAGAAAGCAUGUAAGAAUAUACUAAAAAUAUUGUGUGCAAUGAGGUAUCUUGAUAUUUUUACAUAAACAGUUCAUAGAUGAUUUUGAUUUUUCUCAAUCCAAAGUUCUUACUUUAUGUGAUGUUUUGGUUUGAUGAAAUUUUAUCUACUUAACAAUUUAUCCAUAAAUUUGAUCAACUAUGUAGAAAAAAAAUAGAUUUCUUGGAAAUUUCUCUUUUCGACUAAACAAAUCUUUAUGGAAGUAAUAUCUAACUGUAAAAAAGCACAGUGCCUUUAAUUUACCUAGAAAAUCUGCAAUAAACAAAAAAGUAAAUGUAUGAAAUUCUUAAUUUCAGUAUAGAUUUUACAUGGAUAUAGAAAUACUAAAAAAAUGGAAAAAAAAUUAAUUUGGGACAAUCAAUUUAAAUUGCAAUUGAAUGAUCGAAGGUAGUUUUGCCUUUUCGGUGAAAGAUGGAUGGAGUUAGUCAUAUAGGGUUGGAAAAAGCGCCCCCUUUGUUAAUUGUCCCUCAUUAAUGGCCAAUCACCUCAUUUUAAAGACAACUUAACAUCGGCACCAUACCUUAAUUAUUUUAUAGAAACUCUCUUAAGGCGAUAUGGUUGUACAAUAACAAUAGAAAAAUUGAAACUACCUAAAUGACAUACAUUGAUAGCAAAACCUCCCUUCAUCAAUGCUCAAAACUAUUUCAUCACUUGCUUUCCUCGGAAAACACUGCAGGUCACAUGCAUGCCAAAUUGUUUAGUAGUAACAUCGUAUUCAAAUUAGUAGGAUCUUGAGAAGAUAUAAAAUUAUUAUAGCUCUCUGGGCAACUUCAACAUCUAACUUCUCUUGGUAAAAAAACUCAUGUUCAUGAAUCUCCGCUUUUGCCCUAAAACAAAAAGAUGAAAAAGAUUAUGGAAUACCAUAUCUAGUAUGAAAUCUUUUAUGUGCAGCGAAAAAAAAAAUUAAAUUUUCUUACUGAAGUACCAAUGUGUGGUGGGCACAUAAAACCAAGCUGAUGGGGAUGUUUUAUAACUUCAAAAUUUUAAAAAAAGAAAUGGUAAAACAGCUCUUGAAGUUGGCUUUUUGCGAAUACUUUAAAAAACUGUAUUGUUUUCUCGUGUGAAUACUUUAAUAUCUAUCUAGAUUAUCUAAAGUACCCUUUAACAUCUAUUUUGAUUAUCGACACGUCCGUAUGUGAUGCUAGAAAGACUAGUAGGCAUCGUCUUUCAUAGAGGAUGUGGUAGGAGAAGUAACUCUUCUUGACAACUCUUCUGGAAAGAUGUAAUUUUUGUUUGGGAAAAUGUCAUAAAUGGUCCCUAUACUAUUACUUAAUGUGCAAUUUGGUCCCUAAACUUUCGAUCGGCUCAAUUUGAUCCCUAAACUAUUGAUAAAUGUCUGAUUUGGUCCAUGAACUUUCGAUCGGCUUAAUUUGAUCCCUGAACUAUUGAUAAAUAUCCGAUUUGGUCCCUGAACUUUUGAUUGGCUCAAUUUGAUCCUUGAACUAUUGAUAAAUAUCCGAUUUGGUCCCUGAACUUUCGAUCGGCUCAAUUUGGUCCCUGAAUUAUUGAUAAAUGUCCGAUUUAGUCAUUCGUUAAUGUUUUUUUUUUCCUUUUUUUUUUGCUUCUUUUCUCUUCGGAGGGAAGCCAGCGUCCGGAGAGGCGAGCUAGCGGAGGGAAGAGAGAAGAAGCAAAAAAAAGAAAAAAAAUAUGGAGACAACUCUAGAUAUUGAAGGCCAAAUCACCUCAAUUGUCACUCAUUAAUGGCCCACCACCUCAUUUACAUAAAACUUAAUAUAAGCACCCACCUCAUUUAUUGUGAAAGAACUCCUUAAUGAUAAUAUAAGUGCACAAUAAUAGUAAAUGAUAAAUAAUAUUUGAAUGACAAAUACCAAUUACAAAACCUAUGUCUAUAUGCAUAUAUUGAAAAAAUAUGUAAAUUAACAUGUCUGAUUAAUGUUAAGGAAAGAAAGAAUGAAUGAAGUUUUGCAAUGAUACAGCUCAACCAUUAAGCUCUAUUCUAUCUUACUUUCUUAUUAUAUAUAUUAGCUUAGCAAUGGUCUCUUCAGCAAUGCUCCCGAGGACAGCUUUGGCCAUUUUUGUUCUCACUUUGGAUUAGAAGAUGAUUAGUCUUGUGGUUCCAAGUCCAUAGACUUCUUGGGACAUGUACAGCAAGUCUGUGUUGAAAAUAGCAUUUCUCAUCGGCCACGCAUAACAUAAGGUGAAGCUUAAGUCCAUAAUGCAUCUAGGACCCACCGACAUUGAUAUUUAUUUCACAGGUUGGUUUUAUCUGGCAGUUUCUGAGGCCCGGAAGCAAGGGAGAAUAGGACCAAGUUGUGAAAGCAAAUUGCCUCUCCAAGUACAAACACUUCAUUUUUUUUCCCAAGGUUUUAUUCUAUAUAUUAAUUUUUUUAAAUUAUGGAGGUCAUUGUUUAAUUUAUUGGGAUGGAUUUUGAGGUAUGACAAAGUUGGUAACAAAAAAAAACCUAGGGCAUAUUAGUUUGCUUUGAUCCAACACCGUGAGAUGUGUGAUGUGAUUAAUUAGUAACUUAUAUGUGUAGAUAUAUUGAUACGUACGAUAUACAUGUUAGGACAGAGAUUAUUUCCAUUAAAAUAGAAAGUUUUAUAUACAUGGAUAACACCAGAUUUGUUAACAUUCCAUUGCCAGCACUACACCAGCACUACGCCUCUCAAUUCAAAACUCUCCUUCGUAUCUUCACUUGACAUUAUUGGUAUUAUUUUACUAAAACCUUACUGUUUAAGGAAGUUCACUCUCCUUGCCAAUCUUUCAAAACUAUUUGCUUCCUAUGAAUAAAAUGCUUCUAGAUUAUUUCUUUCUUCCUUUAUUUUUUCAUAUUCUCUAAAUAAAUGAAUAAAAUUGCUUUAAAGAUCUCUCUUCCAUUACUAGACAAUAUGAAAACUUGCACAUUUAUGUAAUGUAAAAUGAUAUAUUUAGACAUUUUAUGCAUGCCACUCCUUUUUUAUAAAUUUCAAAAGGAUUCACAUGUAGGGCAAAACGACGUACACACGAUUUUUUCUAGCAUAUACAAUAUGUACAAAAUCUUUUACUAUCUCAGUAUCCUAUUGCAAUUAUUAGUUUAGGAUACUCUUUAGUUCAAAUUUAUAGCUUUUUCUUUAACAAUUACUAUAAGAUAAUUCAUGUUUCUUAUCUUUUGAGUCCGGCACUUAUUCCAAUACCCCUAAUAUAUUAUUCUUCCAUUCGAUGUACACAAUCAAAUCUUUGCCAAGUUUCCUUGUGGAUGUUUUCUAAUAGUGCUUGCAAGACCGUAAGAAUUCCUAGUUGGUCAUUAAUGACAAGUUAGUGACAUCGGACCAAGUAGACCUCGUGUGACAAUAAAAUUUGUUGAAGUGGUAUGGAUUAUUGUGACAUGGCUAGAAUGUGCAAAGCAUCUUUUAAAAUCCUAGAAAAAUUCGGAGUGUUAAAACAAUCCAUGCCGCUUUCUUGCUUGAAUACUCUAAUACCUGCUUGAACUACGCGGGAUACCCUUAACAUACUUGUGGAGCAUCUUUUGUAGUGUAAACACGUUCAUCUCUGUGUAUGCGCCUAAACUAUGUGCGAAAGACCAGUAGCCAUUAUCAUUCAUGGAGGAUGUGAUAGGAGUAACUCUACAUAACCUUGUGCAGCAAUGAAAUUUGUAACUCUUCCAAAAAGAAUGUAACUUUUGUCUUCCCUUCCCGAGAAUAUGUUUCCCGACAAUCAUUUCGACAAGCAUUUCCUUUUUUUUUUCCAUUAUAGAAACAAGAAAUACUGUUUGUCCACUGGUGCUUUUCAAAGAAUUUCUCCAAAUUUUUUUUGUCUCGAAAGUGAAGCAAAAGACAAAAAGAGUAAUGGCAAAGAAACUCCAAUAAAUUCCAAGAAGACCACAAAUUUUGCGGACACAAAUUGAAGUUUGUUGCUUCGCUUUUCGCAUCCCUCCUCAUGAGAACGUCUCUUUUUCCAUCACUAGUAGAACUUCCAUGCAUUAUGUUUGGAUUAAUCUCUGUUGUUUUUUCUUUUUUCAAAAUUGUCUCAAUUCGAGGCAUUUGUUAAAAAAUUGCCACAUCGUAAUGAUUUUAUUGACACAAUUCGUUUACCCUGUGAAUUGGGUGAUGUGGAGAGAGUUUGUAUUGGCUUAGAUAAUCUUAGCAUCUAGUGUCUUUGUUGACGUGGCAACAUCUCAAGAUGCCAUAUUGGACACUUAUAUGGACAUUUAACAACUAUUUAACGGUGUUGGCAUCAUGUCAACAUUUUUCAUUUGGAACAUUAACGAAGUCCUCACAUUGACCUCAUGAAAAAUUCAGAUAAUUGAUUGAACGAGAAAACUUUAGGUACCUAAUUGCGAAAGGGCUAAUAAUACAAGUACUUGUAAUGCCAUUGUUCCAAAGAGUUUAUCACAAAAUCAUUGGUCUAGGCUCAAAUCUCAAACAUACUUUUGUUUACGGAAUAUUUUCUCCACAACUCAUCCUCUCGAUUCAUUUCUUGGUUUCCCUUUAAUAAUUUUCUUUUGUAAGAUUAUUCAUUCUUUCGCGUGAAAGAAAACAGGAAAUAAUUUUGUUAAUUUCACGUGCCAAAAGAUUUCAAUGGCUAAAUGUCAAGCACAUUGGAGGACUACAAAAUUUCUCAAUGUCGAUUUCCCUUAGAUUUUUUCCUAAUCAUUCGAUCAUAAAAAUUCAAGCUUUACACUUGAAAAUUUUUAGUGGAUUAUCAAACGUUUGAUUGAAAAUAAACUUUUUCUUAACACUUGAUUUUAGUUCGGUUGGAUAUCAUAUUAAUAGUAUUAUCAUCACAUGUAAUUGUAUGGGCACACUUAAUUUAAAACCUUACUAUGAUUUCUUUACCAAUUACAUCUAAUUUGCCUAAAUAAUAUUUUUUGUAGAUAAUUUGUUCCAACUUUUCCAGAGAUCAAUUGAUAUCAUCUGGAAUCCCCAGUCUGACCCGCAAGAGACAACAUUGAUACCACAGAAUAUAUUGCAGCCCAAUAUAAGCAGUUAACGACUACUUAAUAGCAUUGAUGUCAUAUAAACAUUUUCCGUUCACGAUUCAAUGGAGGUCUCGCAUUGACCUACAUCCGAAUUGUCGAGAUAAUUGAUUGAAUGAAAAAAAAAAAAACUCUAGAUACUUGAUUGCCAGUUCAUAGGUAAGAAAUUUCAUGCACCUAACGAUCUACUUUUAUUUUAGUCAAUUUGAAUAUUUUUAGAAGCCGUAGAUACAUAAUGAAAUUGAUGACGUUUCUUUUAUGAAGGGUUUGCUUCAACCACACGUAUGAAAAAUCGAAUAAGCGCCUCCUCUGAUUGUCUUUCUCUUUUCCUUAUUCAGCCAGAUCCCAAAUGCUUGAAACAAGGCGCCAUCAAAUCAUAUAUAUGUGCCAAGAGAUAUAUAUAUAUAUAUAUAUAUAUACAAGGCGAUUGUUAAUGAUAGUUGUAAAGUUAUACACAUAUUUCAAUAGUAUUGAAAUACUCCCUCAUCCAUUUAAUUUUGGUGCGCUUCACCACAUUAUGGUCAGUAUUGAAUAUAUAUAUUUUUCUCUUUUAAUAUUCAAUAACUUUGCGGAUUCCAUAAUUUUUUAUUUUGUGAAAAAAGAAAAACGGAAAAUUGAUAGUGCUUGCAAUUGAGGCCUCCAUGUACCAAAUUAGAUUAGUGCAUUUGUCAAUUUAAUUAAUUAAUUAAUUAAUUAAUUAAUUUAUGUAGGCACUCAUAUUUGGUUCAAGUAUACCAACUUAUGAGGUUGGAGUUGAAAACAAUCAACCAUAAAAACAGCUCAUUUUAUGCUAAUUCCUUAUUCUUAAUCAGAUGUGAUAUGGAAAUAUCGAAUAUGGACACUAGUAAAUUUCAUAUUUUAGAUUUCAUAAUUAAAGGACCUCACUAAUUGGCAUCAAAUUCAAAUGAACUUUGGAUUUCAUAAACAAGAUGUUUACUUACUUAUUAAUUUUUUUCAUUUUUUCUUUGAUAGAUUCCAAGAAGACCAAGACUUUUACAUGUUUGUAUGUUAGUGGGAAAAAAACUUCAAUAGAUAUCAAGAAGACCAAGACUUUGUAUGUCUUUCUUGCCAUUACCAAUAGAAUUUCUAGGCGCUACAAGUCUUGCUUAAAAUUAACAAAGCCAUAAUUUUCCUUCAAUUCUUUUUGGGUUUAAUCAUUUUGGGAUUUUUUCAUUCAUUAAUCUCUAUUGUAUCGCAAAGUGAUGAUGAGCAAAUGGAGAGAGAACCAUAAAGUCCGGGAAGAUCAAGACUUUCACCUACUAAAAAUAUCAUUUUCAGACAAGGACUUUCACCUACCAAAGAUGUCAUUUUCUUUUUCAAAGAAAAAGUGAAAGAGUGAUGGCGAGAGAGAAACUAAUAUAUUCUAGGAAGACCAAGACUCUGCAUGUCAUUUGAUUGUGCACGUCUUUUGAUGGUGGGAAAGAAACUUCAAUAGAUUCCAAGAAGACCAAGACUUUUGCACGUUUGUACGUUAGUGGGAAAGAAACUUCAAUAGAUGCCAAGAAGACCAAGACUUUGUAUGUCUUUCUUGCCAUUACCAGUAGAAUUUCUAGGCGCUACAAAGUCUUGCUUAAAAUUAACAAUGCCAUAAUUUUCCUCCAAUUCUUUUCGGGUUUAAUCAUUUUGGGAUUUUUUUCAUUUAUUAAUCUCUAUUGUAUCGCAAAGUGAUGAUAAGCAAACGGAGAGAGAACCAUAAAGUUCGGGAAGAUCGGACUUUCCACCUACUAAAAAAAUCAUUUUCAAACAAGGACUUUCACCUACCAAAGAUGUCAUUUUCUAUUUUUGUGGAAAGUGAAGCAAAAGUGAGAGAGUGAUGGCGGGAAAGAAACUAAUACAUUCCAAGAAGACCAAGAUUGUGCACGUCUUUUGAUGGUGGAAAGAAACUUCAAUAGAUUCCAAGAAGACCAAGACUUUUGCACGUUUGUAUGUUAGUGGGAAGGAAACUUCAAUAGAUGCCAAGAAGACCAAGACUUUGUAUGUCUUUCUUGCCAUUACCAAUAGAAUUUCUAGGCGCUACAAAGUCUUGCUUAAAAUUAACAAUACCAUAAUUUUCCUCCAAUUCUUUUCAUUUUGGGAUUUUUUCAUUCAUUAAUCUCUAUUGUAUCUUUUCAAAUUUGAGUUCAACAAAUGAAAAGAAAAAAGCAAAGAGAAAAAACAGACAAGAAGAAAGAGCAAAAAAGUUUAAAAAGGAAGUAAAGAAGGAAAGGGGCAAGAUAGAGCACCAUUGAAGCACAUCCACAGUGUGUUGUUGCCGUUAGCACCAUCACUUUGGUGACUAUUUCCAACUUUGCCACCUUAUAAGUUACAAUGACCUUCGUAGACAAUAUUUUUCUUGAGAUGUUUUCCUUAGACUGGUUCAGAAGUUGAGGAUAAUGGCAUCGAAAUUAUCAAAACUUUCGCUUGUUUUACAAUAGAGUACCUAAACUUUUCUUUUUUCAAUCAAGUAUCUCACUUUUUCAAAUUUGAUACAAUUUGAGGCAUUCGCUAAAUGAAUCAUCAUGUCAUAUGAUUUUGGUUACAUGAUUUGCUCACCUUGCAUAUUGAGUAAUGUGGAAAGAAAAAAUAUUGACUUAGAUAAUCGUAGUGUCUUAUAUAUCUCGGCCGAUGUGGCAGCAUAUCAAGAUAUCGUAGAAAACACUAAUGUGGGCAAUUAAUGACUAUUUAAUUAAAUCGGUAUGAUAUCAACAUUUUUUGUUAGUGAUUUAAUAGAGGACUUAACCUAUAUUCGGAAAAUUGAGGUAAUUGACUGAAUGAAAUAAAAUUUUGGUAUGAUUAAAAAAAGGGUAAUAAUUUAUCCAAUAAUUUAUCUUUUUUUACAUGAUAUUCAUGUGAAAGAGAAUAUUAAGUGGUUUUGUCAAUUUCAAGCCAUUGCAAAAAGAUUUUAGUGGCUAUAUGUCAAGCCCAUUUGGAGACUAUAACGUUCUCAAUGUUGAUUUCCUUUAUAUUUUAUGCAAUCAUUCGAUCAUAAACCAUUCCUGCCCCUUUUUCUUGGCCAAUUCCACUGCUUUCCCUUUCAUCUAUUCACCCAAAACUAAAAAAGUAUGUGUAGUUUGGCCUAAAUCAGUUUGAACCGGUUUGAAAAUGUACCAAUUUUCAAAAUUGGAUCUGCCUAGUUUUAGAAUCCCAUGGGUAUAGAAUUGGGCUUUUGGCUACUGUUGCACAUGGGGGGACUCAAGCACUCAAUUCCACAGAUCACCGGCAUUUUACUUUACCACUAAGGCCGAACGAUUCAUGUGUUCAUGGGCAAUUGACAUCAUUGCAUAUCUAUAAUCGUUUGCUCUAGACACAAUCACUGAUUCACUCCUAGUCCAAUCGUUAGGACCACAAACUGGCAACCUAACUGGUUCUCCGACUGGCCUAAGUUUGAAAACAUUGGUGCCAAGUUCCUAUCCCUUCUUAAAACAAGUAGAUAAUGACCAUCUUAUAUGAAUUGAGUUGUAAUUGACGCAAUACUUUUGCCACGUAAUGAAAGAUGAUAGCUAAGUGAUUAUAACUAAUAAACGUUGAUGCUCCUCUUUCUCCUUGGUUAUAUUAGACCUAGAAAUUCUUCGUACUGCUCCAAAUGAGGUUGAUGCUCAACUCCCAUGGUACAUUACUCCUGUCAUUGCUCUAGUUGGAGCUAUGAUUGAUGCUUGACAUUUCCCUUAAAAAUUUCGUAUUCAACAGUAAGUCUUUGCUUUGGCAUCGCACAUACUUCAAUUUGAGAUGCUAAUAAAUAUUAGUCAAGAGGGAAAAAAAGUUAACAUCUACCACUCUUAGGAACCUUAUAUGCUAUUAGGAACUUUGUCCAGCAUGGCAUGCUAUCGAGAGGUCGUAGGACUUUGUCAGGCUUAAGAAGAGAUCUAAUCUCCCCAAUCAAAAGAAAUGAAAUCUAUCAACCAUUGGAUUUUGUUAUAAAGCAAAAAUCUAGAAAAUGAUGCAGUGCAAUAUAUUUAGCUACACAAUAGUAGUUUGAUUUGUCACAUGUAGUUUUUGGAUAUCAUGGUUUUUACAAGCAUGAGAAGUAAACUAGUCACAACAUUCGGAAGCAAAUUACUCAAUAUCAUCUCCAGUGAGUUUGCUAAGAAUUUUCUUUUGAUAAGCAAAAGAAAUUUACUGCACAAUGGCGUCAAGUAGAUGCUAGCCCAUGUAACAAAUGAUAAACAUGGUGCCAUGAGGUAUAAGAAAGAAUGCACAUUAGUAACGUCGUUGUCACACAACCAAAAGCCGUGGAAAGCCAUCUAUCAUUCAAAUAAAAUAAAAUAAAAACCAGUCUUGCUAUUUUCAAAAGCGCUUGUAUUUUUUUAUUUUUUUUGGUAAAGGUAAUGAUAUAUUGAGCCAAGAACCAAUAAUUACAGAAGAUUAGGCACCACAAAACUUUCACUCAAAGAGACACAGCGUCAAAUGGAGUGAAAGGGCGCCUAAUGCAAAAGACCACCGCAAAGCCGUCAUAGCAAGCAGGCAAACACAGACGGCCGAAAAGAAAGACAAAACAGCCACGCAGGGCUGGGGAAACAAAGAGAACAACACCAACCAAGGAACAACAACAAGGAGGACCCGAAGAUUCGAGGCAGCCGCGGAAGGCGCAGAAAACGGGGAGGAAGCCGCAAGACACUAGGCGGUUGGCGAAUGAGAUACUAGGCAGUCAACGUAGGAGAAGAGAAAAUAGAAGGGUCGAGCCCCCAAUUCCGAUGAAGCCUUCUAUUUGUCUUUGACCACUUUAAUGAGAUGCUUCUUGAUAGCCACAAGCACCACUGGAUGACCUCUGAAGAGAAUGUCGUUCCUAUACCUCCAAAUAAGGUGGCAGAGGGUAGCAAAAGAGAAGCGCCCUAUAGCAUGAUAGAAGUCCUUACCUGAUAGGAAAUUCAUCGCCCACUGAAGAUUUUCCACCCACGACCCGUUUCUCCACGGGAGAUUGCACUUGGCCACCCAAAAUAAGCCAUACGCGAAGUAAUACCGCAUCCGAAGAAGAGAUGGUCAAUAGAAUCCGGCGUGUGCUUGCAAAAGGCACAAACUUCCCUCCCGAUCCUCCCAUAGGACAUAAGAAAAGCUUGUGUAGGAAGGCGGUUCUUAACGAUUAGCCAUAAAUUGAAUUGGUACCUCGGAGUGAUAGCUUUACUCCAUAUAAAGGAUGACCAGUCCACUCUCGCUUUCCUCUUUCUGAAAAAAUGCCAUGCAGAAGCCACUGAGAAGAGACCAGACGAAUCGACACUCCACACAAAUCUAUCCGGAACCUCAGGGAGAAGAAUAGGGAGCUGGCCCCACGAGUCCAUCGCCAUCCUAAAGGCUCGACUAGGGUCUGAUAAAAGGUCCGCAACGGCUGCACACCUAUGAAGUCCCGACUCUAAGAUAGUUUGCUCCGAGCAAAUCAGAUCCAACGGCCCCCUCUGGUGCCAAUGAUCAUACCAGAGAGAGACCGUUCGCCCAUCACCAAUCCUCCAGCGGAAAUUGAGUCAGACCUUGGGUCUUAGGUGUAGGAUCCUCCUCCAAGCCCAAGAGCAGCGAGCCGGAGCCUUAACCAUCCAGAAGUUCUUCCCUCUUAGAAAAGUAGAGUGAAUCCACUUGCACCACAAGGACUCUUUGUCAGUGAAGAGGGUCCAAAUAUGUUUGAGCAUAGCCGCUUUGUUGUACUCUCGUAGUCUACGAAUCCCAAGACCACCUUCCUCUCUAGGGAGACAUACAUCCUCCCAGGAUACCUUGGCACCUCCCUUACCAAGGUUAGGCCCCUUCCGCAGGAACCAUCUGAGAAUUUGCUCUAUACGAUCUAAGACUGCGAUAGGAAUAAUAAAUACACUUGCCCAAUAGGCCUAAAUCGCAUGGAGCACUGACUUAAUAAGUUGAACUCUUCCGGCAAAUGAGAGAAAUCGAUGAGUCCAAGAUUGCACCAUUGCCGUAAUGCGAUUGACCAAGACAACGCAAUCCGCCUUGUCGAAACUCGAGGAGAUGAUAGGGGCUCCUAGAUAGCGUACCGGUAGCUUUCCUUCAACAAAUCCAAGGGUCUCCUUGAUCUGAGUUCUCAAUUCAUCCGAGCCACCCACGAGGAACACCUCACUUUUGCUGUUGUUCGGUAUCAAACCACUCCAAGUCGAGAAAGUAUCAAGCCCAUCUUUAAGAAGCCUGACGGCCAUAUCUGCUCGGCAAAAAAGAAACACAUCGUCCGCAAAGAAUAAAUGAGAUAACCGAGUGGCCUUGCACCUCCAGGAGAAGUUGAAUCUAGGUAGGUCCGCAGGGGAAGUGAGGAUCCCCGAGAAGACUUCCAUCACCAAGGUAAAUAGAUAAUGGGACAUAUGGUCCCCCUGUCGAAGGCCACAGCUGCUAGGGAAGAAUCCAUGGAGCUCUCCAUUCAAUGAAAUAGAAAACAUAGGCAUGCGCACACAUACCAUGAUAAGCCGAAUGAAGUGGUCCGGGAAGUGAAAAGCCCGGAGAACCAUCUCAAGGAAGUCUCAACCUACCGUGUCAUACGCUUUCUAAAAGUCCACCUUGACAGCACAUUUGGGGGAAUAUGGCUGAAGAUGAAACCGUGCGAACAACUCCUGGGCUAGAAGAAUAUUGUCCCUGAUCCGGCGACCCUUAACGAAGGCGUUUUGAGAAGGGCUAAUGGUAUCCUAAAGAACAGCCGUGGCACAAUUGGCUAAGACCUUGGUAAAACAUUUGUAGAUCGUGUUGCAACAAGCAAUAUGUCUAUAAUCAUUUACUGAGGUCGCAUUAGGCACCUUGGGAAUCAACACCAGGAUGGUGGCAUUAAUCUCUCUCAAAAGUCUCCCCGUGACAAAGAAGUCAUUCGCUGCAUCCAUGACCAACGAUCCAACAAGGUCCCAGUUACUCUUGAAGAACUCAACGCCAUACCCAUCUGGCCCCGGAGCCUUUCCUCUGGCUAGAGAGAACAAGGUAUUCUGAAUCUCCAUCUCUGAGAAUGGACGGGCGAGUGAGGCAACCUGAGCCUCAGAGAGCGGACACCGGAUAGCUUGCUGUAAGUCGUCCAAGGCUGGCCUAUGAGGGAGAGAUCGCGAGGCAAACAACUCUUUGAAGUGAGAAACGAAUGUCUCCUGAAUAAGGUUCGGCUCGCUGACAAGAUUCCCAUUUCUAUCCAGGACUGAGAUGAUUCUAUUCUUCAGCUGCCUCGUAGUCACUGAAUGAUGAAAGUACUUGGUGUUCUUGUCACCAUUCUCUGCCAGGAGGAUGCUUGUUGGAUCCAGCUGUAGGUCCUCUUGUGCUAACCUUAGAGCAUUCCUGGAUUGGGCAACCCUCUCAGACAAGUUAGAUAAUGAGUCUCUAUUCAGCUACUUGAGCCGUCUCUUCAAGGCUUUUAAUUUGGUAACCAAUUUGAAAAUGGGAACACCUUCCCCCGGAGCCUCCCACACCUGGGUAACAAUGUUAUGAAAUGAAUAGUGCUCCAUCUAGAAAUUAAAGAACUUGAAAGGCUUCCUUCACAAAACCGGUUGAAUCACCUUGGCCAACAUCGGAGAGUGGUCAGAAAUACCAGGUGUCAGAAACAACGCUUCAGAGUAAGAGAAAUGCAAACUCCAAAGAGCGUUAACCAGCACCUGGUCAAUCUUUCUCGCUUUCCGGUUGGCCCCUGAAGACGUCGACCAGGUAAAUCGAAGGCCCACAUAUCUCAAAUCCUCAAGCUCUGAUUGAUGCAAGCAAUGAUUAAAUUCCCCAAAGGAGGGAAGCUAGGCAUUAGUACCACCAAAUUUGUCAGAGGGGUCUCUAAUAGCAUUGAAGUCACCAGCAACCAUCCAUGGAAGGUCGUAGAUGCAAGAGCUCAUCUUGAUCAAGUCCACCCAUAAGGGCCUUCUAGAAACAAAAGAGUGCUAUGCGUAGACAAUUGAGGUGCAGCAACAAAGACCCAACGACAGAAGCCUAACUCUGCCAUGGAUGACUUGAUCAUUAGAAGCUAUCACCUCAAAAUUAACCAAUGAAGGGUCCCAACCGACCCAAAUUCUGUCCCUCGGAGACGAACUAUAGUUGGCAAUCCAAGUCCACCCCGAAAGCAGACCAGACGAUAAAGAGCAAAAUAGAUAAUACGGGACUUUAGUCUCUAGAAGCCUGACUAAACAAAGACCAUUCGAAAGAACCAAUUUACGAAUCUCGACUCUCCUCAAAGGAUCCAUAAGACCACGAAUAUUCCAAAAGCUAAAAUACAUAACGAAACUAAGAACAAACUACGCUAAAUAAGAAAGACUAGAGCAAGGCUACUUGGCUUUUGAAGCUUCGGCGGAGGGGGUCCCAGCGCACCACCAAUGGAUUCAUCCGAUACCGGAUCCGGGGCAAGUGCAAGAAGCCGAUCUUGGAUGGUCUCCACCAUUGUCGCGGCAUGAGGCUGCUGAUGAAAAGGUGAACCAGGGGAUGUUAUAUCCUCCUCAUCCGACGAUGCAAAAGAAGCCGCGACUUCCGACUCCAAUCCAUGAUCCACGGUGGAGGAGAGAACUGGGAGCUGUGGUGGGUCUGCCAUGAGAGAAAGAACCACCUUGGGAGAGGCACUGGCUCCCCUUACCGUCUUUCGAAUAGGAGCGGGCGGAGAAGGACCCGCUGUGGGUGGAGGUGGAUCAACAGCCGGGGCUUUGUCCCGAGAGGGUUGUCCAGGCCCUGCAGUAGCGGAGGAACUGGGUGACUCCCACACGAAGGGGGCUUGAUUUUUCUUCUUCUUGCCCUUUACCUUCCUCCAAGGCUAUUCCUGGGCGGGUUGAGGAGGAGCACCCACCAUUGGAAGAUCCUCAGCCUCCGGGGGAACGGACAACGAUGGGAUCGGAGUGGACUAGACCUGAGCAGGGCCAAUUGCGGACUGAGGAGGGACAGAUUCGACCACGGCAUUUCUUUCUUCACAACGAAACAAUAAGCUAUUGAAGUGAACAACCACGAACACAGCCCGACAUAAACAAGGAGUAAUAAAAACUACUUACUGUUUGAUGUUAGGUUCUAAAGUCCAACAAAAGGAAGUUCUCUAGUAGAACCCAAAAACAGGAGUGUGCCAUAGAUUCACAGAGAAUUUAAACAGAAAUUACAAGACCUAUGAAACAGGCAAUGGGAUAGAAAGCAAAUGAAGGUUUGUUGCAGAAGGCAGGCAUAGACAUUGUGGACCUGAAUAUCCAUGCACAGUGAUGAACAAGGCAUUACUGCAGGGUGAGCUCGGCAUCUAAUUUGUAACAACAAGAGAGAGAAUGUCAAUCAUCAUAGCAGCUGAGGCUGUGUUCUCCAUGAUAGCUACUACCCAAUCAUCUCUUUGACCCAACAAUUGAGAUUCAGAUGCAGGGUGGCAAGUUGAUGCAAGCCUAGGGGAGGCUUUCUCAAACAAUAGGAUCGGGAGAGUGACUCGCACACAGAAACAGGACAAACAGGAAUUUCAGCACUGCGCGAGCUCAGGAGAACAGCUGUAUCUCUGUCGAUACAGAUCGGAUCGACCUGAUUCCAAAGCAAAAUGAACAAAGACUUCUGGAUCUACAAUUUCUCUGUUUUGGGUUUUCUGAAAUAAGCACUGUAGGAUAGUCGAAAUUGGGUAGGAAGUAACAAACAGAACAGGAAAAGACAGAGACUCCGUUGGUUGCUCUUCUAGGCCUCCAAGGAAGUUGAAAGGGACACCGAUUCUUCUAGAUCGAUGACUGCAACUCUUCAAGGAUGCAGAUUUUGAAAGCUCCGACUCUUCAAGGACGGAGUGAAAACUCUUCUAGGUUUUCAAGAGUUGAACUCUACAAGGUUCACGAUACUUGCUUCAAGCAAAGCUUUUCAUUCAUAAAAAAUUGUCUGUCUUCUACAAGGGAUUGGCUUAUAUCAUCAAAGAAAUAAAAAUAGAACGUUGAAAAUAGGAGAAAUAAAGACAAAGCGUAGAAAACUAGGAGAAAUAAAAACGGAGCAUUGAAAAUAGGAGAAAUAGUAAAGGGCAUGGAAACUAUAAACUAGUAAAAGCGUCACGCGAGCUUCCAAUGUGUCUUUGACUCAAGAUGUCAUUAUGGCUUCUCGGUUUCGUCGAGCUUUAAUGCGGGCCGAUCUUCUUGGUCGAGAGAGCCGGUCUUCAAUGUGGGCUGCAUCACAAGUUCAUCUUCAGAAUAGCAGAUUAGGACAGCCGCUCUCAUUAAGUCAGACCAAUAACUGAGAAUGAACCAGUCAUUGUAAAUAGACUGCUUCUGAUGACCUUGCUAGCAUCAAGGUGAGCUAAGAGUUGCCAAAAGCAUUAUUUGCACAUUCUUUCGGAAUCAUUGAUUUCUCAGAGUUCCAGUGGCAAUUUUAGGACUAACAAGGAAUGAGAUGGAUCGGUCCACUAUUAAUUAACUUGGUUUAUAGAUGUAAGUAGAGUAAGUUUAAAGUCAUCUGUACAAUAACUGGAAUCAGUGAACUCGUGAAGAAGAAGACUGGAAAGCAAGUUAUCUUGACAACUCGAAUAAGAACAUAUGACCUUAAAGUGAAUCCUGAGGCUAGUAUUUAUAGUCAAUAUCAUGUAUAUCGAUUAAGGAGCUAUCUCCAAGUACAAUAUCCUUCAAUACACGGAUGGCUUUUAUUUGGUUAAGUUGCAUAGCAAGGCCUCCAUCAUAAGAGGUACCCUUUAGAAAAUCAUUAUCUUCCAUAUCCGAUGAGUCCAUAAAAGUUUCCAUCUUUUUCUUCCUCCCGUAUAACCAAUAAGGCUUAGGACUUUUUCCUUCCAAAUAACGAGCAGACAUUUCUGAAUCAGCUCCGCACCUUCAUAAACUCCUCUGAAGAACACACUAAACCUCUUUCCCCUCUCAGAAACAUAGAAAACGCCAUAAUGCUUCAACAGGAGUCUCAUCAACUUCCGAGGCAUCACAAAUUCUUGUCGAAAGUGCGCGGGGUGAUUGGUUACCAACCUCUUUUCCAUUGUGAAGCUAAGUAACUCAUGCAUUGCUGCAAUGGAUCUCUUAUUGAAUUCUUUCAAUCCAGCUUGAAGGCCACAUGCAUUAGCGUAAGGAGUCAAGUAAGACCUUUUCUGAAAGUGCUCAAUCUUCCCUCCGUAGCUACACACCUUCUUGUAACUGGCAGGAAACUUGAAGGGGGAAAGAUAGGGAAAGCAACCCUGGAGUAUGAAAAGGCAAAUUCUGAUACCCCCAAUAUGGGCUUCUCCAACUCUGUGAUAGCCCAAGUAGGAUUCCACCCUAUGAGCUCGAGGUAAUCAACUUCAUCUGGAGAUUUAACCACUUUGAAGUGCUGCGGAUACUCGUGUACCCACUUGCUCCUAAAAUUAGCUGGCAAACCAGACUCUCUCCUGUAAUGAGCAAUUUUGUCCGGAGGAAGCCAUUUGUCGACCGACAUCAUCAACAUCCUAGUCACGUAUUCAACAGCCGUGCCAGAAUGUCCCCUAAUCAAUCUCUCCUCUUCCUCUAACAAGUCUUCAGCUUCUUUAGUUAUUUCCAAACCACAAUACCCCCUUCUGAUCUUUACACAACUCAAAACAAUUUUGGUGACUUUCGAAUAAAAUCCACUAUACUGUUUGCUUGGCUAUAGAUCCAGCGAUCUCACAGGGAUUAUCAUCUCGGGUUCCUUUUUCAACAUUUCCAUCAAAACCAACACCUUUGACACCACUUUUGCUUCUCAGUGGCAAUUUCGAGAUCAUGGACCCUCUUGUCCUUGUUCCUAUCUUGCACUCUCUUGCUGGUGUUCAUGAAUCUACGCUAUGACCAGUUAAGUAAAAUCUCGCCAAAACUCAAGUAUCCUCUCAGGGUAGGCGAAUGCACUGGUGAGGUGACAAAGCAACCAAACUCUCUUGCCGCGCUUCAUUCAUUCAUUCGAGAAAGCCACUGUUUUACCAAUGAUUUGAAAACGGGUCAUCUCAAGAUGGUAAUGCCUCGCUCCAAAUUCAAGAAACAAGCCCAACAAAAGCAAAUGCCUCUUGCUCAGGGCAAACAUCAAACGGCUUACGUGCAAUGGAACGAGGAACAACAAGAGCCCAAGACAAAAACAUUCGAGAAGAUCGCCGUAAAAGAAAACACAUGCUCCUGUCAUUGCCUUUUACUGAAUCAUUGAGUUACAAAUUUUAGGAAGUGUGCCCAAACUAGUCACGAGCAAGUUCUUAGCAAGUCAUUCCGGAUAACUCAAUUAUUCAUUGAUAUUUUCUUAAUUCCGUGAGCAAUAAGCGUGCAGUUUGAACAUAAUGCAACUAAACCAAGUAUUUACCACAAUAUGGAUUGAUUCUUUUCCUUUUUUAAGAAGAACUUAAUUCAGUUCAAUUUAAGAAAAUUAUAAGCUGAACAGGAUUAAGAUAAAUAUACAACCAAGCUAAAUAAAAAACUGAGUUAUUUAAUGUGAAAUAAAAAAAAAAAAACCAAACCAAUAUUUUCCUGUCCCUCUGUAGGAGUGUAUUUGAUAAAUUCUUAAAACAGAUCCAUUAAACCUCAGUCAAACCUCAGACUAACGAAACUCAGUCAAACCUCUUUUUCUUAAAAGAGAAAAAAGAAAAAAGAAAAAUAAGCCGAGAGCCAUUCACCCCCUGCGCAGAGUGAAAUUCCAUGGUCGUCGAAGAUGCUUUUGUCUCUCAGGUGAGUUUCACGAAGCUCCGCUUGAUUUCACCUCAUGUCCUUUUCUGCAGCGCGAUCGCCGGCGAUGAUGAUUCUGAGUUUCGUCUCGUGUUCAGAGCCGAAGAGCAGAAGAUCGUGGAACGAGAGGACGUAGACGACGGAGCAGAAGACCUGCUCGAAACGAUCGACAAACAAACGUGAGUUACGGCAAAACAGAGUGUAGGCAACUCCUCUCUGUUCAUAAUGCGUUUUCGUAAUGCGUUUCGGUACAUCCUUUGAUUCUGAGAUGAUUAUCGUGAUUUUCUGAUCCGUGCCCCGAAAGUUAAAAUUGAGAUGCAAAUGGUUCGAUGAAGCUAUGGCUGUGAUUAUCGUGAUUUACAUCUCGAGCUUUCUCUCAAACUUGCUGUGAUUUACAUAGAGUUUAACACGAUGGUUAAGCUCGAGUCUUUGUUGAAGGACGAUUCUGAUUCACUCAAAUCCAGCAAAGUGAAGAAUAAUGUGGAGAGAAUCGACUACUGGAAGCCAAGCCCUCGAUAAGCUUUUAGGCGGGAACAGACUUUCUUUUGCAGACUGUGUGUCUUUUUCUCCAUGCAUUUCAACGAAAACAAAUUUCACCGGUUUGGCAAUGUUUACAGGUGGUAUUGAAACUCGGGCAAUUACGGAAGCAUUUGGCGAACCUGGGUGAAAAUCACAGUCCAACAACGUUACCUUUGAUGAACUUUUAGUUGCUUUUGUUAAUUAGCUUUCUCAGAAAAAUGCUGCUGACGUCACUUCAGGUCUGGGAAAACACAGCUUGCAUGUACCCCAUGCGUUACUUCUCGGGUUGGUCUGAAUUAGAUAUUAGGUUUCUGUCUUGAACUUCUGUUGCAUUUUUUUUUUUUUUCUGAUGAAAAAUGCCAAAUAGUAACAUAAUGAUUGAAUUUCUAUGGAGUAUAAAGAUGUGUGUAUUAGGUGAUUCUGGAAGUACGGCACUCUCAUUUUCUGUAAUCUGCAGUCAGUAUACUGGAACGCAUGUACAGUGGCUCAAACCAAGCAGGAAAAAGGCCAGAAGAGUUUGUACUAUGUCACAACCGAGUAAAACCCUUAAUCAUAGUCAGACUCGGACUUGGGUUGAUCAUUAGUCGAAUGUGAUGCUUGAAGAUACUCUACUUUAUUUCCAAAUCCUACAACAGUAUUUACCCCUAUUUUCAAUCAUUCUUUAUUAAUGGUUUGUGGAUUCCAUGGCCGUAAAAUAUUUUCAGCUGCCAACUCACAUGAGAGGAGGAAAUGGCAAGGUAGCUUAUAUCGACGCAGUAGGAACUUUGUAUCCUAUUAUGAUCUGUCUGUAUUUUUCAUGACCUUGACAAAGAUACUUGUGUUUCUGAAUCAUCAUCUGUCCAUGUAAGCGCAUGUGCACUUUCUUAACUUAGUACACCUGCAGUCUUAGAUAAUGUAAGCAAUGCACUUUCAAUUUUAAUCAAAUUCUAGACAUUAAACAUGCUCCAUGUCCGUCACUCUUUACUAAAUCACCUAGUUACAAAUUUUAGGAUGUAUGCCGAUCUAGGUUCAACACAACCAAAUCGGUCAUGAGUAAGUGCUUGGCAUGUCAUUGUGAAUAAACUUAAUUGUUGAUUGAUAUUUUCAUGAUUUUAUGAGCAAUAAGUGCGGAGUUUGAGAACAAUGCAAUUAAACCAAGAAUUGACCACAAUGCAGAUCGAUUAUUUUCCUUUUCUAAGAAGAAAUUUAUGUGGUCCAAUUUGAGAAAAUUAUAAACCAAGCGAGACGAAGGUGAGUGCAAAAUUAAGCCAAAUCGAAUUAAAUUAUUCAGUCCGAAAUUACAAAAAAAAAAGUCAUACCCAAUUUUCUCUCAUCCUCUUUAAGAGUGGAUUUAAAAAGAUUUUAAGAAUUUAUCAGAUCCAUUAAAGCUCAAUUUAUAAUAACAAAACUCCAUCAAACCUCUUUUUCUAUAAAAAAAAAAGAAAAAGAAAAAUAAGCCAAUAGCUAUUCUUCCCACUUCCCGCCUCUAUAUCUAUAUGGAUUCCCUCCGAUUUGCGAUCGUUUCCAAAAUCCACAAAAAAUUUGAAAGUCUCUUCUCCUGCGCAGACGCACCGAACUCCAUGGCCGUUUGAUUCUGAAGUUGAUCAUCGUGAUUUUCUGGUCUCUGUUCUCAAGUUGACUGUAUAUCUCUUUGAAUGUCGAUGUUAAGUGACUCUGAAUACUGCUAAGUGCAUGAGCUUGAUUUCGGUUUCGGUUGCUCAGUUUAGCUCGAUUUUCCUGGAACAUCACCGUGAAUCCAUUGGCAUUUUUACAUCUCGGCCUUUCUCUCGAACUUGUCGCGAUUUUCUGCACGCGCACGAUAGUUUUUAGUUUUUGUCUUCUGAUCAUCCAAGAGCAAUUCAGCCUUCGUUAUGUUACGUGACAUCCACCGGAUGUCUUUUUUCCCGUGUGUUCGUGACGUAGCUGGAUUAAUAACGAAUAUCCUAAGCUUAAUUCAUCAAUAAUAUCUGUUGGAACGCUAGAUUGUCAGUGAUGAUCUAGGAAAUGCUUUUGUCCUGACAUUCUACAUUCACCAGAAAACUUAGUUUAACGCGAUGGUUAAGCUUGAGUCUUCAUUGGAGGACAAUUCUGGUUCGCUGAAAUCCAGCAAAGUGAAGAAUAAUGUGAAGAGAAAAUCAAAGACUAAGAUCGAACAGUAUCUCGAGCGUGUAAUGCGGAAAGCUGAUAUAUCUGCCGAGGAGGAUCUGGAAUUGGAAAGGAAGCUUGCCAAGAAGCUCUAGGUAAAGGAUGGAAAGCUACUUGGGUCAGACGAUGGAAUGAGUAUGUUAUUUAAAGGAAUUCCUUCUAUUCUUGAUUCUUUUGAACAAGACGCACCAGGGGUAAGAGAAAAUUGUAGUGAAAGAUUUGAAGGUAAAUCUUCAGGAGAAAAAAAAGAAAUGUCCAAGCAAGAGCAUAUGCAGGAUGAUGGAAAAGCUGUUCAUGUUAAGGCUGGAGCCUGUGACUCAGUAGACUAGAAACCCCUUCAUUUCAGCUCUCAAGUGAGUUCGUGAGCUCCACAAAUUUCAAUUCAUUUCCUUUUCGUGAUGCGAUUGCCAAGAAUGAUUCUGAGUUUCCAUUCGACUUCCUCUUGAACUUGUUGUGAUUUUCUGUGCAUACGAUAGUUUAAUUUUCUUUCCUUAAAUGACGAGAAGUAAUUUCCACCACUACUUGAAUAUGAUAUGUCUAAUUCACCUCUUCGACGUAUGUCUUCUAAAUUAUACAAGAGCAAUUUGGCCUUUGUUAUGUUACGUCACAUAGUAAUUGUACCAUCGGUACAUCUAUUAUCCAUGUAUUUACAGCAUAGAUGGAUUAAUAACGAAUUUCCUAAGCUAAAUUCGUCAACAAUCACUAUUGGAACACUUGACAUUCUACAUUCACCAGAAAAUAUAGAGUUGAACACGAUGGUGGGUUGGUUUUUUUUUGUUUGCAGGUAUUUCUCAGGGAAUCCAUGCUGGAGAUGUGAAAAAAGAUACAGGAUGCAGGGAUCGACACUUGCAAAUGUCUUGAUGAUGCAUACAGAGAAGGUAUAUCUGAUAUUCAGUUCCGAAAAUUAAGUGGAGGUAUUAUUUGGCUAAGGUGAUUUCCUCUGUCUUUGUUUUGUUUUUUUGUAGCACUUAACUAGAACCAAAGGUUUCUCUGAAGCAAAAGUUGAUAAGAUAUGCGUAUCAGCUGAAAAGAUAGUGGUUAGAGCUUAAUUUCUUCUUAUCCUGAGAUGGCGAUGUAAUCAAUUGCAAUUUCUAUAUGCAUCUCACAAUAACUUCUCUUUGUUUUCAUUAGAAUUCUCGUUUUAUUACGGGAAUUGAAGCUAUGCUCAGAGUAAGUCCUUAAUUCGGCAAAUUUCGAGCUAAAAAUGGUUCGGAAGACCUGAAUGAGUCAUUGCCCCUUGAAAUAAAGCCUGCAAAUUAGCAUAUCGACUGUAGAAAACUGUACUUGCUCUAAACACAAAGUACUUUCAAUGUCUUUAUUUUUUCCAGAGCAAGUCAGUUAUUUGCAUCACAACUGGAAGCCAACCCCUCAAUGAGCUUUUAGGCGGUAAUAGACUUUCUUUUGUAGAUUGUGUAUAUUAUUCUUCAUGCGUUUCACCGAAAACAGCUUUCCCUGGAUCUGCAAUGUUAAACAGGUGGUACUGAAACUCAGGCAAUUACAGAAGCAUUUGGUGUAUCUCAGUGACAAGCACAGUCCAAUAACGUUACCCUUGAUGAACUUUUAGUUGCUUUUGUUAGUUGGCUUUCUCAGAAAAUGCUGCUAACGUCACUUCAGGUCUGGGAAAACACAGCUUGCACAUACCCUGUUUGUGACUACUCAGGUUGGUCAGAAUUGCAUGUUAGGUUUUCGUCGUUAACUUCUAUUUCAUGUUAUGUUUCCUAGAUGAACAACAUAAAUAGCAAGAUAAUGAUUGAAUUUCUAGUAAAGAAUAAAGCUGUGGUUAAUAUUGGCAUCGGAACGUGUUUAUUAGGUGAUUCUGGAAGUUGGCACUCUCAUCUUCUGUAAAUGGCAAUCAGCAUACUGGAACACGCAAUCUAUAGUGGUUCAAACCAAGUAGGAAAAAGGCCAGGAGAGCGUACUAGGUCAUAACCAAUCGGAAGCCUUGGUCAUUGUCAGACUUGGACUUGGGUUGAUCAUCAGUUGAAUAGGAUGCUUGAAGUACUCUACUAUAUAUGCAAAUCCUACAACAUUAUUUUCUCUUCUUUCCAUCACUCUUUAUUAAAGCUGAUCCCGUUCCAUGAGAUGAUAUCUUAUGGUUUGUGGAUUCCACGAUCCUAACAAUUUUAACAGCUGCCAACACACGUGGGAGGGGCAAAUGGCAAGGUAGCAUACCUCGCCACAGAAAAAACUUUGUAUCCUAUUAUAAUCUGUCGGUCAUUUCCUUGACCUCAACAAAGCUGCUUUUGUUUCAUACUCGGCUUAUGUCCAUGUAAGUGCAUAUGCACUUUCUUAACUUGGUACACCUGCAGUUGCCAUGAUUGAAUUGUACAAAUAGCUGAAAGAUUUGGCAUGGAUCCUGGUGCCGUCGCACAUAAAUGCUUUCUACACUGGUGGCAAGUCUUCCUUCUUUUCUGGCUAAUGUACUUGCUGUAAUCUAGUCUUUCCAUGAAUUUGAAGAUCAUUUAUGCCUGUGCCUCUACUUCUGAGCAUCAGUACAACUUCCUUCUCAGUUUGGCUGCCAAAGUGUCUGAAGAACCAUUUAGGUUCCUGGUAAGACAGUGUUCAAGAAUCAAACUGCACACAUUUUGUAAGGUGUCGAUGGUUGACCUUAGCUGAGUAUAUCCUUCAGAUUGUGGAUUCAGUGAUCACUCUCUUUCGAGUGGAAUAUAAUGGAAGGGGAGAACUUGCAGGGCAUCAGGUCGAUUCUGAAACCAUGAAAUCAUGCGAGUUGCAAAUUUUCAGCUCAUCUAGUUUGACACUAAUAGAUUUCCAAUUGCAGCAAACAUUGGCACAAAUGCUCUCACGCUUACUUAAGAUAGCCGAGGAAUUUAAUGUGGCAGUGUACAUGACCAAUCAAGGUACCGCAUCACAUCUCAUUUCUCCCACCUAGUCAUGGAUCCUUUAAAGGAUCUUAUCCAAUUUAGCUCUUUGAUGGUUGCACACUGAAAAAUAGCAAUUUGGUGACUACACUAAGCUCAUACUAGUUCUCAUAAAUCUCAAGAACCAGUUAUUUGGUGUAAACUAGUGAUGCAUAUGGUAGCUGCAGUCCAUGAGUUAAGCAAAAAAGAUAAUUUUUUUGACGACUUUUUCUUCGAUUUCUUUGUUUCAGUGGCAUCAAAGAAGCAUGCAGGUGGGCAUGUUCUGGGUCAUGCAACCACAAUUAGGUUGAUGUUUACAAAUGGCAAAGGUGAGCAGUGGGUUUGCAAGGUGUUCAAAGCCCCAGACCUACCUAAAGCUGAAGCUAUAUCCUUUUUGUCUGGAUCUUUGUCUACCUAUACACUUUAUUGAAAUUUACCAGAUUACACUGCAGACAUUAAACGAAAUUUCUAGAAAUCUAAUAUCAAUCGGAGAGAAAGUCAAUACUAAGUCUAUAUAUGGAUAGGUGGAGACUAGAAUUUGAGCAGUAUACUUGUAGUAUACUUACAUGCGCUGCCUGUGCUAUGGAAAUAAAAUACCCAACCAUUGAUGAUGCCAUACUGCAGAUCUUCCUCUAGUUAUAUACUUCGUUGAAAUUUUUCAGACCAUGCUGCAGAGACCAAGUAAAAUAUCUGGAAGUCUAGAUCAAAAUCUGUGAGAAAGUCGAUAAUUAGUCUAAAUAGGGAUAGGUGGAUACCUGAUUUAAGCAUGAUACUCACUUUAUACUUGAUGUUGCCUGGAGAUCCAUGAACAUGUUGAAUACGAAUUUUGUCCAGAGGAAUUAAACAAAAAGAAGUAGCUAUUGAGAAUUUUCCUCAGUAGGACCAGUAUGUUAUUUUUAGCUGUGCUGUUAUGUAGAUGAUGCACAUCUAUCAAGACCAUCACUUAAUUUAAUCAAAAAAUUUAGGAAGAGCUCAUCUGUCAAUAAGAUGAGACAGAUAUUCCAUAUAUGUUGAACUUGACAGACACAUGUUUUUCAGAUAACACCAGGAGGCAUCACCGAUGCGAAGGACUGAAGGAGUCUCUCCAACCAGGAAGGCAGGCGAAGUGCUUUUUUAUUUUUAUUUUUAUGUUAAUCUGCAAUUUGAUGUUAGUCAUCGUAUUGACCGCAAGAGGCAUAUAAUGAUCUCCCAAGCACUUGUUCAUUUCCUUUCUCUGCAAUGGACACUUUGUCACCCUUGUCAUAGCUUGUCCCUAAGUUUCAUGUGCUCGACAACAAACCAUUCAUGAAUGACAUGAGUUACUUUCUCUAACUGUGAUGGUGACCCAAAAGAUUUGUCAACUACAAUGUCACCUUUGUGUAUCAAAUGCAAAAUAUAUCAUAAGGGUAAGGCCGAAGUAUCCUUUCUGCUUCUUCUAUUUAUGUUUAGCCAAUUGAAUGCAAAUAAUACAGCCUUAUAUUCUCUUAGGAACUUAAACGAGCGUGGCAUGUCUUAUAUUCUCUUAGGAACUUAAUAGAGAUGUAACCAAAAGAAAAUUAUUCAGUGUCAUUUCGAAUUACCUCAAAUGAAAUGAAAUUUAUCAAUCACCGUGUUUCGUCAUUAAGAAAAAUAAAUAAAGUUAUCCACUGCAAUAUGUUUUUAAUUACACAUAAGGUCAACAGUUUGUGGAUAUCAUGGUUUUUAUGAGCUUGAGAAGAAAUCUAGUCACAAUAUUUGAAAACUAAUUACCCAACAUCAUCUCCACUGAGUUCACAAUAAUUUUCUUUUGAUAAUUAAAAGAACUUAGUUGAACUUUCUUACACGAGCAAUCUGGCUUUUGUUUAUGUUACACGACAUUCAAAUCGCACCAUUGCAGUAGCUGCAGUCCUUGAGUUAAGGAAAAAGAUGAUUUUUGAUGACUUUGUCUUUGAUUUAUUUGUUUCAGUCGUAGAUGAUCUAGGCGGUGCUGUGUUCAUAUCAGACCCAAAGAAACCUGCGGGUGGGGAUGUUCUGGCUCAUUUAGCCACAAUUAGGUUGAUAUUUAGGAAAGGCAAAGGUGAGCAGCGCGUCUGCAAGUUGUUUAAGGCCCCAAACCUACCGAGCUGAAGCCAAGUAUACUGAGUCUACAUAUAGAUAGGUGGAGACCUGAUUUAAGCACGGUGCUCACAGUAUACUUGAUGGUGUAUGGAGAUCCAUGAACAUGUUGAAUACAAAUUUUGUGCAGAGUAAUUAAACAAAAAGAAGUGGAUAUCCAGAAUUUUUUUAAGCAGGAUUAGUAAGUUAGUUGUGCAACCUGUGCUAUGUAGACUGCACAUCUAUCAAAACCAUCACUUAUGUAAGAAAUUUUAGCGAGAGCUCAUAUGGCAAUAGGGUGAAAUCGACAAACGCACAUUUUUCAGAUAACAACAGGGGCAUAGCCGAUGAGGACUGAAGAGGUCUCUCCUACCAAGAUGGCCAGGUGAGGUGUUUUUUAAUUUUAUUUUUUGGGUUAAUCUGCAAUUUGAUUUUAGUCAUCGGAUUGAUAGCUACCUCUAUCUUCAUGUUAAGUUUGUAUUGGCAGGCAUCAAGCUCCUUUUGACAGCUUUAAGUUUAAAAUUGCCGGAGAGGUUACCGCUUUAGCCUUAAUAUCUAACAUGCUGUCAUUGUCUGUUAUUAAAGUUCACAUGACCCUUCACAAGGUGUUGUGUAAACUUGAUUUCCAUAUGAGAACCAGCACGCUCCAAGUUAUAAUGGUUCACAUUUGUUCUCAUAUGACAAUAUCGUCCUGGUCUAAUUUACUAGUAGAGAUUCUAUGCGGAAAAUAUUACAUUGGAUAGACUUUGCAUGACGGCUAAAUGAAAUGCCAGAAAGAUAUUACUGCACAAAGCAUGAUCAGGUUCUGUAAAGGCUUGGUUUUAUAAGUACAUAUAUAGCUGCAUAAAAACGAUGUCAUCUCAAACUCUCAAUAUAGAGCAACGGACCAUUAGAGCUGAAAAAAUUGUCAAUGUAUGAGAAAGGGCGACUGGGUCAUAAGCAACAGAAGGCCAUUCAAUAGCUAAUGGCCUGGCCAAAAGGGACCGCAAUGCAUAUGACUCGGCAGUGCAAGGACAAGUUCGCAGCACUCCCAACUCUAGGCAUACUGGACUCCUUAGUCUCUGCACCACUUUUCAAAUGUAGCGCUUUGUACUCAGCCCAAGCUAUUCACCCUAGGAACUGGCUUCACCUCAUUCGGCGCAUGCUCGUAACUCCUCAAACAUUUAGAGCUGGUAAAGAAGCAUCCUGAGUUGGAAAAGAAGGCAACGUUAACAGGUGAACGAUUCGGCACUCAAAAAUCAUUCGAAGAGCAACAUUGUACGUGAAAAGGCACAUUUCAAUACAAGGAUACAGGUAAAGAACACCAUUUUAACCUUAGAUUAUAAAUUUAUGUUCGAAACCAAUUUUUCCAAAAUGCUGUUACCCAACAACAUAACAUUCUCCUCUGAACUCUGCUUAAUAUCAUCAGAGCUCAUCCAUCCUUACUUUUCAGAUUGCAAUGCAUGGACCAAAUUCCAGUGGAGCCGCAUCAACAAACUGAAAAAAUAAUUGCCGCUAGGAAAUGGUGCAAAAGACUUCCCAAAACCCAUCUUCAUGACUUCUGCAUCAUCUGAGCGAACAAGACUGCCUCCAGAAUCAAUUCCCCAGAAGGAAGGAAAACUGCCAUAACAUCCUGAAUGAUUCAGAGGACAGAAAGGAUUAGAUAUAGAUCACAGGUGGAGGGAGAGAUUGAGAGCGAUGUCCCAGAAUGAAACCAAUGAACAUUAUUGUUACUCACACAGGCCAGAAAAGGGGUUUUAGAAGAGCUGUCGAAGAGCACAAAACCAAACUUCCUGCUGAUCUCUCUCACGACUUGAUCAGCAGGGUAGGCCGCCGAUCCCUCAGAGUUCAAUAAGCUUCUACGACAAUAAUGACCUCAUUAGCGGUUUUAUUCCAUCCAUAUUACUGCAACAUUGCCUCUGUCCUUGGAACAAGCAACCGAAAACAAUCUGUCACAGAGGGUAAGGCAUGUCAAAUCUCGAUGUGGGACGAGCUGAUUGAGAAGAGAAGACAGUACGGCAAUUUCCCUCAAUUAACAAUCCAAUAAAUUUCAUUUUCUGGCUUUCAAAAUGAACCAGAGACUCAAGUUCCACUAUCUCCUUUAGGCUGACAAAUGGAACCUUUCAUGAUAUCACAGUAAAGUCCAACAAAAAUCAGUUUGAUCUAACCGUUGCCUCUCUAAACAAUGAAAUCACGAUUAUUUUUUCUUUUUUGGUGGUUAAAGCUACCUUUAUCAAGAGAUGGAGUGGGAAUUUGCAUAGAAGAACGAUAAACUUUAUUCUUUGACCAGGUAAUCAGUUUUUAAAUGGGUUUUGGCCAACAUAAUUCAUUCAAAAUUUAGCUGUUUCAUUCACAUAUUCAAACCUCUGUUUGAAAUUUAUCCUUCCAUCUAUACAAUAACUGUUAUGGGAAGAAAGAGAGCUUCUUAUUUUGAAUAUUGACCUGUCAAUGUUAAAAGGAUAUUAUCUAACCAAUUCACAUACAGAAAUUCACAUUGUAUUUUGUGGCUCCUACAAUAUAGUCACUAAAAGCAAUUCUGUACUUAGAGUCAAAAGUACAACUUUUAACCUAUUGGCAAGUGAUACUGCAUAUUCAAUGUUAAAAACUUAAGACUCGUCCUUCCAUGAGCCCCGAUCAAAAUGACAAACGAGGGCCGCUGUUACUGUGAGUACAUCAUGUAUAUCAGCAGCAAUCCUCUCUUCAUCCUUUUUGGCUUUCUCUAUGUAACAAAGCCUCAUUUUAUGUUUUAUAAGGUAAUGUGAUGUGAUCUCAUUGAACCACUCUUGGCUGAUGACAAGAACUAAACUCACCUGAUUCGACCAGGACUGAAGUAUCUUAUUAUGAUCCUGGAAAUUCCCACAGAAAGGCGCCACCUUGCCUUAAGAAACCACCCAAAGCUUGUCCAUGCUUCCAGAUAUUGGAUGCUCAUCGUGACUAACCUGCAAAUCAAGGUGAAAAGAUGGCUAUUAGCUGUAAAGACAAUCCAUCAUUGGUCAAAUUGAAGUAUUCUGGCAAAAAAAUCAAUCUCACCAUCAGACAUCUUCCUUGGAACAAGACCAGCCCUCGAAUGAGCACCUCAACCACAUCCAAAUCCUGCAGUUUGGGAUAGUAAAAAACACAGAAUCAUACUCAUCAAUCCUUAGACAAGAAACUAGCAAUUUACAAAGAUAGAACUUUAGUAGUCAUAGGUCAUUAAAGUAGAACUUAAAGUCGCUUGGUGCAAGUGGAUCCACUCCACGUUCCUAAAAAGGAAGAACUUCUGGGUGGUUAAGAAGCCGACCUGUUGCUCUUGGGCCUGAAAGAAAAUUUUACAACUCAGAGUAGAAGUCCGGCUCAGUUUCUGGUGGAGAAUUGGGGAUGGCCUUUCUAUGUCACUUUGGUUUGAUAACUGGCAUCCUGAGGGCCGCUGAANNNNNNNNNNNNNNNNNNNNNNNNNNNNNNNNNNNNNNNNNNNNNNNNNNNNNNNNNNNNNNNNNNNNNNNNNNNNNNNNNNNNNNNNNNNNNNNNNNNNNNNNNNNNNNNNNNNNNNNNNNNNNNNNNNNNNNNNNNNNNNNNNNNNNNNNNNNNNNNNNNNNNNNNNNNNNNNNNNNNNNNNNNNNNNNNNNNNNNNNNNNNNNNNNNNNNNNNNNNNNNNNNNNNNNNNNNNNNNNNNNNNNNNNNNNNNNNNNNNNNNNNNNNNNNNNNNNNNNNNNNNNNNNNNNNNNNNNNNNNNNNNNNNNNNNNNNNNNNNNNNNNNNNNNNNNNNNNNNNNNNNNNNNNNNNNNNNNNNNNNNNNNNNNNNNNNNNNNNNNNNNNNNNNNNNNNNNNNNNNNNNNNNNNNNNNNNNNNNNNNNNNNNNNNNNNNNNNNNNNNNNNNNNNNNNNNNNNNNNNNNNNNNNNNNNNNNNNNNNNNNNNNNNNNNNNNNNNNNNNNNNNNNNNNNNNNNNNNNNNNNNNNNNNNNNNNNNNNNNNNNNNNNNNNNNNNNNNNNNNNNNNNNNNNNNNNNNNNNNNNNNNNNNNNNNNNNNNNNNNAAUUUCACCUUUGGCUGUCACCAGGCAUAGGCUUCCCACCCAAGCUUUCCUCCUCUCUUAUGGCAGGAUUGAUACUACUUUUUGCCCCUUCUGUGAGAAAGUGCCUGACUCUAUUGACCAUCUAUUUUUUAAGUGUCGGGUCACGGCUGGUUUGGCUUUCUUUUGGGCAAUCAGAUGUAACCUUCUGUGGCGAAACCGGUCUUGGGAUGAAAAUCUCCUUUGGGCCACAACCUUUCUUGUGGGCAAUGACUUCUUCAAAAGCAUGGCGCGAUUUUCUUUUCGCGCUCUUUGUCAUAUCAUUUGGAGGAAUAGGAACAAUAUUCUCUUCAGAGAUGAGCCGCUGUCCAUUCUAGCCAUGAAGAAUCAUCUCCUCAAAGUGGUCAAAGAUAAGGCACUCUUUUUCAGGGAUGUGGAAGAUUCCUUCAGAAAUAGGAGACUACAGCGCAGUUGGGACUUGGAUCUGAGUAUCUUUGCUCUGCGCGUUUCCCUCUCGGGUGACUAGCCGUCUCUAGACCGACUGAUGUUGGUCUUUGUGUCGUCGUGCUUGUCUGGCGGUUGUUCAUGCUGUCUGGGUCUCUUUCUUUUCUUUUCUUGCUCUUGCCACUUGGCCUCUUUCUCAGCUUCCUUCCACUCAUAAUGAGCCUGUUCAUCUUGAGUGCAAGUUUCUAAAGCCGGUUCGUUUUGUACAUUUUGGUCUUCCCCAUUUAUAUAUUGCUUAUUUUACCAAAAAAAAAAAAACAAAGAAAUUUCCACAUUAAUUAUGUGCAAAACCCAACGCUGCCUAUAGGAUAUUAGAACUACUUGGUAUUACAGAUUACUGCAAUACAAAAAACACCGAUCAUGCUAGCAUACAUGUUCGAUUCCCAAUAUUUUGCCAAUUGGAACAAUUAGAUUGGUUCUGUUCCAUUAUAAGUUAGAUGUAAGAUGGCAGAGGCUCCCUGUUGUGAUCACCAAUUGGUUCCAUUGUAUUUUCAAUGCAAAGACCAGAUUCCUAUAAGUUCAAAUAGUGCAAGAACAAUAUAACAAGCUAACUGAAAAAGUCAUCGAAGUCACAAAAUGGAGAAAAAUGAGUAAAACUUACCAGAUGAUCGGAUGGCUCGCAAGCAAAACUAUGUGAGGUUUCUCAAAAGUUAUCUUGGCAAAUGCAACACUGCUUUUCUGACCACCUAUUUAUAUGGGCAAAGAAUCAUGUUAUAUGUGCAAUAACAUUCAAAAAGCCUCAGAGAAAGUACAGUGAACUGCAAUUUAGAUUACAAAUUAACUCACCUCUAAAAGAGCUUCACGACCUCACACAAAAAUUGCUUCAAUAAAAUUUUUUCAUAUGCAACAGUAACAGAGAGGGAGGAGAUGUAUCAGACAAGGUUUGCAUUCGUCGAACUGCAAGAUUUCCAGUUACACCAAACAAACACAAGUAAGCUCGAAACUUUUGUUCUGGAACUCCCCACACGAAAAAUGCCACAUAAGAAGGUAUUUUCAGAUAAAAUAACAUAAUGUAAGACAAAAUAAUAUUUCACAUUAGAGUAAACGCACAUGACUGAUACUUUAAAGAACUAAAUAGUUUUGCCCCAGAGGUCACUGCUGACAACACAAUCACAGAAGCAGGUAGCGUAUCAUUUCAAUCUCAACCAAACAAGCAUAAGUAGUUUGGCUACAAAUUUCUUGCAAGCUUUUAGUAAUAGUUCCUAACCCACUAGAGAUCAAGACCCAAGCGGAAGGUGAUUUAUGGAAUAUCAAUGCUGUCAUGAAUUGGUGUGGCAUUGAAAGGUUGGAGCCAUGAGGCGCCCCAGAAUUUUAUCCCAGAUCGACUGGUUAAUACUACAAAGGAUCAUCAUCAACAAAAAGAAGGUUCUCAAUGAUAAAGGAAACCAUUGAAAAAAAAAAAAAAAAAGGAAGUGCAUCCCUUUUCUUCACAAUCAUAUCACAGCAUCCACAUAACUAAUCAUGUUUUUAGAUUUUAGAAAAGAUUAUUCUUAUUUAGAUCGAAUUCACUAGAAGAAAAUUUAGAACAUCUCAAUGCACCAUAUAAAAUGAAAUGCUUCUUUUUUCUAUUAUUAAAUUGCAAAAGGUGACACUUAACAUUGACAGCAUUAGCCCCACCUCAACAGCAUUCGCAAGUGAUCCUUCCAAGAGAUUUUGCCAAUACAGAUCACAGUGGUAUUUGCAAAGCACCACAGUGAACAAGCUUAAGCGCAGAAGAGAAAAGAAGUUGGGAAGAGAAAAUACAACAAACGCUGAAAAGCAUAGUGCAUUUUGAUUCACAAUUUGUUUGGCGGGUCACGCAAGUGCGAAAGUAAGCACAGUUUUUGGGCAUCAAGAAGAGUUCAAGAUAUGUCAUCAAUAUAGCAAGAUGCAGCUUUGUGAACAGUUCGUUCUACAUAUGUCAAUCUUUCACCUUCAGUGGCUGGUUUUCGAAAAUUUAUGUGAAAAAUCUGAAUGAGGAAAAUCAGUUCGUAUCAAGCAUCGAAUUUAGGAACUGGCUUCACCUCAUUCGGUGGGUGCUCAUAACUCCUCAAACCUCCAGAGCUGGUGAAGCAGUAUCCUAAGUUGGAAGAGAAGGCAAUGUUAAAAAGGUGAACAAUUUGGCGCUCAAAAACCAUUGGAAGAGCAACAUUGUAAGUGAAAAUGCACAAAUCAAACAUGCAUACAGGUAAAGAGCACCAUUUUAAACAUAAAUUAUAAAUUUAGGUUUGGAACCAAUUUUUCCAAUAUGAUGUUACCCAACAAAAUAACAUUCUCCUAGGCAGGCUUUGGUUGCCGAUCUCUUCUCUGAGGAUGGAUAAGCUAUCAGAUCAGAGAUUGAGUCUUGGGGUUCGCCGCUUCCUUCCUUAUCUGGAACCCAAGAUCGGUUCUGUUGGAGGGAGGACUCGACGGGCUUGUUCUCGGUGGCCUCGGCUUGGGAGGCCUUAAGGAGGAAGAAGGCCAGAGUCAAUUGGCAUUGUUUCAUUUGGAGUAAUGCCAUCCUGCCUCGCUACCAACUGAACCUGUGGCUCAUCACCAAGAGGAGGUUACCUACUCAGUCUCUUCUCAUGUCUUAUGGUAGGAUUGAUGCUGCUUCCUGCCCUUUUUGCAACGAGGUGCCUGAUUCAAUCAAUCAUCUUUUUUUUGGUUGUCGCAUUACCUCGAGUAUUGCCUUUUUUUGGGCUACUAGAUGCAAUCUCCCCUGGACCAACAGGACUUGGGAGGAGACUCUCAGUUGGGCCAUUACGCUGAGCAAGGAGUUUUAUAAGUGUGUUGCCCGGUUCUCCUUUGGGGCGCUGUGUCACAUCAUCUGGAGAAACAGGAACAAUAUUCUAUUCAGGGGGGAGCCGUUAUCUAUUUCGGCCAUGAAGAAGCAUCUCCUCAAGGUUGUUAAGGAUAAGGCCUUUACCUUUGAAAAUGUUGAGGACUCUCCCAGGAACAGGCGGAUGCAACGCUCGUGGGAUGUGGACCCCAUUAUCUUCGCUUCCUCUGAUUAUAGUCUGACUUAGGCUUUUCGGUGGUUGUUUAGGUGUUUUUGCCAGGCUUGUUUUGCCGUUGGCUUGCUGUUGGUCGUUUUGUUUGCUUGUCCGCGGCUUCCUUUCACUCUUAAUGAGCGUGUUCAUUUUGAGUGUAAGCUUUUGGAGCCGUGUUGUUUGUACAGUUUGACCCCUAUUAAUAUAUUGCUUACUCUUACCAAAAAAACAAAAACAAAACAAAAUAACAUUCUCCUCUGAAUUCUGCUUAACAUCAGCAGAGCUCAUCCAUCCUUACUUUUCAUAUUGCAAUGCAUGGACUGAACCCCAGUGGAGCCGCAUCAACAAACCGAAAAAAAUAAUUACCUUUAGGGAAUGGUGCGAAAGAUUUCCCAAAGCCCAUCUUCACGACUUCUGCAUUAUCCAAGAGAACAAGACUGCCUCCAGACUCAAGUCCCCAGAAGAAAGGAACACUUCCAUCAACAUCCUGCAUGAUUCAGAGAACAGAAAGGAUUAGAUAUCGAUCACAGGUGACGGGAGAGAUUGAGAGUUAUAUCCCAGAACCAAACCAAUGAACAUUAUUAUUACUCAGAGGCCAGAAAAGCGGUUUUAGAACAGCUGUCGAAGAGCACAAAACCAAGCUUCCUGCUGAUGUCUCUCAUAACUUGAUCAGCAGGGUAAGGCCUCCGAUCCCCAGAGUCCUAUAAGCUUCUAUGAUGAUGACGACCACAUUAGCAGUUUUGUUCCAUCCAUACUGCUGCUUAAGAAGAGCAACAUUGUCUAUGUGUCCUUGGAACAAGCAGAAGAUAUUAUCGACAACCGCAAACAAUCUGCCACAGAGGGUAAGGCAUGUCAAAUCUUGAUGUGGGAUGAGCUGAUAAAGAAGAGAAGACAGUACCACAAUUUCCAUCAAUUAACAAUCCAAUAAAUUUCAUUUUCUGGCUUUCAAAUGAACUAGAGACUGGAGUUCCACUAUCUCUUCGAGGCUGAUAUAUCGAACCUUUCAAAAUAUCACAAUAAAGUCCACCAAAAAUCAGUUUGAUCUAACUGUUGCCUCUCCAAACAAUGAAAUCGUGAUUCUUUUUUUUUUUUUUUUUUUUUGUGGUUAAAGCUACCAUUAUCAAGAGAUGGAGUGGGUAUUUGAAUAGAAGAAAGAUAAACUUUAUUCUUUGACUAGGUAAUCAGUUUUUAAGUGGGUUUCGGCCUGCAUGGUUCGUUCAAAAUUUAGCUGUUUCAUUUGCAUAUUCAAACCCCCGUUUUCAAUUUAUCCUUCCAUCUAUACAAUAACUGUUAUUAGAAGAAAGAAAGCUUCUUAUUUUGAAUAUUGACCUGAACAUGUUAAAAGGAUAUUAUCCAACCAAUUCACGUACAGGAUUUCAUAUAGUAUUUUUGGCUAGGCAUGGCCUACAAUAUAGUUACUAAAAGCAAUUCUGUACAUAGAGUCAAAAGUACAAACUUUUUAAGAUAUUGGCAAGUGAUACUGCAUAUUCAAUGUUAAAAACUUAAGACUCAUCCUUCCAUGAGCCCUAAUCAAAUGACAAACAAGGGCUACUGUUACCGUGAGUACAUCCUAUAUAUCAGCAGCAAUCCUCUCUUCAUCCUUUUUCGCUCUCUCUGUAACAAAGCCUCAUUUUAUGUUUUGUAAGGUAAUGUGAUGUGAUCCCAUUGAACCACUCUCGGCUGAUGACGAACUAAACUUGCCUGAUUCAACGAGGACUGAAGUAUCUUCUUAUGAUCCUGGAAAUUCCCAUGGAAAGGCACCAGCUUGCCUUGAGAAACCACCCAGAGCUCAUCCAUGCUUCCAGAUAUUGGAUGCUCAUUGUGACUAACCUGCAAAUCAAGGUGAAAAGAUGGCUAUUAGCUGUAAAGGCAGUCCAUCAUUGGUCAAAUUGAAGUAUUUUGACAAGAAAAUCAAUCUCACCAUCAGACAUCUUCCUUGGAACAAGACCAGACCUUGAAUGACCGCCUCAACCGCAUCCAUAUCCUGUAGUUUGGGAUAGUAAAAAUCACAGAAUCAUACUCAUCAAUCCUUAGAAAAGAAACUAGCAAUUUACAAAGAUAAAACUUUAGUAGUCAUAGGUCAUUAAAGCAGAACUUAAAGUCCACAUUUAUAAACAAAGAAAUUUCCACAUUAAUUAUGUGCAAAACCCAAUGCUGCCUAUAGGAUAUUGGAAAUACUUGGUAUUAUGGAUUACUGCAAGACAAAAACACUGAUCGUGCUAGCAUACAUGUUCGAUUCCCAAUAUUUUGCCAGUUGGAACAAUUAGAUUGGUUUUGUUCCAUUAUAAGUUAGAUGUAAGAUGGCAGAGGCUCCCUGUUGUGAUCACUAAUUGGUUCCAUUGUAUUUUCAAUGUAAAGACCAGAUUCCUAUAAGUUCAAAUAGUGCAAGAACAAUAUAACAAGCUAACUGAAAAAGUCAUCGAAGUCACAAAAUGAAGAAAAAUGAGCAAAACUUACCAGAUGAUAGGAUGGCUCGCAAGCAAAACUAUGUAUGGUUUCUCGAAAUUUAUCUUGGCAAAUGCAACACUGCUUUUCUGACCACCUAUUUAUAUAGGCAAAGCACCAUGUCACAUGUGCAAUAACAUCCAAAAAGCCUCAGAGAAAGUACACAGCGAGCCGCAAUUUAGAUCACAAAUUAACUAACCUCUAACAAAGCUUCACAAUCUCACAUGAAAAUUGCUUCAACCAAAAAUUUACAUAUGCAACAGUAGCAUAGAGGGUGGAGAUAUAUCAGACAAGGUUUGCAUUCGUCAAAGUGCAAGAUUUCCAGUUACACCAAACAAACACAAGUGAGCUUGAAACUUUUGUUCCAGAACUCCCUAUAGGAAGAAUGCCACAUAAGAAGGUAUUUUCAAAUAAAAUAACAUUGUGAAUAUUGACAGUGCACCUAAUUCUUUCCUCUUGCAAUCAAAAGGCAAUCACAUUGAAGUACUUUUCUCUUGCAAACUUCGCACAAUCGCAAAUUGCCCUUGCCAACGGCUUUGGCAAAAAUAUCCACCAAAUAUCACCAUGGCAAAGCAAGACUACCAAACACAACAAUCAUCAGUAUGGCCAAUUGAAGUCAUAGAACAAGAAAAAUCUAAGAUGAGAGUGGAUACAAGAGAAACCGAUUCCACACGAGGUCCACAGCAUAAGACUUCACAUCGGUAGCGAUUGAUUUAGUCAUCUAGUCAUAAAGAGAAACGACAACAAUGACUACCGCUUCAUUCAUUCAUUCUACCUCACACAGCACACAUUUCUUUCGCAGACAUUGUCAACAAGAGACGAAGAACAUAUCAAUUGUCAACCAAACAAAAUGUGCAGGACAACCUUGGUGAGAUAAAAAUGGAGAAGUCACAAAUACGACCUAUUUUAAUUUCACAAUAUUUACUCGAUUGCUUUAGGCGGUGCUCAAGAUUGGCAAAAGGAUUUUACCUGAGAACCCCUGCAGAAUGGCUGCACAGCAAAUCGAGAGCGUCGAUUGUGGUCAAAUGCUAAAGAUCACCUUCGAUGUCCUCCCCUCGAGCAGAAAUAUACCCUUGCGAAAUCAAUGGCUGGAUGAGACGAAGUAUGAAUUUUUCCUCAUUUUUUAUCGCACUCUUCGGAAUGAAGCGAUACACCCAAACCUUUCAGCGAUUUUUUUCAUGUCCCUCCCCAAAUCAAAACGAGUAUGGAAAUACGAUAUCCAAAAAUUAAAAAUACAAAAAUUAAAAAUACAAAAAUCUGGGAAACAAGGUCCCACAUACCUUCAGUGAAGAAAAUUAGGGCUAGAUCUGCAAAUCAAAUGAUAUGUUCGGGAUGUGAGCGACCUUGUCCCAGUCCUCGCCUGCUUGUCUUUUGCAACUCUCCUCCAAUUCUCCGCACUUGUAGAUGUUUAGGUGAGUAAGGGAUGUGAGCCUUCAUAUUGCUUGAGGGAAUGAUGUCAACAAGUUGCACCCUCUGAUGUCGAGAAUUUGAAGUGAUUGAAGGGCCUCGAUCUGCUCUGGUAUAUCCUUCAAAUUUUGGCAUCCCCAAAUUUCGAGACGCUCGAGAUUGCGGGCCUGUAGAAGCCACUGUGAGAGUGAUGUCAAUUUGGGAAGCUCAUAGAUUUCCACGGAGCGGAGACAGUGAAGGCCUCCAUGGAAAUCCAAGAUGAUGUCGCGGCUUUCGUCUUUGGAUAUAUCCAGCUCCUCACAGUCCCGGAUAGAGAGAUCCAUGAGGCUCGAUAGAUGACGCAUACCUUGCGAGAGGGAAGUCAACUUAUGACACCACGAGAUGGUAAGAGAUUCAAGGGAAGUGAGACUUUGGAAACCCUUCACAGGCAAACAUUUCGGUAACUCUACAUCCUCGAUAUUCAGUCUCUUCAACUUAUUAAGGCCAAGCAUCAUCUGAUUUAUCAACAACGCUCCGUUGGCACGUGUCAGAUCGAACUCCUCGAGAUGAGGAGUUAGUGGCAUGGCUUUUAAUUUUUCACAGUCCUCGAUCUCCAAUUGCAAUAGAAUAGGAAAUGAUGCUGGUGAAGGGGAUGAUUGGUCCGACUCAAUAUAUUCCAAUUUAGGCAUAAGAUAAAUAUGCAAAGACUUGAGGCAAGGUAGUUGGUCCAGUGGGGGGAGACGUUCACAUCUUUUGCAAGCAUUGAACGAUACGUCGACUAAAUGUGGCAAGAAAGAUACAAGGCUAUCCAUCAUCCACUUGGGAAAGCUCUCACCUUUAUAUUCCCAGAUCUCCAACCUUUGUAGAUUUGAGGGCGGCUUUAGUCUAUCAAACAGCACUUCAUCUAUUACUACAUCAUCAGUAUUGAACUCGCCCCAACUAAGUACCAAAAAUUCCAGAGAAUGCUUCUCCAUCAAUAUCUCAUCCUCGCAUUUGACUUCCGCAUUUGUUACGUAUCCCAAAUUUUCAAUUGAAAGUUCUCCCCGGAGGUUAUUAAGCCCCUUUAGCUCCCCAAGUCCGCAAUAAUUCUUAGCACGAGCUUUAUCUUUGGGCAAAAUGAAGUUCGUUAGCCUAUGCAAAGAACUCAAUUCCCCUAUUCCACAUGGCAAAUAACUAAGUUUCAAACAACCAUCUAUGUCCAGAUUUCGAAGGCCGACUAACUUCCUUAUAUCAUUUGGCAACUCUUCGAGGGCAUCACAGAAAUUGAGAUUAAGUGUUUGCAAGCUCUGCAAUUUCGUAAUGGAGUUAGGAAGCCUUUUGAGUGUGCGGUUGUAAGAGAGAUCGAGAUAAGUGAGAUACUUUAACUUAUAAAUGGACCUUGGCACCUUCUCGACCUCUGUGGCUUGCAGAUCCAAGAUGCGCAACCUCUUGAAAUUUUGAAUUAAUUGGAGUAGGUCUACUUCACUUGUUAGAUUUCUUCCCCAACCUCCAACCCUACGUUUGGUCGUCCGGAUUUCUAAUCGGGAUAGGAUUGGAUAGGAUAGGAUAUGAAAUCCUGGGAUUUUUUUAUAUCCCGUCUAGUAUUUGGUGAAUCGCAGUAUUAAAGUCGGAUAUGUUCACAUUAUGUACAUUUUUUUUUAUAUAAACGACAUAUUAUUAUAAAUGAACCUAAAUGUUCAUAAAUAAAGACGGUGAAAAUAUCUCGUAACAUUAUUCCUUAAUUUAUUUAUUAUUUAUUAUUUAUUUUAUUUUUUCUCUUUUUUUUAUAUUAUUUUCAUUAUUAUUUCUUUUUCCCCUUUCAUCAUUCUUUAAUAAAAAUUUAUCAAAUAGUAAACUGUACUAACAUACCUAAAAUACAAAAAUACCUAAAAUAUAUAAUAAAUAUAAAUAUUUAAUUUAUAGGUUGAAUGUUUAUUAUAAAAUAUAAUUAAAACUGAAUAUAGAAAUUAAAAUAAGAUUAAUUAAAAAUAAAUUUUUAUUUUCUUAAAUUAGAAUUCAAAUAUUAUUUAUAUUGAAAUAUAAUUUCAAUUUUUUUAAUUUAAUAAGUUUGUUAUUCAAGAAAAAUAACUUUCCUUUUAUGGACAUUAGAAAUCCUAUCCACCUUUAUCCCACCUCCCCCAUGGGAUAAUUUUAUCCUGUCUAUAUCCCCCUUAUAUCCGACUUUAUCCUAUCCCGAGUGAGCACCAAACGUAGGAUAGGAUAAAUUAUAUCCUAUCCCGAAUUUUAUCCCGACUGCCAAACGCAGCCCAAUAGUACACAAAAAUGUUCUCAACACACUUGGUUUCAAGCGUGAGAUUGGAAGUUCACCCAUCAAAUUGAAAGUCAAACCAUAGGAUAUAUGACGAGUUCUUUCAUUUAUUUGAUUUAUGUCAUCCCUUGCCACCCAACACUUGUUCCUUGCAACCGAGCAGGCUAGAUCAUGCAUCAAAUCAUGCAUCUUGCAAGUUUCCUCCUUCGUGUAUGGAUCUUUUUUUAAAUCUUGGAAGAAGUUACUCCAACAUAGAUCCAUGAAAUAGUCAUGACCAAUGUCUUCUAAAAGCUUACCUGAAUUUGAUGGCUGGAUAAAUCCUUCUGCCAUCCAAAGAUCAACUAAAGUAUGCUUCUUUAUCUCAAAAUCUUUGGGAAACAAUGAACAAAUGGUGAAACAUUGUUUCAAAUGUGAAGGAAGAUGGUCAUAACUUAGCCUGAGAAUAGAUAUUAUAUCGUCUUUCAUUUGAGACACUUUUGGGAGCUCAACAUCUUUAAAACGUAACCAUUCAUCUUUAGUUUCCUUAAAGAAUAAUAACCUCCCAAUAGUUCGAACAAUCAAUGGAACUCCAUAACAAUUUUUAACUAUCUCUUUACCAAUAGCUAGCAUGCUAGGAUCUUGUCUAGCCCCUUCUUUUCGACCAGCCAUUUGCAUCAACAAAUCAAGAGAAUCACUUUCAGAUAAGCCAUUAAGAAGAAGAGGCGGAGCAGGGGAGGUGAUCUUUGCAACCAAAGGAAGGCGUGUAGUUAUAAGGAUCUUGCUUCCUCUAGCACCUCCCAUCAAUAAUGAUUUCAAGUCGGGCCAUGUUUCUAAUUUUGCAUCCCACAAAUCAUCCAAAACUAAGAGAUAUCUCCUUUUAUCAAUUAUUGUCCUAAGUUUACUUUGCAACCUAUCCAUCACAUUGUGGUUUGGUGGUUCUGUCUCCUCCACACAAACUAUGAUAUCUUUCACUAUUUUUAUCAUGUCAAAGUCAUUAGAGACACAAACCCACAUUUUCAAGUGAAAAAUGUUUACUAAUCAUCUCAUCAUUAUACACAAAUUUAGCAAGAGCUGUUUUUCCAAGCCCACCAAUACCAACUAUUGGAAGGAUAGAAAUGUUCUCUUUCACAUCCAUAUCCAGUAAGAAUUUCAUGACAUUCUUUUUAUCAUUACCUCUUCCAAUAAUGUCUUCCUCACAUAUAAACGAAUGCGUCUCCUCUCUCUUCCUCCACCCUCUCUUUGCUUGCGAAUUCAUAGGUCCCUUGUCCAAGUAGAAGUUCUUUUCAGCCUCAAUAUCUAUCAAUCUCUCCCUCACUUCUCUUAUUUUUCUACUCAUCUUCAGUUCAAAAGCAAGCUGGUUUGAACUUGAGAAAAAUGUUCUUACUGCCUUGAUCAUCUGAUUGUCGCCCCUCAGUUCUCGUUGCAUAGCUUCUAUAUUAAAUUCUUCAAGCACGUCCUGCAAGUCAUAGAAAGCCUCUUUUAGUUUCUCCACCCAAUCUUUGAUUUGGGAACUCUGGUGUUGUUGCUCUUCUGCAUCGUCCAGCACAGAAUGAAGCAUGGUGACGGUGCUCCUGAGCAUCUGAAGUUCACGCUUGAUGCCCCCCUAAAUUUCCAACCUUUCCCAGUGCUUGAGUAAUCAGAUUGGCAAGGACGCUUCCACCAAUGCUGAUGACAGCUUCUGCCAUAUUUGUUCUCUCUAUCUCUCUUUCUCUAUGGGGUUGAGAAGAUUUUAGUCCUGUCGUUCCAAGGCUAGAGUCUUCUUAGAUGAUGUAUAAAAAGUCUGUCAUUGAGAUUAAAUAAGUGUACAAUAAUAGUAGAUAAUAGAAAAUAUUUAACUGACAAAUAGUAAUUCCAAAGCAUCCUAUGUCAUGUAAGAUUCCAUCCCAUCUAAUAAGUAAGGCGAGUUCCUAUUCAUACAUUCUUCUAGAAACAUUAUGUUAGAUUAUAUUAGAUUGAUUAAGGUUUUUUUCUACCAUACUGUUAAGUAAUAUGUCUAAUUAACAUUAAGGAAAUUGGGAGGUAAUUGAGUGAUGAUGUGGUUCGACCGUUAAGCUCCAUUUUGCUGGACUUUCUUCUUAGUUUGGUUUUAAUAUACGAUGCGUAAUAAAUUAAAACGAAACAAGGUAAUCACAAUGAUCGGAGGCUUUUUAAAAAAUAAAUUUAAUUUUGUGCUUUCUUAUGUAAAAUUCAAAAUGUUCUUUAAAUAUAAAAAGUCAUUAUUCAAAUUACAUAUUAAUGUUUACGUGUUGUGAAAAUUUCAUAUGUUUCAAGACAAAAUAAUGUAAAAUGUAGACCGAGACAACAUUAGAAGAAACAAAAAUAAAAUGUAAAAGUCUAUCAAGACAAGCCGUGAGCUAAGUUGGUGAUGCUCUUGAAAUCCGCUAGAGGUGUUGGACCAUGUCGUUGUCCUUUGUACUUGUUAUCUUUUCUUUUUUCCUUACUUUUUCUCUUUUUGGGCGAACAGAAAGUGUAAGGUAACAUGAUGUUGAAGCAAAGCCACAAUUUUUCACUUCAUUGGCCGACAAAUGAGAAUCAAAAUCCACUUACGAGGGCUACACUACAUCCACCACAAUCUGCUCAAGCCCGGAAACUAUCUCAUUGCAGCUUAGAAAGUUAUCAUAGCUGUCUUGAAAGGGGCAGCAGCAUAGGGAAUGCCCCGAUGGAUGCCCACUCUCUAGUGUUCAGUGGACAAGAUCAGCUUAUGCUAGGUGAUAAAAUGUUGUAUUUUGCAAGACCGUACGUGUCAGAGAACAAGACAAAUGAAGAUAUUGAGUCUCAAGGUCUAGCGUCCCUGUCAAUUUGUGCACAAUCUCUUUUGAACUCUUUACCAAGCCCCUUUUCUUAUUAGUGUUGAACUCAAGUUCUUCUAAAUCACAUCCAACGAGUACGAUAAAUGUGUCCCAAUAUAUGAACUAUUUGAAGAAAAAGUACAUAAAAUGGUCAAGUCCAUAUAAAUGAGUAAUAGCAUGAGUCUUAACAUGAUACUAAAUAUUUCAUGAAACAUUUGGCAAGAUGCUUGCGAUCUUUAAUAAGGAUAGCAGGUGUUGCAGGUUCUUAUUCACUGAUAAUCACAAUUAGUUGUUGUAUUUGGUCACUCCCCCUUCCAUGUUAGUUGCAUGUUCAUAAUUUCUAUGGAUGCUGAUUCAAUUAUAUUUAAUUCCAUUUCUUUCUAACCGCCCCUUGCUCUACCAGGAUUUUCAAAAGAAAUCAUGUGACUCUUAGUAUGUACGUAACGAUAAUUGUAAUUUUUCAUGUGAGCAGUAACUUUUUACAAGAUAUUCGACUUCCAAUAUAUAAAUAAGUACUCACCUAUUUACAUUAUUAAUAAUCACAAAAGGUAACCUAUCUACAUUGAUUCUUAUCGUCCCAUGUAUUUUAAAAAAAGGACAAGUUUGAAAAAAAAAAUUGAUGAUUUUUGCAAUGUAAUAGUAAAUCUUAAUUUGUAAGACCAAAAAUUUACAUAAAGUUUGUGACCUAUUCAUGGGACGAGUAAGUUUUGCUUUAAAAAAGUAAUUACCACCGACCCUGUUUAAUAAAAGAAAAUAUAGGAAUUGACAAACAAUAUUUAAGCCGCCCACGGGUCUAGAAAGUGAAAAUUAAAGUUUUUUUUUUCUCAGCAGCUGUAAAUGAAAAUUUCUCCCAAGGGGGCUAAAGAACAAAUGAGCCCGGCUUUUUUCUGAUGAUGCCCAUUUUCCUAGUUUCAUCACAUGCUUUCCUUAGAAAACAGUGCACGUUCACAUGCUUUCCUUCUAAUACAGUGCCGGUUAACAUGCAUGCCUCAGUUGUUUUGUAGUAAACACCGGAGUAUUAAGAUUUAAUAGAACUUGGAUCUUGAGAAGACGGAAAAUUAUCAUAGCUGCGGGGGCAACUUAAAAUCUAACUUCACAUGGUAAAAAAAAUUUAUGUUAACGAAUUUCUGCUUUUGUCUGAAUAAAAAACUGAAGAAAAGAUUAUGAAGUAUAAAUUGUGAAUGAAGUAGUAUGAAACUUUUGUGGGCAAGAAAUUGCAAAUUGGUAUAGAAGUACGAUGUGCAGUGGGAUAACAAAAAAGCAAGCUGAUGAGGAUGCUUUUGGACUUUAGAUUUUAAUAUGCGGAAUGGUAGAACGGCUCUUAAAGUUGGCUAAUCUUCUCUUGUGAAUUCCAUUUAGAAUUGGAAAUUGGGACAUGUUACAUCUUCUUAUGUGCCCAAUUUGAAGAAGGCUAAAUAUCCUAAAUAUGUAAAUCUUUACACCAUAUAAGUCAUUUUUAAAUCCAAAUAAAAGACUUCGAUAGUUUCCCUAAGCAUUCUUUGUUUCAUCAAUUUAUUCAUUUUUAGAAAAGCUCUCUGGUUAGUCUCUAUAAGAAAGAACGAACCUGGCUAAUAGUGGGCUGAUCAACGGCCGACCAACAAAGGCGAGGCCCCAACCGGCUAGAUCAAGAGAGGAGGACAGGAGACGGUGUCGACAAGAUCAAGAGAGAGAUGAGAUGAGAUGGCAUGGGCAAAGACUCCAAGAAUAGAGAGAUUAAGGGCACUGCUAGGGAAAGUCAAGAGACGAAGAGUCUGAGAGAGAGGCUAGCUAUGGGAGUGAGAACUAAAAGAGAGUAGCGAGGGUCUUUAAAUUUAAAAGAUUUAGCACUGCUUUGAACUGUUCCAAAUAGGGGUGAUUGGUCCAGGGUGGGUAGGUUAUAGACCUAGACCCUGUACCCGACCUUAUUAUAACCGGUUCCCCUUUUUUGGACCAUGUACCCGACCCACCCUAUUUUUUCGGUCCAGUUCUAGGGUUAACCCUGUUUAUAUUGGAACCUGUUUUGCAAUUGCCCAUCCUAUACGACUUCGAAUUUUAUAUUAAUACGCGAUAAAACAACAUAAUUCUUCUAAUUUAUAUUGAAACAUUAAGCACUUGUAAUUAAUAAGUAAAUAAACUUUUUGACUAAACAAAAAACUAAGGAUUCACAAGGCAAAUUAUCAUAAACAAAAUCAUAAGGAAACUAGCUCCUGAUAUGACGCCUCCCAUGAUCAAAUAUAUUCUCUAGGGGAUAUCCAAGGGUGAUUCAUUCAUCUCAGGAAGUCACUCCGAAGCUGUACGUUUAAUUUAAACAGAAUGUCUUGAAACCCAUCGAUCGGACAUCACUUAUAUAAGACAAGGAAGAAAAUCCAGUGCAGCUGAAGCCAGAUAAGAGAUUUCAGGAGCUUGAAAACUGCAGAUCCUACACCAUCAGUCUCAUUAGCAUUGUUUUCAAGAUCCAUCUCUCGAUUCCAUGACAGAAUAUCACUACAAUCCCUGAAAACCUAUACCUCAAACAGUUUACUUGACUGCUUUUUCGAAAACGUUGAUCCAGAGUUUUCCAUUGGCAGAAGAUGUAGCAUAGUUUACAUGAGACAAUCUACGGUGACUACUACCCCGAAUGAUUUUAAGUUUUCUUUUCAGCCUGCUUCAAUGGAGAACCAAACACUUCACCAUGAAAACCCAAAUCUGCUACGUUGAUUAAUUAAAUGGCAAAUUAUCAAUGCUUGGAAGGCAGGACCGAACCAUUAAAGCUAUUAGUAGACGCCCACUGAAAAGUUCACGACACAGCAGGCAAUGAUCCGUUCAAUGAAUCCAAAGCGCAAUACUUAUCGUUCAUACUUCAGAACUGGGAGUUGCAUCGAGACAAGCAUUGAUUGCAAGACAAGCAUUAACAAGGAAAUGGUUUGCAACAGCAUGACAAUUUCAAUUAAACUCUCUUGCACAAAACAAAAAUCAUUUUCAAUUCAAGUACAAAAAGAACCAAAGUGAACAGCAGUUUAAUAAUUUUCACUUCAAAUGUGUCAAUAAAUCAAAAACAAUUAGACAGACCCAUUUGGAAAAUUUGGUUUGGUACAGAAGUUUUUUGAGCUUAUAAGAAAAAGAGAGAGAGAGCAGCUUAAAGGUGCUUGAAACCUACAUAAACAAAUUGAAAUCUUAAAACCUAGCUUGAUAUCUACACAUCAAAGGCUAUCAUUGAGCUGAUCUACAUAGACUAUUUAUAAUCCCACUACCUUCCCCAAUGAGAAUAUUUAUAAUCCAAACUGUAUGGCGAUAUAUGUGGUAAAUUAUUAAAAUGGGACUCCAUCCAACCAAAUUCAACUACGUAACAAACAUUGAGAUUCCUACUAAAAUCAAUAAUCUUAAAGCAGUCUCGUCUUCCAAACCAACUCAAAAUUUGGAGAGAAAUAUAUAGAAAGUUGGGAAACCAAAAACAGUUCAUGCUGUCUAGAAGACCAGCUCGUGCGGCUUCAUGCCCGCCUUCAAGGAGAACCUGGCAGCUAAGUAUGUCUUCAAAUAAAGUAUGAAGACACAAGAACAUAAUANNNNNNNNNNNNNNNNNNNNNNNNNNNNNNNNNNNNNNNNNNNNNNNNNNNNNNNNNNNNNNNNNNNNNNNNNNNNNNNNNNNNNNNNNNNNNNNNNNNNUUUCUGUUCUUUUUUUGUUCCAGGGAACAUAAAUAAAAAAAGUGUUUCUGUUCCGGGGAACAAUUUUUGAACAAAAGAACGCGUUUGGUAACGUUUGUUCCGGGAAUAAAAAAUGAAUAGAAACACGUUUGGUAAAUUUUAUUCUUUUUUGUUUCUUUUAAUUUUUUAAACAUUUUUAUUUUAUUUUUCAUUUUUUCCUUUCUUUUUUUCUUUUUUCUUUUUUCGGCCGGUCCCCGGCCUCCGGCGACCGGCCGACGGGGCCGGCAGCCUCGCCCAGCCACGGCGAGGCUCGCCGUGGUUGGGCGAGGCUCGGCCUCGCCGGGGGCCGGCGACGCUCGGCCUCACCGGAUCUGGGCGAGGCUCGGCCUUGCCGGGGACCGGCGACGCUCCGGCGAGGUCGCCGACCCUCGACGGUGUCGCCGGCCAAAGAAAAAAGAAGAAAAAAAAGAAGAAGAAAAGAAGAAGAAAAGGGAAGAGAUAGAAUUUUUGUUCUUUUUUUGCUUCGAAGAAGUGUUUCUUUUCUCAGAAACAAUUUCUUUUUUUUGUUCCUAUUUCGUUCCAGGAACAAAAAAACAAAAAAAGAACAGAAACGCAACCAAACGCGUUUCUGUUCUUUUUUUGUUCCCGGGAACAAAAUCCGUACAGAAGUGUUCUAGAAACGUUUCUUUGGAGCGUUUCCAUGCACGCCCGAAAUGAACCUAGAGCUUUAUUUUGUAUGAUAAAGGAGAAAUUCAGCUUUCUGUCCUUUAGCAUCGCAGUUGAGGGGCAGAAGGAUCAGUACGAACCCAGCUUACCCGAGUUCUACGAUUUCUUCCCUCUCUCCCCUAGCUUACCCCUACUCAUUCACAAUGAGUUCCCAUAUGAACAAAAAAAUUCAAAAUUUUCCACCAAUUUGACAAGAAAUCCAGCUCAGGAAAGCACCCCCAAAGAAGAGAAAAUAUUGGCUGGGUUUUACCCUCCACGUAGGCGAUGGGUAAGACCACUCAGUGAUCGACACGUGGCGCCACGUAGCGACGGCGUCAGAAGUUUAAAAUUUUCGCGCGCCGCUCCUGAAGCCCACCACUCUGACACUCUCUCUCCUCUGUUCUCCUCUGUGACCUGUCCACUCGUCCUCUCUCUCCUCUCUCUCCCCGUUCUCCCCGUUCUCCGUUCCAUUUUGCGGGAGAACAAAAGUCGCAGGUGCUUCUUUUCGAAUGCUCUUCCCCCUCCUCUGCUCUCUCUCCUCCGCUGGCAACCCGCGACGCCUCGCCUACAAGCGUGAGCAUGUUGUUUUUCAGUGAUGUGNNNNNNNNNNNNNNNNNNNNNNNNNNNNNNNNNNNNNNNNNNNNNNNNNNNNNNNNNNNNNNNNNNNNNNNNNNNNNNNNNNNNNNNNNNNNNNNNNNNNNNNNNNNNNNNNNNNNNNNNNNNNNNNNNNNNNNNNNNNNNNNNNNNNNNNNNNNNNNNNNNNNNNNNNNNNNNNNNNNNNNNNNNNNNNNNNNNNNNNNNNNNNNNNNNNNNNNNNNNNNNNNNNNNNNNNNNNNNNNNNNNNNNNNNNNNNNNNNNNNNNNNNNNNNNNNNNNNNNNNNNNNNNNNNNNNNNNNNNNNNNNNNNNNNNNNNNNNNNNNNNNNNNNNNNNNNNNNNNNNNNNNNNNNNNNNNNNNNNNNNNNNNNNNNNNNNNNNNNNNNNNNNNNNNNNNNNNNNNNNNNNNNNNNNNNNNNNNNNNNNNNNNNNNNNNNNNNNNNNNNNNNNNNNNNNNNNNNNNNNNNNNNNNNNNNNNNNNNNNNNNNNNNNNNNNNNNNNNNNNNNNNNNNNCGCCUCCACCUCCGCCUCCGCCUCCACAGGUUGCCUCCGCCUCCACCUCCGCCUUCACAAGGGACAUCGACGACCUGAAGAUUGCUGUUACUAUCCCGUCAGUCCUUUCGGCACAAAGGUUAGUCUCAUACCGUAAGGUAUGAUGUUUAACAAAUGCUGAUGGUUCAAAUGGUCAAAUCUUAGAGUGGGAACAUGUACCUGCUAUGAUAGCUGGUAUAGUUUCUUUGGUUUGCACUUGAGUUUCCUCUUUGCAUGGUGGGUUCUUUCUGUAGAUUUGAGGUUUGUCACCAUGUUGCCCAUGAUAAUUCUGUUUUCUUAAUGUUCCAAUUAAAGAAUAAUAACAGAACAAGUGCUGGUUUUCUCACUGAUAAUUGUGUUUAUUUACUGAUCAUGUGUGCCUAAUAGGUUUUGUCUAGUAGCAAAAGCACCUUUGUGAAAGGAGCCUGUGGAGUUGGCUUGGCUUUUUCAUGCCAGGAUCUUCUAACUAGGACCGAAGCUGCUGAUAAUGCUGACAGAGAUUCCUACAAGAUGGCUGAAGUUGAAUUAGUAGGGAAUAUUAUCCGGUCAUUAUCUAUCACGAUCUUGGAACUUACAAAAUCAACAUCCCAGAUUCUUCAAAGUCUGUGUGAACAUUUUCCCAAUGACAUGUGUGAGAAUGGUAGAUGUCAGAAUCCUCAUUUCUUGAAUGAGGACAGUGAUCUUGUGGAGGAAGACACCUGGGUCUUGCUGGACUUGUUCUUGGUUUGGGCAGCUCUAUUAGUGCAGUUUACCGAAGUGGGGAAAUUGAUGUGACACUGAAGAUAAAGGACUUGAUAACUUCAUGGAUUCCACACACGGAGCCAUUUGUUUGGAGCUCUAACUCCUGCAAUGAAGGAUCUGAGAUGCUUCUAUCUGUUGGAUCUUGUCUUGCACUUCCCAUGGUUGUGGCUUUCUGCCAGAGAGUAGAAUUGGUGGAUGUUGGUGAACUAAACCAACUGAUGAAUAGUUAUAGAGAACUUAUAUCUGAAUUAUUGUCUGUUAAAAAGUCAGGUGCAUUCCACCAGAGCUUGUUGAUGGAAUCAUGUGCUGGAGCAGGGAGUCUCCUUGCCUGUGUUGUGAAGGAAGGCAUAGAUUCCAUUGAAGUUGGAUGUCUGAAAGAAUUACUGGAAUUGUUGAGGAGAUAUUAUUCCAAUCCUCAGCCUCCCUCCACUUAUCUGGGAGGGAUGCUUGGAAUGGUUAAUUCUUUGGGUGCAGAAGCUGGGUUGGUUCUGAUUCAUCCCUUAUCCUCCAAUUAUGGUCGUUACAGGCUGAAGGUGAUUGAGGAUUUUCCUCAACUAGCCUUCUAAUCAUUUUUCAUGGUCCUUGUUUCUUACAGUGAAAUGUUCUCUUGGCAGGAAUCUUCUCAUAUAAUACGUGCGCUUCUUUCAAGUCCUGUCUGCGAGCCUUUGUUAACAUCAUCAAUGCAAGAGAUGUUUCUUGUUGCUCAACAUUCUGAAGAUAAUCAGCUGCAACAAUACUCUGCGUGGGCACAUUCUCUUUUCUUCGACAUAGUCUGUGGUCCAAGGAAGUAAAUUCGGAUGAUCAUAUUCAGACUGAUACCACUGUCUCAGAAGUUGCUUCUCAAAGUUUCUCCAAUGACAGUAUAGUCAUUAAACUCUGCUCAUGGUUAACGAUUGUGAAUUCAUCAAAGAUGAAUAGGCCAAAUACAGAGGUGAUGAGCUCCAUUUAUUGUUCUUGUUUCAGAAUUCUUCAUGUUGAAAGUUUAUGUCACUCUAUAUAUGAUGAAGGACUCACUAUAAAACUUUAGUCAGAAGUGGUUAUCAUGGACUCACAAAAUCAACUUAUAUUUUGCUUUCUGAAGUGUUUGAUUUUCCCUUGUUGGUGUAUUUUCUGUUGUUGAGACUCAAAAUUCUUGAAUAGAACGAAAUGAAGACAUGUCCAACAUAUGGUUCAAGAUGACCUAUAACCUUGUGAAUGCAGUGGUGAUCAAAAUAGAAGUUACUAGAUUUGUUUGAUGGGUUUUCUUUAACAUUUGACUUGCAGACACAUGGAAUGUGCUUGUUGAAGUUGUAGCAACUUUACAACGUGCUGAAGGAAGCAUUAAAAGACAGUGGCUUGUUUAUGCAGUGGAGAUUAGCUAUGUCUCUAAUUUUCCCUCUACGGUAUGCAACUAUUCCCAUACUUUUUGACGCAUUACUAAUGAAAUGGAUAGGGCAUUAACUAUUGCUUCUGUUCAUAAGUUGUACGUGUCUCGGUUUGCUUGAAGGCUUGUCCAUACCCAGCAUGUUAUAUUAAUUGCAAUUAACAAUGAUGAAUAAAAAAUGACUUCAAAAGUAUUUAAGUUUUGACUUAUAAAUUAGAGUCAAACAACAAAAGAAGUCGGUCCUGCCUUUUUGUUCCCCCUUAACUCUCUUAGUCCCAUUCUAAUUAUCGAUUGAAGGUACUCAAGUAAUGUGAGUUGAAAGAGAUGCUUUCUUGUAUUCAGUGUGUUGUACUGCAUCGGGAUUAUGAGUGAUGAUGCUUAAGUGUUUAGUAAACACACCACUAGCUCUUUGUUUUCAGGACAGGUUUGCCUCUAUAGUAAGAUGUUAAGUUUCCAUUUUAUUACCUCAGCUCUGUUGCCUCGUGAUAAAAUGGGUUUCUGCUCAUGUGGAAAGAUGGAGCAAAUGGGAUUCGCUUAUUUGUGUUGCUGCUGUAAGAUUACAUGUCUGUUCAUCAUGCUUCUAUGUAACUUUCUUAAUCUCUUGCAGCCAAUGCAAUUUAUUGGCCUGCUCUCAGGCAGUUGCUGCAAAUACAUGCCUUUGUUGAUCCCGGAUCGCUUCAGUGUCUUGUCUCUCUGCUAAGGUAACAAUGGUAUCUCAUAUUUGAUUAGUUUUGUGUUGGUUAGUUAAGAAAGGUGAGAAUAAAUUCCCAUCUCCAACAGCUCAGUUUCAGUGAGGCUUUAUGUUUUGUCUCCUUGUCUAUGAGAUUCAUUUUGCUCUAUUGUAUAUAUUUCAUGGCAUCCGAGCUGUAACUAGUCCAAUGGGGUGUCUACUUAUUGUCAAGGUACUUCCUUUACUUUAUCCUAGAGUAUUUUGGCAUACAUGUAAACUUGUGUAUACAAGGGAAAAACUAAAAAUUUUGUGAAUGGCACUUUCAUUGCCACGGAAAUUCCGAGAGUUUAUGCAGUUCUAGCAGCCGCAUAGACCACAAGUACUUAUUUCCCUGUGCUAUGACAUCUGUCCAAAACAGAAGAUCUAACAGAAAAAGGAUUACAAUCUCCCUUUUGCAGAAUUAUACAGGUGAUCGCUUGAACUUUGGAUUGGCUGCUGAGCUGGCUAAAUCUGAAGGUGGAGAUAAACCAGCUCCUGAGCCUGAUCAUCAACACCUUCUACAGCAACAAGGAGACCUUCCUCCACGAGCUCAUCAGCAACUCCUCUGAUGUACGUCUCCUCCACCUCGCUUUGAAGUACUAGGUUGCCUUGUUCAAUGUCUUUUGUCUGUUAGGUGUUCGUAAGGGCUUGCAGGCUUGAAGAUUAGAGAGAUUUAUGUUUGCUUGAAGUAGUUGUUCGAUGCCUAGUGAAGACUUAAGCGUGUCAUUUUUAGUUGAUUGGAUGGCUCUGCCUUCGUGUCAUUUUUAGUUGAUUGGAUGGCUCUGCCUUAGGCAUUGUUGAGAAAUAAUCGUGAUUGAAAUGCGAUAUUGUGAUGCUGAAGGUGAUAUAUUGAUUCUGAUCUGUGAUCGGUUUGUGUGUGCUUUAGGCAUUGGAUAAGAUUAGAUAUGAGAGCCUCACGGACAAGAGCAAGCUCGAUGCCCAGCCUGAGCUGUUCAUUAGGCUGGUGCCGGACAAGGCCAACAAGACCCUUUCGAUCAUUGACAGUGGCGUUGGCAUGACUAAAGUAGGUAAUGUAAUUGGCUGACAGAGAUUGAUCAAUUUUCUUGCUCACGUCUUUUGGCUAUGGCUAUGUUCCUACGCGAUAACGGUUACUGUUACGUUGAGUUCAUUUAAGUUGUGAGACUGUUGGUAGAUAUUAACGUCUGAGAUGAAUUGGACAGAUCUUGUGAACAACCUGGGUAAGAUUGCGAGGUCAGGGAUGAAAGAAUUCAUGGAGGCAUUGCAGGCGGUAGCUGAUGUGAGCAUGAUCGGUCAAUUUGGUGUCAGUUUCUACUCUGCUUAUUUGGUGGCUGAGAAAGUCAUUGUGACUACUAAGCACAAUGAUGAUGAGCAGUACAUCUGGGAGUCCCAGGCCGAUCGUUCCUUCACCAUUACAAGAGAUGUGAGUGGGGAGCAACUCGGCAGAGGGACCAAGAUCACCCUCUUCCUUAAGGAGGACCAGGUGAGUUCAUUUAUGGUUGCUUUUAUGAAUUCGUGGAGAAGAUUUGCAUUGGUUUUGGAUGAUACAUGAUGCUGUCAGCGUCACGUCUCUGUUUUCCUCAGCUGGAGUACCUGGAAGAAAGAAGGAUUAAGGACCUUGUGAAGAAGCACUCCGAGUUCAUUAGCUACCCCAUCUAUCUAUGGACUGAGAAGACAACCGAGAAAGAGAUCAGUGAUGAUGAGGACGAUGAGCCCAAGAAGGAAGAGGAAGGAGAUGUUGGGGCCGUCAAUGAGGAGAAGGAAGAAAAGAAGUCCAAGAAGAAGAAGAUUAAGGAAGUUUCUCAUGAGUGGCAGCUCAUCAACAAACUGAAACCCAUCUGGUUGUGAAAGCCAGAGGAGAUCACCAAGGAGGAGUAUGCUUCCUUCUACAAGAGCUUGACCAAUGAUUGGGAAGACCAUCUUGCCGUGAAGCACUUCUCUGUUGAGGGGCAGCUUGAAUUCAAGGCUAUUUUGUUCGUCCCAAAACGUGCUCCGUUCGACCUCUUCGAUACUCGCAAGAAGAUGAACAACAUCAAGCUCUAUGUUAGGAGGGUUUUCAUUAUGAACAACUGCGAGGAGCUCAUUCCAGAGUAUCUGAGAUUCGUGAAAGGAGUUGUUGAUUCUGAUGACUUGCCCCUCAACAUUUCUCGUGAGAUGCUGCAACAGAACAAGAUUCUGAAGGUCAUCAGGAAAAAUCUUGUCAAGAAGUGCAUUGAGAUGUUCAAUGAGAUUGCAGAGAACAAGGAGGACUACAACAAAUUCUAUGAGGCCUUCUCGAAGAACUUGAAAUUGGGUAUCCAUGAAGACAGCCAGAAUAGAGCUAAAGUUGCAGACCUCCUCCAGUACCACUCGACAAAGAGUGGGGACGAAAUGACAAGUCUGAAGGAUUAUGUCACGAGGAUGAAGGAGGGUCAGAAGGAUAUCUACUAUAUCACUUGUGAAAGCAAGAAGGCUGUAGAGAACUCUCCGUUCUUGGAGCGGCUCAAGAAAAAGGCUAUGAGAUGCUUUUCAUGGUGGACGCAAUUGACGAGUAUGCUGUAGGACAAUUGAAGGGAGUAUGAUGGAAAGAAGUUGGUCUCUGCAACCAAAGAGGGCCUGAAACUUGAUGAUGAAAGCAAGGAAGAGAAGAAGAAAAAGGAGGAGAAAAAGAAGUCCUUUGAGAACUUGUGCAAGACAAUGAAGGACAUUUUGGGAGACAAAAUAGAAAAAGUCGUGGUAUCGGAGAGAAUUGUGGACUCUCCCUGCUGUUUGGUGACGGGAGAAUAUGGAUGGUCUGCAAAUAUGGAAAGGAUUAUGAAGGCUCAGGCUCUGAGGGACAACAGCAUGAGCUCUUACAUGUCAAGCAAGAAGACAAUGGAGAUCAACCCUGAUAAUGGCAUCAUGGAGGAGCUGAGGCUGAUAAGAACGACAAGUCCGUGAAGGACUUGGUGAUGUUGCUGUUUGAGACUGCUCUUUUAACAUUCGGGUUCAGUCUCAAUGACCCCAACACUUUCGCAGCAAGGAUUCACAGGAUGCUGAAGCUGGGUCUGAGCAUUGACGAGGAUGAGACUGCUGGUGAUGAUGUUGACAUGCCUGCCUUGGAAGAGGAUGGUGCUGAGGAGAGCAAAAUGGAGGAAGUGGACUAAGCUUCUGCGACAUCGAAGUGAAUUCCAUUUUGUACUAGUGCCAUAGAAAGAUGAGGGGUGUGUGAUAUGUUAAUGGAUAUAGUGCUUCUAAAUUGUUACUUCUAUUAUUGUAUCCAUAAGGCUUAUCAUCUGAAAGGAGUUCGAUAUUUUGUGCUACCAGCAGUGUGUAAAUGAUUUUGUUUGGCAGAUCUUGUUAUCGUGUUUGCGAUAGAAUUUCAGGGUAACAACUCCUUAAGGCGUCAUUGUUGCGUGAAUUGGACUUGGAAAUUUAAGAAACUCUCAAAGUUCGGUGCAUGCAGAGUCCCUAAGGGCAUGAGCCUAUUCGAACAGUGAGUGUGGAAUGGACUCAAACAUGGUGGAAGAAAUACAUAGCACUCUUUUGAGGCGACAGCUUCUUGAUCAAUUAUCUACCUACUCGUUCCUUACAUGUGCAUGGCAUUACCCACGAAAGGGUCCCCCUUCUCAAUAGUAGGAAGUCACGGUUGUACUAUUCUGCACCAAAGUUUGCGCAAAGAAUGAAAGAAAAGUUUACAUAGUUCUGUCCGUUGGCUUUAACCAUGUUUGGAUUGCCUCAAUAGAAAUGUGAUUGGCAAUCUCUACUGAUUCUGUAUGUUCAGGACUACCAAGCGAGCAAAAUAUAAGUAUGUAUUACAUCUGAUCUCCGGAAGAAACUCCUGAGUCACUCGUGCAUACAUGUAAUGUAAAUUGAAACCCAUAUCUUCAUGGGCUUUCUAGUUCAGCAUAAGCUCGUACAUAGCUCAAUGUUAUUGCCUUCCGAUUGAGAAAACGGAAGUAUAAUACAAGAAUGCGGGAUUCCGAAAUAGGUGUAAUGUAUUCCAUGUGGAUUAUCUACCUCCAAAUGAUGGAUUUUAUGUGUAAUCAAGCCAUCUUCAGUAAAAACCAGAAGCACAUAGCCAGGCAUUCCGAUGAGGUGCAUCGUUCAAAAGAGAGAUUCUAGUUAUAGCAUCUCUUGCAAAACGAGCGCCCUGUCCUGCAUUGAGCAUUGUUGCAGAAGUCUCUCUUUGGUUGUCAUCAUUCUGCAUAAGACAAGACGAUCGAGAAUCAAAUCACUCAGUUUAUGAAUCAAAUUGAUUCAGAAGCAAAAUCAUCAAGAACAUGCAUCUUCUUCUAACUGUCCUUCGAUUAUUAAGAAUAACGAGGCAUUACUUCAACAAUUAUCGAGUAACUUUACAAAUAGUCAUUACUAUGAUCCACAUUUAACCUUGUUGUCUAAGAAAGAAUAACAAGAAAACGUCUGUUGCUUUCCUAAGGGGAAAAAACAUAACAUGUGCGGCCAAGAUCAAAUUCUUCGGUUUAAGGCCCUAAAUCUCCCAAUAAUUACUAAAUUCCCACCAUACAAUCUUCAAGAAAAAGUAGUUGAAUAAAAAAUGACAUAAACAAUCAAAAAGACAUGGAAAUCACGUUGACCAUUUAGUAGUAGCCCAUAUAUUACGGGCAUAUGCUGAUCUUAUAUUAACAGCAGCAGAGCCAAAGUUCGUAGCAUCAAGCCAAAACGAAAAUUUGCUUGAUCUUUUAUCAAGGUCCAGAUGUUGGAAGAUCUUGCUUCUACAAAGGGACCUCGUGCAUCAAGUUCAUAAACAAGUAGCUGGCAGUCUUACAUUUUAAAACUUCAAUUGUAACAAAAAUAAUGAGUUACAACACCAGUAGAUGAUAAAAAGGACAAGAAAAUUUUCCACUACACUUAUUGUUUUAUUCUAUUACACCCUUGGGAUGAUACAAAAUACAAAAGCCAAAGAAUAAGCCAAAACAGAAAGCCAAUUCAAAAGCAUAACCUGUGCACAUCAAGCGCGCGGAACAAAUUUGAAUUUUGCAUAUUCAAGAGAAUUUCAAAGAACAAUNNNNNNNNNNNNNNNNNNNNNNNNNNNNNNNNNNNNNNNNNNNNNNNNNNNNNNNNNNNNNNNNNNNNNNNNNNNNNNNNNNNNNNNNNNNNNNNNNNNNUCCCACUCUGGUCAAUAGAAAUGCGACUUCCCAGGACACGUCGCCGACCCAUUCAUUUUUAUUGCACAUGCGAAAGCGAAACAAAUCCCUGACAAUAUUUAACUUGGGAUAGAAAAGCAGGCAAUCAAUCACAACCAAACAAGCUUUCUAUAAACACAUAGGUUUAUAUACAACACUGGAUUGUCUACAAAAUAGACAGGCUCAACAACUAGGGAACUGUCCUAUGACCAACUUGUCAGACACGUUCACCGAUUCUUCAGCCUCCACCUUUCGAACUCCAGGACUUCCGGUCCUCCACAACUGUCAUCUAGGGACUUGAAAUAUUAUCCCACAACCGGGAUGAGACUACGUCUCAGCGAGUCCUACCCUCUAAAACUCAAUUAGGAAGAAAAUACGCCUCAAGGCGCUCUAGCCACACAAAUAGGAUAAAGGGCUUACCUCGCCUCAGUCCCUUUCCUGCACGUCAGUACAAUUCAUAUUCAAACAAUGCUCGCACAAGCUGAAACUACCGACACUUAUAUCAGUCUAUCAAUUCAAUCAAUCCAAUCAUUCGCAAUGAUUCAAUUCCAUCAUACUAUCUAUCUUUCCAUUUCAAUCCGUACUAUCUAUCAACCAUUACUAUCUAUCAUUCAAUACCGUCUAUCAAACCAAUCGUUAAUACGACACAUGUGAUGUUGCUAGUUAUAAACACCUAGAGGGGGGGUGAAUAGGCGCACAAACAAUUUAUCGAUAUACGGAAGCAAUUCUUAACAAAUUGAAAUACGAUCAAGGUAGAAAGAAAGAAAUUGGAACACAUGAUUUAUAGUGGUUCAGCUUUUCCAAGCCUACGUCCACUCUUCCGCACUGACAGCCCACCGGCUGGAUUUCACUAUGAUCAAAAGAGUAGUUACAGCACAGCUUUGCCUUGAUUCCACAGUGUAGAUGUACUAUCACACCUCCUCAAGGUCUCUCACAAAUAUAAACUCUCUUUUGUAUACAAGUAUUCGCUCAAAGGAUUUAUCUAAACAAAUAGGAGCUUCAGACUUUGGAAUUCUUCUAUCGCGCACACCUCGAACAACUAAGGACGUCUUCCUUAUAUACUCCUUUAUGCCAUCAUACCCGUUGGCACUUACCAAAGGAAUUCCUCCAAUCUGCCCGUUGGACGGAAUCAAUUAGGAAGAUCGUUCGAGCUAUUAAAGGAACGUGUUGAUAGCCCAUCAAUCCUGUUCGCCCAUACAAUCAGGAUCUCGGUUUCCAUAAGUAGAACCUUUCGAUAAUAUUUAGACAAUCAUCGAAUCUUCAGUCAUUGAAUCAAACUUGAUCAAUCAAAGGAUUCUGAUACGUCUUCUCCAGCCACGAGAUCUUCUCCAGAUGAUAAGGUUAAAUCCUGAACAAAACAUCUAGUUCGGGAUAUCCUUUCUUCAACGGAUCAGAGACUGUCAAUGAGGAUAGACUUUGAGUCUUGAGUCUGGCUGUCCGGAAGUCUUCAGACUUUAACUAACAGAGUCUGCAGACCUUCAGACUAGACUGAUGGAAACGUUUUGUCAACUUCAAAACUCUUCAUGAGGAUUUCUCCAACAACAUGCUCUCCAAAGCUGUAAUAUAUAGACGGUAGCUCGCACAAGCUGUAUAGAUAGAUAGCUCACCAAAGCUGUAAUUGAUAGAUAGCUCGCACAAGCUGUAUAGAUAGAUCGUGCUCGCACAAGCUGAUAAAACGAUCUUAGCUCACCAGAAGCUGCCGCAAUAUUCAAUAUAGUAUACUAUAGCUCACCAGAAGCUGCCAUAUAUAUAUGCAUAUCAUAAUUACUCGCCUAAGCGGAUACAUAUAUAUAAACCAAUGCUCGCCAAAGCUGAUCAUUCAAUAAUAAACCAUAGAACUGGAUAUUCAAUCCAAUAAUAACCAACGAUUCAAACUAGUCAUACAAACCAAUUACGGUGCUAAAAGCCAACACCGGGUAUUUUCAAGUUAAAUACCACAACUUCAUCAAUAUCACUCAAUUCCACACUUUUGGAAUAAUUAACCAUAAUCAUCAAUAACUCAAUUUCUCAAUUUAAGCUUACAAUUAACACAAACCGACCACACGGCUGCGAUCAGCGCGAAAUUCUAACGACCGGCCAUCUCGGCAUAAUUUUCGAAAUUAUUAAAUAAUUAAAUUUAAUUCCGAAAAUUAAAUAAUUAAAUAUUAUAUUAUAAUAAUAUAAUAUAAUAAAAUAAUAUUUAUAAAUUCGAAAUAAUUAAUUAAUUAAAAGUAAUUAAUUAGGGCUUAAACAAGAUUACAAUAAUUUAAUCAUACAAUUAGCCCUAAUUAAACAUCCAUUAAACUAAUCAUGCAACUAAUCUAAUUUACAUUAAAAUAAUCUAAUUUAGUCACAUAAACCUAAUUAGACUAAAGCGUCAUUAACUCACUAAGCAAGAAUUAGAGGAUAAACUCACCGGAUUAACGUUCCGACGAGUCCACGGCGAAGGCAACGCCAAGGCGGGCGAUAAACCUCAAGGCGGCGACACCAACCAAGGCCGGGAAGACACCUAAAACGGGCCUUGAAGACCUCACGGCUUUCUGGUUUUCUGCUUCUGCUUCUGAUCUGGGUUGAACUGCAGAGAAGAAACCAGCAACUUCAACGGCGAAAACGGGCCGAUCGGAGCUCCGGCAAGCGGGUGGUUGGCAACCAGCGGCUCCCGGGGGUCUUGGGGAUCUUAUAGGAGGUUGGGAUGGGCAAAGGAAGGGUCGGAAAGGGGUGAAACAGCAAGAAAACGCGGAACAGGCGGAGCAGGGCGGAACCAGACGGUCCGGCGAGCGGCAGCUUCUCUCAGGAUUUCGGGACGACCGGAGAGUCGUUCCGGCGAGCGGCUGGAUGCUCCGGAACGGGCUGGAUGUCUUCGUCACGGACGUGGGUGGAGAGUUCGCUGAUUCAUCUGAUAAGUCGACUUUUAACUCGAAUCUUUGGCGAAAGGUCAGCUGGAGCAGAAACUGGAACGAGGAGAAAACAGGGGAGGAAAACGGCCGACGAUGGCCUUCCGGGCGUGUGACGAUGGAGGGGCUGCUGCUGCUCGGUUCCUCUGGUUUUUGCUGAGCUUCUCUCCUUCAACAACAAUGGAGAAAGCCUUGGAUUAAGGGAGAAGAAGCUGCUGAAGAGUGGGGGGUCUCCUUGGGCUCUCUAGAGCUCAACAUUUGCCAUCUUCUCAUUGGCUUUGCCCCCACCAUGACAUCACAUGACAUCAUCCACUCUCUCUCCUCAAUCUUCCUCCACAACCUUGCCAAUAGGUGCAAAAUAGCUCUCCCCCCCCCCAUGGCAUACGAAUUUGUUACAUUUCCCUAUUCAAUCUCAAUCAAUUUCAUCCAAUUCUCAACUAAACACAUCCAAUUGAAGCCUAAUUAAAUCCAUCAAGGUAUCCUCGUCCGUCUCAUGACUUUUUCCCAUCAAAUGAUCCAACUUGCAUCCCGAAGAUUCAAUCAAAAACGACCCUCUGAUAAUCUCGAACAAAAACGGCAUUACUUUGCUUUUCUGCCAAAAAUCUCGGUUUGUAGAAAAAUCUUCUGGAGAUGAGUCGGCAUUCCUAAAAUGAAUUGUGACUUGACAGAACUUCUCAUUUCUGUAAUCGGGUUCAAUUUCACGGUUAAAUUCAAUCUGGCGCGACUUUAGCGCGUCCUAAUCUACCGGGUAGCUUUUAGGAAUUUUCUGUGCAAUUGACCUGUGAUUGAUUAUUCUCAAGCCACAAAGUGCAUCUUCGACACCUUGGCGACUCUCGAUUGUCGUAGAAAUCUCGAGAUUUCGAUUACGGACACAGGGUACCCAAAACGACAGAAGACUCGGUCUAGUGCCGGUCGACGAGCAUAUUGCGAUCAGGUGGAAUCACCCACACUCUAAUCACAUAUCUCAGUCGAAUCGACCUAUUACUAAUCUCUGUUCAAUUCUGACAGUGUCGUAAUGAUCCUUGCAGAUUAAUACGGUCGAGUAGCCGAUUCAUGGUCGAAUUCUCAAGUCUAUUGCGUUUAGAUUCCUUAACGGCUUCACAUGAUAGACUAGUUAUUUCGUGAGUGGCCAACUCAGAGAAGAGAGCUAUAGACGCAAAGAUGAAAUGCCCGACUUAUUCAAUUGAAACCAGAAUUGGAAAAUCGAGAUGUCACAAAAGGAUGAGACAGUUGGCAUUUGAAGGGUAUAACAAUCACAAGCCCUGCAAAAACAUGAAUGCCGUGCACCCGAAAGAGUUUGACCUACCCACAGAAAGAAUAAAAAUUUGAUUUAGUAAUUCUCAUACGCUCUUGAACACCUAUGAAAAUCAUUAGAUCUACCGCAUGCUUCUUAGUAUUCAGAUUUCCCAUUGGGCACGGACAAGACACGAGUAUAGUUCUUUGAUGGCAAAGAUAUAAUUGCUGAAUUCGGACAGAAAUCAUCCAAAUUCAAGCAUCAAAACAUCUCAGUUUCUCAACCAUUUGCCAGGUGAUGAAAAGGGCAGCUUUGCAGCUUAACGCUUAAGUCAUCAUAAAUCCGUAUCAAUAAAAAACAAACCCUCAAUUCAUCUGCCCUGAAAGGGCUCAAUGACAAGAACCAAGACCUCAUAAACUCAUGACUUCCAGCUAUUCUUACCGAUAAGCAGGAAGGGCUUCAUACUCAAACCAAUCUUACGUAGUAAAGAUCUCUCCUCAUCACUUAUGGUUUCCAGAUCAACUGGAAGGUCUGCUGAUCUAAGAUUCUCCUGCACUUUUGCUAGAGCUUUCUCAGCCCUUUUGACCUUCCCUUUAGCCUGGAAAGAAGAGGAAAAUAAAAAUGGAAAAUGUGAUAAAUAAUUAAGGAAAUGGAGCAGAAUUUUAUAGCAUAAGUUUGUUCAAUCAAGAAUAUUACAAGAGCAAGUUUCUUCUCAAGAUAUUUCAAGAGUGCAGCGUGCUUAUUGAGUGAUUCAUCUCAACGCAUUUGCUCAACAUCUUUGCUACUUAUUUCAUUCCCCCACCGAGAGGUGCCAGCCAGAGUUUCAGUAAGAGUGCCAGCAACAAGUGGGCUUUUAGAAGCUUUGAAUUUUGAUUCAAUUGCAGCUGAGGCCCUCUGACGAGCUUGGUCGUCCUCAUUUGCCUGCACAUCUGUUAGUUUUUCUCUCUUUCAGUGCUUCUACCACCACAGGAGGCAAGAAGUCAUUGCCCCUAUAAAACACAAUAUAAUCUUUGUUCCUACAAAGUAGUGUUCCCCCAGUUAAAUUCUGCAUUCAAAAUGACACAAAUCAAUAACAAGAGCACCAAAUUUUCCUUACCUAAAGAAAAAGGACGGAAUAUGCAAUACUAAACAGAAGUUGAUAUUAUCAUAAUGCCAGAACAUUAAGGUUGGCAGGAAGAAGAUGAGUUAAAAAGAACUUCAGCCUAUCGUCAACAGGAAUUAAAACCAACAGGCAAAAAUAAUGCUUGAGACUGUAUCCAAGCUCCUAGUUUCUCUCAUUGAAAUGCCCUUCUGUAACUGCUGGAAAGACCUUACAAUAAGAUAUACAAGAAAUUCCUGCUUUACUCUAAUAACAGCCACAAUCAUAGCAGAAAGUUAAAGCCUGACUACAGAUUGAAGCAAAUGAGCUAAAGCCCGCAAAAAUUUGGAAGAACUCCAUACAUUAAAUGGUUGGAUGAGACUAAAUUCACCACAUUAUAAGGAUAACAAGUCUCAAUAGAUAACUUCUUGCCUCCAAACACUCGCCGUCUUUAAGAAUUAGAUCCUCCUCCUCGCAUUUCAAGGUGUCGGAAUCCCUAACAAUUUUGUUCUGCACAUGUUCAUAAACAAAAAAGUAUCAACACAGAAGCAUAACAGAAACAUAACAUUCAUACUAUAGCAUGAGGAACUGACAGCUUAAGAGUGAUGCCUCCGCAACAACAAAAGCAGGGUAUGAUACUUACACGAGUUUCUUCAACAUUUAGUUGCACGCAAGAAUAAAAUGCCGCUUUAUCAUCCUUAUUGACAAAUUCGUGUAAUGCUUUAUCCAGAUCAUUGAAUGGAAGUAUCUCCAUUUUUUGCAAGGCAUAACUGCAUAUUAAACUAUAUACAGACCUUAAGAAAACUAAGAGACUGAUAACAAUUAUCAGCAUGUCUUUCUAACAUUCUACCCAUAACAAUAUACUCAAGGAAGCAUAUCAGUUGAAGUUAAAAUAUGUGUUUGCAACAACAAAUCACAAUGCAAAGCACGUGUUAUUAUUAUGGAUUUCAUUGGUGGCCAUAAGAGAUUUAUACAAUAUGAAAAAUACAUUUAGAAAGCAUAAAAGAAUCAGGAUUACCAGACUAUUCUCGGCAACAAGCGCCUCAAUGUUUUGUUGAUUUAGCUCCUCAGGGCGAAGUCGCUCAGAAUCUUCAAAUUGUGCUACAGAUCAGGAAGACGAACAAUUUCAAUGACAAGUCAUUUCUUUAUUCAAAGGCAAUAAGAAAGGCAUACAAAUAUUGACUUGGAAAAAGAAGGACAAAUAGUGCCAAAAACAUAGCCUACUAAAUUCCAACUCUUUGACCCGAAAAAGAAAAAUCAUCAAACUCCACUUGUCAAAAGAUCUGUACCACUUUCACUCCGACCCUUUCUUGAAGCCUUAGAGAAGAUUAAAAUAUCUUGAGGAUUAGCAACCUACAAAAAGAAAAAUCAUUACUCCUUUUUGGGUAGCGCUGUCAAAGACUACACCGUGUGCACCUUCUAGUGUGCACCUUCUAAUAUGCAUUUACCUUUCCAACAUACUUUUGUCCAAACCUUUGAGGAUUUAUCGUCAUAAAUGUGAUUGUCAAACAUAAGUAUAUGAGCUUUUUUUCUCCUAUGAAAUUGUCAAACGUGAUUGUCAAGAUGGAACAUCCAAUUUAUUAAAAAGUUCUAAGAAAACUAAACUUACAAUAUUUAGCCCAUCUUGUUUGACACCUACACUAAUUAACUCUAUAUUCUAAGGAAAUAAAAUAUCCCAAUCAUUAUCGUUUAUGAGUAAAAUGACAUAAUCCUACUACUAAUAUGCAUGGGCUAAUAAUGAGUGACAUUGGGACUAAAUUCCACAUGAAAAACAAACAGUCACUUAAUAAAACUAGAUGAACAAAUGCCUCUAGCUUUGUCACCAACCAUCUCUACCUAUUACUCAUGCUACAUCAGGCGAAGAGGAAUCAGGAGCUUUUGUUGCCGCAUUCAUUGCCUUGUAUGAGCAAAACUCUACAAAAUUCCUAGGCUAGACUGAAGGUUGCCUAGCACUUUCAGGUAUCUCUUCAUCAAAACGAUGGCACAGUUCUUUAGUGGAACACUCACGUCCGCACAUGCAUGUGCACGUCAGAAACAGCUGACUGAUUCCCUGAACAUCUUUCAUCUUCUCCAAGUUCAUCAUUGUUUAAUCAGCACUAAAUAAAAGACCGAAGGCAAAGGGACAGAUGACUUAACAUUUAGUUACAGACACUUCUCAUGGGCAUCUCGUUGAGCGAAACCAUCAAUUACAUGCCUUAAACAUCAAGCCAGUAUGAACAACAUAUAGGUUCCUAACAAUCUCACGCGAACAUUUUGGCAGCAACUACAAUAGACAAGCUCAUGUACGAUUUCAGUCACUGCCUAAUGCUAACAUAGGCCUAAUAUCGAAACCACCAUUCAAGCCCAAUCAAGUCGGCACAAGCCAUCAUACAUUACAGCUGCCGUCACGGAUUCAAAUUUCACAAGCAUUCCUAAGUCUACACUAAAUUUUCAAAAAAUAAAAUGCAUAUCGCGGCAUAGUCUGAACCUAAAGCCGCCACCGCUCUUUCAAAUAUUGCGCACCGAGCAGCACAAACCUCUGCCGACACCUGGAGGUACGUUCACUCGAUAGAGAGAUCGAAUCUCCUAGGAAAGCACAUUCACUUUCAGGCCGGUCGGUCACGAGCGAGUGAGCGGAGAAAGGAAUCGGAAGCGGCGCUCACCUGGAAUGUAGGUGUUCUUGGUGAGAAUCGGCAGCAAAAGCAGAGCCAGAACCCCAGCAACGCAACAGAUGACACUGCGAAGAAGUCCACAAGGUCAAAGAAGCGCGUGAGCUCGCGCUCGAGUCGCCGGAACAUAUUCGCCCGAAUAACAACGAGUAGAGAUAAUCAAAGACCGAGAAGCUACUGCGGUACCUGACGAGGACGCUGUGAGAUAUGAGCAGAGUCCCUAGCCGAACGAUCGGUUGAGGCUUCGGCGGAGGUGGGCAUCGGCGUCGGAGUCGGGGGCGACGGAGUCGCGAGAGGGCGUUGGGGCGGAGGCGGAGGCGGAGGCGGCGUCGUCGGCGUCGAAGGCAACCGGCUUGAGGGCCGUCGGAGUCGGGGGCGACGGACUCGCGAGAGAGCGUCGGGGGCAGAGGCGGUGUCGUCAGCGUCAGAGGCAACCAGCUUGAGGAGCGUCGGAGUCGCAAGAGGGCGUCGGGGGCGGAGGCGGCGUCGUCGGCGUCGGAGGCAACCGGCUUGAGGAGCGUCAGAGUCAGGGGCGUCGGAGUCGCGAGAGGGCGUUAGGGGCAGAGGCAGACGCGGAGGCGGCGUCGUUGGCAACGGAGGCAACCGGCUUGAGGAGCGUCAGAGUCGGGGGCGUCGGUGUCGCGAGAGGGCGUCGGGGGCGGACGCGGAGGCGGAGGCGGGGUCGUCAGCAUCGGAGGCAACCGGCUUGAGGAGCGUCGGAGUCGGGGGCGUCGGAGUCGCGAGAGGGCGUUGGGGGCGGAGGCGGCGUCGUUGGCGAGGUGUCGGAGUCGAGAAUGGAGAGAGAGAGCUCGUCGGCGAGAAUGGAGAGAGAGCAGAGGAGGGGGAGAGAAGCAGUUGUGCGACUUUUGUUGUCACGCCCCGAACCUCGAGCGCGCGCACAUCCCUCGGUGGUCGAUAGAAUUUUGCGACGUUCCCAGGUCUCGUUGCCGACCCUUCAUUUUCAUUGCACAUGCGGAAGCGAAUUACUAAUCCCCUGACCUCAACAAACAUGGGAUAGAAAAGCAGGACAACAAUUUCCAAAUCAAAAUACACAUUCAUAAACACCUCAAGCUUAUACAAAAUGUCUAUGUCAUAAAGAACUACUGAGCCACCUAUGCUCCUGACCCUUCCGCUUCAAGCUCCUGGCUCUUCACACUAGGGACCUGAAAAUGGUUAUUCAAUAACCAGUGAGAUAUAAAUCUCAGCGAGUUCCACCCCUAAGCCCCGGUUAGUACACCAACUCAACUCGGGGUAUCUAUCUAGAACUACCCCACCACAAGCAACAACCAACGGUCAAUUCGCAUACAACCUUACCUGGUAUGCCAUACCGUGCACGUUAUAACUCAGCACAAUACACGCAAUACACAUGGUCAUUAGAUGAUACAGUUCAUCAAUCACAUACGAGUCGCGUCACCAGCGAUCUCACCUGGCCAUUGCCAUACUCUGCACAUUAUCGAUUCAUGCGUGUGUGCCAUAAAUAAUGUGCUUAACUCAUGCAUGACCGGAAUCAACAAUGCAAUGAUUCUCAUGCGUUAUUGCACAUUAUCACAGUUCAGAAACACAAUGCAUAUACUCAAUGCAUAUUCCAGUUACUAAUGACCUACCGGCCAUAGCUAACUUUCCAAUUGGUGCUCAUCUACCUCAACACUCAUGCGUGCUCCAGAUAAUAAUGACCUCCCGGCCAUGGCUAACUUCCCAGUCAGCACUCAUCCGACUCCCGCCGGGCUACCGAUAAAAAGAUCGGGCUUCGUCCCACCCCGUCGGGCACGGCUACGUCUCGAACUCCCGUUCAGACGGUUUCCCAAAAAGGGACAUCGGUCCAGAGUCUACUGCGACCGGCUUCCGACUCCCCGUCGGGUACCGCCCCCAAACUCCCAUUCGGUGGCGUUCCAAUUCAAUCUCGUGAGCACACCACUAAAACUCCAUUUUUCUCAUGAUAACGGUCCACUUCCACGGUCCCUCGGACAAUCCAUUUUCCCUUCUUUGUGGAAAAACUUACAAUUCAUGCGGAUGUUUAUGCAAUAACACACUCAAUCACUUCAUAGAAUCAACACACAUGAAUUUUAGACACUUUUCGCAUUCUGGAUGAACAGUGCACGUGAACAGUACUCGUGAACAGUAAAUUUCCAGAAUUUAAUAAACUAUAAAUUAAAUUCAUAAAUCAUUAAAAGCAUUAAUUAAAGAAAUCAUCAAUUAAUUAAAGCCAAGCAUACUUAAUUAACCACAUAAACCACAUUAAGCAAAUAAAGCAAGAUUAAGAUAGACUAAUCUAAUUCAUCCAUCUAACCACCUAUCUUAGGGCUAAUACAAAUUAAUUAAAUCACUUAAACUAGAAUUAAAUCUAACUAAACCAACCCUAAGCAAGUUUAGGCACUAAUCGAAGGAUUAGGAGCUAAACUCACCCGUUAAGCGGGCCGGAAACACCGACGCGGCGGCGACGACGGAGGCGAUGCUCUGAGACCUCUACCACAACGAUCCAAGGCGGUCCCAAGCUCAACACAGCAACCACAGCUCAGACUCCCUCUGAAACUUCUGAAAAACAGCCCUGCCGGAGAAGAAAACAAGUUGAACGGCUUGGCCGGAGCUCCGGCGAGGAGGGUGGCUGGCAACCGGUGACACCCGGGGGUCUUGGGAGUCUUGUUGGAGGUUGGGAUGAGCAAAGGAACGGCUGGAAUGGAAGAAAACGGGCUGCAAAGUCGAAACAGGCGAAGCAGGGCGGAACCAGGCGGUCCGGCGACCGGCGUCUUGAGACGGCUGUACAGGACGACCGGCAGCUCCGUUCGGGACGAAACUGGGCUCGUUGGAACGUUCUGUCUCUCCCGGUCACGGUGAUAGGUGGAUUGUUGGCUGAUUCAUCCGGGAAGACCACUUUUGACUCGAUUCUUUGACGAAGGGUCAGCUGGAGCAGAAACUGAAGGAGAGGGAAAACGAGGAGAGAGAGAGAGCUCCGUUCGAGGGAGGCCGAAUGGGGGAGAGAGAGAGUGAAGUGAGGGCUGUCAAGACUCCCAUAAAUGCUUGCUUCAAGUCCCCAUGCCAAGCCAUCAUCAUUUUAUCUCUCUUCUCUAGCCUUUUCUCCCUACAACUAGGGGUAUUUUGGUCAUUUCACCUUGCACAAAUUACAAAUCUGACCUUGGGCUGAAAUUGGUGGAUGGGCCUAAGGAUUGGGCUUGGCCAUGAAUAGUAAUGGGCUUGGGAAUUGGUUGGGCUUGAAAUGGCUAAGAUUUGGCCCAUGGGCUUAGAAGAUGAAUAGUAGGUUUGGCCCAAUUGACUUAUUUGCUUGACUUAGGCCCAUUAAGCUGGCUGUCCAACUUUGGGCCUAGGGCCCACACUGGCUUGGCCCGGCCCACGACCUCACGGGCUCGCUUCCUCGGUCCGAAAAUCCCUUUUCCAAUUGCUUGGCUCAACUGGCUCUGUCGACUGCUUGAUGUAGCUUCAUCCAAAGUCCGUCCCGGACAUUCCUGAUAAUUCGAAGUCCAAUCCUAAGUUCUCUUGCCAUGUCAAUUUCGCCAAAUGCCAUUUUGGUAACAACUCAGACUGACGGAUGGCUUUGAGGAUUCACGCGUGACCGACUCGUGCCAAACCACGUUCAAGACAUCUCGACGCAUGGAUGUCUUUGACUGCAUGAAAUUACGAAGGAUAGAUUCUUAUUUCAAAGUACACGAUUACUGAGGAUCGACACAGGGUUGUUCGCGGGUUCGAUAACGGUAAACAGAAUCACCCGUCGUUCCAUUAUGUUCUGUCCACGAAUCAACUUCUAGUCGUCCUUGAAAUCGGCAUGUCUAUCUACAGGAUCGUCCUCACGUAAGUCUCACGGUCAAGUCGUUUUCCCAGGUCGAGUCCUUUAGUCGCACGAGUUUUGUCCUUAUUAGCCUUUCCCCUCAAGGUCAGUAUCUCAGGAGUGAUCAAUUCCGAGUGAAAUUAACCAACAAUGCAUUGACGAAAUUCACAUUCAUUCAUCCCUUAUAGGGCUCAAAUUUCAGGAUGUCACAUUUGUUCUCCCCCGCAACGGAACGGAACGGAGAACGGGGGAGAGAGAGAGAGGAGAGAGAGGACGAUUCGACAGGGUGCAAGCGUCGCAGAGGAGAGCAGAGCAGAGGGAGCGUCAGAGUGGUGGGCCCCACACGCGGCCUGCGCGAAUUUUGAACGCCUGACGCCCUCGCCUACGUGGCGCCACGUGUCGAUCGUUGAGUGGUCUUACCCACCGCCUACGUGGAGGGUAAAACCCAGCCAAUAUUUUCUCCCCAAAGAAAACGAGAAGAACCCAGCUUCAAUCUAAAAGAAAAUUUUAGAAAAACCGAGGAAAUUUGCGAGCUUACAGAUGAGGAAGCCGGCGAUGGAUGAAACAGAGCAAGGGGGAGCUGGCGAUGGCGCGACGAGGAAGCAGAUGAACGCAGAUGAGGAAGCAGCGCGACAGGGAGCUGGAUCUGGCGAUGGCGCGACGAAGGAAAAUGCUGUGAAGUCUGUGUGUGUGAGAGGGAAAGAAAGUAAACAGGAGACAAAUUAGGGUUUUGGACUUUUGGGUGGACUUACAAACCGGUUCCCGAACCGGUCCGGUCGAUCUGGUUCCCGGGUGGUAAUCUCUUGGAAUCGGUUCCCGGACCGGUUCAAACCGGUUCUGAAUUUUGGGAAUAGGUUGUUCUGUUGAGAUAGGUCUGUGAGAAUUCCUCCAGGUGCAUAUGGUGCAGUAUUUUUUGAUAUUUUACUCAACUUUAGGUNNNNNNNNNNNNNNNNNNNNNNNNNNNNNNNNNNNNNNNNNNNNNNNNNNNNNNNNNNNNNNNNNNNNNNNNNNNNNNNNNNNNNNNNNNNNNNNNNNNNCCGAUAGCAAUUGAUAUUAUCAGGUGAUUGCUUUUGCUGUGACACCCAUAUGAUGUUCCAUUGGCCAGAGAAUGAUAAAGAUGGUAAAGUACUUCAAAUUUUCUUACGAGAGAAAGUAUUAAUGCUUUGAAUUUGCAUGAAUGAAGCAUGUUUCCUCAUUAUGUUGUUGAAAUUCAUCAGUCCCAUUUACUACUAACCAAUAGCUAGGGGAUUUAUCUGGUUUAUGGUGGCAUAGUGCUAGUAUCUACAGUUUUAGCAUAUUUUCUGUUCAUUGAAGUAGUUUCUUUGUGCAUUUCCUGUGCAGCCCAUGCUGAGAGCCUUCUGAGUAAGAAUUGAAGAUGGUGGUAUGCCAGUGGUGGUUCUUUGCAAAGUGCACUUCCAAGUAUCAAAGUGAACGAUAAACAGUGUCCUUUUGGAGAUCCUGUUGCUCUCUUCGAAUUUUAAAUAUCAUGGAUUAGGCUAUGCUUUAGAAAUGCUUUGUACGUUUUUGUUGGAGUUGGGCUUUGUGAACAUCAAGUGCAAGAUGGUUGUUGGUUGCUGGUGACUCUUUUAAGUCCUGCGUCUGACCUUAAUGCAUGGCUCUUGACUUUAUAUGUGUCUGGUUUUUCUUUAUUGUCGGUUUAAUGUGUAUUCCUGGGCUUAGCACCAGAUAAAUGUGUGGGUUUACCCAGUGCUUGGAGUCGGUCCCAGUUCUGUAUUAACUGCGGUUGAUCUGCAAUGAGCUACUCUGUCUCUUCCUUGUUAUCGUCUGAACAUAGUCGUGUUGAAACUAAGCCAGUUCUUGCUAUUUGAUGGUCAUCUCCAUGUACAGGAACAGAUGAGGAACAUUGAUUUUGAAUGCUUGAGGGUCAGUGGACAUGAAUCAUUUGAAGCUGGGUGGUCUGGGAGGACUUGGAUGGAUCAUUUGAAUUUAAAUUGUUUGGUCAAAAUAUAGCACCGACAUCCUUUGGUGUAAGUCUGUAAAGGACCUGUUUUGGCGCCACAGGCUCUCACGAUUGUUGUCAUCUCAUCGAUGAGUAUGGAGGAGGGAGGAAGAAGGGAGAGGCGGGGCGGCUAUGGAGAUCGAACAUGGUGGAGGCCAAUAUAAGUUGUGUCGUUGCGUUAAGGAGCGGUAUCUAGAUGAGCUAGGCCCCCUUUAACCCUGCCCAGCACAUAGCCUAACCAGGGCCGAACUCAAUUCCAUCCGAAGAACUACAUUCGAGUGCACUGAAUUAAGCCACCGCGAUGACCACCACUCUACGAUGUGCCUCUGCUGCCGAAUCUCAUCCAUAUGUCUAGAGAAACACCUAUCCUGCUUCUUGAAUUUUGCGAUCUGCUAGAUACAACGUGAUUUUUAAAUUAGCAUCAGUAUCAUUUUUUAAUAUUUGUUCAAUUGUUAAAUAAGACGUUUGGAUCAGUGUGAGGAGAUGAAAAGAAAAUGACCGAGAGUAACUUUCGGUUUUGUAGAAGCAAAAUGGUAGUUACUGCCAAAUUGCAUUUCAAUGUUUGUACUGCACUUUCCAUGUAAAUAAGAAACAUUUCUUCGCCUUGCAAAUAAAAUGAACUUGCCAAGUUGCACGGACAAACUCAAGCGACCUUCUUCCCAAAGUUCUCUUAAUAAGAAAUUGGAAGAGAUGAAACUGACUCAUGAAUCGUCCUUCCCCCGCCAUAGCCGAGAUAUAAAGACGCAUGCUUAGAGUAAGAAGGCCUAUUAGAUUCAUAAUUUGGGGAAAAUUCCUUAAAUGGGAUGCCUAUUUGGCAUUAUGGGUUUUGAGACUACACCAGGCAUUGAAGGCCGCUUCAACCGCCGUAGCCGAGAUAUAAAAAUGCAUCCUUAGAGUGAGUAGGCCCGUUGGAUUCAUAAUUUGGGGAAAGUUCCUUAAAUGGGAUGCCUAUUUGGCAUUAUGGGUUUUCAGAUUGGACCAGGCAUUGAAAGUCACUUCAACCGCCGUAGCCGAGAUAUAAAGACGCAUCCCUAGAGUGAGUAGGCCUGUUGGAUUCAUAAUUUGGGGAAAGUUCCUUAAAUGGGAUGCCUAUUUGGCAUUAUGGGUUUUGAGACUACACCAGGCAUUGAAGGCCGCUUCAACCGCCGUAGCCGAGAUAUAAAGACGCAUCCUUAGAGUGAGUAGGCCCGUUGGAUUCAUAAUUUGGGGAAAGUUCCUUAAAUGGGAUGCCUAUUUGGCAUUAUGGGUUUUGAGACUACACCAGGCAUUGAAGGCCGCUUCAACCGCCGUAGCCGAGAUAUAAAGAUGCAUCCUUAGAAUGAGCAGGCCCAUUGGAUUCAUAAUUUGGGGAAAGUUCCUUAAAUGGAAUGCCUAUUUGGCAUUAUGGGUUUUGAGAUUGGACCUUGAUAUAUAGUUUGACCUUAUCAAGAAUGAAUCUUGGCCACUUGGUACUCGGCUAGUGGUAAGGAAAUUGAAUGAAGAGGUGAUAUUUAGUUUUUAGGUGUGGGAUUUGAUUUUCACGCUCUACAACAGUUAGUAAACUUAUAAGAGAGAUGAAAGUCAAAAGUAAGAUAGGCCAAAGAGUGAGAAUAAAUAUUGGAUUAGACCAUCAUUAGCUGAUGCUUUUAAUGCUACUUUACCAGCAAAGAUAUUGGAGAGACUGCUUUGUUCUAUGAUGGGACUAAAUAGGGCAAAAAUGAUCCAUUGAGUAAAGUUCUGGACCAUUUCAUUUAUUUUUUGUUGUAAACUUAAAUUGGGCUGAUGCCUCUCGUAAAAGUAAACUUUUCUACUUUUCUUUCUUCUUCCUUUUUAUCUAAUAGAUCUUCAUGGAUAUUCUCAUAUUAAACCUAAGCCUAAUUCUCAUGAGCUGCUACUCCGGAAGGCUUUCCUAGAUCAGCUUGGUCGUUAUAUGUUUGGCUUGAUAAAUCAUCAAGGUCUGAUUUUCAGACAUGUUCAAAAUAGGCGUGAAGAAUUGACCAUAGGGAAAUGUUGCUUGUAUAGUGUUUUGUGUCACUCCGUAAUUUUAAAAGGCAUCCUGACGAGAUUUUUAGAGGUACUUACCAUAAUGAAGACAUGGCAGAAUUUUUACUCGCAUAAAUUUGUUAGUGAUGUCGGAAUAUCAAAUUUUCAUUGAACAGUGAAAAAUUCCUCUUCUUCGCCGAUGCCACAAUAUUUGGCUCUUUAACAACCCUUUUUCUUUUUUGGAAAUAAAGAAAAUGGGUUUUGUGGCUGGUUAAAGCAAAUGCCUAGAGCUAAUGGUGAAAGUUAUCAAGUUUUGAAAUGGCAAUUAUAUCUUCUAUCAGACUUACAAAAGUGAUUUCAUACAUUCGAGAACAACUAUAUCAAGGCACUAAAAAACCUUCGUUGAUGCUUUCAGAAACAGCUCAAUGUCAAGAAGAGUUUCUAAAAGUUGAAAGAGACAUUUUGAUCAGAAAAACACUAAUAUGUGUUCAUCUAAGAGCAGAAUAAUGAUCUUAGUUUACAAAUGAAUUAAAUUAAUUAUAUUUCCCAACCAUUAUUUUAUGGAAACACAAUAAUGUGUGAUAUCGUUAAAAUUCACAAAGAUGGGGGCAAAAAACUGAAGUAUGAAGCCAUGGAGACUGGCCGAGUAGCAUUGAGAUGGUAGAAGGGGGAAGAAGCUUAGGUGAUUAGACGAGGGACUUACACAUCCUUACGACGUGACAUAAGAUAUCAUUUCCAAUGUUGCAUUCACAGUCAAUGCUACUCUUAGCUUCUGCUGGCGACUGUAGUGUCAACCCAACCCAUCAAUUUGAUGCUCAAUUUUUCUCAUUGAAAGUUAUCCAAGUGGUAAAUCCUUCGAAAUACUUCACAUUCUUUCUUCAAUGCAUGCAUUUUAAAGUGUGGAAGUCGCUCGAUCUCACUCUUUUUGUUCUCAAUCAAAAGCAAGGCAAUCGGUCCUGUGCUUGUAUAUGGCCAUCUCAACUCAUAUUUCACUCGAGAAAAUUUUUUUGUUUCCCACUCUAGGUUGAUUUUUGUAGAUCAUGACUAGGCUUAAAGUUGUAAGGGUGAUGUAUUUCUGAUCAUUGUGGAAUGAGUAAGUGUUUUUAUGGAUGCACAGUUUUCCUAUCAAAUUAGCAAGGCCUCCCUAACAAUAAAUAGAAUGCAUCCAUAGGAAUAGCAUCGCGUAGAAUAUUAUCUUAGUAACUUUUACCAAUUGAAAAUGACACAAGAGCUUGUUUAGUUACUUGAAGAUCGCUCCCCUUGCUAAACUUUUGAAGCUUGUAUAGUUCCAAAUACUUAGAAGUGGGUAGCUAAAGCUUUUCAAUCAAAGUUGUGGAUGCCACAUUGGUGCAACUCUCCAUCGAUAAUCCACUAACACAAUUUUCCAUUAAUGGAGCAAUGGGCUUGAAAGAUGUUCUCCCUUUACUCAUCUGUUUCUAGAGCAACUAGGAUGUGUAGAGCCCUCUAGAUUACUGGUAACUCAUCAUCAUUCGCUUGUUCCAAAACCUCAUCUUUCUCCUCAUAUUCGGACUCAAUCUGGUCAGGAUCUUGCUUGGCCUUCUGAAGUUCCAAAUCAAUCUUCUCAAUUUCUUGAAGGGUCGUAACCCUUUAGCUGGGACAAUCAGCUUGCAAAUGUCCAUAGCCGUGACACUGGAAUGAUUUUCUACCUUUUAGUUUCUGUUUUCUUUGUUACGAAUUCAGCAGACUUAUCCUUUUCUUUUUACUUUUUUUAAAGUGUUCUCGACCUUGCCUGAAGAUGCAACCUUAAAGAAGGAUGUCUCUCUAGUUGAAGAGUCGAAAAACCCUCGCCAUGCUUUAGUUGUUUCUCCACUUGGAUGACGAAUUUGCAAACAUCUACAAAGGACCAAUGUGAUUGAAGUUGAACUAAGUCUAAGUUGACCAUCUCCAUGUUUAAUCCUCCGAUAAAAUGAGUCAUGCUCUACUCUUGCAAUUCUAGAACAUCAGACCUUAUAAGGGUUGUUCAAUCUACCUAAUAUAUUCUUCAAUACUCAUCCCAUGUUACUUGAGAGGAUUCAUCUUUCGAAACAAGUACUGCGUGUAGUUGUUGGGUAAGAACCUCUUUUCCAUAUAUCUCUUGAGUUUUUUUCAAGACUUGACUCUGCCUUUUCUAUCUCUAAUUCUAUGAUUUUUUAGGUUUUCCCACCAAAGUGAAGCAUACUUUUUUACUCACAAGAACGACGAUCUUGCAUCUCUUUUUAUCCGAGUAUGAGUGGGAGUCAAAUACUCAUUCGAUAAUAUUCAGCCCAUCAACAAAGUCAUUCCGAUUUAAAGCUGUCUUCAAAUUAAGAUACCUCCACUUUAAGGUCGUGGUCAUUUUCAUGGUGCCUUCCUCUUCUUCUUCUAACUCGAAAAUUUAAAUCACUAGAGUCACCUCCAGUGUCAUUGGAUUUGUCGCAAGAGUUUGUUUGAGUUACUGGAUUAGCACGGUAAGCUCUGUGCAAUUGUUCUUGUCGUAUUUGAUUCUCCAGGAGAGUGAGGACCCUCUCAAUUUUUUGCUGGAGAUCCUCUAUAGGAUGGUCACACUUUUCGUUGUGUUCUUGCUCCAAAAGCCUCUUUAAAUCGAAUUAAUGGAAAAUGAAGAAAUCUCUCAAACUUGUACAAACAAGAGCCAAGAUACCACCUUGAUGCGUGAUAGAAAUUAAGAAAUUAAGAAAUUUGUUUUUAGGAAUAUACGUAUGGAAAAGUGUCUUCUGGAAGUGUUCUAAAUGGAAAGUGUGUUUUUGGAUGUGAUUGGAAGAAAGUAAGGAUAGAAUGGAUGAAGUUUACCAUUAAGGUAUAAAGGAAUAAUUCACUAAUCUAGGAUAAAGAACUUGAGGCUCACCACCAGGAAAUUGGAUAAAGAAUGGAAAGGAAAUUCGCUCACUAGAGAGAAUUCUAAUGUGUUGUCAAUUUCAAGUCUCAAUCCAUACAUUUGACAACCACCAUCAGUACCUUAAUAUAAAUAAGAGAAGAGAGCGGAGCCCGGGGGGGGGGGGGGGNNNNNNNNNNNNNNNNNNNNNNNNNNNNNNNNNNNNNNNNNNNNNNNNNNNNNNNNNNNNNNNNNNNNNNNNNNNNNNNNNNNNNNNNNNNNNNNNNNNNNNNNNNNNNNNNNNNNNNNNNNNNNNNNNNNNNNNNNNNNNNNNNNNNNNNNNNNNNNNNNNNNNNNNNNNNNNNNNNNNNNNNNNNNNNNNNNNNNNNNNNNNNNNNNNNNNNNNNNNNNNNNNNNNNNNNNNNNNNNNNNNNNNNNNNNNNNNNNNNNNNNNNNNNNNNNNNNNNNNNNNNNNNNNNNNNNNNNNNNNNNNNNNNNNNNNNNNNNNNNNNNNNNNNNNNNNNNNNNNNNNNNNNNNNNNNNNNNNNNNNNNNNNNNNNNNNNNNNNNNNNNNNNNNNNNNNNNNNNNNNNNNNNNNNNNNNNNNNNNNNNNNNNNNNNNNNNNNNNNNNNNNNNNNNNNNNNNNNNNNNNNNNNNNNNNNNNNNNNNNNNNNNNNNNNNNNNNNNNNNNNNNNNNNNNNNNNNNNNNNNNNNNNNNNNNNNNNNNNNNNNNNNNNNNNNNNNNNNNNNNNNNNNNNNNNNNNNNNNNNNNNNNNNNNNNNNNNNNNNNNNNNNNNNNNNNNNNNNNNNNNNNNNNNNNNNNNNNNNNNNNNNNNNNNNNNNNNNNNNNNNNNNNNNNNNNNNNNNNNNNNNNNNNNNNNNNNNNNNNNNNNNNNNNNNNNNNNNNNNNNNNNNNNNNNNNNNNNNNNNNNNNNNNNNNNNNNNNNNNNNNNNNNNNNNNNNNNNNNNNNNNNNNNNNNNNNNNNNNNNNNNNNNNNNNNNNNNNNNNNNNNNNNNNNNNNNNNNNNNNNNNNNNNNNNNNNNNNNNNNNNNNNNNNNNNNNNNNNNNNNNNNNNNNNNNNNNNNNNNNNNNNNNNNNNNNNNNNNNNNNNNNNNNNNAGUCAAACAACUUAUUCAUAAACUGACAUAGCCACCCAUGCUUACAGGUUGUGAAGUGGGAAAUGCAUUGACGCAGCAAAAAUGGCGAAAAAUCACCUAGCCUAAAAGGGGUAUGCGGGAAAUUGAGUAAAGCAUGAAGGGCUCAAAUGAAACAGAGAUUCAUCAAUCCAACAUGAUGGAGCUGCAUAUGGACAAGUUAUCUAACCUAGUGUGGCAUGCAUUUGACCAUAAGGACAAUGUCUUGCCUUCUUCAACAAAGCUACAAUGAGAUGCUGGAUUGCCCGACUUUGAAAAAGGGUGUACUUCGUUCCUAAACUUAAUGUACCUAAGAGUGGAAAUAAUACAUUGUUUCCAUAUGUGUAGGAAAUUUUAAUUGGGGCAAAUGGCCACAAAAUGAAUCAAGGGCACGCAAUGCCUGAGUCACCCGACUUCUAAAAAGGGAAAGACUCAAAUGGAAUAGAUAUGUGUCAAGUGAAUUGCUGUCAAUCAUGAGAGCAAAUUCGUCCCCAUAGCCAAGGAAACAGGAUGGAACGCAGUCAUCAGAUAUAGGGGUGAGCAUGGUCCGGGUUGGUCCGGGCCACCCCCUAACCCUAGGACCAACCCGUACAGUGUCGGUCCUCAAUUUUUAGGACCGAGGACCGACCCUAUUGAGCCUGGGACCAAGGACCGGACCGACCCAAUGGGUUCGGUCCGGUUCCAGGUCAACCCGGGACCGGAUCGGUAAUUUUUUUCAUCUUAUUUUUUAUACUUCCUAAAAAAGCAAACCUACAAAUUCAAAUUACACAUCCAUCAACAAUACGGUAUUAUGCAACUAAACUANNNNNNNNNNNNNNNNNNNNNNNNNNNNNNNNNNNNNNNNNNNNNNNNNNNNNNNNNNNNNNNNNNNNNNNNNNNNNNNNNNNNNNNNNNNNNNNNNNNNNNNNNNNNNNNNNNNNNNNNNNNNNNNNNNNNNNNNNNNNNNNNNNNNNNNNNNNNNNNNNNNNNNNNNNNNNNNNNNNNNNNNNNNNNNNNNNNNNNNNNNNNNNNNNNNNNNNNNNNNNNNNNNNNNNNNNNNNNNNNNNNNNNNNNNNNNNNNNNNNNNNNNNNNNNNNNNNNNNNNNNNNNNNNNNNNNNNNNNNNNNNNNNNNNNNNNNNNNNNNNNNNNNNNNNNNNNNNNNNNNNNNNNNNNNNNNNNNNNNNNNNNNNNNNNNNNNNNNNNNNNNNNNNNNNNNNNNNNNNNNNNNNNNNNNNNNNNNNNNNNNNNNNNNNNNNNNNNNNNNNNNNNNNNNNNNNNNNNNNNNNNNNNNNNNNNNNNNNNNNNNNNNNNNNNNNNNNNNNNNNNNNNNNNNNNNNNNNNNNNNNNNNNNNNNNNNNNNNNNNNNNNNNNNNNNNNNNNNNNNNNNNNNNNNNNNNNNNNNNNNNNNNNNNNNNNNNNNNNNNNNNNNNNNNNNNNNNNNNNNNNNNNNNNNNNNNNNNNNNNNNGAUAACUCUUAGGACCGAGGACCAACCCGCACAGUGUUGGUCCUGGAAUUUCAGGACCAAGGACCGACCCAGUCCCCUUGGGAACCGGACCAAGACCGGCAGGGUUGGGCCGGUCCAGGGUCGGUCCAGGGUCGACCCUAAACCGCUGCUCACCCCUAAUCAGAUAUGCCGUAAAAGGGAGUAUACCGUUCCUAAAAUGAAUUAUGUCGAAAAUGAAAAUAACAUAUUACGUCUCUUUUUACUUGCAGUUGAUAAAUGGGGCAAGUCACUCGAAGUAGAGUAGCUCCCACCUGUGAAGCAAGAUGAAACAAAGUCAAUUGAUUCAGCACAAAAAGGGAGUAUCGUCCCUAAAUUAGUCCAAUUCAAUUUUGGAAUAUAAGUAACAUGCCCCAUCUCUUGUAGGAAAAUGUGCACAUUGACCGCUGGAGCAACACCUUAUACCAAGAAGGCAUGCUAAGGCCCAACCAUCCAUUUUGAUGGAAUAAAUGGAGUAAAACAUCCAAGGAGCAAUGCCCUCACAUGUCAAAACAAGGAGUACCCUCUCCUUUCAUCUUUGACGCCCACUCAGAAUGAGUGAAUUCGAUAACAUCUAAAUGGCCUAUUUGAAAGCAAGAUCUUCAAGGAAAUGUUAACACCUGAGGAGCAAAAGCACAUGAAGAGGAAACACAAGACAUUUAAAGUCAGCUGCAGGAGAAGGGUAAUUCGGUAUCGUUUCCAAAAUGCCCCUCUCUAACUUCAUUAUUUGACGUAGUUCCCUUGUUUGACAGGAAGCGUUGGUAUUCGAGGAACAAACUCGAGAAAUUGAUUUAAGCAUAAUCUAUAUCGACAAAGUAAGCAUGUGGAGUUAACACAUGACAAAGUCACCUAAGUUGGCUUAAAAUAUGCGUCGUUCUAGAGCCGGUUCAAUUAAAUAAAAAAAAGAAGCGCCCCAUAGACACUACCAGCGCUUCGGCCUGGUGGUAUGGGAAUGAAUGAACGGUCCGAGAGGUACGGGGUUCGAUCCCCGGAAACGGCAACGAGGUUGCCAUGUAAAAAAAUAAAAAAAAUAAAAAAAAUUUUGCAUCUCUUAUUUUUGCAAAAAGAAGAAAAUGCUUGAACUAAUGAGACCAAAGACCUGAGAUUCUCUUCAAGCCUUAAAACAGUACGUUCAUUCCGCUAUUUGCCGCCAAAUGGUGAAAUUAACCAAGGGUAAUGUUGUAUCGUUUCCAAUUUUACAAUCCCUGAGGAUUCAUGUACUAACACAUUCCCUUUUGUUCUUCGUAGGGUCGCCUGACUACUAAGGCACAGGUAAGUACCCUUCUUCUCAAAAUCAAAUGGAAAACAAAUGGAGAAUUUCCAUCACAAAAAAGAACAUCUAGCGUUUUUCUGGAAACGAGCACAAGAAAUGGAAAUUGAAGAAAAAAAAAGUUUUCCACAAAGUUUGUAAAAAUCUUCUUUAUCUUUAAAUUGUCCAUCCAUUCAAUGGAUCACUCAUUUCGAAUCAAAAUUCUCUAUGGAGGUUAAUCCACCCACAUGAUCUCAACAAAAAUUGAAAGGCGAUGUUGCUUAUGCCAAGCGAGAAACACUUAGGAUGAGGAAAGGCAACCCAUUUCCAAAUAUGUCCUUUAAGCACUCUAGGAUUUGAGUGAAAAAGAAAACCCGUGUCGUUUAAGGUCAAUGAAUUCAUUCGCAAGCGGUACAUAAAUCAAGAUGAUAAGAGGCAUUUCUUUCCUCUAUCAUACACACUACAGGUGACAAUAAUUAGCCCAUUUGAGCCUUUUAAUGUGAAGAAUUUUCUACAAAAUACCCCUGUCAAGAACCACCCCACGAUGGGGCAAUUAUGGAGGUUUGGGUUGACAUUACUUGGAGAGGGAAGAUGAGAAAAGUUUCUUUACUCUCACUUGCAUAAAUCUUUUUGUGGUAACUUCAGGUGAAUUCUUAUGGAAGCUCGAAGCAUCCCAAGGUGAAGAAGAGCAUUCUUUUCUCUACCCAAACACUGAUACCCUUUGCUUAAACCAUAUUGAGCCUAACUAUUCAUUUCUAAAACCCGAGUGGUGAUUAUCUCCCCACAUUGGGGCAGGGCACAUGAUUUACCAAUGCAAUUGGUGUUUAUAUGAUAUGAAAAGCAUCUUGAAAGUCCCAAGAGCUCAAAAAGCUUGAAAGAACAAAAGUCAAGUGAAAAUUAAAGGGCAUGAAAAAGCAGUGUGCCUGGUAAAAGCAAGGCCAAUGCCCACAAAAAAAAAGGGAGAGAGAGUGGAAGAAAAACAAUUGCAUCAAGAGGAAUAUAUCUGUGAAAGCAAAAAUGGCAAAAAAAAUGCCUGUGUUGAAAAGAAAAUCAUUGCAAAUGCAAAAGCCAUUAUGUUAAGAUGAUUAGUCAAAGGACUUUCGAGACAAUUUGAAUUCUAAACAUUGAGCGCUUUAAAAAAAAAAGGAUGAUAUGGUAAUGAUGCCAUGAUAAUCACCAACUCCUAAAUCCCCCUUUGACAAAAAGUUCUAAGCCUUUUGAGCUAAGCCUUUUGAACCUUUCCCCAAAUCAACAUUACAACCCAUUUCCAAAGUCUCUUCAGAUUGGGAUGAUUCAAAGUGGAAAUAAGGACUUCCUAAAAAAGAUGCCGCUCGAAGAAGUGAGAGUAAGGUUGUCUUAUCUCAUCUUAAGGUUUCUUGACUUGUAAACCUGGCGAAGAUGUCGAUCAGUGAUUAAUUCAUUUCAUAGCCAAUGAUGCUUAUCCAUUGCUAAAACCAUGACCAAACCUGCACUACGGUCCUUCUAAAAGACCUCUUUGAUUGGUCAAUGUGUACUUAUUGCGAAUGAUUCAAAGCCUUGCGCAUUGGGAGAGUGAGGUUGAGUGAUCAGUUUAUUUCCCACAUGAACAGAUGGGAUCAAACAGCCAUUUUCUUGAGGAUAUGCGAGAAGCCCUUUUUGACUAGGGAUCCUUGCUUGGCAUACUUAACAAACCUUUCUCAUGAGUCAAGGUCAUUUCAACAAGGACUUCUCUCCCAAGAGAAUUUGACGAUUAAUGAUAUCAUCCGAGAGUGAUGACAGUUUUGCGAAUUUGUCAAGUGGUCGGAAUUAGUUUGAUUUGUUUAUGCAAUCAUUGCCUUCUCAUUACCAAUACACUCUUGAUAUUGUUUCGGAUGACAUAUGCUGAAAUUGAUCUCAUCUAGUAUGCUUUCGCUACUAGAAUACUUGUUAUAAUGAAUUCUAUUUGAUGUACAAUAUCCACUUCAGAAUAUUCUCGAAUGACAGGUUCCUCCAGUGAAACCACACAAUUUCAAAGGGUUCAUGGAUUAGCCUUAAACCAUGCAUUUUCAAAGGGUUCUCGGUUAUCCUUAAACCUUGCAAUUUCACACGGUUCAUGGGUUAGCCUUAAACCAUGCAAUUUUCAAAAGGUUCUUGGCUAUCCUUAAACCUUGCAAUUCUAAAGGUUCACACGGUUAGCCUUAAACCAUGCAUUUUCAAAAGGUUCUUGGUUAUCCUUAAACCUUGCAAUUUCAAAGGGUUCAUGGGUUAGCCUUAAACCAUGCAUUUUCAAAAGGUUCUUGGUUAUCCUUAAACCUUGCAAUUUCAAAGGGUUUAUGAGUUAUCCUUAAACCAUGCAUUUUCAAGAGGUUCUUGGUUAUCCUUAAACCAUGCAAAUCUAAAGGGUUCUUGGAUUAGCCUUAAACCAUGCACUUUCAAAAGGUUCUGGGUUAUCCUUAAACCUUGCAAUUUCAAAGGGUUCAUGGGUUAGCCUUAAACCAUGCAAUUCCAAAAGGUUCUUGGUUAUCCUUAAACCUUGCAAUUUUAAAGGGUUCAUGGGUUAGCCUUAAACCAUGCAUUUUCAAGAGGUUCUUGGUUAUCCUUAAACCUUGCAAUUUCAAAGGGUUCUUGGAUUAGCCUUAAACCAUGCAUUUUCAAAAGGUUCUUGGUUAUCCUUAAACCUGGCAAUUUCAAAGGGUUUAUGAGUUAUCCUUAAACCAUGCAUUUUCAAGAGGUUCUUGGUUAUCCUUAAACCAUGCAAUUCUAAAGGGUUCAUGGGUUAGCUUUAAACCAUGCUUUUUCAAGAGAUUCUUGGUUACCUUUAAACCAUGCAAUUUUCAAGGGUUCAUGGGUAAGCCUUAAACCAUACAUUUUCAAGAAGUUCUUGGUUACCCUUAAACCAUGCAAUUUCAAAGGGUUCAUGGGCUAGCUUUAAACCAUGCUUUUUCAAGAGUUCUUGGUUACCCUUAAACCAGAAAAUUUCAAAGGGUUCAUGGGUUAGCCUUAAACCAUACAUUUUCAAGAGGUUCUUGGUCAUCCUAAAACCAUACAAUUUAUGUGGUUAGUGGGACUGCCUUAAACCACAAGGUUAGUGGGUCUGCCUUAAACCACACGGUUAGUGGGACUACCUUAAACCACACGGUUAGUGGAACUGCCUUAAACCACAAGGUUAGUGGGUUUACCUUAAACCACAAGGUUAGUUGGUUUACCUUAAACCACACGGUUCGUGGGACUACCUUAAACCACACGGUUAGUGGACUUCCUUAAACCACAAGGUUAGUGGGAUUGCUUUAAACCACACGGUUAGUGGAACUGCCUUAAACCACAAGGUUAGUGGGUCUGCCUUAAACCACACGGUUCGUGGGACUGCCUUAAACCACAAGGUUAAUGGGAUUGCCUUAAACCACACGGUUAGUGGAACUGCCUUAAACCGCAAGGUUAGUGGGUCUGCCUUAAACCACACGGUUCGUGGGACUGCCUUAAACCACAAGGUUAAUGGGACCGCCUUAAACCACAAGGUUAGUGGGGACUACCUUAAACCACACGGUUAGUGGGACUGCCUUAAACCACACGGUUAGUGGAUCUGCCUUAAACCACAAGGUUCGUGGGACUGCCUUAAACCACAAGGUUCGUGGGUAUAUCCUUAAACCACACUUUUCAAAUUGUUCACAAGUACAUCCCUAGAUCACGCUCUUUACAUUAAGCUUACUUGCAUUUUCAUUUUACAAUUACAAAAACAAAAAAAAAAAAAACAAAAAACAAAAAACAAAAAAUUAGGCGUCACCUUAUAUUUGAAAGAAACCUCUUUGAGCUUCCUUCCAAAGAGGGGCAGCUGUUGACACCUAAUUUUUGCCCAAAAAUAUUUCAUUCCAGCAUACAGAUUAUCUAGGUGUUUAAUAUCGUGUUUUAAAUGAAAGAUGUUUUUCCUAUAAAAAAUAAUAAUAAUAAUUUAAAAAAAAAAGAAAAAAAAAAGAAAUCGAAAAAAAAAAGAAAGAAAAAAAAGAGAGAGCAAGUUGGGGCCAACGAUCUAAAUGUGACUAGCCAAGCCUAGGAGGUCAGAUUGGAAUCCAAAUGACAAGUUGGGGCCAAAAUGCAAUUUCCAAAAGUCGAGGGACCAAUUCGCAAAUUUUGUAAAAUUUGCGCCCGAGCCCUUAAAUCAUCAUCUUGGUCAUCAAUUAAGUUGAAAUUGAAUUUGGCCAAGUAGAAUCAAUCAAAUUGAGCCAAAAAGACCACAUUUGUAUUGAAUUUGGUAUUUUCGGAUAAGAAAAUGGCCAACUUUGAGGGUCUUUUUGGCAAAAUUGGGUGGGCACAAUUGCGAAAAAUGGUCAAGAUCUUAAGCUACUAUACAUGAGGUUGCUAAUUGAUCAGAAACCGCGGCCAAAUAGUGGAUUAAAGCACUCAAAUCAGCAGCCAAAACUCAGUCCACGAGUUGGUCUUAAUCCGGAGUUGCUGAGUAAGCAAUUUGGUGGCCCCACCAUAUCCUCCUCAGCUGCCCAACCAGCCCGAUCUUUGCACGUUAUGGAAGACCGUAUAUAGCAGUGCAAGUGGACGAAAAUUAGCCAGGGAUAAGCUUCUGACAACACCGGAAAUUCGCAGCAAAGUCCGCACACUCAACAGCUACAGAACUUAAAAAAUUGGCGAAGUCUGAAGAGUAGGUGAAGUAGCCCUGUUGAUAGGCUUGGUAGGUGGACAAAAGGCUGACCAAAAAUCCCUUAAUUCGGGGGAUAAUAUCACUAAAGCAAGGUAUUUCAUGGGAUGAGAGAGAGGAGACGAGAGGGAGAGGAGAGAGCUCGGAAUCGUCCCCCAAAGAGGCCCUCGGAAGCAACUCCAGAGGAAAAACCCAGAAAAUUCCAGAUCAACCUUCUGAGAGAAAAGUGAGAUUUGCGAAAACUUGCAGCCAAAAUUAGCCAAAACCUUAAACUAGAGAGUGAAACUUCACUCAAAUAUCUUUCCAUCCAUAGGUCGCACGUCCAAAAUGGAGAUCGGGAAGACCUCCUAAAGCCCCCCGAAACAGUGCCCUCCUGUCGGGCCAAGAAAGUCCGAAAUUUUUCUAAGUGUCGAGACUGGUUGGUCACGAGUGAGGAAAGCCAGUGUUUUUGAGAAAUUUGAGAGACAAAUGAGGAAAAUAUUGACUUUUAACCCAGACUAAAAUACAUAUAGUUUGGCGUGGUGUCAAUUUUUCCAACAAAAUACGUCUUGAAGUCUAAUGUUAGAGCUCAACGAAAACCUUCGUUGUCAGUUCGUUUUUUUUGCAGAUCUCAUUUCCAGUUGAAGAAGCCAACUUCCACAGGCCCCCGAGGAUAAUUUGUCGGUUUCAUCGGCCAAGGACCACUUGAAAAAGAAACUAGGAAGAAAGGUAAGCAUCCUAGAUGUAUUUAUUUUCGAGUUUGAGCAUGUUUUGAUCAUGAAAAUCAAGAGGAAAACCGGCCCGGAAAACUGAUUUCUGAGGUUGAAAUUUUUGUAAGUGUUUGAAAUCUCUUCAAGAGUGUUGCACGUGUGCUUCUUGGAGAGGUCGUUUUGAUGUUGUUCGGUGGGUCAUUCUCUGUGAUGUUUAUUGCAUUUGAAAGCUCAUGUUACCUACUUUCAUUCGGAUCAAGUAAUGUUUCCCUUAGAUCUCGUAUGUGAUAGGUGUUGGGGCUUGAAUAUGGGCACUCAACCUGUUUGCUUGACUUGGGUUCAAACCCAGAUUUGCAAAAUCAGAUCAAACCCGCAUAUUUGAUGACGAUUCCAGCUUGUUUUUCGUGUGUUUUAAGCUGUGUUUUUUUAUCUAUCUUACUCCUUGCGUGUUUUAGUUUAACCUUGAUGUUUUAGUUCCACAUAAUAUUGCUCAUGAGUUGAGAUUGAAGACCGCAAACAUGGCCCGAGGAAGCUGAUUGGGGCUAGUUUAAUGCACACCAAGUGUUUGACAAAAUGCUCAAACUAAGCUUCGAUCUUGAAACGGUCGAUUUGAGCUUGAUUAUUGUGAUAUUCAUGUGCUGUGUUACUCCAUGUUAGCAUAGAUCGGUUUAAGGAAUUAUUAUUAUUAUUUUUUAAAAAUAAUUAAAAAAGAGAAAAAUAUGAAAAUUUCAAAAAUAUCAAAAAAAUGUUAGAUGGCAUCAAAUUAGGAUAUAAAUGACAUAUAUGAAAUUUUCCUAAUUUUAAAAGGUCAUUUUCCUAAUUUAAUGCUAUUUUGGUAUUUUAUAACCAUUUUUGUAAAUAAUCCAUUUUGUGUAGAUUAAAAUUAUUUAGAGUUAUUUCAUGCAUCUAGAGUAAUUUCAUGCAUAUUUAUAUUUCCAUUUCGCUCACGGGGGUCCUGUCCCGGGGCGUGAUAACAAGGCCAUGUAAUAUUAUUUGCCCGACUUGUAUCGGGUCUUUCUUUUCCGCAUUACUUUCAAGUCAUUUCAAUUUCUUAAAUAUUUACUUGCGCACCGCUUUUCAUUAAUUUGAGUUUAAAUUUCUCUUCUAAAUUAUGUUAGGAUUAGUUUAGACAUUAAGGAAAACAAACCUACAAAAACAUUUGCAUGGACGCUUAGCGGUUUUAUAAAGAUUAUAAUUGGUAAUCAAGAUUGUGUGGCCAUUUAGAUGAACAACCUUUUAAGUUAGUGGUACCGCAAGGGCGUUAAUAGAAACAUUAGCGUAAACAAGUCCCCGUUCCUAGAAAUCUCUGGUUGCGUAGGAAUCGUGACAACACUCCCGUGUCUCGAUUGGUUUCUAGCCGACCCCAAUAGGCUAGUGGCGACUCCUAAAAAUAUUUAGGUUGUUAAGAACUGAAAAGAAAAUCCAACGUCGCGCGAGGUAUGGGCUUGGGAGAGCCUGUGUCUAAUUUAGGGCCAUUGGUCAGCCUCUUUAGGCAAAUACCCCUAAACCUUCUUCCUUUUCCCCCGGACGGAAAAAAGAGGUCGUGACAGUUAGCGUAUGCAAAGAACUGAUUUCCGCUAUUCCAUGUGGCGAAUAGCUAAGUUUAGAACAUAAACUUAUGUCUAGAUUCCGAAGGCUGACUAACUUCUUUAUAUCACUUGGCAACUCUUUGAGGGCAUCACAAUAUUGGAGAUUAAGUGUUUGCAAGCUCUGCAAUUUCGUAAUGGAGUUAGGAAGCCUUUUGAGUGUGCAGUUAUCAGAGAGAUCGAGAUAAGUGAGAUACUUUAACUUAUAAAUGGACCGUGGCACCUUCUCGACCUUUAUGCCUUGUAGAUCCAAGAUGCGCAAUCUCUUGAAAUUUAGAAUUAAUUGGCGUACAUCCACUUCACUUAUUGGUUCUAUUUGUUGUCUUUCUUUUCAAUAUGUAGUAGUAGAUAGAAAUGUUCUCAGUGCACUUGCUUUCAAGCGUAAGAUUGGAAGUUCAUCCAUCAAAUUGAAAGUCGAACCAUAGGAUAUAUGAAGAGUUCUUUCAUUUAUGAUAUUUGUGUCAUCCCUUGCCACCCGACACCUGUUCCUUGCAACUAAGCAGGCUAGAUCAUGCAUCAAAUCAUGCAUCUUGCAAGUUUCCUCCUUCGUGUAUGGAUCUUUUUUAAAAUCUUGGAAGAAGUUACUCCAACAUAGAUCCAUGAAAUAUUCAUGAGCAAUGUCUUCUAGAAGCUUACCUGAAUUUGAUGGCUGGAUAAAUCCUUCUGCCAUCCAAAGAUAGACUAAAGUAUGCUUCUUUAUCUCAUAAUCUUUGGGAAACAAUGAACAAAUGGCGAAACAUUGUCUCAAAUGUGAAGGAAGAUCGUCAUAACUUAGCCUGAGAAUAGAUAUUAUUGGGUCUUCCAUUUGAGACACUUUUGGGAGCUCAACAUCUUUGAAAUGUAACCAUUCAUCUUUAGUUUCCUUAAAGAAUAAUAACCUCCCAAUAGUUCGAACAAUCAAUGGAACUCCAGAACACUUUCUAACUAUCUCUUUCCCAAUAGCUAGCAUGCUAGGAUCUUGUCUGGCCCCUUCUUUUCGACCGGCCGUUCGCAUCAACAAAUCAAGAGAAACACUUUCAGAUAAGCCCUUAAGAAGAAGAGGCAGAGCAGGGGAGGUGAUCUUUGCAACCAAAGGAAGGCGUGUAGUUAUAAGGAUCUUGCUUCCUCUAGCACCUCCCAUCAAUAAUGAUUUCAAGUUGUGCCAUGUUUCUGAUUGUGCAUCCUACAAAUCAUCCAAAACUAAGAGAUAUCUCCUUCCAUCAAUUAUUUUCCUCAGUUCAAUUUGCAACCUAUCCAUCACAUUGUAGUUUGGUUCUUUCUUCCCCACACAAACUAUGAUAUCUUUUACUAUUUUUAUCAUGUCAAAGUCAUUAGAGACACAAACCCACAUUUUCAAGUCAAAAUGUUUACUGAUAAUCUCAUCAUUAUACACAAAUUUAGCAAGAGCUGUUUUUCCAAGCCCACCAAUACCAACUAUUGGAAGGAUAGAAACGUUCUCUUUCACAUCCAUAUCCAAUAAGAAUUUCAUGACAUUCUUUUUAUCAUUACCUCUUCCAAUAAUGUCUUCCUCACAUAUAAACGAAUGCGUCUCCUCUCUCUUCCUCCGCCCUCUCUUUGCUUGCGAAUUCAUAGGUCCCUUGUCCAAGUGGAAGUUCUUUUCAGCCUCAAUAUCUUUCAAUCUCUCCCUCACUUCUGUUAUUUUUCUACUCAUCUUCAGUUCAAAAGCAAGCUGGUUUGAACUUGAGAAAAAUGUUCUUACCACCUUGAUCAUCUGAUUGUCGCCCCUCAGUUCUCGUCGCAUAGCUUCUAUAUUAAAUUCUUCAAGCACGUCCUGCAAGUCAUAGAAAGCCUCUUUUAGUUUCUCCACCCAAUCUUUGAUUUGGGAACUCUGGUGUUGUUGCUCUUCUGCAUCGUCCAGCACAGAAUGAAGCAUGGUGACGUAGCUCUCGAGCGCCUGAAGUUCACGCUUGAUGCCCCCAAAAUUUCCAACCUUUCCCGGUGCUUGAGUAAUCAGAUUGGCAAGGACGCUUCCACCAAUGCUGAUGACAGCUUCUGCCAUAUUUGUUCUCUCUAUCUCUCUUUCUCUAUGGGGUUGAGAAGAUUUUAGUCCUGUUGUUCCAAGGCUAGAGUCUUCUUAGAUGAUGUAUAAAAAGUCUAUCCUUGAGAUUAAAUAAGUGUACAAUAAAAGUAGAUAAUAGAAAAUAUUUAACUGACAAACAGUAAUUCCAAAGCAUCCUAUGUCAUGUAAGAUUCCAUCCCAUCUGAUAAGUAAGGCGAGUUCCUAUUCAUACAUUCUUCUAGAAACAUUAUGUUAGAUUAUAUUAGAUUGAUUUAAGUUUUUUUUUUCUACCAUACUGUUAAGUAAUAUGUCUAAUUAACAUUAAGGAAAUUGGGAGGUAAUUGAGUGAUGAUGUGGUUCGACCGUUAAGCUCCAUUUUGCUGGACUUUCUUCUUAGUUUGGUUUUAAUAUAUGAUGCGUAAUAAAUUAAAACGAAACAAUGUAAUCACAAUGAUCAGAGGCUUUUUAAAAAAUAAAAAUAACUUUGUGUUUUCUUGUAUAAAAUUCAAAAUGUUAUUUAAAUAUAAAAAGUUAUGAUUCAAAUUACAUAUUAAUGCUUACGUGUUGUGAAAAUUUAAUAUGUUUAAAGACAAGAUAAUGUCAAAUGUAGACCGAGACAACAUUAGAAUAAACAAAAAUAAAAUGUAAAAAUCUAUCAAGACAAGCCAUUAGCUAAGUUGGUGAUGUUCUUGAAAUCCGCUAGAGGUGGUGGACCAUGUCAUUGUCCUUUGUACUUGUCAUCUUUUCUUUUUUUCCUUACUUUUCUCUUUUAGGCGAACAGAAAGUGUAAGGUAAUAGGAUGUUGAAGCAAAGCCAUAAUUUUUCACUUCAUUGGCCGACAAAUGAGAAUCAAAAUCCACUUACGAGGGCUACACUACAUCCACCACAAUCUGCUCAAGCCUGGAAACCAUCUCAUUGCAGCUUAGAAAGUUAUUAUAGCUGUCUCGAUAUGGGCAGCAGCAUAGGGAAUGCCCCGAUGGAUGACCACUCUCUAGUGUUCAGUGGACAAGAUCAGCUUAUGCUCGGUGAUAAAAUGUUGUACUUUGCAAGACCGUACGUGUUAGAGAACAAGACAAAUGAAGAUAUUGAGUCUUAAGGUCUAGCGUCCCUGUCAAUUUGUGCACAAUCUCUUUUGAACUCUUUACCAAGCCCCUUUUCUUAUUUUGAACUCAAGUUCUUCUAAAUCACAUCCAACAAGUUAGAUAAAUGUGUUCCAAUAUAUGACCUAUUCCGCAUGAGUCUUAACAUGAUACUAAAUAUUUCACGAAACAUUUGGCAAGAUACUUGAGAUCUUUAAUAAGGAUAGUGGUGUUGCACGUUCCUAUUCACUUAUAAUUACAAUUAGUUGUUGUAUUUGGUCACUCCCCCUUCCAUGUUAGUUGCAUGUUCAUAAUUUCUAUAGAUGCCGAAUCAAUUAUAUUUAAUUCCAUUUCUUUCUAACCGCCCCUUGCUCUACCAGGAUUUUCAAAAGAAAUCAUGUGACUCUUCGUAUGUACGUAGCGAGUAAUUUUUCAUGUGACCAGUAACUUUUUACAAGAUAUUCGACUUCCAAUAAGUACUCACCUAUUUACAUUAUUACUAAUUUUUUACAUAAAAGGCAACCUAUCUACAAUGAUUCUUAUCGUCCCAUGUAUUUUAAAAAAAGGACAAGUUUGAAAAAAAAAAAUUGAUGCUUUUUGCAAUGUAACAGUAAAUCUUAAUUUGUAAGACCAAAAAUUUACAUAAAGUUUGUGACCAUUCAUGGGACAGUAAGUUUUGCUUUAAAAAAGUAAUUACCACCGACCCUGUUUAAUAAAAGAAAAUAUAGGAAUUGACAAACAAUAUUUAGGCCGCCCACGGGUCUAGAAAGUGAAAAUUAAAGUUUUUUUUUUUCCUCAGCAGCUGUAAAUGAAAAUUUCUCCCAAGGGGGCUAAAGAACAAAUGAGCCCGGCUUUUUUCUGAUGAUGCCCAUUUUCCUCGUUUCAUCACAUGCUUUCCUUAGAAAACAGUGCACGUUCAUACUCUAAUAAUUUUUUCUUUUUUAAUUUAAAGAAUAUUAAUAUUCUUUAAAUAAUUUGAUAUUCGCUCUAUUUUCAUUUUCUUUUUUGGGGAUAGAGGGACUUGAACCCUCACGAUUUUUAAAGUCGACGGAUUUUCCUCUUACUCUAAAUUUCAUUGUUGUCAGUAUUGACCAAUCAGUUUCGCUACAGCACCCGCUGCUCUAGCUAAUUGUCCAAAGGGGAUCCUAUCAACUUGUUCCGACCUAGGAUAAAUAUUUCCCAACUGUUCUGGUCCAUUUACGGUUAUUGCUUUUGUGAACAUAGUAGCUAAAUAAUCCCAACGUGUCAUCCUCUAGAUAAUUCAAAUCGAAGCAAUUGGAUGUACAAAAAUAGGAAAUUAACUUCUCAUUUUUUUCUGACAGAUAAAAAAAAAAAGUAAAUAUAAGCAAGACUUUUACCCCAAGAUUGGUUGAUUAGUCAUCUUGGCUUGUUUUAGCUAUUUUUCUUUAUUUGUUUCAUAUUGUAAAUGUAUUAUCGCACCUUCCAGUACGGUUACCUUGUUACGACUUCAUACUUGAACAAAUAAAAAUUGGGAAAGUUUAAAUUGCGCAAUUGUUUACAGUUCCGGUUCACAUGCAUGCCCCAGUUGUUUUGUAGUAAACACCGGAGCAUUAAAAAUAGUAGAACUUGGAUCUUGAGAAGCCGGAAAAUUAUCAUAGCUGCGGGGGCAACUUAAAAUCUAACUUCACAUGGUAAAAAAAAAUUAUGUGAAUGAAUUUCCACUUUUGUCCGAAUAAAAAACUGAAGAAAAGAUUAUGAAGUAUAAAUUGUGAAUGAAGUAGUUUGAAACCUUUGUGUGCAAAAAAGAAAUUGCAGAUUGGUACAGAAGUACCAUGUGCGGUGGGAUAACAAAAAAGCAAGCUGAUGAGGAUGCUUUUCGAAUUUAGAUUUUAAUAUGCGGAAUGGUAGAAGGGCUCUUAAAGUUGGCUAAUCUUCUCUUGUGAAUUCCAUUUAAAAUUGGAAAUUGGUACAUCUUACAUCUUCUUAUGUGCCCAAUUUGAAGAAGGCUAAAUAUCCUAAAUAUGUAAAUAUUUACGCCAUAUAAGUCAUAUUUUUAAAUCCAAAUAAAAGACGUCGAUAGUUUUCCUAAACAUUCUUUGUUUCAUCAAUCUAUUCAUUUUCAGAAAAGCUCUCUGGUUAGUCGCUAUAAGAAAGAACGAACCUGGCUAAUAGUGGGCUGAUCGACGGCCGACCAACAAAAGCAAGGCCCCAACCGGCCAGAUCAAGAGAGGAGGACAGGAGACGGUGUCGGCAAGAUCAACAGAGAGAUGAGAUGAGACGGCAUGGGCAAAGACUCCAGGAAUGGAGAGAUCAAGGGCACUGCUGGGGAAAGUCAGAGAUACGAAGAGUCUGAGAGAGGCUAGCUAUGGGAGUGAGAACUAAAAGAGAGUAGCGAGGGUCUUUAAAUAGAAAAGAUUGAGCACUAUUUUGAACUGUUCCAAACCAGUUCUUCCAAAGGCUGGUUCCCAAGAUUUUUUCAUGAGAGCUAAUCGAAAGUUGUUGAGGUCAGUGAAUCUGAAACGUUGCAGCACGUGGCAGAGCGUGACGUGCAGCAGCGAACGGGGCUGAAAUUUCAGGGCCUAUCACUUUGGAGGAUGGUGAGUUUGAUGAUGGCAUCGAUUUUGUGAAAAAAACAGCAGAAGGGGGGCGUAAUGACACUCUAUAGGACGGGUUUGACCAAAUACGGACACCGGCAGAGCUGAUGUAAUAUUGCAACCACCGCUAUAGAUUAAAGACUUAUGCUUUGUUCGUUUUGCGGAAAAUAAUUUUCAGAGACAUAUUUUCCGAAAUUUCCGGUGUUCGGGUGGACGAAAAAUACACGGUCAAAGAAAACAUUUUCCGGUCAACGGAAAAUCCCCUCUUAAUCUUGGAAAAUGAUUUCCUGUUUUAAAAAGAGGAAAUCAUUUUCCCGGCCUCUCGCACGAGCUCUCUCGCACGAGCUCUCGCGCUCACUCUCGCGCUGCUUUUUUCCUUCCUCAUUUCUGCACUCUCUCACAAAACCUUAGGGUUUCUGAUCUCCUCCUCCUCGUUCGACACCGACGAUCGGUGAAGCAUCCCUCAUUCACAAAUGUCCUCCUCCCUUCAGUUCUCUCUCUCUCCCUCUCUCUCUCCCUGCUGCAAUGGCUUCGACGACGUCCUUCUCCGGGAUCAGCCUCUGCCCUCCCCGGCCGCUCCUGCCCACUUGCUCCAGCUGGGGCGCUGCCGCCACCGCCGCCGCGCUCCGCUUCCCCGGUGGCUCGAAGCCGCUCGGGAGGAUCCGGCUCAAGAGGGAGCACCGCGGCGGCGCCGGGAGGCUCGCGGGGAGCCCGCCGUCCAGGCUGCUCGCCGUGCGGUGCGAGGCUUCUGGUGGACGGGUGAUUGCCCCCGAUUCAUUUUCUUGUUAUUUUUUUUUUAGCGCUCCACGUGCUUGCUCGUGUGUUCGUUCGUUGCUCUGUUUUGGGGAUUUGGUUAUGCUUAUUUGGGGUGAUGCGAUGAGGUUGCGUGCGUCCAGGCUUGGUGCUAGUAGUGUUCUGUGUUCGAGUGCGUUGGAUUUUUCUUGCCAAGUUGUCAUUUUUUUCGAUAAUCCUGAAUUGUGCAAAUAUGUUGAUUGAUUGCUAGUGUGGUUGCCGUACUGCUAAAUUAGGCUGUGCAUAGACGAAGAGUGAGCUGCUAAAUGGAUGAAUGUGUAUAUGCAGCUUCUUUGGGGGUGGUGUUUGUAAUAUGUAUAAUCAGAUUUGUCCACUUGAACCCAAUAAAUUAUUGAUUUUGUAGCUUUGUCAAAUGACAGAUCACACAGCAAGAAUUUACAGAGAUGGCCUGGCAAGGGAUUGUUUCCUCUCCAGAUAUUGCGAAGGAGAAUAAACAUCAAAUAGUGGAGACUGAGCACUUGAUGAAGGCUUUGUUGGAGCAAAAUAAUGGGCUUGCCCGGCGGAUCUUCUCCAAGGCUGCAGUUGACAAUACCCGUCUUCUGGAGGCUACUGAUAAGUUCAUCCAACGGCAACCAAAGGUAUCUCUACUGAAUGACAAUGUCUUAAUGAGCAUCUCUUUUCAAUCAAUGGGUUAUUACAGCUAGAUGUUGCUAUUUUCUUUUACGAAUCGAUUAAACAUUUUCAGCAUGGGCAUUGCCUCUUGAGACCGAGUUCUUAAUUGAAGAAUAGAGGAUUUAACAUCACUUGAUGUUCUCAGCCAUUUAAAGGAUUCAAGCCCCACAAACGAUGUUCAAGAGAAUUACCUAAGUGCUGAAAUCUUAAAAAAUGUUUUCAGGUAGAAAAUAUUUUCCUUACCGAACACUGGAAAACAUUUUCCGAAAUAUUUUCAAGUUUUAGCCAAACACCGGAAAAUGACUUCAUGGAAAAUGUUUUCCGGAAAUGGCCCAUUUUUCGUGAAACGAACGGACCCUUAAUGGCGCUUCAUCAAUUUAUAAUCUCUCUAGUACCAUGAUAAGAAUAACAUGAAGAGAGAAAAUGGGGGAACAACUGUAUAUUUUUACGUAUUGAUAAACAAUACAUGAGACUUUAUUAGAUAACUAUUUAAAGUAAUAAGAUAAAUAUAAUGCCACAUAUAAUUAAUCAAGGAUAUACAUUAUUGAGGGAGAUAUAUGUAUAAUCCUGAAAAAUAUGCAAAAUUAAGUAAAUAUCCAAAUAUCAUUAACAAUUAGAAUGGGGGUUUUACAUACUAUAUACUAAAAAACAAAUGUUAAUUUGUUAAGGGCGGUGCUAUUUCCACCCCCUAAAUAACUUUAUCCAACCCCAUUUAUACUAAAAAGACAACAUUGUUCUCAAUCUUUCAGUUGCAGUUUAUAUUGAUGGCCCCUUUCCUUUUCUAUUUAGGAUAAUUACGAUAAUUAAACAUUUGAAUGUUUUGUUUUGCUUUUUAGUGUAUUAAAGCAAAGUGCAUUAUCAAAUAUUCUUAUAACGUUUUAUAUACUCCUUGUCAAAUUAUCUCGCUAAUAGUAAAGACAUUUUUUGAUAUAGUACAAAAUUGGCUGGUGGGUAAGUUUCCUUUCGUUGGGACACAACAGCAAAUGUAUAUCUUUGCAUUGUUACUUAAAAGCACGAUUUUUCAUAUGUAGGUGUUUGGCGCUUGUUAGUCGCACAAUUUUUAAUAAUAUAUACAUAUUGAUUGAUACGUAAUUUCGUUUAUAAUUUUUUUAUAAUUUGUGUUGUUGUAGAAAAAUAAAAAAAAAUGUAUAUUUAUAUUGAUCACAUGCCCUGACUUUUCACAUGUUAUUACCGUGUAGCAUCCAAAAGUAAAAGCAAAAACGAUAUGCAUAUAUUAACUAUUCAAAUAAAUAAUAGAGUAAACCGAAAAAGUUGCAAACAUAUCUUUCAGGUGGACCCGAGGCCCGAGAUCACGAUUUGGGGUGAAGAUUCCGUUGGUAUGUGGUGAAUUUGGAGUGGACAAUUGCGUAUAAAGACAGACUGGAUGAGUGCAUAGUGGGGCCCGCAUGUAUGGAGUCAUAUUGGUACGCGGCCGACAUAGCCAUAAAGCAACUUAACUCUCCACCAUGGUCACCUAUUAACAUCACUUGGUUGUUAUUAUUAUUUUUUUUUAAAUUUCUUUUUGCGUUUUGCGCCACUUCUGUCUCCUUCUCUCCUAUGUAUUUUAAAGAUGGAGACAACUCUAGAUAUUAACCACUGGGAUUCGCCCUAGUGGCCACCCUUCCAACAUGGAAGGGGGAGGUGAGGGGUUCAAAUUCCUACCUUCUCAGGGAGGAAUGGGGUGGGGACGCGUAAGUUUCAGGAGUGAGUUUCGACUCCCACGCCCUGCAAGAGGCAGGGCAAAAGUCUGAGAUGAGUGAGUUUCGACUCCCACGCCCUGCAAGAGGCAGGGCAAAAGUCUAAGAGUGAGUGUAGAGUAGGAAUAGAGUAUGACUGACAAAAAAAAAAAAUCUAGAUAUUAAAGGCCAAAUCACCUCAAUUGUCACUCAUUAAUGGCCCACCACCUCAUUUACAUAAAACUUAAUAUAAGUACCUACCUCAUUUAUUGUGAAAGAACUCCUUAAAGAUAAUAUAAGUGCACAAUAAUAAUAGAUAAUAAAUAAUAUUUGAAUGACAAAUACCAAUUGCAAAACCUAUGUCUAUAUGUAUAUAUCGAAAAAAUAUGUAAAGUAACAUGUCUGAUUAAUGUUAAGGAAAGAAAGAAUGAAUGAAGUUUUGCAAUGAUAUAGCUCAACCAUUGAGCUCUAUUCUAUCUUACUUUCUUAUUAUAUAUAUUAGCUUAGCAAUGGUCUCUUCAGCAAUGCUCCCGAGGACAACUUUCGCCAUUUUUGUUCUCUCUCUGGAUUAGAAGAUGAUUAGUCCAGUGGUUCUAAGUCCAUAGACUUCUUAGGACAUGUACAGCAAGUCUGUGUUGAAAAUAGCAUUUCUCAUCGGCCACGCAUAAUAGAAGGUGAAGCUUAAGUCCAUAAUGCUUCUAGGACCCACCGACUUUGAUAUUUAUUUCACAGGUUGGUUUUAUCUGGUAGUUUCCGAGGCCCGGAAGCAAGGGAGAGUAGGACCAAGUUGUGAAAGCAAAUUGCCUCUCCAAGGACAAACACUUCAUUUUUUUUCCCCAAGGUUUCGUUCUAUAUAUUAAUUUUUUUAAAUGAUGGAGGUCAUUGUUUAAUUUAUUGGGAUGGAUUUUGAGGUCUGACAAAGUUGGUAACAAAAAAAAACCUAGGGCAUAUUAGUUUGCUGUGAUCCAACACCGUAAAAUGUGUGAUGUGAUUAAUUAGUAACUUAUACAUGUAGAUAUAUUGAUACAUAUGAUAUACAUGUUUGGACAGAGAUUAUUUCCAUUAAAAUAGAAAGUUUUAUAUGCAUGGAUAACACCAGAUUUGUUAACAUUCCAUUGCCAGCACUACACCUCUCAAUUCAAAACUCUCCUUCAUAUCUUCACUUGACAUUAUUGGUAUUAUUUCACUUAAACCUUACUGUUUAAGGAAGUUCCCUCUCCUUGCCAAUCUUUCAAAACUAUUUGCUUCCUAUGAAUAAAAUGCUUCUAGAUUAUUUCUUUCUUCCUUUAUUUUUUUUCAUAUUCUCUAAAUAAAUGAAUAAAACUGCUUUAAAGAUCUCUCUUCCAUUACUAGACAAUAUGAAAACUUGCACAUUUAUGUAAUGUAAAAUGAUAUAUUUAAACAUUUUAUGCAUGUCACUCUUUUUUUAUAAAUUUCAAAAGGAUUCACAUGUAGGGCAAAACAACAUACACACGAUUUUUUCUAGCAUAUACAAUAUGUACAAAAUCUUUUACUAUCUCAGUAUCCUAUUACAAUUAUAUCAGUUAGUUUAGAAUACUCUUUAGUUCAAAUUUAUAGCUUUUUCUUUAACAAUUACUAUAAGAUAAGUCAUCUUUCUUAUCUUUUGAGUCUGGCGCUUAUUUCAAUCCCCCUAAUAUAUUAUUCUUCCAUUCAAUGUACACAAUCAAAUCUUUGCCAAGUUUCCUUGUGGAUGUUUUCUAAUAGUGCUUGCAAAACUGUAAGAAUUCCUAGUUGGCCGUUAAUGACAAGUUAGUGACAUCGGACCAAGUAGACCUUGUGCGACAAUAAAAUUUGUUGAAGUGGUAUGGAUUAUUGUGACAUGACUAGAAUGUGCAAAGCAUCUUUUAACAUCCUAGAAAAAUUUGGAGUGUUAAAAAAAUUUAUGCCGCUUUCUUGCUUGAAUACUCUAAUACCUGCUUGAACUAUGCAAGAUACCCUUAACAUACUUGUGGAGCAUCUUUUGUAGUGUAGACACAUUCAUCUCUGUGUAUGCACCUAAACUAUGUGCGAACAACCAGUAGCCAUUAUCAUUCAUGGAGGAUGUGAUAGUAGUAACUCUACAUAACCUUGUGCAGCAAUGAAAUUUGUAACUCUUCCAAAAAGAACGUAACUUUCGUCUUCCCUUCCCAAGAAUAUGUUUCCCGACAAUCAUUUCGACAAGCAUUUCCCUUUUCUUUUCAUUACGGAAACAAGAAAUAUUGUUUGUCCACUGGUGCUUGUUUGGUAAUAUUCAAAGAAUUUCUUCAAUUUUUUUUGUCUCGAAAGUGAAGCAAAAGACAAAAAGAGGCAAUGGCAAAGAAACUCCAAUAAAUUCCAAGAAGACCACAACUUUUGCAGGACACAAAUUGAAGUUUCUUGCUUCGCUUUUCGCAUCCCUCCUCAUGAAUCCCCAUGAGAACGUCUCUUUUUCCAUCGCUAGUAGAACUUCCAUGCAUUAUGUUUGGAUUAAUCUCUGUUGUUUUUUCCUUUUUCAAAUUUGUCUCAAUUCGAGGCAAUUUUUAAAAAAUUGCCACAUCGUAAUGAUUUUAUUGACACAAUUUGUUUACCCUGUGAAUUGGGUGAUGUGGAGAGAGUUUGUAUUGGUUUAGAUAAUCUUAGCAUCUAAUGUCUUUAUUGAUGUGGCAACAUCUCAAGAUGCCAUAUUGAACACUUAUAUGGACAUUUAACAACUAUUUAACGGUGUUGGCAUCAUGUCAACAUUUUUCGUUUGGAACAUUAACGAAGGCCUCACAUUGACCCUCAUGAAAAAUUCAGAUAAUUGAUUGAACGAGAAAACUUUAGGUACCUAAUUGUGAAAGGGCUAAUAAUACAAGUACUUGUAAUGUCAUUGUUCCAAAGAGUUUAUCACAGAAUCAUUGGUCUAGGCACAAAUCUCAAACAUACUUUUGUUUACAGAAUAUUUGCUCCACAACUCAUCCUCUCGAUUCAUUUCUUGGUUUCCCUUUAAUAAUUUUCUUUUGUAAGAUUAUUCAUUCUUUUGUGUGAAAGAAAACAGGAGAUAGUUUUGUUAAUUUCACGCGCCAAAAGAUUUCAAUGGCUAAAUGUCAAGCACAUUGGAAGACUACAAAAUUUCUCAAUGUCGAUUUCCCUUAGAUUUUUUCCUAAUCAUUCGAUCAUAAAAAUUCAAGCUUUACACUUGAAAAUUUUUAGUGGAUUAUCAAACAUUUGAUUGAAAUUAAUUUUUUUUAGUACUUGAUUUUAGUUUAGUUGGAUAUCAUAUUAAUAGUAUUAUCAUCACAUGUAACUGUACGGGCACACUUAACUUAAAACCUUACUAUGACUUCUUUACCAAUUACAUCUAAUUUGCCUAAAUAAUAUUUUUUGUAGAUAAUUUGUUCCAACUUUUCGAGAGAUCAAUUGAUAUCAUCUGGAAUCCCCGGUUUGACCUGCAAGAGACAAAAUUGAUACCACAAAGAAUAUAUUGCAGCCCAAUAUAAGCAGUUAACGACUACUUAAUAGCAUUGAUGUCAUAUAAACAUUUUUCGUUCACGAUUCAAUGGAGGUCUCGCAUUGACCCAUAUCCGAAAUGUCGAGAUAAUUGAUUGAAUGAAAAAAACUCUAGAUACUUGAUUGCCAGUUCAUAGGUAAGAAAUUUCAUGCACCUCACGAUAUGGUUUUAUUUCAGUCAAUUUGAAUGGACGUCGCUAUUAAUUGACCAAAGCGAGGGAUGGGUGCGUGCCCGAGGAUCGAGGCGUGACAGUGAUGGCAGGAAAGAAACUAAUAUAUUCUAAAAAGACCAAGACUGUUAACGUCAUUUGAUUGUGCACGUCUUUUGAUGGUGGGAAAGAAACUUUAAUAGAUUCCAAAAAGACCAAGACUUUUGCAUGUUUGUAUGUUAUGUUGGGAUUGUCGGAUUCCCAAAAACCGGAUUCGACACUAAAUCGAACCCCUAAAACGAAUGCGGAAGACGAAGCCUGGGAAAAUCACAUAUCACCGAUCCUAAAGCACACCACGGAUUCGAGCGUACAUUGUUAACCACAGAUUAAACACCAAUGCUGAAGAUUGAGGAAGAGAAACCGAUCAUGUUCGAUUCGAUGACGUCAAUUGGCCUUGAAGGGAAGACGGUGUCGCAUUUUGCGCACUUUUGCUUUUGGAGGGAGAGAGGGAGAAGAACGUACGCUCUUUUUGCCAAAAGGUACGUUCAUCUCUCUCUGUCCUCCCUUUUAUAUGUCCCCUCAAAAAUAUAAAACAUACCUCUUCAUCGUAUCCCUUCAUCCAUGGGCCCUAAUUUUGUGGGCCGGGCUUUUAGGCCCAACAUGGGCGGACGGGCCAACUUAGGCCCAUCACCUAAAACCAUCAUCUCCCACUCGCACAUGGUGGGCUGAACAGAAUUCUCUUUUACCUCUCUUCAACAUUCAUACCGGUGAAUAAUCCGUGCGACCAGCAUACUUUAAGAGCUCGUUGCCAUACAUCUGUUAGGAAUAUAUAGCAGCUCAUAAUGGGCAUCACACUCUAAGUAGAUUUAGUAUGCAGUACCCUAGAUCGAUCGAUCACAUUUAUAUCUCUCUUGAUCUCUUUUAAACAAUGAUAUAUAUAUAUAUUGUAUUCACAAUUAUAAUUAUCCCAAAGACAGUCAUAAUUGGUUAACCAGUGAAUACAAAACUACAAUGUGAUUCUCCAAAUUCGAUCUUCCUCUUUCAUUCAAACUCUCAAUUUCAGUUCAACUUGCUUUUCUAGAAAUGUCCCAUUAGAUCGAAUCAACUCAUGACCAUUGGCAACAUCCUAAGAUAGCAAACACUAAAUAGAAAUCUUGAGAAUAAAUAAGAGUCAUAAGAGGACUAAAAAAUUGAGGAACUCUUUUCCUCAAGAGUCUCACACGACAUAAAAGUUGAGAUCAAAUUUUUGCCACUCUUAUUGGUCGUCUCAUGCAUACGUAGUAUGAAAUACGUAUUACGGUAAUAACUCCUUUCCCAUGGAGCGUAUGUCUACACCUUUAAUACCGUACAGAUGAUAGUUCAGACAUACUCAAUGUCUAACUUGAGUUCACGUAUCUACUCAUUCACAAAAUUCAUUAGAACUCACAUCUGGCAUCAUAGACAGAUAAAAUAAAAUAUGUGGGGUAUUUUACUUUCGGACAUAGUAAGUAUUAUGUCCCCAUCUUAACACUCAGUUAAGGCAACGUACGUAUUUUAAGCUUUAGCUCUCGAUUAUCACCUAGAUAAUAAGCUUAAAAACAGUCUCAUCUCUAUUUAUCACACAAUAAAUAGAGGCGAUUACCCGUGUGAGUGGGCUAAUCUUAUAUCUGUCCGACAUACUUUCUCAACUUAAAGUAAUGCACUAAGCAUUAAGAUGCAUAAAGAUCAAACAAAGAUUCAUAGGCAUUAAUGAUGAAAAAACACAAAUUCAUCAAAUGUGAACACUUCAGGGAAAUUACAAUCUAGUACAUCAGACUCUACGCAAUCCCAGAGAUUUCAUAUGGCCACAAAACACAUCUCUAUGUAUUGGUUUUGUCAUAGGAUCUGCUACCAUUCUAUGCGUAAUAUGUACUGUAAGUUCAUAUCUUUUCGCGCAAUCAAAUUUUUUUUUGAUAAAAUUAUACUAGGUAUCUAUAUGUUUGGUCUUACCAUGAUAUUUUGGAUCUUUGGUGUACGCUAUUGUUGCUUGGCUAUCACAAUUAACCAAACAAUGAAUCUGCAGCACUUCCAAUAACACCUAAAUGAUCCAAUAAUCUCUUAAGCCAAACAUCUUCUUAUAUUGCUGCUGAUAAUACCACGAACUCAGUUUCCAUUGUGGACAAGGCUAUACACUUUUGUUUCUUACUGCUCCAACAUAUGGUGCUAUUAUUCGAUAAGAAAACAAACCCAGAGGUAGAUUUUCUUUCAUCUGAAUCUCCUCCACAAUCAGCAUCAGAAUAGCCUUAGAGUCGCAGAUCCUUUCCCUAAUAACUCAGCGUAUAAUCAGCAGUCCCCUUUAAAUACCUCAGUAUUAUCUUAACGGCCUUCCAAUGUGCUGGACCUGGAUUGGAUUAGUAUCUACCCACCAUUCCAACUGCAAAAACAUAUGUCAGGUCUUGUACACAUCAUAUUGUACAUCAAGCUCCCAACAGCACUAGCAUAAGGAACAUAUUUCGUUUGUUCCUUCUCUUGUGGAGUCCUUUGACACAAUCUGUGGCUCAAUCUUUCACGUUUUGCAAUAGGAGUGUCUAUGAGUUUACAAUCCCAUAUCAUUCAUCUCAAAGUUGGAAGACAACCAACUUUUGACAGUAUUGACAAGCUCCAUAUUGCUUCCGGCAAUUAGUAUAUCAUCAACAUAUAAUGAUAUGAUCACAAAUUGAUCAUUGGAUCUUUUGAUAUAUAUAUACAAUGAUCCUCAUCUAUCAUUGUAAAAUCAUAUGUCAUUAUGGCAUUAUGAAAUCGUAUAUACCAUUGUCUUGACGACUGCUUAAGGCCAUAUAUCGACCUCAAAAGUCGACAUACCUUUUCUUCUUGGCCUUUCACUAUGAAACCAGCAGGUUGUUCCAUAUAUAUUCCUUCCUCUAAUUCUCCAUUGAGGAAAGCAGUCUUUACAUCCAUUUGAUGUAACUUAAGAUCCAUACUAACCACUAUUGCCAGAAUUAUGCGAAUAGAGGUAAAUCUCACUACAGGAGAAAAUGUUUCUUCAUAAUCAAUUCCUUCCUGUUGAUUAUACACAUUCGCCAUAAGGCGAGCCUUAUGCCUUUAUAUCAAGCCAUCAGCUUUACGCUUUAUUUUGAGAACCCACUUGUUCCCAAUAGCUUUGCGUCCUUUUGGAAGAUCAACCAGUUCCAAACUUGGUUUGACUUCAUUGACUCCAUCUCCUCUUUCAUUGCAUAAAUCCAUUUUUCCUUACUAGGGCAAUUCAGAGCCUCAUUAAUAUUUCUUGGCUCAUCCUCAUCUUGCGGAGCAAUCAUAAAAGUUUCCCCUUCAAUGUCAAAACGUCGACGGUGAAUACUUUGGUGACUUGUUCGCCGUAUGGGAGAUUGUACACUUUGUACAUCAUUCCCUAUUAUGCUCCCACUAGGAUUAGAUAAUGAUAACGUUGUCUCAUCAUGUGGUUGCAAUUGAGAAUGAGUUGAAUUCAAUUCAUCACUUCUCAUAUUACUCCCACUUGGACGAACUCCACUAAUAUCAUUAUCUUAAUCCAAUGUUUCAAAUAGGGGUAAUCUUCCCUUAUUUCGCCCUUCUUAGGAAAUUCAUCCUCUAAGAAUGUGACAUCACGUGAUUAAAAUUCAGUUAUACUCCCACUUUCAUGCUCACCUAUGAACACAUACCCUUUCGAGUGUUCGGAGUAUCUCAUUAAAAUACUCUUAUUUCCUUUAGGACCCAAUUUCCCAAACUUGUGAGAGGACUAAUGAGUAUAGGCAGCACAAACCCAUGGCUUAAGAAAACUUAAGUCCGGUUUUCUACCUGUCCAUAACUCAUAUGGAGUGGAAGUAACUGAUUUGGAAGGCACCCGAUUAAGUAUAUAGGCAGCAGUUAACAACGCAUCACUCCAAAAAGUAAUAGGUAAGUUAGCAUGCGCCAUCAUGGACCUAACCAUUUCCAGUAGGGUUUUGUUUCUUCUCUCUGCAACACCAUUUGUUGAGGAGUAUAUGGAAUAGACAAUUGUCUUUCUAUUCCUUUUUCACCAUAUAAUUUUCUGAACUCAUCAGAUAAAUAUUCUCGACCUCGAUCGAAUCUCAAUGCUUAUAUUUUCUUGUCUAAUUGAUUUUCGUCCAAGUUCAUAAACCUUUUGAAACAACUUAAUACUUCAGAUUUAUGAAAAAUCAAAUAGACAUAUCCGAAUCGAGUAUAAUCAUCUAUAAAAGUGAUGAAAUAAACAGUCACAUGCUUUCCUUUCACAUUCAUUGCACCACAGACGUCAGAAUGGAUUAAAUGCAGAGGAAAUUCAGCUCUUUUACCUUUUCCAAAUAGUUUCCUUGCCGUUUUCCCUACUAGGCAAUGCUCAUAUAUGGGCAAAUCGACUUUUUCAAUGUUGCCCAACAAGCCCUCUUUGGCCAGUCUAUUCAUACGUUGUUGGCCAAUAUGACCAAGUCUAACAUGCCACACAUUCACAUCACUAUCAAAUGAAUUAGGAGAUGUGAGAAGGGAAUAACAAACAUUUGCAUUAACAUAGUCAAUAUCUAAUACUAUGAAACCAUCCAGAAAAUAACUACAAGUAUAGUAGUUUGUAUCCAAAUACAAAUCUACACCUCUAUUAUGGAAGUUCACACUAAAAACAAGCUUAACCAACACAAAAAAAAAAGACACUUAAAUUUCGACGAAUCUCCGAAGCAUAUAGAACAUCAUGUAGGAACAAGUUGCGUCCACCACGCAUGUUCAAUUGGCAGGUGCCAAUCCCUUUAACUUCAGCUCUGGAGUUGUUUCCCACAUAGAUCCAGUUAGUUCCAGUUGGUAUUCGUCGGAAUUCCACGAAGGAUCCUCUAUCCUUCGCUACAUGGUCUGUCACUCUUGAAUCUACAGUCCACAAAGGAUUGGAUUCAGCCAAUAAUGUAGAACUUGACACAUAAGCAAAGUUCUCAAAUGUACAAGAGGUGUUUACCUUAUUUGGCUCACGACAGUCGCGAGCAUAGUGACAUUUCUUGUCACAAUUGUAACACCUUACCCUUAACAUUUUCUUCACUUGAUGACGUUUUCCUCUCUUGUGUUGGUUAACUCUUGAUCUCUUGCAAUAAGGACUUGAUCCUUUGCAUUCCCACAUAUUGAACGAAUCAAUACGCUUGCGCUUAGAGCUCAAAGCUCUUUCUGAGCUAGAACCAGCAUUGCAAAUAUCUAUUUUCGGCUCACAUGCCGUUAAUCGGUCCUCUACCAGCUCAAGGUGGCGCACAGCAUCCUGAAGAUCUUCCAUAACAUGGUCAAGAGCUUCUAGUGUUUCUUGCUUUUCCAGCACAUAUUGAAUCUCCAUAUUCAAUAUUUCACAAUUGUUGCCGUUCAUAUCAACAAUUACGUUCUUAGUGCUGAAACCAUCGAUCUGAACACAUCAGACAUAUAUGCACGAAUAAUUAAUGCCUAUCAUUUAUGCAUCCACUUUGCACAGACUCAUCAUAUCAAUGAAUAAUUUCAAGUAAGGUUUCAGAAUCAAAAUGUCACUACGUUUCCAAUCAUCCUCCAAAAAUCCUAACUUAAAACUAUUAUUAAUAUAAUUGUCUUUUGCAAAAUAAAUUCUAUGAAGUUACAAAAACUUCUAUGAACUACCCACAACAGUCAACAAUAACAGAAAGCAAAUAAUAUCUAACAUCCAAUAGAAUAAUAAUGCUUUCACAUAAUACAACAAUCAAUUACACUAAGUAAUAUACUCAAAGAAGAAAUAUCAACAUAGAAAGAGAUAUUCACACUUAAAAAACAUCUCAAAAUAAUCUAAGAAAUAAAUAAGGAAUGUCCCUUCUAAUCUAUCAGUCAAAAUAUCUAAGAAAUUUGUAGGCACAUUUGCCAACCAUGGAAAAACUUUUGGAGAGCUCUCAUGUCGCCUCCAAGGCGCAUUCACUCUGCGCCAUGUGGCGCUCAAUCUAAGGGUUGAAGUUUUGGUUAACUCAACCCUAUAGUACUCUCUAACAAAAGCUACCAUUAGCCUCCUAUAACCCGGGACCACGUUGACCUCCCAUAGCCGAUCUAACACUGCUUGCCAUUCAGGUGGAAGAGUGUUCAUCAAAGCCGGCACCUUCUCAAAAUUCGGCAUAAGAUAACCAUUCCAAAUGAUUUCCUAUAUCAUCUGAUUGACUCUAUAACCUGGAUCGGACGAACCCGUCGGGCCGGUCGGAUCGGGUCGGACGAACCGACCGGCAAGUGCCGCGCGCGUGCGCGGGCUGACGUCACGCAGACGUUAGCCGGCACGUGCGCGGCACGCGCCAAGCUUCCGCGCAUGUCGGGUCGCCGGUCGGGUCGCCGGCCGGUGACCGCCCGGCCAACGAUCGUCGGCGAUGACGUCAUCGAUGACGUCAUCCCAGCGGUUACCGACCGUUGGGUGACGUCACGGUGACGUCAGCACGCGUCGGUUUGCCGACCGGCGCGUGCCGGUUCACUGGCCGGCGGCGUCGCGCACGUGCCAGUCCGUCACCGGCGCGUGUGGCGCACGCGCUGGCCGAGCCAGCGUUUCAGGCGCGUGGCGCCCACGCGCAGCGGCUUCUGGCCGCGUGUGUGGGCGCGUGCGGCGUCGCCCGGCGGUGGUCGAUAUGUCGACGGACUCGUUUCGACGAGCCCUUUCACCCAAUGCCUUCAGAAAUCGAUUUCGACUUAUAGAAACUCGAAAAAAUGGACGACCAGUGCUCGAGUGUCGGGAUUUUGCGCCCCGAUCCGUGUCGGCCGAAUAUUUUCGCGAAAAAUCAAUCAUAAAACAUCAAAGGGGUCGGGAAAACAUGAACUAGAGCUCUGAUACCAAUGUUGGGAUUGUCGGAUUCCCAAAAACCGGAUUCGACACUAAAUCGAACCCCUAAAACGAAUGCGGAAGACGAAGCCCGGGAAAAUCACGUAUCACCGAUCCUAAAACAUACCUCUUCAUCGUAUCCCUCCAUGCAUGGGCCCUAAUUUUUUGGGCCGGGCUUUUAGGCCCAACAUGGGCAGACGGGCCAACUUAGGCCCAUCACCUAAAACCAUCAUGUUAGUGGGAAAGAAACUUCAAUAGAUGCCAAGAAGACGAAGACUUUGUAUGUCUUUCUUGCCAUUACCAAUAGAAUUUUUAGGCGCUACAUAUCUUGCUUAAAAUUAACAAUACCAUAAUUUUCCUCCAAUUCUUUUCAUUUUGGGAUUUUUUCAUUCAUUAAUCUCUAUUGUAUCUUUUCAAAUUUGAGUUCAACAAAUGAAAAGAAAAAAGCAAAGAGAAAAACUGACAAGAAGAAAGAGCAAAAAAGUUUAAAAAAAAAAAAAAGGAAAUAAAGAAGGAAAAGGGCAAGAUAGAACACCAUUGAAGCACGGCCACAGCGUGUUGUUGCCGUUAGCACUAUCACUUUGGUGACUAUUUCCAACUUCGCUACCUUAUAAGUUACAAUGACCUUCGUAGACAAUAUUUUUCUUGAGAUGUUUUUCUUAGAGUGGGUCAGAAGUUGAGGAUAAUGACAUCAAAACUAUCAAAACUUUCGCUUAUUUUACAAUAGAGUACCUAAACUUUUCUUUUUUCAAUCAAGUAUCUCACUUUUUCAAAUUUGAUACAAUUUGAGGCAUUCACUAAAUGAAUCAUCAUGUCAUAUGAUUUUGGUUACAUGAUUCGCUCACCUUGCAUAUUGAGUAAUGUGGAAAGAAAAAAUAUUGACUUAGAUAAUCGUAGUGUCUUAUAUAUCCCGGCCGAUGUGGCAUCAAAUCAAGAUAUUGUAGAAAACACUAAUGGGCAAUUAACGACUAUUUAACAACAUUAGUAUGAUAUCAACAUUUUUUGUUAGUGAUUUAAUAGAGGACUUAACCUAUAUUUGGAAAAUUGAGGUAAUUGACUGAAUGAACUAAAAUUUUGGUAUGAUUAAAAAAAGGGUAAUAAUUUGGAUACAUGUGCGUCAUUAUCCAAUAAUUUAUCUUUUUUUUACGUGAUAUUCAUGUGAAAGAGAAUAUUAAAUAGUUUUGUCAAUUUCAAGCCAUUGCAAAAUGAUUUUAGUGGCUAUAUGUCAAGCCCAUUUGGAGACUAUAACGUUCUCAAUGUUGAUUUCCUUUAUAUUUUCUGCAAUCAUUCGAUCAUAAACCAUUCCUGCCCCUUUUUCUUGGCCAAUUCCACUGCUUUCCCUUUCAUCUAUUCACCCAAAACUCAAAAAGUAUGUGUAGUUUGGCCUAAAUCAGUUUGAACCAAUUUGAAAAUGUACCGAUUUUCAAAAUUGGAUUUGCCUAGUUUUAGAAUCUCACGGGUAUAGAACUGGGCUUUUGGCUACUGUUGCACAUGGAGGGACUCAAGCACUCAAUUCCACGGAUCACCGGCAUUUUACUUUACCACCAUGACCGAACGAUUCAUGUGUUCAUGGGCAAUUGACAGCAUUACAUAUCUAUAAUCGUUUGCUUCGGACACAAUCACCGAUUCACUUCUAGUCCAAUCGUUAGGACCGCAAACUGGCAACCUAACUGGUUCUCCGACUGGCCUAAGUUUGAAAACAUUGGUGCCAAGUUCCUAUCCCUUCUUAAAACAAGUAGAUAAUGACCAUUUUAUAUGAAUUGAGUUGUAAUUGACGCAAUACUUUUGCCACAUGAUGAAAGAUGAUAGCUAAGUGAUUAUAACUAAUAAACGUUGAUGCUCCUCUUUCUCCUUGAUUAUAUUAGACUUGGAAAUUCUUUGUAUUGCUCCAAAUGAGGUUGAUGCUCAACUUCCAUCGUACAUUACUCCUGAUGUUGCUCUAGUUGGAGCUAUGACUAAUGCUUGACCUUUCCCUUAAAAAUUUCGUAUUCAACAGUAAGUCUUUGCUUUGGCAUCGUACAGACUUCAAUUUAAGAUGCUAAUAAAUCUUAGUCAAGAGGGAAAAAAAUUUAACAUCUACCACUCUUAGGAACCUUAUAUGCUAUUAGGAACUUUGUCGAGCACGGCAUGCUAUCGAGAGGUCGUAGUACUUUGUUAGGCUUAAGAAGAGAUCUAAUCUCCCCAAUCAAAAGAAAUGAAAUCUAUCCACCAUUGGAUUUUGUUAUAAAGCAAAAAACCAGAAAAUGAUGCAGUGCAAUAUAUUUAGCUACAUAGUAGCAGUUUGAUUUGUCACAUGCAGUUUUUGGAUAUCAUGGUUUUUAUGAGCAUGAGAAGUAAACUAGUCACAACAUUUGGAAGCAAAUUACUCAGUAUCAUCUCCAGUGAGUUUGCUAAGAAUUUUCUUUUGAUAAGCAAAAGAAAUUUAUUGCACAAUGAUGUCAAGCAUAUGCUAGCCCAUGUAACAAAUUAUAAACGCAGUUCAUGCUAUGAGGUAUAAGAAAGAAUGCACAUUAGUGUUGACACCUAAAUUUUGGCGACCCGUUUUGUCAUUUAUUGCAUUAAAAAAUUAGGGGUUAAUUUUAUCCCCGAAAAAAUAGUCAAUUGUAUAGCAUAUAGAUUUAAGUGCAUUUGCAUUUUUUGCAUUUGUUUAUUGGACCGGUGGCGGAUGAGUUCGAAUUAGUGGUUUUGAGCUUUAAAUUGAUAGGCUGGACUAAGCCCACGAAGGGAACAAAUUGGCCCAAGCCCUUUUUUUUAUGAUCGAAAAUGAUCUCGUGAAAAAUAGAGAUUUGAAAUUUUUCCAGGAUAUGUUGGGGGAUUUUUCAAUAUCUUCGGAUAGGGCAAGUGCGACAAAAAUAUUGGGAGCUCAUCUUUAAAAUAUUCAGAAUCCGAGAAAAUUUUAUUACGAUCCCGAACUUUGGGCAAUGUUCGAUCAAUUGUGAGUUGGUAUUUGGAAAGAAAAGAAUUGUUUUUGUUGAUCUUGUGAUUAUAAAUGUGCGGACAAAAACAUCAAAAAGGGCAAGAAGGAUUAGCAUUAUUAAAAUAUAUAUUCAAUGAGGAUAUAUGGAUCCGCAAUGCGUACAAAGGAAAUAUAAACCCUCACAAAAGAGGGAAGUCAGUACGUGGACUUCUUUCCUAUAUUCAAAUUUCCCUUUUUGAAGUUCAUAUUCGGCCAGUAUAAAAAGCGUAAUGUUCGAGGAAAAAAGGGGAGGCCACACAAUUGAGAUACACGGCCAUAGGAGAGAACACACGCUAGAGAGAAUAAAAGGGAGAAAUCAUGGGGUUCGGCAAUUCAUUUGAGCGAUACACGUAAGAAGAAAGAGAGAGAGAGAGUCCACGGCCGAGUACUUCGCGUCCAAAAAUCUCAAGGCUGUGCGUCCACCGAUCCUCACCACCGUCAUUAGAAUCCUCACUGUCACUCACUGCUGCCUUCCGAAGUUGAGAAGUUGCUGCCUCGCUGAAGAUCUCCGAGCACUUUCUGUCGCAACUGAUCGUGAGUGAUACGUGCAUGGUGGUGUUCACUUCAACAACACACCCUCAUGGUCAAAGUUUGAUAAUCAAGGAGGUUUAUCACAAGACCUGCAGAAUUCGCAAAGAACUUGGGAACUAGCCAAGUUUGUCAUUGGUCAAAGUCUCCCUAGCGUCCUUUGCUACCUUGCCGAGAAGCCCUGCACAGCUACGUCAUCUCCAUACGAAUAAAGCUCGGGCCCAACUAACGCGAUGGCUGAUGCUGCUCCCUGUCCGAGACCUUGACAUUGGAGCCCCACCGCACUGCUGUCCGAGCCCUGCCGAUGAGCUGACACUCCUAUUGAUACCGACAUCGCCUGCUUGAAGCUGCUGCCAUUGUUGCUUACGUCCACAAACCGAGAUUCAGCAAAUUCCCGACAACGCUGUUGCUCCCCCGACGUUGCAGUUUCCUCGUGUCGCUGAUCAGACGACGUUGUCAUCCAAAACCCCGUCGUGAAUAGCAAAGCCACCGUUCCCAUUCGCAUCCAAACCGAGUCGAUCCCGAAGCUCCUAUUUUUUGCAGGUUCGUUGACCGUGAGCCCACGGUCAUCCUUUACUGAGGAGCACCAUUGUGCCGAGCUUCGUUCACGCACCGCCCUCUCCCGUUGAGCGGAUUCCAUCCGGUUCAAAUUUGGUAACAUUAUUUGCAAAAUUAGGUAAUUAUCUCAUCUAAAUUUGAUUUGGAUAUUUUAUUGCCUAAUGCAUGCUUUUCAAUAUCUUACGUGCAUGUUUGAAUUAUCCGCGUGUUCCCAAUUACGAUUUAUUGCCCAAUUCGCAACCACACACGGAUUUUUUAUUCCAUCUAUAAGGCUUUAAAUGGAAUAAUUAACCACGCGGGAGUAAAAUUGAUAUUUUGAUCUUUAAGGCUUAAGAUUAAUUUAUCGAUUUUAUUAGCAAAAGAAUUAAGUUUGAAUUUCAAUUCGAAUGGUGGAUAGCGUUUUUGAUGAUCAUGGAUGGUUUGAUGUUUAUCUCUUAAUUGUUUUGUUUAUCCCGAAAAUACAAAAAAAUUGCAUUUGCAUGUCGUGUAGAAUUAUGGCAUAUUUUGUACGUCAUUGCAUAUUAGGGUUAAAUUGCACUUAGUUUAAUUUUAGGUAAUAUUUUUCUUAAUUUAUUAUAAGUUUAGGUAUUUUCUUAAAUAGAAUGCAUUUUAGGAUUAUUUGGGUUAAGAUAAUAUUUUAUUUUAAAUUAGGAUUUGGUUUAACUUAAUUCCUAAUGCAAAUUGAAUAGGAUCUUAAUCUAGCUAGAUAAUUUUCACAUUUUAUCUAAUUUCGAAUUUUAGGAAAAAGAAAAAAUGUCACAGGUUAAAUUAGUUUUAUUAUUUAGGAUAAAAUGCAUUCUUUUAGGAAAAAGGAAAAAUGUCAUAUGCACGUCAUUAGGGUUAGAUUCAUUGAGAUGCGUGUCAUUUAGUAUUUUUGCUAGGCCCAUUUAAUUAGAAAUUAUAUGUCAUUAGAAUUAGGUCAUUUAGUUAAUAUUGCAUUGCAUAUUGCAUGAUUUUCAUCAAUUAAGUAAAAACAAAAAAAAAAAUUGCGUGUUAAUUAGAAACCAUAUCUAGGGUUGUUGAUGUGGAUUUUAAUUUAACACUGCAAUGCUUUCGUUGCUUUGAGGUAAGUUUUUGCAAUUUAUUUAUUGUUUAUCUGAGUGUUAAAUUGAUGGUUUGUGCACCCGUAUGAUCACCUCACAUAUUAGGGAAAUAAAUUUAAAAUCAAUCCAAAUUGCUUGCCAAACAUUUUUUCAAAAUAAAAAGAAAGGUACCGAAAGGGCAUUAGAGGAAUAUAGUGUAACAAAGUCCCCGUACCCAUAGUCUCUGGUUCGUAGAAGUAAAGUAAAUCUUCCGUUACUUUAGUUGGGUUUCUAAUCGACCCACCAAAAAUAGAUUAGUGGCGACUCCUAAUUAAAAAUUUGCAUGUUAAGAACUUGAACCGAAAGUCGCGAAUUGGUAUGAGCUUGGGAGAGCUCGAGUUAAGUCUAGGCUUAACAAUCCAUCAACCAAACCCUAGGUGGUUCACAUCCAAAAAAUUGGUCGCGACAGCUUGGCGAUGUCGUUGUCACACAACCAAAAGCCGUGGAAAGCCAUCUAUCAUUCAAAUAAAAAAAAAUAAAAAAAAACUAGUCUUGCUAUUUUCAAAAGCUCUUGUAUUUCUUUCUUCACAAUGAAAUAGUAAGCUAUUGAAGUGAAUCAACCAUGAACACAGCCCAACAUAAACAAGGAGUAAUAAAAACUACUUACUGUUUGAUGUUGGGUUCUAAAAUCCAACAAAAGGAAGUUCUCUAGUAGAACCCAAAAACAGGAGUGUGCCAUAGAUUCACGGAUAAUUUAAACAGAAAUUACAAGACCUAUGAAACAGGCAAUUGGAUAGAAAGCAAAUGAAGGUUUGUUGCAGAAGGCAGUCAUAGACAUUGUGGACCUGAAUAUCCAUGCAUAGUGAUGAACAAGGCAUUACUGCAGGGUGAGCUUGGCAUCUAAUUUGUAACAACAAGAGAGAGAAUGUCAAUCAUCAUAGCAGCUGAGGCUGUGUUCUCCAUGAUAGCUACUACCCAAUCAUCUCUUUGACCCAACAAUUGAGAUUCAGAUGCAGGGUGGCUAGUUCAUAUUCAGAAUAGCAGAUUAGUACAGCCACACUCAUUAAGUCAGACCAAUAACUGAGAAUGAACUAGCCAUUGUAAAUAGACUGCUUCUGAUGACCUUGCUGGCAUCAAGGCGAGCUGAGAGUUGCCAAAAGCAUUAUCUGCACAUUCUUUCUGAAUCAUUGAUUUCAGGAGUUCCAGUGGCAAUUUUUAGGACUAACAAGGAAUGAGAUGGAUCAGCCCACUAUUAAUUAACUUGGUUUAUAGAUGUAAGUAGAGUUUGUCUAAUUAAAUCUGUACAAAAACUCGAAUCUUUCAACUCGUGAAGAAGAAGACUGGAAAGCAAGUUAUCUUUACAACUCGAAUAAGAACAUAUGACCUUAAAAUGAAUCAUGAGGCUUGUAUUUAUUGUCAAUUUCAUGUAUAUCCAUUAAGGAGCUAUCUCCAACUGCAAUAUCCUCCAAUUCACUGAUGGCUUCUAUUUGGUUAAGCUGCAUAGCAAUGCCUCCAUCCUCAGAGCUACCCUCUAGAAAAUCAUUAUCUUCCAUAUCUGAUGAGUCCAUAAAAGUUUCCAUCUUUUUCUUCCUCCCCAUAUAACCAAUAAGGCUUGGGACUUUUUCCUUCUAAAUAACGAGCAAACAUUUAUGGAUCAGCUCCGCACCUUCAUAAGCUCCUCUGAAGAACACACUAAACCUCUUUCCCCUCUCAGAGACAUAGAAAACGCCAUAAUGCUUCAAUAGGAGUCUCAUCAGCUUCUGAGGCAUCACAAAUUCUUGUCGAAAGUGCGCGAGGUGAUUGGUUACCAACCUUUUUUCCAUUGUGAAGCUAAGUAACUCGUGCAUUGCUGCAAUGGAUCUCUUAUUAAAUUCUUUCAAUCCAGCUUGAAGGCCACAUGCAUCAGCGUAAGGAGUCAAGUAAGACCUUUUCUGAAAGUGCUCAAUCUUCCGUCCAUAUCUACACACCUUCUUGUAACUGGCAGGAAACUUCAAGGGGAAAGAUAGGGAAAGCAACCCUGGAGUAUGAAAAGGCAAAUUAUGAUACCCCCAAUAUGGCCUUCUCCAACUCUGUGAUAGCCCAAGCAGGAUUCCACUCUAUGAGCUCGAGGUAAUCAACUUCAUCUGGAGAUUUAACCACUUUGAAGUGCUGCGGAUACUCAUGUACCCACUUGCUCCUAAAAUCAGCUGGCAAACCAGACUCUCCUGAAAUGAGCAAUUUUGUCCAGAGGAAGCCAUUUAUCGACCGACGUCAUCAACAUCCUAGUUACGUAUUCAACAGCAUGCCAGAAUGUCCCCUAAUCAAUCUCUCCUCUUCCUCUAACAAGUCUUCAGCUUCUUUAGUUAAUUCCAAACCACAAUACCCCCUUCUGAUCCUUACACAACUCAAAACAGUUUUGGUGACUUCCGAAUAAAAUCCACUCUACCGUUUGCUUGGCUAUAGAUCCAGCGAUCUCACAGGGAUUAUCGGGUUCCUUUUUCAACAUUUCCAUCAAAACCAACACCUUCGACACCACUUUUGCUUCUCAGUGGCAAUUUCGAGAUCAUGGACCCUCUUGUCCUUGUUCCUAUCUUACACUCUCUUGCUGGUGGUCAUGAAUCUACGUUGUGACCAGUUAAGUAAAAUCUCAAGACAAAAACAUUCGAGAAGAUCGCCAUAAAAGAAAACACAUGCUCCGUGUUCAUUGCCUUUUACUGAAUCACUGAGUUACAAAUUUUAAGACGUGUGCCCAAACUAGUCACGAGCAAGUUCUUAGCAAGUCAUUCCGGAUAACUCAAUUAUUCAUUAAUAUUUUCUUAAUUCUAUGAGCAAUAAGCAUGCAGUUCAAACAUAAUGCAACUAAACCAAGUAUUGACCACAAUAUGGAUCGAUUCUUUUCCUUUUUUAAGCGGAACUUAAUUCAUUCUAAUUUAAGAAAAUUAUAAGCCGAACAGGAUUAAGAUAAAUAAAAAACCAAGCUAAAAAAAAAACUGAGUUAUUUAAUGUGAAAUAAAUAAAUAAAUCAAACCAAUAUUUUCCUCUCCCUCUUUAGGAGCGUAUCUGAUAAAUUCUUAAAACAUAUUCAUUAAACCUCAGUCAAACCUCAGAAUAACGAAACUCAGUCAAACCUCUUUUUCUUAAAAGAGAAAAAAGAAAAAUAAGCUGAGAGCCAUUCCCCCCCCCCCUUCCCGCCUCUCCGAUCGUUUCCAAAAUCUGCCAAAAAAAAAAAAUUCGAAAGUUUCUCCUCCUGCGCAGAGUGAAAUUCCAUGGUCGUCGUAGAUGCUUUUGUCUCUCAGGGGAGUUUCACGAAGCUCCGCUUGAUUUCACCUCAUGUCCUUUUCCGCGGGCACGAUCGCCGGCGAUGGUGAUUCUGAGUUUCGUCUUGUGUUCGCUCGUUGAUGUUCAGAGCCAAAGAGCAGAAGAUCGUGGAACGAGAGGACGUCGACGACGGAGCAGAAGACCUGCUCGAAACGAUCGACAAACAAACGUGAGUUACGGCAAAAACAGAGUGGAGGCAACUCCUCUCUGUUCAUAAUGCGUUUUCGUAAUGCGUUUCGGUGGCAUCCUUUGAUUCUGAGAUGAUUAUCGUGAUUUUCUGAUCCGUGUUCCGAAAGUUAAAAUUGAGAUGCAAAUGGUUCGAUGAAGCUGUGGCCGUGAUUAUCGUGAUUUACAUCUCGAGCUUUCUCUCGAACUUGCUGUGAUUUCCUGCGCGUGCAGUGGUUUUCACUUUUCAGUUUUUGUCUCCUGACCAUACAAGAGCAAUUCCAGCCUUCCUUAUGUUACGUGACCUUGGAAUUGCACCAUCGUACGUCUUAUUUUCCAUGUAUUCGUGACAUAGCUGGAUUAAUAACGAAUGUCCCAAGCUUAAUUCAUCGAUAAAGACUGUUGGAACGCUAGAUUGUCAUUGAUCAUUUAGGAAAUGCUUUUGUCCUGUCAUUCUACAUUCACCAGAAAACAUAGAGUUUAACACGAUGGUUAAGCUCGAGUCUUCGUUGAAGGACGAUUCUGAUUCGCUCAAAUCCAGCAAAGUGAAGAAUAAUGUGGAGAGAAUCGACAACUGGAAGCCAAGCCCUCGAUAAGCUUUUAGGCGGUAACAGACUUUCUUUUGCAGACUGUGUGUCUUUUUCUCCAUGCAUUUCAACGAAAACAAAUUUCACCGGUUUGGCAAUCUUGACAGGUGGUAUUGAAACUCUGGCAAGUACGGAAGCAUUUGGCGAACCUGGGUGAAAAUCACAGUCCAACAACGUUACCUUUGAUGAACUUUUAGUUGUUUUUGUUAAUUAGCUUUCUCAGAAAAAUGCUGCGGACGUCACUUCAGGUCUGGGAAAACACAGCUUGCAUGCACCCCAUGCGUUACUUCCCGGGUUGGUCUGAAUUGGAUAUUAGGUUUCUGUCUUGAACUUCUGUUGCAUUUGUUUUUUUUUUUUUUUUUUCCUGAUGAAAAAUGCCAAAUAGUAACAUAAUGAUUGAAUUUCUAUGGAGUAUAAAGAUGUGGGUAAUCUUGGCAUCAUGAUGCGUGUAUUAGGUGAUUCUGGAAGUAUGGCACUCUCAUUUUCUGUAAUCUGCAGUCAGUAUACUGGAACGCAUGUACAGUGGCUCAAACCAAGCAGGAAAAAGGCCAGAAGAGUUUGUACUAUGUCACAACCGAGUAAAAGCCUUAAUCAUAGUCGGACUCGGACUUGGGUUGAUCAUUAGUCGAAUGUGAUGCUUGAAGAUACUCUACUUUAUUUGCAAAUCCUACAACAGUAUUUACCCCUAUUUUCAAUCAUUCUUUAUUAAUGGUUUGUGGAUUCCAUGGCUGUAAAAUAUUUUCAGCUGCCAACUCACAUGAGAGGAGGAAAUGGCAAGGUAGCUUAUAUCGACGCAAGAGGAACUUUGUAUCCUAUUAUGAUCUGUCUGUAUUUUUCUUGACCUCUUGACAAAGAUACUUGUGUUUCUGAAUCGUAUGUAAGUGCAUGUGCACUUUCUUAACUUAGUACACCUGUAGUCUUAGAUAACGUAAGCAAUGCACUUUCAAUUUUAAUCAAAUUCUAGACAUAAACACGCUCCAUGUCCGUCACUCUUUACUAAAUCACCUAGUUACAAAUUUUAGGAUGUAUGCCAAUCUAGGUUUAGCACAACCAAAUCGGUCAUGAGUAAGUGCUUGGCAAGUCAUCGUGAAUAAACUUAAUUGUCGAUUGAUAUUUUCAUGAUUUCAUGAGCAAUCAGUGCGGAGUUUGAGCACAAUGCAAUUAAACCAGGAACUGACCUCAAUGCAGAUCGAUUAUUUUCCUUUUCUAAGAAGAAAUUUAUGCGGUCCAAUUUGAGAAAAUUAUAAACCAAGCGAGACGAAGGUGAGUACAAAAUUAAACCAAAUCGAACUAAAUUAUUCAGUCCGAAAUUAAAAAUAAAUAAUAAUAAUAAAAAAAAAAAAGAGGUCAUACCCAAUUUUCUCUCAUCCUCUUUAAGAGUGGAUUUAAAAAGAUUUUAAGAAUUUAUCAGAUCCAUUAAAGCUCAAUUUAUAAUAACAAAACUCCAUCAAACGUAAGUCAGGGCAAAACAAGGGCGUAGGCAACUGCUGUCUGUUCAUCUCAUCGCUUUCAGUUUCUCGUCGAUGUUCCGGUGCGUCGUUUGAUUCUGAAGUUGAUCAUCGUGAUUUUCUGGUCUCUGUUCUCAAGUUGACUGUAUAUCUCUUUGAAUGUCGAUGUUAAGUGACUCUGAAUACUGCUAAGUGCAUGAGCUUGAUUUCGGUUUCGGUUGCUCAGUUAAGCUCGAUUUUCCUGGAACAUCACCGUGAAUCCAUUGGCGUUUUUACAUCUCGGCCUUUCUCUCGAACUUGUCGCGAUUUUCUGCGCGUACGAUAGGUUUUAGUUUUUGUCUUCUGAUCAUCCAAGAGCAAUUCAGCCUUCGUUAUGUUACGUGACAUCCGCCGGAUGUCUUUUUUCCCGUGUAUUCGUGACGUAGCUGGAUUAAUAACGAAUAUCCUAAGCUAAUUUCAUCAAUAAUAUCUGUUGGAACGCUAGAUUGUCAGUGAUGAUCUAGGAAAUGCUUUUGUCCUGACAUUCUACAUUCACCAGAAAACUUAGUUUAACGCGAUGGUUAAGCUUGAGUCUUCAUUGGAGGACAAUUCUGGUUCGCUGAAAUCCAGCAAAGUGAAGAAUAAUGUGAAGAGAAAAUGAAAGACUAAGAUCGAACAGUAUCUCGAGCGUGUAAUGCGGAAAGCUGAUAUAUCUGCCGAGGAGGAUCUGAAAUUGGAAAGGAAGCUUGCCAAGAAGCUCAAGGUGAAGGAUGGACAGCUAUGUGGGUCAGACGAUGGAAUGAAUGUGUUAUUUCAAGGAAUUCCUUCUAUUCUUGAUUCUUUUGAACAAGAAGCGCCAGGGGUAAGAGAAAAUCGUAGCGAAAUAUUUGAAGGUAAAUCUUCAGGGGAAAAAAGUGAAAUGUCCAACUAAGAGCAUAUGCAGGAUGAUGGAAAAGCUGUUUAUGUUAAGGCUGGAGCCUGUGACUCAGGAGACUAGAAACCCCUUCAUUUCAGCUCUCAAUUGAGUUCAUGAGCUCCGCAAAUUUCAAUUCAUUUCCUUUUCAUGAUGUGAUUGCCAAGAAUGAUUCUGAGUUUCCAUUUGACUCCCUCUUGAACCUGUCGUGAUUUUCUGUGCAUACGAUAGUUUAAUUUUCUUUCCUUAAAUGACGAGAAGUAAUUUCCGCUACUACUUGAAUAUGAUACGUCUAAUUCACCUUUUUGACGUAUGUCUUCUAAAUCAUACAAGAGUAAUUUGGCCUUUGUUAUGUUACGUCACAUAGUAAUUGCACCAUCAGUACAUCUAUUAUCCACGUAUUUAUGGCAUAGAUGGAUUAAUAACGAAUCUCCUAAGCUAAAUUCGUCAACAAUCACUAUUGGAACACUUGACAUUCUACAUUCACCAGAAAAUAUAGAGUUAAACACGAUGGUGGGUUGUUUUUUUUUCGUUUGCAGGUAUUUCUCAGGGAAUCCAUGCUGGAGAUGUGAAAAAAGAUACAGGAUGCGGGGAUCGACACUUGCAAAUGUCUUGAUGAUGCAUACAGAGAAGGUAUAUCUGAUAUUCAGUUCCGAAAAUUAAGCGAAGGUAUUAUUUGGCUAAGGUGAUUUCCUGUGUCUUUGUUUUGUUUUUUUGUAGCACUUAACUAGAACCAAAGGUUUAUCUGAAGCAAAAGUUGAUAAGAUAUGCGAAUCAGCUGAAAAGAUAGUGGUUAGAGCUUAAUUUCUUCUUAUCCUGAGAUGGCGCCGUAAUCAAUUGCAACUUCUAUAUGCAUCUCACAAUAACUUCUCUUUGUUUUCAUCAGAAUUCUCAUUUUAUUACGGGAAUUGAAUCUAUGCUCAGAGCAAGUUAUGCUCAGAGUAAGUCCUUAAUUCGGCAAAUUUCGAGCUAAAAUGGUUCGGAAGACCUGAAUGAGUCAUUGACCCUUGAAAUAAAGCCUGCAAAUUAACAUAUCGACUGUAGAGAACUGCACUUGCUCCAAACCCUACUUGUCUCACAGCACAAAGUACUUUCAAUGUCUUCGUUUUUUCCAGAGCAAGUCGGUUAUUUGCAUCACAACUGGAAGCCAAGCCCUCAAUGAGCUUUUAGGCAGUAAUAGACUUUCUUUUGUAGAUUGUGUAUAUCAUUCUUCAUGCGUUUCCACAAAAACAACUUUCCCUGGUUCUGCGAUGUUAAACAGGUGGUACUGAAACUCACGCAAUUACAGAAGCAUUUGGCGUAUCUCGAUGACAAGCACAGUCCAAUAACGUUACCCUUGAUGAACUUUUAGUUGCUUUUGUUAGUUGGCUUUCUCAGAAAAUGCUGCUAACGUCACUUCAGGUCUGGGAAAACACAGCUUGCACAUACCCUGUUUGUGACUGCUCAGGUUGGUCACAAUUGCAUGUUAGGUUUUCGUCGUUAACUUCUAUUUCAUGUUAUGUUUCCUAGAUGAACAACAUAAAUAGCAAGAUAAUGAUUGAAUUUCUAGUAAAGAAUAAAGCUAUGGUUAAUAUUGGCAUCGGAACAUGUUUAUUAGGUGAUUCUGGAAGUUUGGCACUCUCAUCAUCUGUAAACGGCAAUCAGCAUACUGGAACACACAAUCUAUAGUGGUUCAAACCAAGUAGGAAAAGGCCAGGAGAGCGUACUAGGUCAUAACCAAUCAGAAGCCUUAGUCAUUGUCAGACUUGGACUUGGGUUGAUCAUCAGUUGAAUGGGAUGCUUGAAGUACUCUACUAUAUAUGCAAAUCCUACAACAUUAUUUUCCCUUCUUUCCAUCACUCUUCAUUAAAGCUGAUCCCGUUCCAUGAGAUGAUAUCUUAUGGUUUGUGGAUUCCACGAUCCUAAUAAUUUUAACAGCUGCCAACUCACGUGGGAGGGGCAAAUGGCAAGGUAGCAUACCUCGCCACAGAAAAAACUUUGUAUCCUAUUAUAAUCUGUUGGUCAUUUCCUUGACCUCAACAAAGCUGCUUUUGUUUCAUACUCGGCUUAUGUCCAUGUAAGUGCAUAUGCACUUUCUUAACUUGGUACACCUGCAGUUGCCAUGAUUGAAUUGUACAAAUAGCUGAAAGAUUUGGCAUGGAUCCUGGUGCCGUCACACGUAAUGGAAGCAAUGCUUUCUACACUGGUGGCAAUCUUUUCUGGCUAAUGUACUUGCUGUAAUCUAGUCUUUCCAUGAAUUUGAAGAUCAUUUAUGCCCGUGCCUCUACUUCUAAGCAUCUGUACAACUUCCUUCUCAGUUUGGCUGCCAAAGUGUCUGAAGAACCAUUUAGGUUCCUGGUAAGACAGUGCUCAAGAAUCAAACUGCACACAUUUUGUAAGGUGUCGAUGGUUGACCUUAGCUGAGUAAUAUCUUUCAGAUUGUGGAUUCAGUGAUCGCUCUCUUUCAAGUGGAAUAUAAUGGAAGGGGAGAACUUGCAGGGCGUCAGGUCGAUUCCGAAACCAUCAAAUCAUGCGAGUUGCAAAUUUUCAGCUCAUCUAGUUUGACACUAAUAGAUUUCCAAUUGCAGCAAACAUUGGCACAAAUGCUCUCACGCUUACUUAAGAUAGCCGAGGAAUUUAAUGUGGCAGUGUACAUGACCAAUCAAGGUACCGCAUCACAUCUCUUUUCUCCCACCUAGUCAUGCAUCCUUUAAAGGAUCUUAUCCAAUUUAGCUCUUUGAUGGUUGCACACUGAAAAAUAGCAAUUUGGUGACUACACUAAGCUCAUACUAGUUCUCAUAAAUCUCAAGAACCAGCUUUUUGGUGUAAACUAGUGAUGUGCACGGUAGCUGCAGUCCAUGAGUUAAGCAAAAAAGAUAAUUUUUUUGACAACUUUUUCUUUGAUUUCUUUGUUUCAGUGGCAUCAAAGAAGCAUGCAGGUGGGCAUGUUCUGGGUCAUGCAACCACAAUUAGGUUGAUGUUUACAAAUGGCAAAGGUGAGCAGUGGGUUUGCAAGGUGUUCAAAGCCCCAGACCUACCUAAAGCUGAAGCUAUAUCCUUUUUGUCUGGAUCUUCGUCUAGCUAUACACUUUAUUGAAAUUUACCAGAUUACACUGCAGACAUUAAACGAAAUUUCUAGAAAUCUAAUAUCAAUCGGAGAGAAAGUUGAUACUAAGUCUAUAUAUGGAUAGGUGGAGACUAGAAUUUGAGCAGUAUACUUGUAGUAUACUUACAUGCGCUGCCUGUGCUAUGGAAAUAAAAUACCCAACCAUUGAUGAUGCCAUACUGCAGAUCUUCCUCUAGUUAUAUACUUCGUUGAAAUUUUUCAGACCAUGCUGCAGAUACCAAGUAAAAUAUCUGGAAGUCUAGAUCAAAAUCUGUGAGAAAGUCGAUAAUUAGUCUAAAUAGGGAUAGGUGGAUACCUGAUUUAAGCAUGAUACUCACUUUAUACUUGAUGUUGCCUGGAGAUCCAUGAACAUGUUGAAUACGAAUUUUGUCCAGAGGAAUUAAACAAAAAGAAGUAGCUGUUGAGAAUUUUCCUCAGUAGGACCGGUAUGAUAUUUUUAGCUGUGCUGUUAUGUAGAUGAUGCACAUCUAUCAAGACCAUCACUUAAUUUAAUCAAAAAAUUUAGGAAGAGCUCAUCUAUCAAUAAGAUGAGACUGAGAUAUUCAAUAUAUGUUGAACUUGACAAACACAUGUUUUUCAGAUAACACCAGGAGGCAUCACCGAUGUGAAGGACUGAAGGAGUCUCUCCAACCAGGAGGGCAGGCGAAGUGCUUUUUUUUGUUAAUCUGCAAUUUGAUAUUAGUCAUCGUAUUGACCGCAAGAGGCAUAUAAUGAGCUCCCAAGAACUUGUUCAUUUCCUUUCUCUGCAAUGGACACUUUGUCACCCUUGUCAUAGCUUGUCCCUAAGUUUCAUGUGCUCGACAACAAACCAUUCAUGAAUGACAUGAGAUACUUUCUCUAACUGUGAUGGUGACCCAAAAGAUUUGUCAACUACAAUGUCACCUUUGUGUAUCAAAUGCAAAAUAUAUCAUAAGGGUAAGGCCGAAGUAUCCUUUCUGCUUCUUCUAUUUAUGUUUAGCCAAUUGAAUGCAACUAAUACAGCCUUAUAUGCUCUUAGGAACUUAAUCGAGCAUGGCAUGUCAUUGAAAGGUCAUAGGACUUCAUAAGAGAUGUAACCAAAAGAAAAUUAUUCUGUGUCAUUUCGAAUAACCUCAAAUGAAAUGAAAUUUAUCAAUCACUGUGUUUCGUCAUAAAGAAAAAUAAAAUAAAAUUCUCCACUGCAAUAUGUUUUUAACUACACAUAAUAGCAUAUGGGUUUAAGGUCAACAGUUUGUGGAUACCAUGGUUUUUAUGAGCCCGAGAAGAAUCUAGUCACAAUAUUUAAAAACUAAUUACCCAACAUCAUCUCCAUUGAGUUCACAAUAAUUUUCUUUUGAUAAUUAAAAAAACUUUGUUGAACUUUCUUACACGAGCAAUCUGGCUUUUGUUUAUGUUACACGACAUUCAAAUCGCACCAUUGCAGUAGCUGCAGUCCUUGAGUUAAGGAAAAAGAUGAUUUUUGAUGACUUUGUCUUUGAUUUAUUUAUUUCAGUCGUAGAUGAUCUAGGCGGUGCUGUGUUCAUAUCAGACCGAAAGAAACCUGCGGGUGGGGAUGUUCUGGCUCAUUUAGACACAAUUAGGUUGAUAUUUAGGAAAGGCAAAGCUGAGCAGCGCGUCUGCAAGUUGUUUAAGGCCCCAGACCUACCGAAAGCUGAAGCCAAGUCGAUACUGAGUCUACAUAUAGAUAGGUGGAGACCUGAUUUAAGCACGGUGCUCACAGUAUACUUGAUGGUGUAUGGAGAUCCAUGAACAUGUCGAAUACAAAUUUUGUGCAGAGUAAUUAAACAAAAAGAAGUGGAUAUCCAGAAUUUUUUUAAGCAGGACUAGUAAGUUAGUUGUGCAGCCUGUGCUAUGUAGACUGCACAUCUAUCAAAACCAUAACUUACUUAUGUAAGAAAUUUUAACGAGAGCUCAUAUGUCAAUAGGGUGAGAUCGACAAGCGCACGUUUUUCAGAUAACAACAGGGGCAUAGCCGAUGAGGACUGAAGAGGUCUCUCCUACCAAGAUGGCCAGGCGAAGUGCUUUUUUAUUUUAUCUUUUGGGUUAAUCUGCAAUUUGAUUUUAGUCAUCGUAUUGAUAGGUACCUCUAUCUCCAUGUUAAGUUUGUAUUGGCAGGCAUCAAGCUCCUUUUGACAGCUUUAAAAUUGCACGAGAGGUUACCGCUUUAGCCUUAAUAUCUAACAUGCUAUCAUUGUCUGUUAUUAAAGUUCACAUGACCCUUCACAAGGUGUUGUGUAAACUUGAUUUCCAUAUGAGAACCAGCACGCUCCAAGUUAUAAUGGUUCACAUUUGUUCUCAUAUGACAAUAUCGUCCUGGUUUGAUUUACUAGUAGAGGUUCUAUGCGGAAAAUAUUACAUUGGAUAGACUUUGCAUGACGGCUAAAUGAAAUGCCAGAAAGAUAUUACUGCACAAAGCAUGAUCAGGUUCUGUAAAGGCUUGGUUUUAUAAGUACAUAUACAGCUGCAUAAAAACGAUGUGAUCUCAAACUCUCAAUAUAGAGCAACGGACCAUUAGAGCUGAAAAAAUUGUCAAUGUAUGAGAAAGGGUGACUGGGUCAUAAGCAACAGAAGGCCAUUCAAUAGCUAAUGGCCUGACCAAAAGGGGCCACAAUGCAUAUGACUCGGCAGUGCAAGGACAAGUUCACAGCACUUCCAACUCUAGGCAUACUGGACUCCUUAGUCUCUGCACCACUUCAAAUGUAGCGCUUUGUACUCAGCCCAAGCUAUUCACCCUAGGAACUGGCUUCACCUCAUUCGGUGCAUGCUCGUAACUCCUCAAACAUUUAGAGCUGAUAAAGAAGCAUCAUGCGUUGGAAAGAAGGCAACAUUAACAGGUGAACGAUUUGGCACUCAAAAAUCACUGGAAGAGCAACAUUGUACGUGAAAAGGCACAUUUCAAUACAUGGAUACAGGUAAAGAACACCAUUUUAACCUUAGAUUAUAGAUUUAUGUUCGAAACCAAUUUUUCCAAAAUGCUGUUACCCAACAACAUAACAUUCUCCUCUGAACUCUGCUUAAUAUCAGCAGAGCUCAUCCAUCCUUACUUUUCAGAUUGCAAUGCAUGGACCAAAUUCCAGUGGAGCUGCAUCAACAAACUGAAAAAAUAAUUACCUUUAGGAAAUGGUGCGAAAGACUUCCCAAAGCCCAUCUUCACGACUUCUGCAUCAUCUGAGCGAACAAGACUGCCUCUAGAAUCAAUUCCCCAGGAGGAAGGAAAACUGCCAUAACAUCCUGAAUGAUUCAGAGGACAGAAAGGAUUAGAUAUAGAUCACAGGUGGAGGGAGAGAUUGAGAGCGAUAUCCCAGAACGAAACCAAUGAACAUUAUUGUUACUCACACAGGCCAGACAAGGGGUUUUAGAAGUGCUGUCGAAGAGCACAAAACCAAACUUCCUGCUGAUGUCUCUCACGACUUGAUCAGCAGAGUAGGCCUCCGAUCCCUCAGAGUUCAAUAAGCUUCUACGACGAUAAUGACCUCAUUAGCGGUUUUUUUCCAUCCAUAUUGCUGCUUAAGAAGAGCAACAUUGGCUCUGUCCUUGGAACAAGAAACCGCAAACAAUCUGUCACAGAGGGUAAGGCAUGUCAAAUCUCGAUGUGGGACAAGCUGAUUGAGAAGAGAAGACAGUACGGCAAUUUCCGUCAAUUAACAAUCCAAUAAAUUUCAUUUUCUGGCUUUCAAAAUGAACCAGAGACUCGAGUUCCACUAUCUCCUUUAGGCUGACAAAUGGAACCUUUCAUGGUAUCACAGUAAAGUCCAACAAAAAUCAGUUUGAUCUAACCGUUGCCUCUCUAAAUAAUGAAAUCACGAUUAUUUUUUUCUUUUUUGGUGGUUAAAGCUACCUUUAUCAAGAGAUGGAGUGGGAAUUUGAAUAGAAGAAAGAGAAACUUUAUUCUUUGACCAGGUAAUCAGUUUUUACAUGGGUUUCGGCCAACAUAAUUCAUUCAAAAUUUAGCUGUUUCAUUCACAUAUCCAAACCUCUGUUUUAAAUUUAUCCUUCCAUCUAUACAAUAACUGUUAUGGGAAGAAAGAGAGCUUCUUAUUUUGAAUAUUGACCUGUAAAUGUUAAAAGGAUAUCAUCUAACCAAUUCACAUAUAGAAAUUCACAUUGUAUUUUGUGGCUCCUACAAUAUAGUCACUAAAGCAAUUCUGUACUUAGAGUCAAAAGUACAACUUUUUAACCUAUUGGCAAGUGAUACUGCAUAUUCAAUGUUAAAAACUUAAGACUCGUCCUUCCAUGAGCCCCAAUCAAAAUGACAAACGAGGGCUGCCGUUACUGUGAGUACAUCAUGUAUAUCAGCAGCAAUCCUCUCUUCAUCCUUUUUGGCUUUCUCUAUGUAACAAAGCCUCAUUUUAUGUUUUAUAAGGUAAUGUGAUGUGAUCUCAUUGAACCACUCUUGGCUGAUGACAAGAACUAAACUCACCUGAUUCGACGAGGACUGAAGUAUCUUAUUAUCAUCUUGGAAAUUCCCACAGAAAGGCGCCACCUUGCCUUGAGAAACCACCCAAAGCUUGUCCAUGCUUCCAGAUAUUGGAUGCUCAUCGUGACUAACCUGCAAAUCAAGGUGAAAAGAUGGCUAUUAGCUGUAAAGACAAUCCAUCAUUGGUCAAAUUGAAGUAUUCUAGCAAAAAAAUCAAUCUCACCAUCAGACAUCUUCCUUGGAACAAGACCAGCCCUCAAAUGAGCGCCUCAACCGCAUCCAAAUCCUGCAGUUUGGGAUAGUAAAAAACACAGAAUCAUACUCAUCAAUCCUUAGACAAGAAACUAGCAAUUUAGAAAGAUAGAACUUUAGUAGUCAUAGGUCAUUAAAGUAGAACUUAAAGUCGCUUUGGUGCAAGUGGAUCCACUCCACGUUCCUUAAAAGGAAGAACUUCUGGGUGGUUAAGCAGCCGACCUGUUGCUCUUGGGCCUGGAAGAAAAUUUUACAACUCAGAGUAGAAGUCCGGCUCAGUUUCUGGUGCAGAAUUGGGGAUGGCCUUUCUACGUCACUUUGGUUUGAUAACUGGCAUCCUAGGGGGCCGCUGAAUUGGGUUUUCUUGGAUGUGUUAAUCUAUAACUCUGGCCUUUCUAGAGAGACUUCAGUUGUAGACCUCUAUGUGGAGGAUGGGCAGGCUUUAAGGUCGGUGUUGGAGUCGUGGGAGAUUCCCCUCCCCUCCCUCUCUCUUAACCAAGGUUGCUUUUGCUGGAAGGAUAAUCCGGCAGGGUUCAUGGUGGCCAUGGCCUGGGAGGCCUUUAGGAGGAAGAAGCCCCGAAUUUUAUGGCAUCGUUUCAUUUGGAACAAUGCCAUUACACCCAGGUACCAAUUUCACCUUUGGCUUGUCGCCAAGCAUAGGUUUCCCACCCAAGCUUUCCUCCUCUCUUAUGGAAGGAUUGAUACUACUUUUUGCCCCUUCUGUGAGGAGGUGCCUGACUCUAUUGACCAUCUAUUUUUUGAGUGUCGGGUCACGGCUAAUUUGGCUUUCUUUUGGGCAACCAGAUGUAACCUUCCGUGGCGAAACCGGUCUUGGAAUGAAAAUCUCCUCUAGGCCACAACCUUUCUUGUGGGCAACGACUUCUUCAAAAGCAUGGCGCGGUUUUCUUUUGGCACUCUCUGUCAUAUCAUUUGGAGGAAUAGGAACAAUAUUCUCUUUAGAGAGGAGCCGCUGUCCAUUCCGGCCAUGAAGAAUCAUCUCCUCAAAGUGGUCAAAGAUAAGGCACUCUCUUUCAAGGAUGUGGAAGAUUCCUUCAGGAAUAGGAGACUACAACGCAGUUGGGACCUGAAUCCGAGUAUCUUUGCUCCGCGCGUUCUCCUCUCGGGUGACUAGCCGUCUCUAGAUCGACUGAUGUUGGUCUUUGUGUCGUCGUGCUUGUCUGGCGGUUGUUCAUGCCGUCUGGGUCUCUUUCUUUUCUUUUCUUGCUCUUGCCGCUUGGCCUCUUUCUCGGCUUCCUUCCACUCAUAAUGAAGCCGUUCAUCUCGAGUGCAAGUUUAUGAAGACGGUUCGUUUUGUACUGUUUGGUCUUCCCCAUUUAUAUAUUGCUUAUUUUACCAAAAAAAAAAAAACAAAGAAAUUUCCACGUUAAUUAUGUGCAAAACCCAAUGCUGCCUAUAGGAUAUUGGAACUACUUGGUAUUGCAGAUUACUGCAAUACAAAAAACACCGAUCAUGCUAGCAUACAUGUUCAAUUCCCAAUAUUUUGCCAGUUGGAACAAUUAGAUUGGUUAUGUUCCAUUAUAAGUUAGAUGUAAGAUGGCAGAGGCUCCCUGUUGUGAUCACUAAUUGGUUCCAUUGUAUUUUCAAUGCAAAGACCAGAUUCCUAUAAGUUCAAAUAGUGCAAGAACAAUAUAACAAGCUAACUGAAAAAGUCAUCGAAGUCACAAAAUGGAGAAAAAUGAGUAAAACUUAGCAGAUGAUCGGAUGGCUUGCAAGCCAAAACUAUGUGAGGUUUCUCAAAAGUUAUCUUGGCAAAUGCAACUUUCUGACCACCUAUUUAUAUGGGCAAAGAACCAUGUUAUAUGUGCAAUAACAUUCAAAAAGCCUCAGAGAAAGUAGAAUGAACCGCAAUUUAGAUUACAAAUUAACUCACCUCUAAAAGAGCUUCACGAUCUCACACAAAAAUUGCUUCAAUAAAAAAUUUACAUAUGCAACAGUAACAGAGAGGGAGGAGAUGUAUCAUACAAGGUUUGCAUUCGUCGAACUGCAAGAUUUCCAGUUACACCAAACAAACACAAGUAAGCUCGAAACUUUUGUUCUGGAACUCCCCGCACGAAAAAUGCCACAUAAGAAGGUAUUUUCAAUAAAAUAACAUAAUGUAAGACAAAAUAAUAUUCCACAUUAGAGUAAACGCACAUGACUGAUACUUUAAAGAACUGAAUAGUUUUGCCCCAAAGGUCACUGCUGACAACACAAUCACAGAAGCAGGUAGCAUAUCAUUUCAAUCUCAACCAAACAAGCAUAAGUAGUUUGGCUAAAAAUUUCUUGCAAGCUUUUAGUAAUAGUUCCUAACCCACCAGAGAUCAAGACCCAAGCGGAAGGUGAUUUAUGGAAUAUCAAUGCUGUCACGAAUUGGCGUGGCAUUGAAAGGUUGGAGCCAUGAGGCGCCCCAGAAUUUUAUCCCAGAUUGACUGGUUAAUACUACAAAGGAUCAUCAUCAACAAAAAGAAGGUUCUCAAUGAUAAAGGAAACCAUUGAAAAAAGAAAAGAAAAGGAAGUGCAUCCCUUUUCUUCACAAUCAUAUCACAGCAUCCACAUAACUAAUCAUGUUUUUAGAUUUUAGAAAAGAUUAUUCUUAUUUAGAUCGUAUUCACUAGAAGAAAAUUUAGAACAUCUCAAUGCACCAUAUAAAAUUAAACGCUUCUUUUUUCUAUUAUUAAAUUGCAAAAGGUGACACUUAACAUUGACAGCAUUAGCCCCACCUCAACAGCAUUCGCAAGUGAUCCUUCCAAGAGAUUUUGCCAAUACAAAUCACAGUGGUAUCUGCAAAGCAACCACAGUGAACAAGCUUAAGGGCAGAAGAAAAAGAAGUUGGGAAGAGAAAAUACAACAAACGCUGAAAAGCAUAGUGCAUUUUGAUUCACAAUUUGUUUGGCGGGUCACGCAAGUGCAAAAAUAAGCACAGUUUUUGGGCAUCAAGAAGAGUUCAAGAUAUGUCAUCAAUAUAGCAAGAUGCAGCUUUGUGAACAGUUCGUUCUACAUAUGUCAAUCUUUCACCUUCAGUGGCUGGUUUUCGAAAAUCUAUGUGAAAAGUCUAAAUGAGGAAAAUCAGUUCGUAUCAAGCAUCGAAUUUAGGAAUUGGCUUCACCUCCUUCGGUGGGUGCUCAUAACUCCUCAAACCUCUAGAGCUGGUGAAGCAGCAUCCUGAGUUGGAAGAGAAGGCAAUGUUAAAAAGGUGAACAAUUUGGCGCUCAAAAACCAUUGGAAGAGCAACAUUGUAAGUGAAAAUGCACAAAUCAAACAUGCAUACAGGUAAAGAGCACCAUUUUAACCAUAAAUUAUAAAUUUAGGUUUGGAACCAAUUUUUCCAAUAUGAUGUUACCCAACAAAAUAACAUUCUCCUCUCAAUUCUGCUUAAUAUCAGCAGAGCUCAUCCAUCCUUACUUUUCAUAUUGCAAUGCAUGGACUGAACCCCAGUGGAGCCGCAUCAACAAACCGAAAAAAUAAUUACCUUUAGGGAAUGGUGCGAAAGAUUUCCCAAAGCCCAUCUUCACGACUUCUGCAUUAUCCAAGAGAACAAGACUGCCUCCAGAAUCAAGUCCCCAGAAGAAAGGAACACUUCCAUCAACAUCCUGCAUGAUUCAGAGAACAGAAAGGAUUAGAUAUAGAUCACAGGUGACGGGAGAGAUUGAGAGUUAUAUCCCAGAACCAAACCAAUGGACAUUAUUAUUACUCAGAGGCCAGAAAAGCGGUUUUAGAACAGCUGUCGAAGAGCACAAAACCAAGCUUCCUGCUGAUGUCUCUCACAACUUGAUCAGCAGGGUAAGGCCUUCGAUCCCCAGAGUCCUAUAAGCUUCUAUGAUGAUGACGACCACAUUAGCAGUUUUGUUCCAUCCAUAUUGCUGCUUAAGAAGAGCAACAUUGUCUAUGUGUCCUGUGUCCUUGGAACAAGCAGAAGAUAUUAUCGACAACCGCAAACAAUUUGCCACAGAGGGUAAGGCAUGUCAAAUCUUGAUGUGGGAUGAGCUGAUAAAGAAGAGAAGACAGUACCACAAUUUCCAUCAAUUAACAAUCCAAUAAAUUUCAUUUUCUGGCUUUCAAAUGAACUAGAGACUUGAGUUCCACUAUCUCUUUGAGGCUGAUAUAUGGAACCUUUCAAAAUAUCACAAUAAAGUCCACCAAAAAUCAGUUUGAUCUAACCGUUGCCUCUCCAAACAAUGAAAUCAUGAUUUUUUUUUUUGGUUAAAGCUACCAUUAUCAAGAGAUGGAGUGGGUAUUUGAAUAGAAGAAAGAUAAACUUUAUUCUUUGACCAGGUAAUCAGUUUUUAAGUGGGUUUCGGCCUGCAUGGUUCGUUCAAAAUUUAGCUGUUUCAUUUGCAUAUUCAAACCCCCGUUUUCAAUUUAUCCUUCCAUCUAUACAAUAACUGUUAUUAGAAGAAAGAAAGCUUCUUAUUUUGAAUAUUGACCUGAACGUGUUAAAAGGAUAUUAUCCAACCCAUUCACAUACAGGAUUUCAUAUAGUAUUUUUGGCUAGGCAUGGUCUACAAUAUAGUUACUAAAAGCAAUUCUGUACAUAGAGUCAAAAGUACAAACUUUUUAAGAUAUUGGCAAGUGAUACUGCAUAUUCAAUGUUAAAAACUUAAGACUCAUCCUUCCAUGAGCCCUAAUCAAAUGACAAACAAGGGCUGCUGUUACCGUGAGUACAUCCUAUAUAUCAGCAGCAAUCCUCUCUUCAUCCUUUUUCGCUCUCUCCGUAACAAAGCCUCAUUUUAUGUUUUGUAAGGUAAUGUGAUGUGAUCCCAUUGAACCACUCUUGGCUGAUGACAAACUAAACUUGCCUGAUUCAACGAGGACUGAAGUAUCUUCUUAUGAUCCUGGAAAUUCCCAUGGAAAGGCGCCAGCUUGCCUUGAGAAACCACCCAGAGCUCGUCCAUGCUUCCAGAUAUUGGAUGCUCAUUGUGACUACCCUGCAAAUCAAGGUGAAAAGAUGGCUAUUAGCUGUAAAGACGAUCCAUCAUUGGUCAAAUUAAAGUAUUUUGACAAGAAAAUCAAUCUUGCCAUCAGACAUCUUCCUUGGAACAAGACCAGACCUUGAAUGAGCGCCUCAACCGCAUCCAUAUCCUGCAGUUUGGGAUAGUAAAAAUCACAGAAUCAUACUCAACAAUCCUUAGAAAAGAAACUAGCAAUUUACAAAGAUAAAACUUUAGUAGUCAUAGGUCAUUAAAGCAGAACUUAAAGUCCACAUUUAUAAACAAAGAAAUUUCACAUUAAUUAUGUGCAAAACCCAAUGCUCCCUAUAGGAUAUUGGAAAUACUUGGUGUAUAGAUUACUGCAAGACAAAAACACUGAUCAUGCUAGCAUACAUGUUCGAUUCCCAAUAUUUUGCCAGUUGGAACAAUUAGAUUGGUUCUGUUCCAUUAUAAGUUAGAUGUAAGAUGGCAGAGGCUCCCUGUUGUGAUCACUAAUUGGUUCCAUUGUAUUUUCAAUGUAAAGACCAGAUUCCUAUAAGUUCAAUUACUGCAAGAACAAUAUAACAAGCUAACUGAAAAAGUCAUCGAAGUCACAAAAUGGAGAAAAAUGAGCAAAGCUUACCAGAUGCAACAGUAGCAUAGAGGGAGGAGAUGUAUCAGACAAGGUUUGCAUUCGUCAAAGUGCAAGAUUUCCAGUUACACCAAACAAGCACCAGUGAGCUUGAAACUUUUGUUUCGGAACUCCCUAUAGGAAGAAUGCCACAUAAGAAGGAAUAUUCAAAUAAAAUAACAUUGUGAAUAUUGACAGUGCACCUAAUUCUUUCCUCUUGCAAUCAAAAGGCAAUCACAUUGAAGUACUCUCUUCUCUCACAAACUUUGCACAAUCGCAAAUUGCCCUCGCCAACAGCUUUGGUGAAAAUAUCCAUAAGAUAUCACCAUGGCAAAGCAAGACUACCAAACACAACAAUCAUCAGUAUGGCCAAUUGAAGUCACAGAACAAGAAGAAUCUAAGCUGAGAGUGGAUACAAGAGAAACCGAUUCCACACGAGGUCCACAACAUAAGACUUCACAUCGGUAGCGAUUGAUUUAGUCAUCAAGAGAAAUGACAACAAUGACUACCGCUUCAUUCAUUCAUUCUGCCUCACACAGCACACAUUUCUUUUGCAGGCGUUGUCGUCGACAAGAGACGAAGAACAUAUCAAUUGUCAACCAAACAAAAUGUGCAGGACAACCUUGGUGAGAUCAAAAUGGAGAAGUCACAAAUACGACCUCUUUUAAUUUAAAAACAUUUACUCGAUUGCUUAAGGCGGUGCUCAAGAUUGGCAAAAGGAUUUUACCUGAGAACCCCUGCAGAANNNNNNNNNNNNNNNNNNNNNNNNNNNNNNNNNNNNNNNNNNNNNNNNNNNNNNNNNNNNNNNNNNNNNNNNNNNNNNNNNNNNNNNNNNNNNNNNNNNNAUACCCUUGGGAAAUCAAAUCGCUGGAUGAGACGAAGUACGAAUUUUUCCUAAUUUUUUCUCGCACUCUUCGGAAUGAAGCUAUGCACCCAAACCAUUCAGCGAUUUUUUUCAUGUCCCUCCCCAAAUCAAAUCAAGUAUGGAAACACGAUAUCCGAAAAUUAUAAAUGCAAAAAUCUGGGAAACAAGGUCCCACAUACCUUCAGUGAAGAAAAUUAGGGCUAGAUCUACCAUUCAAAUGAUAUGUGCGGGAUAUGAGCGAUCUUGUCCCAGUCCUCGCCUGCUUGUCUUUUGCAACUCUCCCACAAUUCUCCGCAAUUGUAGAUGAGUAGGUGAGUAAGGGAUGUGAGCCUUCGCAUUGCUUCAGGGAAUGAUGUCAACGAGGAGCACUUGAUGAUGUCGAGAUUUUGAAGUGAUUGAAGGUCCUCGAUCUGCUCUGGUAUAUCCUUCAAAUUGUAGCAAUUCCAAAUAAGGAGACGCUCGAGAUUGCGGGCCUGUAGAAGCCAGUGUGGGAGAGAUGUCGGUUUGGGAAGGAGCUUUAUUCUCACGGAGCGGAGACUCGGAAGGCCUCCAUGGAAAUCCAAGAUGUUGCCGCUUUCGUCUUUGGAUAUAUCCAGCGCCUCACAAUCCUUGAAACGGAGAUCCACGAGGCUCGAUAGAUGUCGCAUACCUUGCGAGAGGGAAGUCAACUGAUGACAACCACCGAUGCUAAGAGAUUCAAGGGAAGUGAGACUUUGGAAGCCCUCCUCAGGCAAACAUUCUAAAAACUUUAUAUCGUAGAUAUUCAAUCUCUUCAACUUAUUAAGGCCAAGCAUCAUCUGAUUUAUCAACGCCGCUCCGUUGGCACGUGUCAGAUCUAACUCCUCGAGAUGAGGAGUUAGUGGCAUGGCUUUUAAUUUUUCACAGUACUCGAUCUUCAAUCGCAAUAGACUAGGAAAUGAUGCUGGUGAAGGGGAUGAUUGGUCCGACUCAAUAUAUUCCAAUUUAGGCAANNNNNNNNNNNNNNNNNNNNNNNNNNNNNNNNNNNNNNNNNNNNNNNNNNNNNNNNNNNNNNNNNNNNNNNNNNNNNNNNNNNNNNNNNNNNNNNNNNNNNNNNNNNNNNNNNNNNNNNNNNNNNNNNNNNNNNNNNNNNNNNNNNNNNNNNNNNNNNNNNNNNNNNNNNNNNNNNNNNNNNNNNNNNNNNNNNNNNNNNNNNNNNNNNNNNNNNNNNNNNNNNNNNNNNNNNNNNNNNNNNNNNNNNNNNNNNNNNNNNNNNNNNNNNNNNNNNNNNNNNNNNNNNNNNNNNNNNNNNNNNNNNNNNNNNNNNNNNNNNNNNNNNNNNNNNNNNNNNNNNNNNNNNNNNNNNNNNNNNNNNNNNNNNNNNNNNNNNNNNNNNNNNNNNNNNNNNNNNNNNNNNNNNNNNNNNNNNNNNNNNNNNNNNNNNNNNNNNNNNNNNNNNNNNNNNNNNNNNNNNNNNNNNNNNNNNNNNNNNNNNNNNNNNNNNNNNNNNNNNNNNNNNNNNNNNNNNNNNNNNNNNNNNNNNNNNNNNNNNNNNNNNNNNNNNNNNNNNNNNNNNNNNAACAGUGGUAGAGAUUAAGUAUUUGCAAGCUUUGCAAUCUCGUAAUGGAGUUAGGAAGCCUUCUGAGUGUUUGCUGUAAGAGAGAUCGAGAUAUGUGAGAUACUUCAACUCACAAAUGGACCUUGGCACCUUCUCGACCUCUAUGGCAUGUAGAUCCAAGAUGCGCAACCUCUUGAAAUUUUGAAUUAAUUGUUGUAGGUCUACUUCACUUGUUAGAUUGCUUCCCCAAUCUCCAAUAGUACACAAAAACGUUCUCAAUACACUUGGUUUCAAGCGUGAGAUUGGAAGUUCACCCAUUAAAUUGAAAGUCGAACCAUAGGAUAUAUGACGAGUUCUUUCAUUUAUUUGAUUUGUGUCAUCCCUUGCCGCCCAACACUUGUUCCCUGCAACCGAGUAGGCUAGAUCAUGCAUCAAAUCAUGCAUCUUGCAAGUUUCCUCAUUUGUGUAUGGAUCUUUUUUAAAAUCUUGGAAGAAGUUACUCCAACAUAGAUCCAUGAAAUAUUCAUGAGCAAUGUCUUCUAAAAGCUCACCUGAAUUUGAUGGCUGGAUAAAUCCUUCUGCCAUCCAAAGAUAGAGUAAAGUAUGCUUCUUUAUCUCAAAAUCUUUGGGAAACAAUGAACAAAAGGCAAAACAUUGUCUCAAAUGUGAAGGAAGUUCGUCAUAACUUAGCCUAAGAAUAGAUAUUAUAUGGUCUUCCCUUUGAGACACUUUUGGGAGCUCAACAUCUUUGAAAUGUAACCAUCCAUCUUUAGUUUCCUUAAAGAAUAAUAACCUCCCAAUAGUUCGAACAAUCAAUGGAACUCUAGAACACUUUCUAACUAUCUCUUUACCAAUAGCUAGCAUGCUAGGAUCUUGUCUGGCCCCUUCUUUUCGACCAGCCAUUCGCAUCAACAAAUCAAGAGAAUCACUUUCAGAUAAGCCCUUAAGAAGAAGAGGCGAAGCAGGGGAGGUGAUCUUUGCAACCAAAGGAAGGCGUGUAGUUAUAAGGAUCUUGCUUCCUCUAGCACCUCCCAUCAAUAAUGAUUUCAAGUUGUGCCAUGUUUCUGAUUUUGCAUCCCAAAAAUCAUCCAAAACUAAGAGAUAUCUCCUUCCAUCAAUUAUUUUCCUCAGUUCAAUUUGCAACCUAUCCAUCACAUUGUAGUUUGGUGGUUCUUUCUUCUCCACACAAACUAUGAUAUCUUUCACUAUUUUUAUCAUGUCAAAGUCAUUAGAAACACAAACCCACAUUUUCAAGUCAAAAUGUUUACUGAUCAUCUCAUCAUUAUACACAAAUUUAGCAAGAGCUGUUUUUCCAAGCCCCCCAAUACCAACUAUUGGAAGGAUAGAAACGUUCUCUUUCACAUCCAUGUCCAGUAAGAAUUUCAUGACAUUCUUUUUAUCAUUACCUCUUCCAAUAAUGUCUUCCUCACCUCCUCUCUCUUCCUCCGCCCUCUCUCUCUUCCUCCCGCCCUCUCGGUCCCUUGCCCAAGUGGAAAGUUCUUUUCAGCCUCAAUAUCUUUCAAUCUCUCCCUCACUUCUCUUAUUUUUCUACUCAUCUUCAGUUCAAAGCAAGCUGGUUUANNNNNNNNNNNNNNNNNNNNNNNNNNNNNNNNNNNNNNNNNNNNNNNNNNNNNNNNNNNNNNNNNNNNNNNNNNNNNNNNNNNNNNNNNNNNNNNNNNNNNNNNNNNNNNNNNNNNNNNNNNNNNNNNNNNNNNNNNNNNNNNNNNNNNNNNNNNNNNNNNNNNNNNNNNNNNNNNNNNNNNNNNNNNNNNNNNNUGGUGACGGUGCUCUCGAGCGCCUGAAGUUCACGCUUGAUGCCCCCUAAAUUUCCAACCUUUCCCAGUGCUUGAGUAAUCAGAUUGGCAAGGACGCUUCCACCAAUGCUGAUGACAGCUUCUGUCAUAUUUGUUCUCUCUAUCUCUCUUUCUCUAUGGGGUUGAGAAGAUUUUAGUCCUGUCGUUCCGAGGCUAGCGUCUUCUUAGAUGAUGUAUAAAAAGUCUGUCCUUGAGAUUAAAUGAGUGUACAAUAAUAGUAGAUAAUAGAAAAUAUUUAACUGACAAGCAGUAAUUCCAAAGCAUCCUAUGUCAUGUAAGAUUCCAUCCCAUCUAAUAAGUAAGGCGAGUUCCUAUUCAUACAUUCUUCUAGAAACAUUAUGUUAGAUUAUCUUAGAUUGAUUAAGUUUUUUUUUCUACCAUACCAUUAAGUAAUAUGUCUAAUUAACAUUAAGGAAAUUGGGAGGUAAUUGAGUGAUGAUGUGGUUCGACCGUUAAGCUCCAUUUUGCUGGACUUUCUUCUUAGUUUGGUUUUAAUAUAUGAUGCGUAAUAAAUUAAAACAAAACAAGGUAAUCACAAUGAUCAUAGGCUUUUUAAAAAAUAAAAUUAAUUUUGUGCUUUCUUAUGUAAAAUUCAAAAUGUUAUUUAAAUAUAAAAAGUCAUUAUUCAAAUUACAUAUUAAUGUUUACGUGUUGUGAAAAUUUCAUAUGUUUAAAGACAAAAUAAUGUAAAAUGUAGACUGAGACAACAUUAGAAGAAACAAAAAUAAAAUGUAAAAAUCUAUCAAGACAAGCCAUGAGCUAAGUUGGUGAUGCUCUUGAAAUCCGCUAGAGGUGUUGGACCAUGUCGUUGUCCUUUGUACUUGUUAUCUUUUCUUUUUUCCUUACUUUUUCUCUUUUUGGGCGAACAGAAAGUGUAAGGUAACAUGAUGUUGAAGCAAAGCCACAAUUUUUCACUUCAUUGGCCGACAAAAUGAGAAUCAGAAUCCACUUACAAGGGCUACACUACAUCCACCACAAUCUGCUCAAGCCCGGAAACCAUCUCAUUGCAGCUUAGAAAGUUAUCAUAGCUGUCUCGACAAGGGCAGCAGCAUAGGGAAUGCCCCGAUGGAUGCCCACUCUCUAGUGUUCAGUGGACAAGAUUAGCUUAUGCUCGGUGAUAAAAUGUUGUACUUUGCAAGACCGUACGUGUCAGAGAACAAGACAAAUGAAGAUAUUGAGUCUUAAGGUCUAGCGUCCCUGUCAAUUUGUGCACAAUCUCUUUUGAACUCUUUACCAAGCCCCUUUUCUUAUUAGUGUUGAACUCAAGUUCUUCUAAAUCACAUCCAACAAGUAAGAUAAAUGUGUUCCAAUAUAUGACCUAUUCCACACGAAGAAAAAGUACAUAAAAUGGCGAUCAUUUUGAAUCAGGUCCAAAUUUAUGAGUAAUAGCACGAGUCUUAACAUGAUCCUAAAUAUUUCACGAAACAUUUGGCAAGAUGCUUGAGAUCUUUAAUAAGGAUAGCAGGUGUUGCACGUUCUUAUUCACUUAUAAUCACAAUUAGUUGUUGUAUUUGGUCACUUCCCCUUCCAUGUUAGUUGCAUGUUCAUAAUUUCUAUGGAUGCCGAUUCAAUUAUAUUUAAUUCCAUUUCUUUCUAACCGCCCCUUGCUCUGCCAGGAUUUUCAAAAGAAAUCAUGUGACUCUUAGUAUGUACGUAGCGAGUAAUUUUUCAUGUGACCAGUAACUUUUUACAAGAUAUUCGACUUCCAAUAUAUAAAUAAAUACUCACCUAUUUACAUUAUUAAUAAUUUUUUACAUAAAAGGUAACCUAUCUACAUUGAUUCUUAUCGUCCCAUGUAUUUUUUUUUAAAAAGGACAAGUUUGAAAAAAAAUUGAUGCUUUUUGCAACGUAACAGUAAAUCUUAAUUUGUAAGACCAAAAAUUUACAUGAAGUUUGUAACCUAUUCAUGGGAUGAGUAAGUUUUGCUUUAAAAAAGUAAUUACCACCGACCCUGUUUAAUAAAAGAAAAUAUAGGAAUUGACAAACAAUAUGUAAGCCGCCCACGGUCUAGAAAGUGAAAAUUAAAGUUUUUUUUUUUCUCAGCAGCUGUAAAUGAAAAUUUCUCCCAAGGGGGCUAAAGAACAAAUGAGCCCGGCUUUUUUCUGAUGAUGCCCAUUUUCCUAGUUUCAUCACAUGCUUUCCUUAGAAAACAGUGCACGUCCACAUGCUUUCCUUAGAAAACAGUGCACGUUCACCUGCUUAGAAAACAGUGCAUGUCCACAUGCUUUCCUUAGAAAACAGUGCACGUUCACAUGCUUUCCUUUUAAUACGGUGCCGGUUCACAUGCAUGCCUCAGUUGUUUUGUAGUAAACACCGGAGUAUUAAGAUUAAUAUAACUUGGAUCUUGAGAAGACGGAAAAUUAUCAUAGCUGCGGGGGCAACUUAAAAUCUAACUUCACAUGGUAAAAAAAAUUUAUGUUAAUGAAUUUCCGCUUUUGUCCGAAUAAAAAACUGAAGAAAAGAUUAUGAAGUAUAAAUUGUGAAUGAAGUAGUAUGAAACCUUUGUGUGCAAAAAAGAAAUUGCAGAUUGGUAUAGAAGUACGAUGUGCAGUGGGAUGACAAAAAAGCAAGCUGAUGAGGAUGCUUUUCAACUUUAGAUUUUAAUAUGCGGAAUGGUAGAACGGCUCUUAAAGUUGGCUAAUCUUCUCUUGUGAAUUCCAUUUAGAAUUGGAAAUUGGGACAUGUUACAUCUUCUUAUGUGCCCAAUUUGAAGAAGGUUAAAUAUCCUAAAUAUGAAAAUCUUUACACCAUAUAAAUCAUAUUUCUAAAUCCAAAUAAAAGACGUCGAUAGUUUCCCUAAACAUUCUUUGUUUCAUCAAUCUAUUCAUUUUCAGAAAAGCUCUCUGGUUAGUCGCUAUAAGAAAGAACGAACCUGGCUAAUAGUGGGCUGAUCGACGGCCGACCAACAAAGGCGAGGCCCCAACCGGCCAGAUCAAGAGAGGAGGACAGGAGACGGUGUCAGCAAGAUCAAGAGAGAGAUGAGAUGAGACAAGACGGCAUGGGCAAAGACUCCAGGAAUAGAGAGAUCAAUGGCAUUGCUGGGGAAAGUCGAGAGACGAAGAGUCUGAGAGAGAGGCUAGCAAUGGGAGUGGGAACUAAAAGAGAGUAGCGAGGGUCUUUAAAUAUAAAAGAUUUAGCACUGUUUUGAAGUGUUCCAAACCAGUUCUUCCAAAGGCUGGUUCCCAAGAUGUUUACAUGAGAGCUAACCAAAAGUUGUUGGGGUCAGUGAAUUUGAAACGUGGCAGCACAUGGCAGAGCGUGAUGUGCCGCAGCGAACGAGGCUGAAAUUCAGGGCCUAUCACUUUUGAGGGUGGCGAGUUUGAUGAUGGUGUCGAUUUUACAAAAGAUUCUUAAGACAAAAGCAUUCGAACAUCAUCUCUCUGUUACUUUAUUUUAUUCAACCGUAGUUUUUUCUCUUUUUUUUAAUAAACACUCGAGUGUCGAUGAUGAGGUGACAUUCAAAAUAAAAAAUAUGAGAAAAGUAGGAAAAAAAUUAUAAUGUUUGCCCUAAAGUUCAUCAAGCUCUAAGCAUUUGAAAAAAUGUAAUAAAAUCCUCAAGGUUCUGUACCUGGUCCAGUUUCCUCCUUCCAGCAAUAAUUUACCAAGUUUUGUCGGUAUUGAUAUGCCGGAAAGCCAAUUUGGCCUUUUAGUACGAUUUCAGCACAUGCCUCGCGAUGCGGUGCCCUUGUCCCGGAGUUUAAACCCAGCGGGUCAAGGGCGGCCCUGAGUUUACUCGACAGUUUCAUUACUUGACUGUGUACUGUAGGGGUGAGCAUGGUCCGGGUUGGUCCGGGCCACCCCAUAACCCUAGGAUCAAUCCGUACAGUGUCGGUCCUCAAUUUUUAAGACCGAGGACCGACCCUAUUGAGCCUGGGACCAAGGACCGGACCGACCCAAUGGGUUCGGUCCGGUUCCAGGGUCAACCCGGGACCGAUCGAUAAUUUUUUUCGUCUUAUUUUUUAUACUCCCUAAAAAAGCAAACCUACAAAUUCAAAUUAUACAUCCAUCGACAAUGCAAUAUUGUGCAACUAAACUAUAAAUACCAAUACAUAUUUAGCAAAUUUAAGAUGACACAAUAAUAGAAAUUUCGUACCUGCUAACCGCUCAUCGAAAUAUGGGACAAGAUGGAAUGUUUUUGUAAUCAUCUAUCUUUAAUAUUCAUAACACCAUAUGCAAAAGCGUUUUCCUACAUUUGAUCAUGUAGAGUCCAUUCAACCAAAAAAUGAGCUUCACACCACUUGACUACCAAAUUACCGUAGCAACUGCAGUACUACUCUACUCUUCAAAAACUUCUAUCAUUUGACACAAAUUGAAAAGCAAAGUGCAGCUGAAAUUCAUUAGUAAAAUACAAUUAAACCAUAAAAAGUUCAAAAUACUUAAUAUAAACCAUGAAUAUAUAACUUCACAUCUUAUUAAUUCACUUGAACUUCUAAACACCUUAAAACAAAACAAACGACACUUAAUUAAUACUCAACAAAAGUUUUAAAUUGAAAUUACUAUUAGUGCUAUUGAUAGAACAUCUCAAUAUAAUAUAAUAUAACAUACAUUUUACUUAGGUUUGAAUAUAUAAAAUAAUUAUAAAUAAUAUAAUAUAAUAUAAUAUACAGGGUUGGUCCAGGAUUGAACCGACCCAAAACUCUUAGGACCGAGGACCAACCCGCACAGUGUUGGUCCUGGAAUUUCAGGACCAAGGACCGACCCAGUCCCCUUAGGAACCGGACCAGGACCAGCAGGGUUGGGCCAGUCCAGGGUCGGUCCAGGGUCAACCCUAGACCGCUGCUCACCCCUACUGUGUAGACCACGAAACACUUUUACUAUUGACAUCGCAUCACACAUGAAAAAAGUAUCUAACUUUAUUUCCGUAUUGGGUCUGUGUCUUUCUUAACAUGGAGUUUUUUUUUUCCCCCUUUUUGGGUCAGACUCUUAACAUGGAUCGACGGACCCUAAUUCUACAGAAAAACUCCUUUUUUAUAAAGUAAGAAAUGCUCACCGCCUAUUUUGCUAUAAUUUAUCAUGUAUCAUUGAAGCAAUGCACUUAAUGGUUGCUGUGGUGAGACACCGCUGUAGUGGUCUCUACUCUCAUUUCUCUGACCUAACGCGUUGGUUUUUAUUUUGCUGUGGUUUGAAAAUUAUUUUUGGGAAUUUAUUUUUUGACUUUUAGUGUUUGGAUGAGGGAAAACUAAUCGGAUCUACCGAAAACAUUUUCCAUGGACUGAAAUUAUAAAUUUUUAUUGGGACAAAAUGAUUUUCUCUUCUAGCAAGAAAGGGAGCCUUAAUCUUCUCUAAACAUUUUAGUGAAAAAUUUUCAUCAUCCACAAAAAUUUCUGGGUAUAAAUUGUUGUAAAAAAUGAAAAUAUUUUUCAUUAAUUAAUUAUUUCAAGUAAUACAACCGAUCAAUUCUUGGAAAAUAUUUUCCAAAUCAUUUUUUUUUUUUUAUAAAAUAAACAAAGCUUAGGAAUGGUUUGUUGUGGAUGCUUAGGAGGUGUACUACAUGCUAAUGGCCUUAAAAACUUUGACAUCUUUAGUUAAGAAUGUAAUUUGCGUACAUCGAAGGGAAAUUGUCCAAUCAAUUUAAACUAUGCUCUUAAAAUUGAGUCUUGAAGGGCAUUUACGUAAUAGUUGUCUGAAUGAGCUUUUCAACCCAAGUGCAUUCAGCCUCUACUCAGGGACGGAGGAAAUAUGAGAUGAAGUUAUGUUACUUGAAUUAGCAUUUUAUCGAGGUAUGUAAUUUCCACCACUUCCAUAUUUUAAAAAAGUGCAUGACAUGAUUUGCCGAGAAGAAGCUACACUGUGACAUGGUUUGUUUGUUUUGUUUUUUUUGUUGUUCUUUUUAUAGCAUUUUAAGCAUAUAAGUAGAUAUUCUUAUAUGGCACGCUCUUUUAAAAAGUUAGAUCAAGCAUUGGAUAUUUUUGAGCCUCUCUAAUCUGGAAAUAUUCUAAACUGAAAUGCUAUAUAUAUAUAUAUAUAUAUAUAUAUAUAUAUAUGUAUGUAUGUAUGUAUGUAUGUAUGUAUGUAUGUAUGUAUGGGGGCGCGCCGAAUAAAUAUUUUUAAAAAAUCAUUAAUUUUGGGUGAAGGCUUGGUCCUUCAUUUCUUAAAAAGGAUGGCUGGGCAAUCCCUUCCUUCUCUCUGUGGAUGUGAGUUACGGCAACUAUUAAGAGAAAUGAAAAAGAUCCAGAGUACUCGACUCAUAUAAGUUCGAUUUAUAGUUCUAUGUGUGUUCUUAGAACGGCGAGAUUGAACUUGGAGAUAUGCCAAGCGGUCUUUGAAUUGGAAAAAUCGCCCGGUUUGAUUAAUACCUAUGUCCCCAUGUGAUCUAACUUACCGAAUCAAAAUGCAAGUUGGCCUUUGAAGCGUUGGUCUCUACAAUGGUAUGAGCGAGACCUGGUGUCGAUCGUCUUCUUUCACGAAAGCCUUCGAUUCUCCUCGGAGAUCAAUCAAAACCCAGAGCCGACCAAGUAAACUGGAAAAUCCUCUGAGGGAAAGUGGAGAUGGUGGGAGGUCUGCAAGGAGCGAGCAAGAGGCGACCGAAUGCCGUCCGGACGCAAGCAGUGAUCGUGAGCUCUCGCGAGAGAAUUGGACGACGUCGUCGCGCAAAUGGGGAGAUAGAGAGCCACGCGACCUCAAAACGCACAGGAAUUGGAGCCAAAAAAGCCGGUUGGAUCCACCAGCUUCGAUCGUCGCUGCCAAUGCCGUCCAAGACUCCCUCUGGUUAGUUGAACAACCGAUCGUGACCGAUGAUCGCUCCUCGCUGAGAUAAAAGCUCUUUGUUCUGUUUUGAGUAUCGCACGUGUGAAAUAGAGACCGAGAGCUUUGUUGUUUGCUAGCAAUGAAAAUUGUUCACGUCCGAGAUUAUAUUACUAACAACUGCGAUUCGGUCUUCAUGAUCUCGUGCUGAUUGGGCUGUGAUUCUCGCUCUCUCGUUGCUGGAUUGUGCCAUUUCAUCGAAUGCACAUUAAAUGUCUGGUGAAAUGCCUGAGCCGUAUUAGUCUAAAUACGCAUGGUCUUUGUCUGCUUGAAUGACUCAUUGUACCAGUUGGAUAGGUUAAGUAGAUCUAAAUUGAUAUCCACUUUUGAGUCCAUUCCCGAAUGUCUCGGUCUUGGUAGGCUUCCGGUACUCUAAGGCAGAUAAACUCGACUCUCUGAAAUUAGCUAAAAAAGAUGAUUCCGGUACUCUAAGGCAGAUAAACUUGACUCUCUAAAUUAGCUAAAAAUGAUGAUAUGCUGAAUUGUAAAUACUCUGUCGAUGGUUGCUGGUGCGCUCAUGAAGCAUAGGCUGAUCAUGGAGACUAAUACAUUGUAGUGUGGAUCCCAUUUGCUGUACAUAUCUUUUUCUAAUAGUGAAUUCCAAAUCACGUCUUCUCUGCGAGUGAACGUGAAUAUGUGUUCACCGGAUGAAAAGAUAGUGUGGCAGCCGCCAUGUUCUUGUUGCAAAACUAAAUGACAAAAAAGGUAGAAUUGAAAAGUAGUUGGAAAUUUUUUCUAAAAAAUAAAUAUGAAACGUUAUAAAAAUAUAUAUAGUAGACUCGCGUCCUCACAAAUCUAAAAUGAUGCAGAUCUAUUAGAAAACUCGAUACGUCUAUAAUCAUAGGCAAUGUAUAGCUUUUUAUAACUCAAAGGGAUGAAUAGACUCAAAGCUCAUGGAACACCCUAUUAUAAGAUAAAUAGUUACAAAAACAGGCCAUACUAUUUCCACACUCGAAAUGGAGGGAAAGGUUGAAAGGGAUUAAAAAAAUGCAAGAAAUGUUCUCAUAUGAGUGGAGAGCUCCAUUUAUUUCUAAUUCACUUAUGAUCAAACCAUCAUCAGAGCCAUUAUGCCAUUUCAAAAUAGAGGCAAAAUCCCAAGAAAAUCAUCAGUUUGACAAGUUCUGGAAAUUCUCUCCCUAACUUUUUAGAUAAUAAUUUCCAAUAAAUUGGACAAAUUGCGUCACCCUAAGUUAAAAAAGAUGAAUAGUGCUAGAGACACUCAUAUUGACAUAUUCAAUUGGCUCAAACUUUAUAAUACUCAAACAAUAAAUAGAUUUAUAAAAAUUAGAUAAUGUCACCAUUUUGCCACAUCUAAUGGAAACUGAAGGUGGCAUUGGUAAAAAAUCUUCCAACAAGGAAUGCGUUCAUCAGUAGUUAAGCGCACAGGAGUUGACUUAUUGCUCUCAGACAUUUCGAAAAAGAGACUAACUCGAGCUGUUCAAGCCCAACAUCUUGACAACAUUCAAGAGGGUUUGAACCACAGCAGCAUCUGCUACCUUGGAAGCUGCUCUAGGUUAUUAAAGAGUUGAGAUUCGAGGUACUAACCCCCUUUUAAUUACAAUGGGCAUGCCUUUUCAAAGGCUUGUUGCUCUUUGCGGCAUAAAUCGAACUCGUUUGUGUGGUAAUACAUGCAACCAACAUAAGCAUCCAUCUCUUUUGUGCACCUCUGGUGAAGAUCUUUCAGUCUGCAUAGCCAAAAAUACAUGGUUUAGAUACUGCAACGGAAAGUGGUAAGUAAAAUGCAACAGCUACUUUUAUCAGUUGAAAGAGGUAUAACAAAUUUUUCAGCACCUCCAUUUAAGUUUCCAAAAAGUCCAUUUGUAUCAGACUUCUGUGGGCGAACAUCAUGAAUCAUUGACAGUAAAGCUUAUAGCCAGUUUGUAUUUGCCAAUGCAAGGGUUGUGCAGCCCAAAUAUGAAGACAGUAAUGCAACGACUAAGAGGCUCACAAGUAUGUCUGCAUCUAAAACUAUGAAAAGAAGUAGACUGCAUUCCUCUCACUUGAAAUUGAAAGUGCAGAGCCCAUAAGUCAGUCACCAAGCCGUGUGCUCUGUAUAUCAAGAUCAUCAAGUAUCUAGAAUGAAAUCCCUAUCAAAUGGUGUAAGCAAAGUCUACUGAUCCAAGCAAAAGUCAUAGAUCCCGCACACAUCUUUAUUGAGAGAAAACUCAACCAUACUGAUUCUAAAGCACUAAGUCUUAAAUGCUGCACAAAACAGAAGCCCGACCUAUAUGACUACCUUCAAAGCAGAAAUAAUUGUUCUACCAAGAGAUUUGGAAUUAGGAUCCAGAACUAAGACCCAAGAUACUACUCAACUACAUUUGAUUUAACCAAAAUGAUAAAGAGGUUUAAGGAAGGAAGCUCCCAGCCAAAUGUGAAAGGAGCUCCUUGUGAAGUACUAUAUAUGGUGGUGUAUGAACGAAUGAAAUAAGGGAUGGUCGGUGUUGAGAAAGGAAUUGAAUCAAAAGAAGAAUAUUCUUAACUUUUGAUUCUGAUGGAAAAAUGGAAUGCCCCUUGCUUGUGUUUUUUUUUUUUUUUCUCAAUUCCACUUGAAUGUUCCUUGCAUUAAAGUGGCAAAGCUAAAUGAGUCUUUUUCCCCAAAUGUACCUUUCCUUCUCUCCCUCUUUUACUUUUACGGAAGAGACGAAUUUGAGAAAAAAAAAAACAAGCAAGGGGCAUUCCCUUGGAAUUCUUGCUCCUAUCCUAACAAAAUUUUGUUCAAUUCUUAGUGGAAUGUGGAUGUAAAGAAGACUAAAUUGUCCAUCAAAAUCCAUUCAAAAGAUUGCAUGCUUAACCACAUAUGAAAAUGGAUAACUAAAAACUGGCCAAAAGGGAAUUGAGAAGCGACCCCAUGUCAGAUACCCAACACCAUGUUCUGUGUUCUCCAGACCAUUAAUGACUCCCUUACGAACUCAUAUAGGGAGGAGAUGAACUUGAGAAAACACACAAGCAAGGGGCAUUCUGUUGGAAUUCUUGUUCCUAUUCUCACAAAAUUGUGUUAGAAACUUUGUGGAAUGUGGAUGUGAAGAAAACUAAAUUGUACAUCAAAAUCCAUUCAAAAGAUCGCAUGCUUAACCGCAUAUGAACAGGCAUAGCUAAAAACUGGCCAAACGGGAAUCGAGAUGCGACUGUACGUCAGAUACCCGAAACCAUGUUCUGUGCUUUCCAGACGUAUUAUGACUACAUAUCGAACUCGGUAUGCAAACUACCUUAUACCAAAACCUUUCCCAAUACUAUUCUUAGUUGCUAAUGAUUCCAACUGCCCAUUUUCAAGACAUUCACAAGCAACUAAGAAAAUCCCACGCUCUAUUCUUUGGGGUUUUCUCAGCAACAUUCCCCAAACCAUAUAUGCCAAUCAAACGACGCAAGAAAUGCCCCCACUUCCUCGCAUUUCAGAUAAGCGAACAAACGAUGCGGCAACAACAAGAACAACAAUCAUAUCGAAGGCGACCGCGACUGAAUCGGGGAGCCGCGAGAGAAAUAGAGAAUCACGCUCACAGGUGGAGCACGCAGCGGGUGACUUGCUGGCCCUUCUCGAGGCACUUCUCCGGGUUCGGGUCCUUCUGCUUGCACUUGAGAAAAGCCACGUUCUCCGACAGGCAGCUCGCCCCGAUGUGCAUGGACGACGCCGUCAGCACCGCCGACGUCGGGAUCGGGCCCCCGGCGGCGUCCAGGGACGUCGCCAUCCCGGCCGACAUCGAAUUCCUCUUGGGUUAUCUUCUCUUCCUUCUUAUUCUUCUUCCCUGCGGCAGAGAAGAUGGGUGAAGCAGAUUCUUCUUCAACGAAUGCGUGAUCCGGGAAUUCAAGACCAAGAGAACUCCAGAUCGAAAGGAGAGAUCUUUGAAUUUGUGGGCAAAGUCGUCAUCUUUACCUGAUUGACCGUUCGCAGUUGCAGUACAGAGUGAGAGAGAGAGAGAGAGAGAGUGGAUUCUGCAGUGAUAGAUGAUGAUAUUCUCAACAUCCGCAGUGAAAGUAAUUAUUUUUUUCUACAAAUGAAAUGUUUGUUAAUGAGAAUUUUAGAAGUUUUUUUUUUGAACUAAAAUGAGAAUUUUAGAAUGGCCAAUUGAUAAAAUCCAUCUCAUGUCGAGGUGUUUUUAUGUUUCCAAGAAAUAUCUGUACUUGGAAAAAAAAUCAUUGAUAAACUUAAAUUAUACUAUCAAUCCAUCUUAUGUCGAGGUGUUUUUAUGUUUCCGAGAAAUAUCUGUACUUGGAGAAAAAUCAUUGAUAAUCUUAAAUUAUACUCAUUGUGAUAUACUUAUUUUUCCUUUUUGGUGAUAUGAAAAAUUUAAAUUUGUAUACAUGUGAUAAAUUUAUUCUAAAACUAAAGAUCCCGAACAUUUAUUCUCAUGACACAUUAUAUAUAGAGUUUUUUAUGUCAUUAAAAUAAUUAUAAGUUUGGGAUUUUUUGGGGUAUAAGUUUAGAGUUUUUCAUGUCACAAAAAAAUUUAGUGUAAAUAUAUCAUAACGUGCAUAGUUUAAGGCUUAUUGUUGCCUUUUCCCUUACAUAUAAAUUGAAGUUUCACAAAUUAGAUUUCAAAUUUACUUUCUUGAGAGAUUUAUAAUUAAUGAAAUUUGGGAUAAUAUUAAGGGUUAACACUACAAAAAAAAAUCUUAAAUUAAUAUACUUGUGCCGCAUCCAAAUUAAUUUUGGCGCCACAAAAAAUUUCAAAUUAGUAUUCUCAUGAUAUAUUUAUCCUAAAUCAAUUUUCAUGACACAAAAUCAUAAAUCGGUACAUUCAAGUUGCAUUUAUCACAUUUUCCUUAGAUUCUAAUAAAUUUUAUUACAGAUGUAUUACUUUGAAAUUAUGUACUAGGCUGGAAUUUUUGGUAGUAUCGUUCCUAAAAUUAAAUUUUUUUUCUUCCAGCCUUAUGUUUUUUCAUCAACCCAAGUCCCGACUUGUCCCAAGAAAAGCCAAAGUCAGGUUUUAAAGAGGCACUCUCGUAAUUUUGCGGACACAAGCAUUUCCAUUUACGAGAGAUAAAUUCAGAGGUAUUGCGUUAAUUUUUUAUUUUUUAUUUAUCUCUGAUUAGUGUUUAUAAUCAAUUCUUUACUUGUGUUCUCAUGUAUUUGUAAAAUGAAGUUCAACUAUAUGUGUUUGUGCUGAAAUUACAAGAGUUAGGCUCGGCGGUUGAUUGUCGUUUGAGUUCAUCGAACUGGAAAUGUCGGUAGAAUUGCGUUUCUUGUGCCUUAGACAGACACAAGCGAUUAAGAAAGGAACACAAACUUGAUCUUGAUUCUUGGAUUUUGAAGUCCAGGUUUAGGACGAUUCGGACACCCGAUCGUAGGCUCUUGAAAUUGAUGGCAGGAUUUCUCGAGCUAAAAUUAUAGAUUAUAUUAAAUCAAUACAUUGUUGGGAAGUGAAGGCAUAGAAGAUUGAAGAAUAGGAAAAUUGGAAGUCAAAGUAAAUUAUAAGCCUCUGAGAAUACCGAUAAUCAUAGGCCUAUUCGUCGUGGCUCUAGCCAUUUCGGCCGUGGCAACAGAAUCAGCUCUUAUCUCAUCAAAUUUAAGCUUCCUUUGUUUUAGGGAAGAUGGAUAAUUGAACCUUAAGGGAUGAGAUAAGUUGUGGAUCCGAGAGAACCAUAUUGAAGUUUGAAAAUAGCGUAACGAACACUGUUUUUGCACUGAGAGUAGCCUGGAUGGUACCAAUGCCCUGAAAAUAAUGACUUAUAUUGCUUAAAAUAAUUAGUAAAUGGAAAAAAAAAAUACUUUCAUCAUCCCCAAUCAUUUAUGUCCAAAUAUUUUCUGGGAUCAUGAAAAUAUUUUUCAUUUAUUCAUUAUUGUAAGAAAGUUAAGCCAUCAUUUUUAAGAAGAUAUUUUGUAAAUUAUUCAUUUUUCGCAAAAUAUUUUGUGAGCCUUACAUAGAACUGAUUCCAAAUGAUCCUCUCAUUUUGACAGUUUCGAUCUCCUUUCAAAGAAAUUUUUUUUUUUUUCCUUAAACUUGCGAACGUAGUCUAACAUUUGUUUUGGCGUUUUGUCUACUAUCCAAGUCAAAUGAGAACAAAGAGAAAGAUAGAACCGACGCGUUUAGAGUGGAAUGCUAUUACUUUUGGAAUGAUAAUGGGUGCCGCCUGUUUGAUCUAAUGCUACUCGAGUUCAUAAAAAUCGGAAUGGGGAUUGAUGGAUCCCGUGAAGAUGGAGAAAUCGCUGGCCUUGUUGGAGAAACAGGCGAACCUCUUCAUGGAGUCUUACCGGCGGGCCAAGACAGCAAAGAAAUAGACAACAANNNNNNNNNNNNNNNNNNNNNNNNNNNNNNNNNNNNNNNNNNNNNNNNNNNNNNNNNNNNNNNNNNNNNNNNNNNNNNNNNNNNNNNNNNNNNNNNNNNNAAAAAUUGUGUAGUUAUCAAACGCAUUUAAAUGCUCAAAAACAUGUUCAAAAUAGAAAUAGGAAAAAUUGUUCCCAAAAACAGAAAUAUUACCAUAUGUACCCUAAGUGCUAUUAGAAAAGUAGAAGAAAAGAAAAUUGAAGAUUUAAUUAUUAGGGCAAUAGCCAGAUAACUCUGUCAAGUAUAAAAUAUGCAAAGAUGCUGCUUGCUUGGAUACUUUUCACAAGUAGUAAAAUAUCAGGUAAGUUCUAACCAUCAACCCCCUCAAAGCAACAAGUACUAAACUAUCCACUAGCUGGGUUCUGAAAACUUAUUUGCUACAUUAAUAAUUCUACCGAAAAAGACCAUUUGAAGGAUUAAGUAGUUCAUGUUUCUCAUUAUUGAUCAAAGAGCGGGGUACAUGACUGUAAUCCAUAUUGAGUGCUUAAAACCUUUUGACUUUUUCGAUGACCUAGAGGAAAAAACAUAACCACGGUGAAGCCAGCAUUGUCCGGUACUUGAAUUUGAAAUAGUUAGCCUCAAAUUUCACCGACGACUUCUACACAACGUUAUGACCAUUUAAAAAGAAAAGAAGUGAAGUCUACAGAUAAAAAGUGAAGCCAUCCCAUUUCAUCAAAGCAGAGCUCACAAUAAGAACGUGAUGCACUCAUACUAGAAGAAAAGACUUAAGCUAACAACUUACACCAACCUAUAUCGUCAAUCAAAUGCUAAACAAACAAUAAUAACUCGAAAUGAAAUUACUAGACAUGGCACAACCUUGAUAUUCCCGGCUGCUUUGAUGGCUGCAACAAUCCUGUCUUGGUCUUCUAGCUGUGCUCGCCCCACAGCAGAGAUUACCACAUCAACUUGCUUAAUCGCACUCAACAGACUCUUUUGAUUGUAUAUGUCUCCCUAAGAAUCAAAUAACCAUGAGCAUGGAAAAACAAUCAAUAAAGUGAGCAAUCAUCAACCGAUCCAAUUUUGGCCAGUAGGAAGACUACGAAAAAGGAGAAAUACAAAUGCUGAUAAGACUUCAAUACCUUCACCAGACAAGAAAAAGUGUUAUGAGAAAUUAAAAAAAAAAAAAAAAAGCUGCUAUCCACAGAAUUCUUGUCCAUGCAUUACCUACCAAUCUUUUGAAAGGUUACAACAAGGUAUUUGCAAUGGCAUCUGAAUUACAGAUCAGCCACAUGUACUUCUGUAUAAAAAUUCAUCUACACAGUACGAAACAUAUGGAAAAUUUCAUAAGAUUUGCCUAAAAAUGGAAACUUUCACAAGAUUUGUCUAAAAAUGUACUCGUUCGUUUCAGCAUGCGAAGCUAAGGGGAUUCCUCAGUCAGUGUGAAAAAUGAGAGGGAGAUUGUUUCUGGUUUCACCAACUUACGAGGCCGAAAUAUCAGAGAAGAAAAAAAGGAACGCCGAAUUCUGACGUGACUCCAUCAACUCGAUCUUGUGAAAGAUUGAGAUGAAAAUCGACUCCGAUACUACUGGUUAAAGACAUUUCUCAGAAUUCCGAGCAUGAUCAAAUGGCAAGGGACGCUUCGAUUCCUCGAAGCAGCACCAAAUGUGGGAAACGACCAAAUCACACGGGAAUAACUGCUCACAUGGACUAGGUUCACGUUUAAGCUCUUGAAACCUUCGAUGAUUUCGGCCUUGGCGGGGUUGGAGAGAGUGGACUCCCUCACAAGAGCAAAGGUAGGGCGACCGGACUUAGCGCUCGCUUUCACGAUGAACUUUCCAAUUUCUCCGGUGCCUCCGAUCACCAGGACUCUGCUCUUCUCUGCCAUCUUGGAGGGUCUUUUCACAGCGGGCGUGGCGUUUUCCAGCAAACUUGAUCGGGGAGAGAGAGAGAGAGAGAGAGAGAGCUAAAAGGCGGGGGUUCCUGUCUUCGUGAUGGGACGGAGUGUCAUUGGAUGAUUCUGGAAGGGCAUAAUCGUCUUUUCAAUGAAAUAAUUUUUCUUAUUGAGGUAAUCCUUUACUAGAAAAAGGGUACAUGGAAAGUGGGAAUAGAUAGAAGAUAACCAUUUCGUUUCAUUUUAACUUAAAAAAAGAAAAGCAAGAAAAUUUAAUUUUGAUGUUGCUAUAAAUUUAAGUAAUCGUAAUUGAUGAGGAAGUAGUUGAAACUACUUUCUUUACGUUGACUUUUAUCAUAUGAAAAGAAAAGAAAAAGAUUAUAAAAUGAGCAAUGAGCUACUCUACAUCCAUAUGGUAGCAUGAUAUCAUAGAGCUUCAUAGCCGCUAUGCUAUUAUUUUGAGGUUCAAUGAAUUCUUUUUCUUGGGAGGGUUGAUCACAAGAUUACCCUUCUUUAAUUAAUUGACCAACACAAGAUUACUAUAUUUGUAAUUCAUAACCUCUAUGUGAGAAAAAAGCAGCAUUACGAGUGUCCAUAUAUGUAGUGAUUAGUAAUAAGUUAUUAAACCUUUGACAUCAAUACCAAUUCAAUUUUAAAUAUUUCGAUUUGGUCAAUUUAGUUCUAAACUUUUUAACAAUUUACCUUGCGAUACAAUCUUACGUAGCAUUGAUACUGAUACAUGAUAUGAUAUGAUACGCCAAUACGUCAUUUCCGACACAUUGGGACAUGUAUAUUAAAUGUCAAAUUAAUUAAUUUAAUUCAAAUUCACAAAUAAAUAAAUAAUAAAAGAUAUUAGAAUGAAUUUACACUAAAAAUCGUGAGUCCUAGGAAGUGAAAGUUAAAAGAGAAGAGAAAAGAAGACUAAAUUUUUCUUUUUUUUUUUUAUUAUUAUUUUUAUUACUGCUCACCCGAAAUAUAUCGAUGCCUAAGUUCUUGAAACCUUCGACGAUGUCAGCCUUGGCGAGGUCAGAGAGAGCGGACUCCCUCACGAGAGCAAAGGUAGGGUAACCGGACUUAGCGGUCGCUUCCACAAUGAAUUUCCCAGGUAUCCAAUGUCUCCGAUUACCAGGAUUUUGCUCUUCUCGGCCACCUCGGAGGGUUCCUUCACAGCGAAGGUGCGGUUUUGCCCAGAGAACUUGCUCGCUCUCGUGCUGCGACUAUUGCCUGUUGGCGCGCAUCGAGAUGAAUCGUCAUUUUAUUUUGGUUCCAAAAGGGCAUAAUUCUCUUUUUCGGUGAAUUGACUUUCCCACCCCCGUCAUACUUCGCUCGGAAAAUGAGUAGAAGCAAAAGUGGGCCACGAAAGUUGGAAGAAAUUUACGGUGGAAACUGAGCACGUGCAAAGUACGUAUCUAUCGAUUUUGUGGAAUUUGGACGAUGACGAAAUAUUUUUUGAAACAACAACUCGACUUACUAAAAGUUGCCUGUAUUUGAUGAAGAAAAUUGAUUGUUGCGUCAACAAAACAUCCAUCGAGAUAGAAAAGAAAUUUUUUUUUUUUUUUUUUGAGAUAGAAAAGAAAUUGACGGCCCUAACUUAUGCUGGCUGCAUGUUCUUCAAGGAAUUCAAGAAGGAUAUCUUUUUACAGUAAUUGAUUGUUACUUUCUGACAAAAAAGCUAUUUUAUGUUUCUUCAUUAAAUAUUCUCGAUUUACGGUGGGUUUGGAAAAAAUUGAGCCAAACACACCCCUAAUUAGACAACAAUCCACAAAAUGCUGGGCUUUUGGGAUAAGAAUUUGGCUCAAGAGUCAUCCAGAUUGAUGGCGCAUGCCUCUUUUUGUUCGUGUUUGUUCCCUGCAGUCUAUAAAAGUCCCGGAAACAUUAAUGAUAACUCUACAUUGUGAGGAGUUUGUCAGUCGGUUUACGCUUGUUUUAACUUGUCAUUCUUUAAGAUUAUCCAUAAUCAGGCCACGAUGGAAAUUUCAAUCCUGCUGACACGUUAAGUAUCUAACUUCAAAACAGUGAUCGUCCACGAACUAUUUAGACUUGAAAGACAAUACAAUAUACAAAAAUAGAGAAACCCGUGUCUUUGUGGUAGCUCAGCUUGGCCCAUGAACCCAAUAUCAAUCUCCAAAACAUAAGUAAUUUCUCCAAGCACUUCAUAGGAUGUCCUCAGCCUUUGGGGUUGUACAUUGCAUGUGAUGAUCAGCGAAAGCAACACUUCACACUAGGAUCAUGAGAAGCAGCAUCUUAUAUUUUUUUAUGAUUCAAGCCGAUGUGAGAAAUUUAUCAAGCACAAUCGGGUUCGAUAAUCAGACAAACUGAUCCAAAUACUAAUCCACAAUUGUGGAUUUGACAUUAGUGUAGAGCUCUAAAGCUUCCACUCAAAAUGAUGGCUCAAUCUCGAAGCUGAUUUAAUCUCCUUUCAUGAAAACAUAAUGGAAUACUACCAAUAUCACAUUGAGCAGAACCACCACCUCUGCAAUGACCGGACAAGUUUUAAAUCUUAGAGAGAAUAGAGACGAUUCACGCGCUUAAAUCCAAUAGAAAUGCAUCCCUAACCUUGAAUAUUCUUCAGAACCUCCUCCUUCGAAACAUACACCCUCUCUAGAGUCCUGCCGAUCUUUCUCUCCCACAAUGACACGAGCUCACUAAAAGAGUAGGUGUUGGCAAGAGGUUUGAUGUACAGAAUUUUGUUCAAGAUCCUUGGAUCAUCCACAACUUUAAUGGUGUAGGUGCCAAUGUCAUCCUCCUUGUUAAACACCACUGCAUAUUGGCGUGGAGAGUUUUAGAAUUUGGCUAAUAAAUAAAUCACAGAGCCAUUGAUCUUCCUAGGGUUACUUUCGGCUCGAAUUGAAGAAGAAUUCUCUCGGUAAACAGAUUCAUCAAACAACCGGCAGACAGAUGCAUCCAUAUGUUCUUUUCUCAACGAAAUACAUGAAGAGAACCUUCACGAUCUGCCCACUAGGUGGUAUUAUGCCAAGAUAAACCACAACACACUCAUAUCAUCUACUAGGCUCUUAAGGUGAAGACUAAUGGAUGUAAGAAUCCUAAUAUCUCCAGACAAGGACGUUGCCCUGGAAUUCUCAAGCUUCAAGAACUGCCCCUCACACUAAUCACUACUGUAAUUAAAUCGUGAUUAAUGUACAGAAAAAUCUUAACUAGCGAGAUUAACGGCAAGGGACACUUCAGUUGCUCAAAGGAGCAUCAAAUGCGGGAAACAAACAGGAUUGCAUAGGAAGAACUACUCACAUGAACUAAAUUGACGCCUAAGCUCCUGAAUCCUUCAGUGAUGUUGGCCUUGGCAAGGUCGAAGAGAGUGGACUUUCUCACGAGGGCGAAGGUAGGGUGACCAAACUUAGCACUCGCUUCCACGAUAAAGUUUGCUUUAGGUCUUUGCUCUGCUUAUAAUUUUCUGGUGAGAGGAGCGACUGGACAGUUAUAGACGCUUCCACUGCAUUAUAGCAACCAUAAACAAAAGUCUCCUAAAAAUCAAUCGGUCAAUUUCGUUAAAGUCACUAAAGAAUGUCCAACCUUUUUGUAGGAACUUGUCAGAUAAUGCACACUUCAAUCCGAAAGUCCUUGGUUGUCAAUCUGAUUGGUCACAUACUUGACAUGUGUCCCUCCCUUAAUAGUAGCUAUCCCAUUCACCAAGCUGAACUGUUUUAGAAUUCACAAUGUUAAAUUCGUUCAGUAGCUAUCUAGCUCUAUAUUCGCCCGUUACAGAAGAAAGUAUUCAAACUACCUAUUGAAACUGUCCUUCGCUCAGGCUUAGACAGACUUCCACCACUCCUCACAGUCUCCUGAAUACUGAUCCAAUCAAGUAAAUUAAGUAUUCAGAAUACCAUUCCGAACUACAAAAUGACACUAAUCAGACAAAAAGAAAGGAGAGAACCUUGGGAGGAAGGAACGUUCUGGUUUUAUUUUCAUAGGCAUAUUUGAGACAGACGCAUGUUUUCACAGGAACCCUUUUCCCGUUCACCUCGAUCUUCUCUGUCUUCCCGAGACACCCAGCCAAGUCAAUCACACGCUUUUUCAUCAAAGCAACCACAUCAUCUUCAAGGUGGGUCAUGUUAAACUUUGCCAAGUCUGGCUUGAAUGAGACCUUGGUCCAGUUUCCGCCUGCCUCGCAUGCCUUAAUAUCAGGUGGGCCUUUCAAUCUCAUGUUUUGUUGAGAAAACCUUUAAAUCAGUGGAACAGAUCAGUAUAGGAGUUCAACCAAAGCAAUCCCGCUAACCCAAUGAAAACCAAAAUGCAGUCCUAUUACUGCUAAACCCACUGCUGAGAACACUCGACAGUCCCUGAUCGCGAACCCACCUGUUCCAAUCGAAAUGUCCUUGCCCCCUGCCCCUCCCACUCUGCUUGAAGGGAAUGUGCAGGCUGUAGACAGAACGUGAGACAACCCCCUUUUUAUCAAUAGGCCCGAUGCUGGUUGUACUUCUCCAGGGGAGAAUUUUUCAGAACUACAGAAGGAUGCAGUUUCUGCUACUGUUAUUGCACCGACCACUAAAGCUUCUGUUGCAAUGGCCUCUGGUUGUGAUGGUAGUCAGGAGGUGGCGUGCUCUGCUAGUAUUCCUCCCGCACUUGCUGACCCGGGGUGGAAGCAAGUUACAAAAAAGAAAAAGGCUCAGGUGAGCAAAGAAGCUGCCUCUUUUAGCCUAGCCCCGCCUAGUGAAGGAGGCCAACUGAAAGGCUCUACUUCUGUUAAAGCUGGUACUGCUUCGUUGCCUCGUAAGAUUGCUGGAGUCUCUAAGGCCGUUGUAGGCUCUUCUCUGGCAAAAGCGAAGGCUUCUCCUUCCAUCCUGCCUGAAUGCUCAGAUGAGAUAGCUAACUCCAGCAUCCAUGCUGGAUCGGAUGAUGAGAACCUGCUUUCGGUUGGUUGUCCCUCGCCAAAAGGUCCACCUACAAGCGUCUCGGAUGAGACGAUACAAGAUAAACUUCUGCUUUUAUGCCUGGAUCCUCCUCUUUCGGUGGCUCCUCCUCCGACAACUGCUCGGAAAAAGACCACUAAAAAGAGGUAAUCUCUUCCUCUCUCCUUGUAAAUAUGUAUAUAGCUGCUUGGAACAUUAGAGGCCUUUGUGAUCCUCUCAGAAGGGCUGAAGUUAGGAGAUUGGUCUCCACUCACAACCUUUGCUUUAUUGGUCUCAUUGAGACUAAAGUUCCCAAGAAUGCUUUUGAUUCUAUAUCUUCCUUCUUGUUGAAUGGCUAGAAAUGGGUUGUAAAUUAUGAAUUCUCCCCUCGUGUUAGAAUAUGGGUUGGAUGGAACCUAGGGUAUGUUAGUUAUGAAACCUUAUCAAUUAAUGACUAGGCUAUUCAUGGCCAUCUGAGGCUUACCUUAACUGGUAGAGUUUGCUGUGUGACUAUAGUAUAUGAGGAACAUUCUUUUAUUCAUCGAUGGCCACUUUGGGAGGACCUUCUCCGUAUGAACAAUCUUAUGCAGGAAAUACCUUGGUUGGUUGCCGGUGAUUUUAACACCAUUAAGGAUCCUUCAGACCGUUUCGGUGGUUCCAACAAUUGGAUCCCUUACUUUGAUGAAUUCAGCAAUUGCUUAGCUCAAUCUGAUUUGGAGGAUCUCAGGUAUGUCGGUCUUCGAUUUACUUGGUUGACCUCUACUGGAGCUACUAGAAAGAUGAGAAAAAUUGAUCGUGUCUUGGUUAAUACUAAAUGGAAUUCGGAUUUCUCGUACUCGGAGGCCUCUUUCUUGAACCCGGGCAUCUUUGAUCACUCUCCCAUGGUUGUCAGAGUACUCAACUUGAUUCUUACGAGAAGACCUUUCAAGUAUUUUGAUUUUUGGUCAAAGCACUCCGACUUUUCCUCCAUCAUUCAGCAAAUUUGGUAUAGACCGGUCGAUGGAGUUGCCAUGUUUAGACUUGUGUCUAAGCUUAAAACGCUGGAAGGACGACUUAAACAAUUGAAUAGAGAAGCCUUCUCGAAUAUUUCAGUGAGGACAGCGGAAGUUAGAGAGGCUCUUUGUCUUACUCAACUUGAUCUUCACCUCGACCCAAAUUUUUCUGAUCUUGCAAAUCUUGAGAAGACGCGUCGCAAACUCUGUGGACUUAUGCAGAUAUGAAGAAUCCUUCUACAGGCAGAAAUCAAGAGUUCGAUGUCUUAGGGAAGGCGAUCGAAAUACAAAGUUUUUUCAUCACUCUGUCAAGAGAAGGCAACUCAGAAAUAGGAUCCUUUCGGUAAAGGAUACUUCAGGUGCUUUAAUCACUAACCCUACUAUGGUUCCUCAAGUUUUUGUCUCGUUCUUCAUUGAUCUCCUUUCUCCUCAGAAGGAACUUUCCAGGCCUUCCUUGCAGGAAUUAAAGGGGUUCAUUCGAAGACCAUUGUCGACUGAUCAGAUCAAUACUCUUUCCAGCCCGAUUCUUGACUCUGAAAUUUGGGAUACGCUUUUCUCUCUUGUGAAAGGCAAAGCUCCCAGCCCUGAUAGCUUUAUUGUCGAGUUCUUUAAGCAUUGCUGGGGGAUUGUUGGCCCGCUGGUGAUAGAGGCAGCUAAAGAUUUCUUCUCUUCAGGCCGAUUCUUGAGAGAGGUAAACAAUACUAUACUUGCUUUGGUACCUAAAGUGCCUAAUGCUUGUGCUGUGACAUAUUUCCAACCUAUUGCUUGCUGCAAUAUUAUUUAUAAGCUAAUCACCAAAAUUUUGGCUAAUCGCCUAGCUGCAGAUUUAAGUGAUUUGGUUGAUCCUUUCCAUAAUGCCUUCAUUAAGGGGAGAAGGAUUAGGGAUAAUAUACUGAUGUCGCAGGAACUAUUUGCCGGAUUUCAUCUUGAACCGUAUCUUCCCAAAUGUGCAAUAAAAGUGGACUUCUAAAAAGCCUAUGACACUGUUGAUUGGGACUUCCUUCAACUUACUCUUACGGCGUUUGGUUUUCCUGAUUCUCUUAUUCAACAUAUUAUGGUGUGCAUCCGGACCCUGAAAUACUCUAUUUCUAUCAAUGGAGAGCUUCACAGAUUCUUCCCAGGUGGGAGAGGCCUUCGCCAGGGCGACCCAAUGUCUCCCUACCUAUUCACCCUUGUGAUGGAGAUGUUUUCUGGCAUCUUGAAUGCCCGCACUGCUCUAAAAGAGUUCAAGUAUUUUUGGAGGUGCAAAGCAGUCCAGCCGUCUCACCUUUUUUUUGCCGAUGAUGUAUUUCUUUUCAGUCAGGCUGAUUGGAAUUCCAUCACUGUAUUAAAAAAUGCCUUGGAUUUAUUUUCUUCAUGGAGUGGCUUAAUCUCGAACAAGAACAAGAGCGAAAUUUUUAUCUCGGGUGGGGCCUCUUCUUUGCAGAACUAUAUCCUUUUGGCAUUUGGCUUCCAAGAAGGGAAACUACCAGUGCGUUAUUUAGGAGUGCCUAUCAUCUCCUCUAGGCUUCGGAAAGCAUACUGUAUUGCCUUGAUUGAUUGGAUUACUGCUAGGGCUCAAUCAUGGACUCAACAUUUCCUAUCAUUUGCAGGAAGAUUGCAGCUUAUUAGGUCAGUCCUACAUUCUAUCCAAGCAUUCUGGUCUAGUGUUUUUACCUUGCCGGCUUCAAUUCUUAUUAGCAUCGAGAGAAUUUUCAGACAAUUUUUAUGGAAAGGCACCACGCUUGGCAGAGGUGGAGCUAAGGUUGCUUGGGAUGAAGUUUGCCUUCCCAAAAAUGAAGGAGGAUUGGGUAUUCGCAAGUUGAAGGACUGUAACAAAGCAGCGAUGCUUAAAUAUAUAUGGAUUCUUUUCACAUAUAAAGAAUCCUUAUGGUGUCGUUGGAUUCAUUCCAACUUUUUAAAAAGGAAGAUUUUUUUGAUCUCCUCUUCUCCUACUGUGUGCUCUUGGGCUUGGAGGAAAAUAUUACAUUUAAGAGUAGAAUUUCGGCUUUCUUUCUCCUGGAAAAUUGGGGAUGGACUUUUGGUUUCCUUAUGGUUUGAUCAUUGGCUCUCGAAAGGCCCUCUCGACCAGUUGAUUCCAAAUUCUUUCAUUGAGUCUUCUGGUCUUCCCAAGCAUGCUGUGGUUGCAGAUCUCUUUCCCCCCUUAGGCUAUUCACUCAGAAAUCUUUUAGAAUGCUGGGGAUUUUCCAUUCUGUUGGUUACCUUUGGCCCGGAUCAGUUCCUUUGGCGUCGGCACCCUUCCGGUUCCUUCUCGGUGGCUAGUGCUUGGGAUUGUAUUAGAUCUAAAAACAACCGGGUUCUCUGGGCUUCGCUUAUCUAGAAUAAUGAUAUUGCUCCUAGAUUCCAAUUCAUUCUUUGGUUGAUUACCAAGAACCGGUUGCCUACCUAGGAGUUCCUCCUCGCUUAUGGCAGAAUUGAUUCUAGAACAUGUGCUUUCUAUAAUGAAGUCCCAGGCUCCAUUGAUCACCUAUUUUUUGAUUGUCAUGCUUCGGCUUCUCUUGCCUUCUUUUGGGCUACAAGAUGCAAUUUACCUUGGCAUUUGAGGCCGUGGGUGGAGAUCCUUCCUUGGGCCAUUAAAUUCCUAUCCGAUAAUGAUUUUUUCCACCGUAUCGUUCGCUUCUCUUUUGGUGCCUUAUGCUACUUGAUCUGGAAGAAAAGAAAUGAUAUCAUCUUUUGAGGGGAAACGUUGGUUCUCUUUGCGUUGAAAAAUCACCUUUUAAAGGUUGUCAAGGACAAGUCCAUCACCUUCACCAAUGUUCCGGAUAUUUCGAGGAACAGGCGUCUCCAGAGAAGCCGGAGUCUUGACCCCUCCAUCUUCACCGAUCAUCUUUUGACUUUGCAAUUUGUUCGUGGUUUCUUUCGUAGGCCUGCUUACAAGCUGUCUUCAAGUCUCCGUUCUUUGACUCUUCCAUUGGAGUUGGUUGAGGGUUGUGUGGGCUGUUGCGGGUUGUAGCUUUUGUGGCCAUCUUUGUCUUUUUUUCUUUCGGUUGUUGUUGUUUCCUCCUUUGCUUUGUAGCUUCUUUGCUUCGGCUCGCUUCCACUCUUUUUGCUAUUGCACUUAGAGUGUAAGCUUUGGCGCCAUUUUGUACAUUUGUCCUAAGCUUUAUUUAUUCAUUACCUUUACCAAAAAAAAAAAAAAAACACACACACACACACAUAGGUUUAUACACAAAUGUUUACAAAAGGGAUCGGCUCCCAAUAAAAGAGAAUUGUCCUAUGAUUAGCUAGUCGGACAAGAUCGCCGAUUCUUUGAGCUUCACCUCUUAAACUUCGGGGCUUAUGGUCCUUCACCAAUAUUAUCUAAGGACCUGAAAAUGGUUAUACAAUAACCAGUGAGACAAUAUUUCAGCGAGUUCUACCCCCUAAGACUCGAUUAGGAAGCAAAUACGCCAUAAGGGUUGCCUAAGCACAAUCACAAGUCGGAUGACUUACCUUGAUCUCAGUUCUUCCCUGCAAUUCAACACAAUUCACAAUCUCAUCGAGUCACAUCAACAUAUCAAAUCAUUCACUCAGAUCGACUUAUCGAUCAAUCGACUUAGCCGAUUACAUGUCCAUCAGACUAUUCCCCGAUCAUUCUAAUCAAUACUAUACAUUUUCCAAGAUGAUAUAUCUAGUCACCGAGCCCAGGUGCAUUCUCCAAGAUGACAUAUCUAGUCACCAAGCCCAUGUACAUUCUCCAAGAUGACAUGCCUAGUCACUGAGUCCACGUACAUUCUCUAAGAUAACAUGCCUAGUCACUGAGUCCACGUGCAUUCUCCAAGAUGACAUAUCUAGUUACUAAGCCAAUAUAAUAUAAUGUUCUUUCUCCAAGAUGACAUACUGAGUCAUCAAGUCAAACUAAUAUAAUGUUUUUCUCCGAGAUGACAUACCAAGUCACCGAGCCAACAUGAUAUACGUCUUUCUCCGAGAUGACGUACCAAGUCAUCAAGCCGACAUUUGUUCUCCAACAAUUUCUCACUUUCUAUCAUACUUGGUAAAAUAGCCAUGUGUGGGUACAUGGUUGGCCUUAGCCAAAAUAUAAUAACUUCAUUUCCAUAAAUCUCACCAUUUUAUAUAGUCCACAAAAUAUUUUUGACGUUGUAAACUAACGUUCGGUUAUUUUCCAAUCAAUUACUGAAAUUAAAUCAAUUUAAGAAUAAAUUCCAGAAAUGCAAUUCAUGCACAAUCAGCACAAUUUAAAGCUUAAUUAAAUAAACAAGUUGUUUCACUGCAAUCAGCAUAAAAUUCUGGUCACCGGCUAUUCCGAUCUAAUUUUCAUAAAAUAAAUAAAUAAUUAAAUAAUUACGGAAAUAUAUUAAAUAAAUGCCAAUAAAUCCAACUUAGGCCCGUAAUGCCUAAUUGGACGCCGAAACAGAUCUGAAAAAUUUCUAAGACUUGUUAAAUAAAUACUAGAGUCUAUUUACUCGCUAAUUGCACUAACUAUCCACCUAACAUGUAUUGGUAAUUAAUUAAAUUCACUAAUGUAAUCUAACUAAUCACCUAAUCAUACUUAAUAUAAUCAACCCUUAAGUGUGAUUAACCUACUAAACAAAGAUUAGUAAGUUAAAUUCACUUGUUCGGCGAUCCGGUUGGUGCAAAUCAACGGGGACACAACGGGGCUCGAUUCUCUCCAAAGUGGGCCAAACUUUCAUGGUCCGGAACAACCUCAAAAUGGGCCAAAUCCUUGCUAGAAAACCCACUCCUUAAACUUCUAUUCUUGGCUAGAAAAGAAGAAAAUAGAGGUUGGUUUGGCGAGGUAAGGGUAGUGAAGGUAGUAGGGACACUCGGUGGCCACCGGCAGUGCUUCACGGCGGUUGAACGGGGCGAGAUGGCUCUAAUUGAGCCUGUUGGACGGUGACGCAUGCCUGGAUGACAAGCUGGGUGUGGCUAAGGCAAACGGCACACACGGGCGAAGGCGGAGCAACGAUGGGCUAGCGUGGGGGCGUCGAAUGGCUGCGGUGGCGUGCGGCAGUGACGGGCUGCUCAGCUGGUCUUCUCUGGCUUGCUGCUGGUGUCGAUCAACACAAAUGGAGGUGGGAUGGAGGCUGCUGACCGGUAGGGAUAAGGAGGGGGGCAAGGGGGGUCACUUAGUCUCAUUUUCUCCUUAUUUGUCCUCCAAGACCAAGUCCAACUUGUCCACCAAGCUUGGCCAUCUUCCACUAGCAUUUUCCAGACCCGUUUGCCCCCAUCUAGAAGCUUGAGAGGGUCCAAAAGUCAUGGUGGUGGGGGGCAUACGAAUUUGCUUGAUUCUCUCAUCAAAUGGACACUUAUUCUUGCUUAAUUCAUCACAAACCAGUCUCCAUAAAAUCAACCGAUAUCUCAUUGAUCCAAUUAGUAUUUUUCCUCACCAAUUGAUCCCACUUGCAUCCCAAUUUCGCGAUAAAAAACGAUCCCUGACUUUUUUUUUUGACAAAAACGGCCUUAUGACGAUUUUUUCCCAAAAAGUCUCGGUUUGCAAACAAAUCUCCUAAGACUAAGUCGACGUUCCUAAGAUGAUUUGUAACAUGACAGAACUUUCAAUUUCUGAAAUCGGAUUCAAAUUCGUUGUUAAUUUCACUCUGGCACGUUUUUAGCGUGACCUAGGCUACAAGGUAUCUUUUAGAAAUUUUUAGUGCCAAUGACCCAUGGUCGAUUUUCUUCGAGCCACAAUGAACUCACUCGACACAUUGGUGACUCUCGGUUGUCGUGAAAAUCUCGAGGAUUCAAAUACGAACAUAGGGUACCAAAACGAUAGAAAAAUUAGUUUAAUGUCGGUCGACGAGAAUUUUUCAAUUUAGUGGAGUCACCCAUGUUUAGUCACACAUUUCAAUUGAACCAAUCUAUCUCUAAUUCCUAAUUGACUUAUAUAUGUGCCAUAAUGACCUCUAAAAACAAGUACGGUCGAGUAUUCAAUUCCUGGUCGAAUUCUCCAGUCUAUUGCAUUAAAAUUCCUUAAUGGCUUCCCUAGAUAGUUUAGUUAUCUCAAAGUGAUUAGCUCUGAGAACAGCCCUAUAGGCACGUUGAUGAAAUGUCUGAUUAAUUUAAAUGAAAGCAAAAGUGAAAAAUUCAAGAUGUCACAACAUGCUUAAUUUUGAGUUGAGCACGAGUUCGAAUCCCUCAAGUAUCUUAUCGAGUUGAGUUCGCGCUUUUUGAUACUUAGCUCGAUACCUUAUCGAGCUUUCAUUAUUAAAAGCAUUUGAUAACUAUAAAAAUAUAUAUGAAGAUAUAAUAUCCGAGCUUACAAAAUCGAAGCUCGAGUUUUGAUUGUAAGUUUGACUAUAAUCAAAUUGAGCUAGGGUAUUAUGAAACCCUAAGUGCCUUCGAUCAUUAGGACCUUUGCUCUUAUUAGCCAUCAAAGAGUUUUCCCAACAGGAGGUGUGGUUUUUCUUAGCGAACUUGCUUGGUCUCUGAAGCGACUCUGCCGUACAGAGAGGGUGGGGGGUUCUUGUCUUCAUAAUGGAUUGUCAUUGGAUUUUGAUUCCGAAAGGGGCAUAAUCGUCUUUUUAGUGAAAUAAUCUUACUUGAUGAGACAAUCCUUCACUGGAGAAAGGGCACAUGGAAAGUGGGAAAAUAAAAGAUAACAAUUUUGUCCAAUUUCGGUGAUGAAUAAAUUAAGAUAGAUUUAACUUAACAAAAAACCAGAAAAUUUAAUUCUGAUGGUGCUAUAAAUUGAAGUAAUUGUAAUUGUGAAGUGUUAGGGAUUCUAUUCAAUUAAAUGUCAUGUUUUUACUAUAAAAAAACCCCUAAAUUCGGUAUUCAUAUUACAAAUUUACCUUAAACUAUUUUUUUGAAUAUCAAAAACCUUAAACUGGUACACUUGUAAUAAAUUCACCAAAAACUAAUUUUUUAUCACAAAAAACCCCAAAUUGAUAGAUCCUAACAAAUUUACUCAAAACUAAUAUUUUAACAACAAAAAGCUCCAAACUGAUAAACUUACGACAAAUUUAUCUUCUGUUAACUUCUGUCAAAUUUUACUAUUAAAUUUGCUAACGUGGAUAACACAUGGUAAUGUGUCAUGUCCAUAGGGUAAAUAUCAUGAAAAACUCCAAACCGAUAUACUUAUAACAAAUUUAACGUUACUUUUGUGAUAAAUUUAAUGAUACGCCUAUGAUAAAUUUGGGAUUUUUUGUGACAUUAAUCCAAUGAAUUAUUACAUGGACUUGCUAUGUCACCAUAACAUGUCACAAUGUGUCAUUUACCUUAACAAAUUUAAUGGUAAAAUUUGAUGGAGUUUAAUAGAAGGUAAAUUUAUCACAGUCAUACCAGUUGGGAAGUUUGGAGAUUAUCAUGAGUCUACCAAUUUAAGGUAAAUUUAUCACAAGUAUAUUAAUUUGAGAUUUUUAGUUGUCAAAAAAUUUAUUUAGGAUAAACUUAUUAUGAAUGUACCAAUUUGAAAUUUUUCUUAAUAUUAACCCUUUAAUUUAUUGGCCAAGGUUACUACAUUCGUAAUUUGCAACCUCCACGGAUAAAAGCAACAUUAUGAGAGUUGAAAUGUGAAAUGAUUUAACAACAAUCCUAAACCUUUAAUAUAUCAAUUCAAUUCUCAACUUUUAAAUUUGAUUAAUUUAAUUCUAAAUAUUUUAAAGAUUUAUUUUGCGAUACAAUCAACACUAAUUAAAUAAUGCAACACAAUCAAUGCUAACGUAAAAAAAAAAAAUCAAUUUUAAAAAAAAAAAUCUGAUUUUUUUUUCCUUCCUUUUCUUUUCAUUUCUUCGUACUUUGUUUUCCCUUCUUCUUCUUUUUUUGCUUUCCUUCUUCCCCUGCCAAUUGCCUAGCCUGGGCAAAGGCCACAACAUCCUUGCCAAGGGUUGACCUCAUCGUCAAAGGCUCCAAUUCAUUACCACACCAAGGACGCACCACAUAAAAUAUACAAAAUUAGAGAACCCAAUGCCUUUCCUUUUGCUUUCCCAUAAAUAAAAAACAAUGUCAACUCCAAAAUAGAAGAAACUUCUCCAAGCACUACAUAGAUGCAAACAAAUCGAAUGUUCAUAGUAUGUCCUCAUAUUUGAAGGUUGUACACGCCAUAAGAUGAUCAGUGGGAGCGACAUUUCACACAAGGAUCCUAACAAGCAGAAUCCUAUAUUAUUCAUGAUUCAAACUACUAUGAAAUAUCGACCAAUCCCAAGCAGUUUCAGCCAUUAGACAAAUUAAUCAAGGUACUGAUCCACAGUCGUGUAUUUGACGUCGGGAUAGAGCUCUGAAGCUUCCACGCCGAACGAUGGCUCAAUCUCAAAGUUGUUUUGGUCUCCUUUCACGAAAACGGAAUGAGAUAUUGCCAAUAUCACAUUGAGCGGAACUGCUGCCUCUGCAAUAUCAUCAGACAAGUAGAUUGAUCAAUGUCAGAAUACUAAAAUCCCGGAGAGAAAUUGACAAUUUUACAUGCUUAAAUCUAAUAGAAAUGCAUCCCUAACCUAGAAUGUUCUUCAAAACUUGCUCCUCUGGAACGUAAACCCUCUCCAGGGUCUUGCCGAUCUUUCUCUCCCACAAAGACACGAGAUCAUUAAAUGAGUAGGCGUUGGCAGGAGGUCUGAUGUACAUAAUUUUGUUCAGGGUCCUUGGAUCAUCCAUAGCUUUAAUGGUAUAGGUGCCAAUGUCAUCCUCCUUGUUAAACAUCGAUGUAUAUUGACGGGGAGAAUUUUAGAAUUCAGUUAAUAAAUAUAAGCCAUCAAUAUUCCUAGAGUUACUUUCAGCUUGCAUUCAAAGAAGAAUUUUUUCGAUAAACAAAAUCACCGGACAACUCGCAAACAACUGCAUCCAUACAUUCUUUUUUCUAUCAAAUACAUUAAGAUAACCUUCAUGAUCUGCUGCCCAGGUAGUGUUGUGCCAAGAUAAACCAAAUAACUUCCAUGUCAUCCGUUAGUCUCUGAAAGUGAAGACUAAUGGAUGUAAAAGGCCAACAUCUCCAGACACAGAAGAUGCCUAGAAUUCUCAAGCUUCGAGAACUACCCCACUCUGAUCACUACUGUGAUUAAGUUGUGAAAAAUGUACAGAAAAAACUCAAAAAUUAAAAUGUGCAUCUCAAGAAAUUGCUUCUUACCUUUUACAUUUCCAUCCCCUAAAAUAACAACUUUAUCUCUAGGGGGACUGUAGCCCCAGGCUGCGACAACGUUGGAAGGAAGUAACCUGCAAAAAAGUUAGAAGACACAUAGGUAUAAGGGAUUCCCUCAGCCUCAACAAGGUGGUGAAUCUUGGCCUUAAUAGCAAAUGCAGUUUUUGCUGGCUCCACAGCAUGGACACGAUCCACAUCAUUUCCAAAUUCUGAAGGUAAGAAUCUCUGUGAAGCAAAUUAACUAAAUUAGAAGAAACAUUUUCACUAGAAAGCAACAAAAAACUAGAGUAUAUACCCCUUAUCGAACAAACUUACAUGAGUUCUGGCAAACAAAGAAAACAAACUUACUUGAGAUUGAAUUUCACGUUUUAAUACGUUACUAUAACAGAGUAAAAAUGAUUACAAGUGAAUCAAUACGAGCAAUGAAGCAAAUUUAACCCCAAGUGCUAUUAGAAAAAUAGAAGAAAAGAAAACUGAAGAUUUAAUUGUCAAGGCAUCAGCUAGAUAAGUCUGUCACGUAUAAAAUAUGCAAACAUGCCGUUAGCUUGGACACUUUCACAAGUAAUAAAAUAUUAGGUAAGCCCAAUGCCUUUUGUGAGUAUAUGCUGAGCUCCACUCACUAUGGACCGUCAUCCCCCAAAGCAACAACUACUAAACUAUCCACUAACUAGGUUUUGGUAACUUAUUUACAACAAUAAUGAAACCACCAAAGAGAGACCACUUGAAGGAUUAAGUAGUUCAUGUUUUCAUUCAUGAUCAAACAGCACGGUAGAUGACCGCAAUCCAUAUUGAGUGCUUGAAACCCUUUUAACUUUUCCAAUGACCUAGAGUAAACCCAACCGCAGUGAAGCCCGCACUGUCCGGUACUCAAAUUUGAAAUAGUUGUACUGAAAUUUCACUCACGACUUCUACACAAAGUCAUGACUAUAUAUUAGAAAGGAAAGAAAUGAAGUCUACGGACUAAAAAGUCAAAUCCAUCCCAUUUCGACACAUUGCCCACCGAUCUUUACAAGAUCAUAACAAGGAAUCUUACGGUUCUUACCAUGACAUCUGCAGAACAAAUCAGCCACAUUUACUUCUAUAUAAAAGUUCAUCUACGCAGUACAGAACAUAUGGAAAAUUUCGUAAAAUUUGUCUAUAAAUGUACUCGUUCGUAUCAGCAUGCGAAGCUGAGAUGAUUCGUCAGUAACAAAAUAACAGAGGAGAGAAAGAGAAACACCAAGCCGUAACGUGACUCCGUCGUCAACUGCGAUCUUGUGAAAGAUCGAGAUAAAAAUCGUCUCCGAUUCUAUGGCUAAAGACAUUUCUCCGAAUGAAGAACAAGAUGAACGGCAGGCGACGCUUCGAUUCCUCGAAGCAGCACCACAUGCGGGAAACGAACAGAGAUUGCACGGGAAUGACUACUCACGUGAACUAAAUUGAUGCCAAGCCUCUUGAAAACUACUACGAUUCCGGCCUUGGCGGGGCUGGAGAGAGUGGACUCCCUCACGAGAGCGAAGGUAGGGUGACCGGACUUGGCACUCGCUUCCACGAUGAACUUUCCGGUGUAUCCGGUGCCUCCGAUCACCAGGACCUUGCUCAUCUUCUCAAUACGUGCUUUUUUACGGGUACGUUGAUCGAAGGUUUCCGGAACUGCUCUGUUGUUGCCAGAGAGAGGCAUAGCGAGAGAGAGAGAGAGUGGGGGAGAUAGAAUAUAGAGAGAUGGGGGGAGAGAGGGAGAGAUAAAAAGCGGGGAUCCCGUCUUAACGACGAAGCGUCAAAUUUAGUGCAUCCUAGAAGGGUAUAAUCGUCUUUUCAGUGAAGUGAUUUUUUCUCGUCCUUCACUGGAAAAAGGGUACGUGGAAAGUCGGAGACUUUGCAGAAGAAAAUGAAAAUGUGUGAAAUAAGCCAAAAUAUGAAAAUUUGAAUUUUAAGUUUGGAAGGUGCUGGAAAUACAGGUAAUGGCAUGAUUUUGAAACGUGAGAGACUCGAAUUAACUUCAUAUUAUGAUUUUAUUUUAUUAAGCCAUCACAAUUGACAUUGAUUUUUCAUGUGACCGAAAAGGAAAGAGCUUUUCAUAUUAUGAUUUUAUUUCUCUAAUUACGUGUCAAGCCAUUGCAAUUAAUAAUAAUUUUUCAUGUGACCAGUGAGGAAAGAGUUGAAAUCGCAUAUUAGGGUUAUCGGAUCAUAUUAAGAAAAGAAAGUGAAAAUGGUAUCAAAGGGCAACGAACUGCUCUCCAUGCAUGUUCUGUGUUGAUCAAAAGAUUGCUGUUUUUCAUUUUCUUUUUUUUUUUUAAAAAGAAAAAGAAAAAAGAGAACAACCUUGUUAGAUUCGUUUGGGAAUUCAAGAGAAAGCAUGAUGUAAGCAAAUCAUAAGCAUGAUGCGAUAAUCUCUUUAUGAUUAAAGUUAAAGGAAUUUAAGUUUGGAUGUCCAUUCGAAUUGAAAAUGAAAUUUUUAUUUAUUUUAUAAAGUUAGUGAGAUAUUUCAUAGUACUGUCGUUGAGAAAAGGCCCCAAAAAUCUAUGCCCACCGUCCAUGGUAUGGUGCGAAAUAAUUCAUUAAUUCAGUCCACUAAUACACAAAUGGCCGAGCUUGGAGAUGGGAAUUUGUUUUGUUGUUAUACAUGCACGUAGAUGCAAUCGCAAAACUCUUACCAACAAUAUAAAUUGCCAAAUUUUGAAUGUGACUCUUGAAGUUUUGGCCCAGUCCAAAUCGACCCCCUGCUGUUACUUUUCUGUGAAUCAACUCUAGAAAUCUGUCACAAUUGAGUCCAAAGUGAUCACUAUUCCGGCAGGGAGAUCAGAUCGAAUUGAGGCCAGGAUGUCCUUACUUCCAUAUGAAUUGUGAAGUUAAAUGGCAAGGAUAAAACCAUUUUAAAAUUGUUUACAACUUGCUUAGAACUUAAACACUUGAAAGGGAAUUUUAAAUUUUGAGACGAAUAAUCAACGAUCAAAUACUUAUUACUAAACGUGUCCCAUACCGUUAUAACAACUCUCCGAACAUAUUGGCAAAAGUCUUUUGUCGGUCUCGACAGCAAAAAAUCUUCCAAUUUCAAGAGGCGCAAUAAAUCUAUGAAAACUCCCGGUUGGAGUAUAUACUAAGAUUUAUUAUGACGGUUCACUUUCUAAAUUUAAAUGGACCCAAAUGAUAGCAAUUUAGCACGGUCUUGACCCCGUUCACAACUUCUAUUCGGUCGUAAUCCCAGACAUACACUAUUAUUGGCAUCGCAGACUAUUUGAUAAGAUGGACAGCAGAAAUUUCGUUUCAUAAAGAAGGAGCGACAUAGCAUGACAUGCCUCAGAAAUGGAGAAACUCUUUCUUUUCGCUUGGCCGAUAAACCCAUGUCAACUCCAAACAGAAUUAACUUCUCCAAGCACUGUGUAGAUUCGCACAUAUUGAUUGUUCAUAGCAUGUCCCUAUAAUUGGAGGUUGUACAAGCCAUGAGAUGAUCAGCGGGAGCAACAUUUCAUACGAGGAUCCUAAGAAGCAGCAUCCUCUAUUAUCUAUCAUUCGAGCUGAUGUGAGAAACUUACCAAGCACAGUAGGUUUUGAUAAUCAAACAAACUAAUCAAGGUACUAAUCCACAAUCGUGUAUUUGACACCGGGGUAGAGCUCUGAAGCUCCACUUUGAACGAUGGUUCAAUUUCGAAGUUGGUUUGGUCUCCUUUCAUGUAGAUAGAAUGGAAUAUGGCCAACUAGGCAUUGAGUGAAAUUGCCGCCUCUACAAUAUGACCGGAAAAGUAGACCAAUUGAAGCUUGAGAAUACAGAUAAUUUCACAUGCUUAAAUCUAAUGAAAAAGCAUCCCUAACCUUGAAUGUUCUUCAGAACAUUCUCCUCUAGAACAUACACUCUCUCCAGGUCCUUGCCAAUCUUUCUCUCCCACAAAGACACGAAAUCAUCAAACGAGGAGGUGUUGGCAGGAGGUCUCAUGUACAGAAUUCUGUCCAGGGUCCUUGGAUCAUCCACAGCUUUGAUGGUAUAGAUGCUUAUGUCAUCCUCCUGGUUAAACAUGGCUAUAUAUUAAAGAGGAGAGUUUUAGAAUUUGGCUAACAAAUAAUUCACAGAGCCAUUGAUCGUCCUAGAGUUACUUUCGAGUUGUAUUUAAUAAAGAAUUCUCUCGGUAAAUAGAUUCACUAGGCCCUUGGCAUCGGUAUGUUCUUCUUCAUACCAAAUAUGAUCAAGAUAACCUUCUUUAUAUGCUGAAAAGGCGGUACUGUGCCAAGAUAACCCACAUGCAGAUAACCCACAUGACAUUCGUAUCAUCUUUUAGUCCUUAAACUUGAAGACUAAGGUAUGCAAAAGGCCCAAUAUCUCCAGACAAGGAAACUGCCUGGAAUUCUCAAGCUUCAAGAACUGCCCCUUACUCUGAUCACUACCAUAAUUAAAUGGAUGCACAGAAAAAUCUCAGUGGCCUAAAAUGCGCAUUUCAAUGAAUUGCUUCUUAUCUUUUGCAUUUCCAUCCCCUAAGAUGACAACUUUAUCUCCAGGGGAAGCUGUAGCCCCAGGCAAUGACUAUGUUGGAAGGAAGUAACCUGCAAAGCAAUUACGACAUACAUCAGUAUAAGGGAUUCCCUCAGCCUAAACAAGAAGGCAGAUCUUAGACUUAGUUGCGAGUAUAGCUUUCACUGGCUCCACGGCAUGGACACAAUCCACAUCAUCUCCAAUGUCUGAAGGCAAGAAUCUCUAAAAAGAAACAUAAUCAAAUCAGAAGAAACAUCUUUACCAGAAAGCAACAAAAACUUAGAGCAUCUCCUUAACCAACAAACUUAUAUCUCUUGCAAAAGAAAAACUAUAUAAGACUUAAUUUCAUGUUGUUUACAUAUGUUACUAUAAACAAAGUGAAAAGUGAUUAUCAGUGAAUCAAUUAAUUCAGCAAUUAAGCAAAAAUAGAAAAAUAGAGGAAACGGCAGCAGCCAGAUAACUAUCUCAAGUACAAAAUAGGCAAAUAUGCUGCUUGCUUGGACACUUCCACAAGAAAUAAGAUUUCAGGUAAGUCCAUUGCCUUUUGUGAGCAUGCCGAGUUCCACUUAUUAUUGACCAUCGACCACCCAAAGCAAUGAGAACUACUAAGUUCUAUCCCAGCAAGUGGGAUUAACAUAUUUGCAACAAUGAUAAUACUACUGAAAAGACCACAUUGAGUGCUCGAAACUUUUACAUUUUUGGUUGACCUAGAGGAAACCUGACAUCACGCAGUUUCAGGAUAGAUAAACCCUCCUGGAGUAUGUAGGCAGCCCAAUAUCCAUACAAAUAUCGAGACAGAGGAGGGCGCGAGUUUGAGGUCAAAGAGCCUUUGUGUGCGUGAAGAUAUAAAUCUAUGAGUAAAUUACAUGUACAUAUUAAUGAGUUCGUGUAGAUGGUACAUUUUGCAUCCAUGAUGACAGAAUUCCCUACCCAAUUAAAUUCGUCAAAGAGAAAUUGCGUGGAUUCAGAGCAGCCCACUUAGAAGACCAAACUGUCCUAUACUUGGGUUUGAAAUAGCUAUCGUCGAAUUUCACCGAUCACUUCUACACAAAGAGAUGACCAUUGAAGAAAAAGAAGUGAAGUCUGCAGAUAAAUAAGUCAAUCCACCUCAUUUCAUCGAAGCGGAGCUCAAAAGAGAAAGUAGUGCACCUACAUCAUCAGUCAAAUGGUAAACGAACAAUGGUAACAACAAUGAAAUAAUUAGAAACAGCACCACCUCAACAGUCCUGGCUGCUUUAGUGGCAGAAAAAAUCUUGUCUUGGUCCUCUAGUUGUUCGUUCCCAACAACAGAGAUUACCACAUCAACCUGCUUAAUCACGUUCAGUAGAAUCUUCUGGUCAUAUAUGUCUCCUUGAGAAUCAAAUAACCAAGAGCAUGGACAAACAAUCAAUGAAUGAAGUCAGCAAUCAUCCGCAAGAUUCAUCUGCGCAGCAAAGUGCAGCUACGUAGCUACAGUUGUCUCAUAAACCGCUAAAGCAUACGGAAGUUUCCACAAAAUUUGUUCGAAAAUGUGCACGGUCGUAUCAUCAUGCAACGCCGAGAUUUCUUCAGGCAUUCGAAAAACGAGAGCCACGUGAUUUCUUUUCUAACAUAUACAAAGACAAAACAUCAGAGAAUAGAAAGAGCAACACCAACUCCAUUAACUCCAUGAACUGAAAUAUUUAGAAAGAAAGCAGCUCCGAUUCUACUGCUAAAAACAUUUCUCAGAAAGGCAAACGAGAUUAUCGGCACGCGACGCUUCGAUUUUUCUAAGUAGCACCGAAUGCGGAAAAUGAACGAAAUCGCACGGGAAUAGCUACUCACGCGAACUAAAUUGACGCCUAAGCUUUUGAAACCUUCGACGAUUUUGGCCUUGGUGGGAUUGGAAAGCGCGGACUCCCUCACAAGAGCGAAGGUAGGGUGACCGGACUUAGCACUCGCUUCCACGAUGAACUUUCCGAUGUAUCCAGUGCCUCCGAUCACUAGGACUUUGCUCUUCUCCGGCAUCUCAGAGGGUUUUCUCACGGCGGAGGAGUGGCCUUUCUGGCCAGCGUGAUUUGUCUCGUGCUGCAACUGUUGGCGCUCGUCGAGAUGAGUGGUCCUUUUGUUUUGACUCCGGAAGGACAUAUUUAGUGAAUUGAAAUUUUUGCUAGCAUACAAUCUACUGUGAGGAAAUGGAUUUCAUAAUAAAUUAUAAUUAUUUACAAUUUAAUUUUUUAUGAUUCAGAAUAGACUAUUAUUCUCAUAAUAUAUUAAAAAUUAUCAUGUAAUCAUUUUUAAAUUUAAUUUUUAAUUAGAUACAAAUUACUUACCUAUCGAUUUUGACUACGAUAAUGUGAAUUUUUUUUUGAAAAUAGGAAUAAGUUAACUUACCGAAAAUAAGAAAUUAUGAAUUUAAGUUUUUUAGAGAUAUAAAAUUGAUUGCUGUGUUGACAAAUCUCAUAAAAAAGAAAAAGAAAUCAAUGGGCCUAAUUUAUGGUGGGCUAUAAUCACGGAAUUAAAAAAUGAAACCUUCCCUGUCGAGGACAAAAGUUGGUUGUUACUUCCUGACAAGAAAAAAGUUAUUUUAUCUUUUCUUCAGUAGAUAUUGUUGACAUUUAAGCCUCGUUCGUGUACUUUGGACUUUUAUAAAACGGUGUGAGACUGGGAGUUGGAGGCAGCCAUAGAAACAGCAUUCUCAAUAAGAAGGUUCUCCAAUUUUUGGUGCUCUUUUUCCAAAUUUUUAAAGUUCAUAAUAUUAUUAUUCUUUUGAAUCCAACAUUUGGUAUAAUGUUAUCCAUCAAAUUCAUCCAAUGACAACUUUCAAAGUUAAACAAAAGGAAUUUCAAUAAUUAGCCUGGCUAGAUGAAAGUUCUUUUUAAAUCACAAAAUUUGCAAAAUCUAGUUGACAAUGACUAAAUCAAACUAGCUGAUGCUGAGUAGUAUAUGCGACCUUUCAAGCCGGGGAUGAAAGGAUAUUUGAAAAAAUACCAAGCACAAACACUACAAAAGCGGUAUGUGAUAUUUUGCAAAAAUUCUACAAAGGCUAUUGUCAUGUAAGACAGAUGCGGCUUCAGAAAUAAGGUAAUUUUGAGUCUCUAUACAUGAAUAAUUAUAAAUCAAUCUCAACAUAUUUUGAUUUUGUACAAACUAUCAUUAACCAAUUAAGGAUUAAUGGUGAAAAACUUCAAGAAGUACAAGUGGUUGAAAAAAUCUUGGAGUAUUAAUUGAAAUAUUUGACUAGUUGUCGUAACAGUCAAAUAAGGGUGGGAUGUGACAAUCUUUGGAGUGAUUGAUGGGUUCAUUGUACUUGUGUGAGCAAAGAAUGAAUUAAAAGUCCAUUGAUUUAAAUCCCGAGCAAGCUUUGUGUAGUCAAGUUAGUCAAUUAAGCUGAGGAGGGAAGAGGUUGUCGGAGGUUCUCGAGAUAGAGGUGAAAAUUCAAAUUCCAGCGAAAAAUAUAUAAAACAUGACAAAUCAAAACUCAAGUGUUCUAAGUGCAACAAAUUCGAAUAUUAAAAAUCUGAGUUUCAGGCAAAGAUGUAGUACAAGCAUGCAAAACAAGCGCACGCAAUUGAUGCUGACGAAAACAUAGUGCUAGCAUGCAAAAAAGAUGACUAGAGCACCGUGUACAGCAACAUCUAUUAUUGACAUUUGUGCUUAGUAUGUACUCGGACUUGGAGGUUUGUCCAUGCCAUGAGAUGAACAGCGGGAGCCGCAUUUCACACUAGGAUCCUAAGAAGCAGCAUCCCAUAUUAUUUACUAUUCAAGCUAAUGUGAGAAAUUUACCGAGCACAAUCGAUUUUGACAAUCAAACAAACUGGUCAAGGUACUAAUCCACGGUUGCACAUUUGACAUCGGGGUAGAGUUCCAAAGCUUCCACACCAAACGACGGCUCAAUCUCAAAGCUGGUUUGAUCUCCUUUCACAAAAAUUGAAUGGUAUAUGGCCAACAUGUGAUUGAGUGGGAACGCUGACCAGUCGAAGCUUGAGAUAGAGAUAAUUUCACAUGCUUAAAUCUAAUAGAAAAUGCAUCCCUAACCUUGAAUGUUCUUUAGAACUUGCUCCUCUGGAACGUAAACCUGCUCUCGGGUCUUGCCGAUCUUUCUCUCCCACAAAGACACGAGAUCAUUCAUCGAGUAGGCGUUGGCAGGAGGUCUGAUGUACAGAGUUGUGUUCAAAGUCCUUGGAUCAUCCACGGCUUUGAUGUUAUAGGUGCCAAUGUCAUCCUCCUCAUUAUUCACCACUAUAUAUCGACGGGAGAAAGUUUUAGAAAUCGGCUAAUAAAUAAAUCACAGAGGAAUCGAUCUGCCUACAGUUACUUCCCGCACGUACUUAAUAAAGAAUUCUCUCGAUAAACAGAUUCAUCAAACAACUGGCAUCCAUAUGUUCUUUUCUCAACCACAUACAUCAAGAUAACCUUCUUUAUAUGCUGAACAGGUGGUAUUGCGCCAAGGUAACCCACAUGACAUUCAUAUCAUCUAUUAUUCCCUAAAUUGAAGACCUAAUGGAUGCAAAAGGCCCAACAUCUCCAGCCAAGGAAGUUGCCUGGAACUCUCAAGCUCCAAGAGCUGCGCCUCACUUUGAUUGCUAUCGUAAUUGAAUCGUGAAAGAUGUAAAAAAAAUCUCAACGGCUUAAUAUGCGAAGCAUUUCGACAGAUUGCUUUUUACCUUUCACAUUUCCAUCUCCUAAGAUGACAACUUUAUCUCUAGGGGGAACUGUAGCCUUGAGCUGUGCCAAUGUCGGAAGGACAUAACCUGCAAAACAUUUACAAACAUACAUAGGUAUAAGGGAUUCCCUCGGCCUCAACAAGGCAGCGGAUCUUAGCCUUGAUGGCAAGAAGAGCUUUCGCUGACUCCAGAGCAUGGACACAAUCUACGUCAUUUCCAAUCUCUGAAGGAAAGAAUCUCUAAAAAGAAACAUAAUGAAAUCAGAGGAUACAUCUUUAUUAGAAUGCAGCAAAAAUUUAGAGCAUAUUCCCCUAAACCAAAAAACUUAUAUGAGUUUUGGCAAAAACAAAGGAUGAGGAACUUACAUGAGACUGAAUUUCUAGUUGUUUCAUUAUGUUACUAUAACAGAGUAAAAUGUGAUUAUAAGUGAAUCAAUUUAUUCAGCAAUUCAGUAAAUUNNNNNNNNNNNNNNNNNNNNNNNNNNNNNNNNNNNNNNNNNNNNNNNNNNNNNNNNNNNNNNNNNNNNNNNNNNNNNNNNNNNNNNNNNNNNNNNNNNNNCAAUAUACACCCAGUCUUGAGCAAGUUCGCCGGGAAAAACCAUGCCUCCACCAUGAAAGAACCCUUCGAGAUGGCCGAAAAGAGCAUAGUGCUGGUGAUUGGAGGCACUGGAUACUUCGGAAAGUUCAUUGUGGAAGCGAGUGCUAAGUCCGCUCACCCUACCUUCACUCUCGUGAGAGAGUCCGCUCUCUCCAACCCUGCCAAGGCCGGCAUCGUGGAAGGUUUCAAGAGCUUAGGUGUCAAUAUAUUCCAGGUGAGUAGUUAUUCCCGUGCGGUUGUGUUCGUUCGCCAUUCUGAGAAAUGUUUUUAUCAGUAGGAUCGGAGUUGAUUUUUAUAUUUAUUUCUCUCUUGAUCGAGUUGAUGGAGUCACGUUACGAUAUGGCGUUGCUCUUUCUCUUCUCCAAUAGUUUGUCUUUGUGCAUGGAUGAGAUCAGAAAUCACGUCCCUCUCCUUUUUCAAAUGCCUGACGAGAUCUCAGCUUCGCAUGAUGAUACAAACAUGCACAUUUUCAGACAAAAUCUUAUGGGAAACUUUGAUAUGCUUUAGCUGUUUCUGAGACUGCUAUAGCUAAGUAGCUGCGCUUUGCUGUGUAGACAAAUCUUGCCAGUAAUUGCCGACUUCAUUGAUCAUUCGUGCAUACUCUUGGUUAUUUGAUUCUCAGGGAGACAUAUACGAUCAAAGGCAGGAGGUCUGAUGUACAGAAUUUUGUUCAAGGUCCUUGGAUCAUCCACAGCUUUAAUGGUAUAGGUGCCAAUGUCAUCCUCCUUGUUAAACACUGCUGCAUAUUGAGGUGGAGAGUUUUAGAAUUUGGCUAAUAAAUAAAUCACAGAACCAUUGAUCUUCGUAGUUACUAAUGUUAAACGAGCAAUGGUAACUCGGAUGAAAUUAUUAUAAACAGCACGACCUUGAUAUUCCCGGCUGCUUUGAUGGCUGCAACAAUCCUAUCUUGGAUCUCUACCUGUGUUUGCCCCACGGCAGAGAUUACCACAUCAACCUGCUUAAUCGCAGUUAACAAACUCUCUUGAUCAUAUAUGUCUCCCUGAGAAUCAAAUAACCAAGAGCAUGGACAAACAAUCAAUAAAGUCGCCAAUCAUCAAUCAAUCCUAUCUUGGCCAGUAGGAAGACUAUGAAAAAGGAUAGAUAUGAAGUCCGAUGCAGAAAGACUUCAAAGACUUCAAAACCUUCACUAGACGAGAAAAAGUAUUUUAAGAAAUAAAGCAUCCACAGAAUUAUCGUCCAUACAUUGCCUACCGAUCUUUUGAAAGGUUAUAGCAAGGGAUUUGCGGUGACAUCUGAAUAAAAGGUCAGUCACAUUCACUCUUAUAUACAAGUUCAUUUAGGCAGUACGUAAAAUAUGGAAGUUUUUGUAAGAUUUGUUUAAAAAUGUAAUCUAUUCGUACUUCGUAUCAGAAUGCGAAGCUGAGGUGAUUCGUCAGUCAAUGUGAAAAACGACCAAUAAUUCAGGGACAAAUUACUGGAGGAGGGAAAGAGAAACACCAAAUAUCAACUCAAUCUUGUGAAAGAUUGAGAUAAAUGGCGACUCUGAUUCUACGGUUAAAGACAUUUCUCAAAACGACGGAUGAGAUUAAUGGUAGGGGAUGCUUCUAUUUCCAUAGGAGCACCAAAUGCGAGAAACGAACAGGAUUGCAUCGGAAGAACUACUCACGUAAACUAAAUUGACGCCUAAGCUCUUGAAACCUUCGGCGAUGUUGGCCUUGGCUGGGUCGGAGAGAAUGGACUCCCUCACGAGAGCGAAGGUAGGGUGACCGAACUUAGCACUUGCUUCCACGAUGAACUUUCCGAUGCAUCCGGUGCUGCCGAUCACCAGAACUCUGCUCUUCUCGGCCAUCUUGGAGGGUGCUUUCACAGCGGAGGCGUCGUUCUUCCUGGCGAUCUUGAUCGGUCUGUGAAGUGACUCUGUUAUAACUGUAUGUGUGUGUGUCUAUAUAUAUAUAUAGAGAGAGAGAGAGAGAGAGAGAGCUAAAAGGCGGCGGGCUAAAAGGUGGCGGUUCUUGUCUUCGUGACAGGAUAGAGACUCGAGAGUCAUUGGAGGAUUCCGGAAGGGCGUAACCGUCUUUUCAUUGAAAUGAUUUUUCUUGUUGAGAUAAAUCCUUCAUUGGAAAAAUGGUACAUAGAAAGUGGGAAAAUAGACAGAAGAUAAGAUUUUGUUUAAUUUCAGUGAUGAACUAAAUUAUUGUGAAGAAAGAUAGAUUUUCUAUUUCUUUUUUGGUAAAUAAUCAAUAUAUUGAGCGUAAACCAAAACUAUACAACACAGUCUGGCACCAAAGACUUACUAUCAUAAGGACAAAUUAGUCCGAAUGAGUAGAGGGAUGCCGACAAAACAACAACAGCCACCAAACAAGUUAGGCACAAAGCCAACAAAGCUGAGGCAAAUAUAAGAUAGAUUUUAACUUAGCAAAAAACAAGAAAAUUUAAUUUUGAUAUUGCUAUAAAUUUACGUAAUCAUAAUUGAUGAGGAAAUAGUUGACACUACCUUUUUUACGUUGCCGCCGCCAACCCGGGUAGCCCGCUCACGGUGGGGGCUACCCGGGCCUCUUCAUUUCCCUAAACCCAGCCUAGUAUGCUAGGAGAAUGGCUUCACGGGGAUCCGAGGUGGGCUCCCCUUCCUUUUAGAGGGGUUGGCGGGGAAGCCAUGGGGACAUUAUCCCGUAAUCCUAGUUAAACCCCCUGUAAAUGGGGGCUAACUGGGCAUCCUGUGAUGCCCGAUUCAGGGUGGAGCAGUUUAAGGACCUGCUUAGGUCCUAACCGUCUUUUCAUUGAAAUGAUUUUUCUUGUUGAGAUAAAAUCCUUCAUUGGAAAAAUGGUACAUAGAAAGUGGGAAAAUAGACAGAAGAUAAGAUUUUGUUUAAUUUCAGUGAUGAACUAAAUUAUUGUGAAGUAAGAUAGAUUUUUUUUUUUUUUUUGAUAAAUAAUCAAUAUAUUGAGCGUAAACCAAAACUAUACAACACAGUCUGGCACCAAAGACUUACUAUCAUAAGGACAAAUUAGUCCGAAUGAGUAGAGGGAUGCCGACAAAACAACAACAGCCACCAAACAAGUUAGGCACAAAGCCAACAAAGCUGAGGCAAACGUAAGAUAGAUUUUAACUUAGCAAAAAACAACAAAAUUUAAUUUUGAUAUUGCUAUAAAUUUACGUAAUCAUAAUUGAUGAGGAAAUAGUUGAAACUACCUUUUUUACGUUGACUUUUAUCAUAUGAAAAAGAUAAGAAAAUGGUAUGAAAUGGGCAAUGAGCUACUCUACAUUUAUAUGGUAGCAUGAUAUUAUACAGCUACAUAGCUGUUGUGGUAUUGUUUCAAGGUUCAAUAAAUUCUUUUUCCUAGGUGGGUUGACACAAGAUUACCAUUCUUUAAUUGGCCAACAUAAGAUUACUAUAUUUGUAAUUCAUAACCUCUAUGGGAGAAAAAAGCAACAAUGCGAGUGUCGAAAUAUGGAAUGAUUAGUAAAAAGUUGUUAAACCUUUGACAUGUAUACCAAUUCAAUUUUAAAUAUUUUGAUUUGAUUAAUUUAAAUCUAAAUUUUUUAACGAUUGACCUUGCGAUACAAUCCCAAGUAGUACCAACACCGAUACGCAAUACACAAAAUGACAUGACAUGAUAUGCCAACACGUCUAUCUAAGAAAAGAAAAGAAAUCGAACACAUUAGGACACAUCGUAUAUUAAAUAUAUAUUUUAUAUAUACAUGAUAAAUUAUCAUUUCUAUGAUUAUUUUAAUCAAAUUAAUUUAAUUCAAAUUCACAAAUAAAUAAAUAAUAAAAAAAAAGACUAGAAUGAAUUUACACUAAAAAUUGUGAAUUAUAGGAAGUGAAAGUCAAAAGAGAAGAGGAGAUUAGGUUUUCUCUUUUCUCCCUUUUAUUAUUUUUAUUACUAUUUAUCUUUGUACAUAUUUCAUUUUGACUCGUCAUCUAUUGAAAAUUUUUAAAAUUGACUUGUGUGUAUCGAAAUCAUGUGUCGGAAUUCUGGACUUGCAUGUCAAACCGUGUUAGAAGAGUUAAUUACGUGUCAGAUUUUUUGAUAUCUGUUGACCGCGUAUCGAAAGGUGUCAAAGUGUAACACCGAACUCGCGUAUUGGGAGAGUUGAUCACGAGUCGGAUUUUUCAACACAUGUUAAUCACGUGUCGAAACAUGUCAAAGCAUAUUGAACACGUGUUGGUAUGACAUCCUGAAAAUUCAGUUUUGUUUUUAAUUGAAUGAAUCGAGUCUUUCAUCGAUGCGCUUAUAGUGUUAUUCUCUGAGCUGAUUACUCAUAAGAUAACUAAACUAUCUAGAGAAGUCAUUAAGGGAUUUUAACGCGAUAGACUUAAGAAUUCGACUAGGAAUCGAUUGUUCAACUAUGCUAAUUUGCAAGGGUCAUUAUGGCACAAUUUAAAAAUCGAUUAGAGACCAGAGAUAGGUCGAUUUGACAGAGGUGUGUGAUUAAGUGUGGGUGAUUCCACCUGAUUACAAAAUUCUUGUCGAUCGGCAUUAGACCGAUUUUUGAUCGUUUUGGGUACCCUGUGUUUGUAUUUGAGACCUCGAGAUUUUCAUGACAAUCGAGAGUCGCCAAUGAGUCGAAGAUGCACAAUGUGACUCAAGAAUAAUCGACCAUGGGUCAGUUGCACUAAAAAUUCCUAAAAGCUACCCGGUAGGUUAGGUCACGUUUAGAUCGUGCUAGAUUAAAAUUAACAGCGAAAUUGAACCCUAUUUCAUAAAUUGAAAGUUUUGAAAUAUCACGAUUUAUUUUAGGAACGUCGACUCAUCCUCCCAAGAAUUUUCGGAGAGUUCGGGAUUUUUAUGAAAAAUCAAUUUGAACGUUUCGGAAAAGAACGGAAAUUUGGAAUGGCCAAAUUGAAUGGAUUUUUGACUUCCAAACUGAGCUACUCGGCGAAAGGAAAUUGUAGAAAUUGUGUGGGCUUCUUCUUCAUCAAAAUUAGACAUCAAAUUAGAGAAUUUGUGGAAGAAAUUGAAAUCCAAAAAUGAGAAAAUUCUAAGCUUGGCAUGGGGGCUGCAACUUUGGCAAUCAAAGUGGAUUAUUUGUGGGAAAUUAUAAGUAAGAAAGUAAUUAUGGACAAGAGGGAUAAGAUUGAAGACUUUUUGGUCCAAGGAAUGAUGAAUAUAGAUUUUUUUCAUUGACUUUUGGCCCCCCCUCACCAAUCUUCUCUCGUACGCUACCUUCCCCCCUUCUUCGUGCGCCCGCUUCCUCCCGAUCCCCCUUUGUUCUGUCUCUUCUUCUUUUCAUUUUGUUUCUUCGAAGACCCGCAUGCUUCUCCAUCAUCGAAUUCCCCUCCAUCCUCUGCCAUCUCCACCGAGCUCUUCCCUUCAAGCUGCCACACGUCCACGUAUCUUCUCCCCCCGGUCAACCCCUCGCCAGCAGAAGCCCCGAAGUUGUGACUGCCCACCCUUAUCAACACUGCCAGCCCUCCACCACCGCUUGUCCCCUUUGACUGAAGCUGCUGCUCCUCUUUCACGUUGCCACGAAGACGCCAGUAGCGCCCCCUCUCCUUUGGCUUCUCUCCCGCACGUCCAUCUGUCCACCGAGUCAACAUUCAGCACUAGCCCUCCCCAGUGAAGACCACCGAAUUUCCUUCCAGCGCCACACGUCCUCCACUCCAUCACCCGUGCACGAAGCCGUCCCACCAAUUCCCUUCAGCGGUCAAUUGACCAGAAGUUUUCAACGCCAGCAGCUUCAUUGACGUGAGCCCAUCUCCACGUAGGAGCUCCUUUCAGCCGCAUGAUCAGCCCCAACGACUAGCCCACUCGAAGUCGCAAGUCUAACCGCAAGUUCAGCCAAGUCCAGCAGUAAACGUGGGCUUUGUGGGGCCGUUUUUGGCCCGGUCCAAGCCUCCGUUGGCGUCGCCGCUUCGGAGUUUGUCGCUUGUCUCUGCGUCGCCGUCACUGUAGACUCACCGGCUCGCAAAUUCAAUGAGUUUACUCACUAAACAUUGCUUAGGAGGUUAAUUAUGCUUAGGAGAUGAUUAGUUUAAGUUAAUUAAGGAUUAUGUGGUUAGUUAGAUUAGAUUAGUCAUUUAAUUAUCCAAUUCUGUAUGUUAGGUUGUUAGAUUAGAUUAAUUAGAGACUAGACAGGUUGUAUUAAUUAUCUAGAUUGGUUCGGAAAUUUCCGGACCCGUCUCGGUAUUUAAUUAGGCUUUUCCGGUCUAAGUUCCUAUUUAUAGCAUUUAAUUGUAUUAUUUAAUGAAUUUUAGUAAUUAUUUAAUUAUUUAUUAUUUUUCGAAAAUUAGACUGGGAUAGCCGGUGAUCGGAAUUUCAUGCUGAUUGCAAUGGUGUGUUUAGUUUAUGCAAUUGGAUGUUAGUUUGUGCAAAUCGAGUGCUGAUUGGAUUUUUGGUCAUUUAUUCCAAAAUUUAGAAAAAUUCAUUAUUUAUUUAGAAUAUUCCGAGUGUCGGAUUUUGACACCAAAAAUAGUUUUAUAUACUAUAUAAAACAGUGGGAUUUUAAAUUGGAGGAUAUCAAUUUUCAAGGAUUGAUCUAACCGUGUACUCACACACGACUAUUUUCACCGGGUGUUUUAAUAUGAAGAAAAUAGGCUAGGAUCACUAUUUUAAUGGAGGCUUUUGAGUGCAAUGCAUAGUGUCUUGGGCCGAAAUUGAUUGAUCAUGUGUUGGUUAAGAGAACCCGUCUCGAGCUUUUAAGCCGAAUGUUACCUUAUAUGGGAUACCCACUCAGUGGGACUCAAGUUGCAGUAGAUUCUAGACCUACGCUCCUUCGCAAAAGCCGUCUUUGAGAGACGUCGCCGUGUUCAAUGGUGGUGAGACGAUGCCUAGCUAUGCUAGUAGACUGCCAAAUAGAGAGUAUGACAUGCUAUAAGCCGAGAUCAAAACUAGGAACGCAUGUUUAAUUGAGUUAAAUGUGUCGGAUUAUGAGACAAAAUUGUGUGACAUAAUAUGGGACGUGUUAUAACGAUUUGGUUAUAUAAUUAAGACCUCUAUGCUUGUUUGAAAUUUGAGUGUGGCGUUCCAGUUAAUUGAGCUUGGUUGUUGCUCAUGCUUUUGUGCUGUCUAUGGUAUGAACUGUGCUGACCUGUAGGAAGGAUUUGAGAUGAGGUAAGUCUCUGUGGUUGUAUGAUUGUGUGGUUAUGACACUUUUAGGCGUAUUACCCUCCUAAUCAGGGUUUAGAGCAUGAACUCGCUGAGAUUUAUAUCUCAUCCUGUAGUGGGCUCAAUUCUUUUCAGGGCCGUAGAGUGAAGGAUUUGGAGUCGAGCUAAGGUGAUCUGAAGUGUAGAUCAGAUAGAAUAGUUUCUUUUAAGAGUUGGUCUUUUGAAGUCUUUUGGUUAUAGACUUUUGUAUAUGACUCAGUUGGUUUAUAAAAGCACAUUUUGUUUGUGAAUCUAUUGUCCUGCUUUUCUAUCUCGAGAUGGGUUUUUGUCAGGGGAUUCGUUAUUCGCUUCUGCAUGUGCAAUAAAAAGAAAUGGUCGGUAACUUGUUCUAGGAAGUCGCAUUUUUAUUAUAGACCACCGAGGGAUGGGCACGCACUCGAGGAUUGGGGUGUGAUAGUUGGAGUGUCGAUACGUCCCAAGAGUGUCAAUGCUUUCUAGAUACAUCAGGCGUCGUCGGCUUCUAAUGUAACACAACCAAUGCUCACAUGAAACAAUUUGAAAUUUUUUUAAAAAAAGGAUCUUUUCGGCUCUUUUUACCUUAUUUUCUUUCNNNNNNNNNNNNNNNNNNNNNNNNNNNNNNNNNNNNNNNNNNNNNNNNNNNNNNNNNNNNNNNNNNNNNNNNNNNNNNNNNNNNNNNNNNNNNNNNNNNNNNNNNNNNNNNNNNNNNNNNNNNNNNNNNNNNNNNNNNNNNNNNNNNNNNNNNNNNNNNNNNNNNNNNNNNNNNNNNNNNNNNNNNNNNNNNNNNNNNNNNNNNNNNNNNNNNNNNNNNNNNNNNNNNNNNNNNNNNNNNNNNNNNNNNNNNNNNNNNNNNNNNNNNNNNNNNNNNNNNNNNNNNNNNNNNNNNNNNNNNNNNNNNNNNNNNNNNNNNNNNNNNNNNNNNNNNNNNNNNNNNNNNNNNNNNNNNNNNNNNNNNNNNNNNNNNNNNNNNNNNNNNNNNNNNNNNNNNNNNNNNNNNNNNNNNNNNNNNNNNNNNNNNNNNNNNNNNNNNNNNNNNNNNNNNNNNNNNNNNNNNNNNNNNNNNNNNNNNNNNNNNNNNNNNNNNNNNNNNNNNNNNNNNNNNNNNNNNNNNNNNNNNNNNNNNNNNNNNNNNNNNNNNNNNNNNNNNNNNNNNNNNNNNNNNNNNNNNNNNNNCAUUUCUUAUGUACUUGUUUCCUCUUCUUCUUCCAUCAAUCACCAGGCCUUGGUGAAGGCCUCGAUGCCCUCACCAAGGGUCGACCUCACAUGCUUGGGGCAAGGCUCGACCUCAUGGCUCCACUUCAUUACCCACACCGAGGAUGGACCAUAUAUAACAUACAAAAUUAGAGAAACCCGCAUCUAACUUUUAGCUUACCAUAGCUUGGACAUAAAACCAUAUCAAACUCCAAAAUAGGAGUAACUUCUCUAAGCACUGCAUAGAUGCACACACAUCGAAUGUUCAUAGUAUGUCCUCAUAUUUGGAGGUUGUACACGCCAUAAGAUGAUCGGCGGGAGCGACAUUUCACACAAGGAUCCUAACUAGCAAAAUCUUAUAUUAUUCAUGAUUCAAACUGAUGUGAGAAACCUACCAAAUACAAUCAGUUUCGGUUAUCAAACAAAUUGAUUAAGGUACUGAUUCUCGGUCAUGUAUUUGAUGUUGGGAUAGAGCUCUGAAGCUUUCACUCCGAAAGACGGCUCAAUCUCAAAGUUGGUGUGGUCUCCUUUCAAGAAAACAGAAUGAGAUAUGGCCAAUAUCACAUUGAGCAGAACUGCCGCCUCUGCAAGAUGACAAUACAAGUUGAUCGAUUGACUUUAGAAUACUCAAGUCUCGGAGAGAAAUAGACAAUACACGUGCUUAAAUCUAAUCCCUGACCUUGAAUGUUCUUUAGAACUUGCUCCUCUGGAACAUAAACCCUCUCCAGGGUCUUGCUGAUCUUUCUCUCCCACAAAGACACGAGAUCACUAAACAAGUAGGUGUUGGCAGGAGGUUUGAUGUACUGAAAUUUGUUUAAGGUCCUCGGAUCAUCCACGGCUUUGAUGGUAUAGGUGCUGAUGUCAUCCUCCUUAUUAAUCACUGCUGUAUAUCAACGGGAGAGAGUUUUAGAAUUCAGCUAAUAAAUAAAUCACAGAGCAAUCAAUCUACCUAGAGUUACUUUCAGCUCGCAUCUUGUAAAGAAUUAUCUCGAUGAGCGGAUUCAUCAAACAACUGGCAUCAUAUGUUCUUUUCUCAACCCCAUACAUCAAGAUAACCUUCUUUACAUGUUGAACAGGUGGUAUUGUGCCAAGGUAACCCACAUGACAUUCAUAUCAUCUAUUAGUCCCUAAAUUGAAGACUAAUGGAUGCAAAAGGCCCAAAAUCUCCAGACAAGGAAGUUGCCUGGAAUUCUCAAGCUCCAAGAACUGCUCCUCACUCUAAUUGCUAUCAUAAUUGAAUCGUGAAAGAUGUACAGAGAUCUCAACGGCUUAAAAUGCGAAACAUUUCGACAGAUUGCUUCUUACCUUUUACAUUUCCAUCUUCUGAGAUGACUACUUUAUCUCUAGGGGGAACUAUAGCCUCAAGCUGUGCCAAUGUCGGAAGGAUGUAACCUGCAAAACUGUUACAACAUACAUAGAUAUCAGGGAUUCCCUCGGCCUCAACAAUGCCGCCGAUCUUACCUUUGAUGGCAAGAGUAGCUUUUGCUGGCUCCACAGCAUGGACGCAAUCCACGUCAUUUCCAAACUCUGAAGGCAAGAAUCUCCAAAAAUAAAAUUUAGAAGAGACAUCUUUGUUAGAAAGCAGAAAAAAUUUAGAGCAUAUUCCCCUUAACCAAGAAACAUGUAUGAGUUCCAACAAAAAAAGGAAGACAAACUUAUAUGAGAAGGAAUUUCGAGUUGUUUCAAUAUGUUACUAUAACAUAGUAGAAAGUGAUCAUAAGUGAAUCAAUAAAUUCAGCAAUUCAGCAAAGUCGACUCCAAGUGCUAUAAGAAAAAUAGAAUAAACAGAGCAGCAGCCAGAUAACCCUGUCAAAUAUCGAAUAGGCAGACAUUCUACCCUGUCAAAUAUAGAAGAGGCAGACAUUCUGCUUGCGUGGACACCUUCACAAGUAACAAGAUAUCAGGUAAGACCAAUGCCUUUUGUGAGCAUGCCGAGUUCCACUCACUAUUGACUGUCAAUCUAUGUAGCACCGACACGGACACGCGACACGCGACACGACACGACACGACACGCCGACAUGUCAUUUCUUAAAAAUAGAGAAUUUUGACACAUUCCGACACGUUAUAUAUUAAAUAUAUUUUUAUAUAUAAAUACAUAAAAAUAGCAUAGAAUUAAUUUACACGAAAAAUAUUAAAUAAUAUUAUUAAUUAUUUUAAUUUGUUACAAUAAUACAUAAAACUUAGAGGAAACAAACAUUGUUUAAAGAAAAAUGCUGAAAUGAUAUUUUUAAAUUUAUUUAUUUAUCAUAUAUAGCAUUUUUUUAUUACUUCUUUUAUAGUAAAAGACUUUUGAAAAAACUAAAACAAUUCUAAAAAGCCAAAACUGAAAAAAAAAAAAAAUGGACCCCGUGCGUGUAUAUUUAUAGCAAUUUUAUUACUUCUUUUAUUACUUCUUUUGUGUAUAUUUAUAUUUUGACCCCUCAAGUAUUAGAAAUUUUAAAAUUGACCCCAUGCGUGUUGGAAUCAUGUGUCGGAAUUCUAGACUCACAUGUCAGAGCAUGUCGGAGAGAGUUGACUACAUGUCGGAUUUUUCGACACUCGUUGACCGCGUGUCGGAGCGUGUCGGAGUGUUGGACACGACACGAAAGCUUCCAAAGAGUGUCCGUGCUACAUAGCUGUCAACCACUCAAAGCAGCGACAAGUACUAAGUACCACUUCAAGGAUUAACUAGUUCAUGUUUCCCACACUGUCCUAUAGUUGAAUUAAAAUAGUUACUCUUGAAUUUCACUGAUGACUUCUACACAGGGUUAUGACCAUUUAAAAAAGAAAGAUGUUGAAGUCUACAGAUAGAUAAAUCCAUCCAUCCCAUUUCAUCAAAGCAAAGCUCGCAACGACAUCGCAAUGCACUUAAACUAGUAAGACAAGAAUCAAGCUAACACCCAUUAGUCAAAUGCUAAACCAACAAUAGGAACUUGAAAUGAAAUUACUAGGCACAGCACCACCUUGAUAUUCCCAGCUGCUUUAAUGGCAGCAACAAUUCUGUCUUGGUCCUUUACUUGUGCUCACCCCACAGCAGAGAUUACCACAUCUACUUAUGUAAUCACAAUAGACUCUCUUGAUCGUAUAUGUCUCCCUGAGAAUCAAAUAACCAAGAGCAUGGACAAAUGAUCAAUGAAGUCGGCAAUCAUCUGCAAGAUUUGUCUACACAGCAAAGCGCAGCUACGUAGCUAUAGCUGUCUCAGAAACAGCUAAAGCAUAUCGAAGUUUCCACAAGAUUUUGUUUGAAAAUGUGCACGUUCACAUCCUCAUGCAAAAGCUGAAAUUUCGUCAAGCAUUUGAAAAAGGAGAGGGACGUGAUUUCUGAUUUCAACCACGCACAAAGACAAAAUAUCAGAGAAGCAAAAGAGCAACGCCAGAUCGUAACGUGACUCCAUCAACUCCAUAAAGUGAGAGAUAAAAAUCAACUCCGAUCCUACUGAUAAAAACAUUUCUCAAAACGGCAAACGAACGCAACCGCACAAGAAUAACUACUCACCUGGAAUAUAUUGAUGCUUGAGCUCUUGAAACCUUCGGCGAUGCCAGCCUUGGUGGGGUCAGAGAGAGCGGACUUGUCAUGCCUCGGAGCUCCGAGCGCGCGCACAUCCCUCGAUGGUCAAUGAAAUUGCGAAGUCCUAGGACGCGUCGCCGACCCAUUCAUUUUAUUGCACAUGUGGAAGCGAAUAAAAUAAACCCCUAACAGCAAAUAGCAUGGGAUAGAAAAACAGGAUAACAAAUUCACAACAAAAACACGCUUUUAUACACAAACUAAGUUUAUAUACAAGACUAGCCUGUUUACCAAAAAGAUUAGCCCUCAAAAAGGAAAAUGUCCUAUGGUCCACUAGUCGGACGCGUUCACCAAUCAUUCGGACUCCACAGGCUCCGGGGGCACUGGGUCCACCACAGCCCCAUCAAGAGGGUCAGCUGUAUCCUCGCCAAAAGCGGCGUCGACUACCACAAUGGGGAUCUCAAAACCCUGGAGGGGACCAACUCUGUAUCUAUUUAGCCCGUGGCGAAACCACACCCUAAAUUGAUGAGGUACUCUCUAAGGUUGGCCCUCACUGACCCAGACGGUGGUCACUACGAGCUCAUAAACCCGGACCCCGUGGCCUCCGGGAAUAGGGUAGUCAGUAACCAACUCGGUAACCCUUUGAGGCUAACCAUAACGUAUCGGUGGAGCUGCCAUCUAAGGACCUGAAAAAAAAAAUUUUGAGCCCAUGACGGGGUGAGACAAUGUUUCAAUAAGUUCACCCUCUAAACUCCGACUAGGAAAGAAAUACGUCUAGCCACACAAUCACACAACCACAGAGACUCACCUUGUCUCAGAUCCUCCCUGUAGAUCAGCACAGUUCAAAAACACAACCAUAUGCAGUAAUCAAACUCAAUCAAUUGGAACGCCACCACUUUCAUCUCAAUAAACACAAGGGUCCCGAUUAUAAGGCCAAAUCGUUAUGACAUGUUCUAUACUAUGCCACACAAUUUUGUCCCAUAAUAAGGCGCGUCAAGUCAAUCAAUCAUGCAUUCCAAUUGAUUACAACCCAACGGUUACGACCGACUCAACAGUCACCGGUCUUUUGGGGUAGUCGGGUGUCGUCUCGCACCAUCGAGCAUUGCAACAUCUACAUCUAGACGACAUUCCACAUAAGAGCAUUGGUCCAGCCUCCACUGCGAUUGGCAUCCGUUGACUUGGGGCAUUCUCGAAGGAGCAUCGCCCGGCCCCAAAAGCUCGUGAUAGGUUCUCAUAUCAUUCAUGCACCCAUUCAAUCCCGGCCAAGACAUCGUGCUUCAUACUCAAAUGCUAUAAUUAAAAUAAUGUACUUGGCCUAUUUUAUUCCGUAUUAAAAACACACAGUAAAAUAAUCGUGUGUGGGUACACGGUCAAUUUGGACCAGAAAAACUGAUACACUUCUUUUUAAAAUCUCACUAUUUGAUAUAGUAUGUAAAACUAUUUUCGAUGUCAAAAUUCGACACUCGGGGUUUUCUUAGUAAAUAUCGAAAUUUCACAAUUUUGGAAUUAAUAACCAAAUUUCCAAUCACUACUUAAUUUGCACAAAUUAACACUCAAUUGCAUUAACUAAGCACACAAUUACAAUCAACACGAAAUUCCGGUCACCGACUAUCCUGGUAUAAUUUCUAGAAAAUAUUAAAUAAUAAAAAUAAUUAAAUAAAGCAAUUUAAAUACCAUAAAUACCAACUUAGGCCGGAAAUAUUAAUCUAACCACCUAAACGGGCCUAGACUAUUUCCGAACCUAACUAGAUAAAUAGUACAAUCUAUCUAGUCUCUAAUUAGUAUAUUCUAACCACCUAACAUGCACAAUUGAACAAUUAAAUAAUUAAUCUAAACUAACUAACCACCUAAUCCCUAAUUAGCCUAAACUAAUUAUCCACUAAGCGUCAUUAACUCCAUAAGUAGAGUUUAGCAAGUAAACUCACCGGUUUAGCGGGCUGGUGAGUCCACGACGUUGGCGACACAGAGAUGAGCGACACUCGAGCUUGCGACGACACCAACGGAGGUUUAGACGGGCCUGAAAACGGGCACGAGCUCUCAGCUAGGAGCUGAGCUUUGGCCACUGCUCAAGGCUGCUGGGCUGGAUCAAAGGGGCUGAAACGGCACAGGAUGGGACGCGGUGGCUGUAGCGACUCCAAGCGGUGGUUUCGGCUGGCUAGAUGGUGGCAAACGGUGACUGGACAUCAACCAGGAGGUCUUGACGGUGGCCAGGACACGUGGGGGAUGGCGAACAAGCGGGACGCAAGCAAGGUAGGUGGACGGCUCGCAAGUAGUGUGCGGGCUCGCGACGAGUAGACAAGUGGUGAGGGGGGCUUUGGCGGCGGUCGACGGGCUAAGGGGAGGGCUUGCCGGUUUCUGUAGUUUUUCUCAAGCUCUAAAACUCUCAACAAUGGAUAAAGUGGGCUCAAGGAGGGAGAAGAAGACAACUACAGCAAGAGGGGGAACCAAUGGCCUCAAAUAUCCACCAAAAUGCUCAUUGCUUGGCCCCCACUUGAUCAGCCAUAUCCUUAGCCAUUUGUCCUCACUCAAACUUUCCCUAGAAGCUUCCCCAAAUGGUCCAAAUGUUGCUGCAUCCCAUUGGCUACGAAUUUGGACAAUUCCCUCCAAAUUUUAUUCAAUUCCUCUCCAAUUGAGCUCAAAUUAGAGUCCAAAAAUUCAGCCAAGGUGUCAUCAUCCAUUUCAUGAUUUUUCCUCAUCAAUUGAACCAACUUGACAGCAAAAAAUCUGACAAAAAAGGGCCCUCUAAUUUUCCUGGUCCAAAAUAGCCUUAUUUUGAUUUUUCGCCGAAAUCUCGAGUUUUCAGAAAAAUCUUCGGAGGAUGAGUCAACAUUACUAAAAUGAAUCGUGACAUGACAAAACUUUCAAUUUUUGAAAUCGGGUUUAAAUUCGCAAUUAAUUUCAACUGGGCGCGAUUUUAGCGUGACCUAACCUACUGGGUAGCUCUUAGAAAUUUUUAGUGCAAUUGACCCAUGGUCGAUUAUUUUCGAGCCACAUUGUGCAUCUUCGACACAUUGACGACUCUCGGUUGUCGUAAAAAUCUCGAGAUUUCGAAUAUGGGCACAGGGUACAAAAAUGACAGAAAAAUCAGUCUAGUGCCGUUCGACAGAAAUUUUGCAAUCCGGUGGAAUCGCCCACACACUAAUCACAUACCUUUGUCGAAUCGACCCAUCUCCAAUCUCUUAUCGAUUUCGACAGUGUCGUAUUGACCAUUGCAGAUUAGCACAAUCGAGUAUUCGAUUUCUAGUCGAAUUCUCAAGUCUAUUGCGUCAAAAUCCCUUAACUGCUCCACCAGAUAGACUAGUUAUCUCGUGAGUGAUCAGCUUAGAGAAUAGAACUAUAGGCGCAUCGAUGAAAAGCCCAACUUAUUCAAUUGAAAACAUAAUUGGAAAUUCGGGAUGUCACAACUCUUCCCGUCUUAUAAAAAUUUUGUCCUCGAAAUUUAAAUCAUUACAAAUAUUUAAACAAAAAGGUAGAGGUACAGUCGUCUCAUUGGAUAUUCACUUUCCCAGGUUGCUCCUUCUGUGCCGUGGUGUUACCAGACCACUUUGACUAACAAGAUUGUCUUAGUGUGCAGAACAUGUUCCUUGCGGUCUACAAUCUGAACCGGUCUCUCUACGUAUGACACCCUAUUGUCCACAUCUAACUCUUCAAAGUUCAGCACAUAGGUCGGAUUAAGCUCAUACUUCCUCAACAUUAACACGUGAAAGACGUUAUGCACUUGCGCCAACCUUGGUGGCAAUGCAAGACGAUGCACUUGAGUCCCUAUCCUUUCUAGAAUCUCAAAAGAAUCUACGUAUUUCGGACUCAACUUUCCCUUUUUGCUAAAGCGCGAAUUACCCCUCAUCGGUGACAUCUUCAAAAAGACGUGCUCACCAAUUUGGAAUUCCAAAGGUCUUUGACGCUGAUCUGUGUAGCUCUUCUGACGGCUUUGAGUAGUCUUUAAUCUGUCCUUGAUAACUGUGACUGCAUUCACUGACUGUUGAACCAACUCUGGGCUUGUGAUUUUCCGUUCUCCAACCUCAUCCCAACAAACUGGCGUUUUGCACGCUCUACCAUACAACGCCUCGAAAGGUACCACCUGAAUACUCUGCUGGUAGCUGUUGUUGUAGGCGAACUCAACAAUAUGAAGCUGUUCCUCCCAACUUCCUUUGAAAUCCAACACACAAGCUCUCAACAUGUCCUCAAGAGUCUGAAUCGUCCUUUCAGACUGGCAUUUGUCUACGAAUGAUAAGCCGUACUGAAUUGCAGCUUUGUCCCCAAGGUGAUCUGUAAACUUUUCCAAAAGGCAGUUGUAAAUCUCAGGUCUCUAUUAGAUGUGAUUGUCACCAGCACUUUAUGCAACGAAUAAUUUGAUGCACGUAUAAUUCUGUGUAUCUGUCCAAUGCAAGGUCCUUUUGUACGGCGAUAAAGUGAGCCAACUUCAUCAGUCUGUUGACCAUAAUCCAAAUGGAAUCAUUACCCCUCUGACUCCUCGGUAAGCCCAUCACAAAGUCCAUUGUGAUGUAUUCCUAUUUUCACUCAGGAAUCUCGAGAGGUUGCAGAAGUCCUCUCGGCUUACAGUGAUGUGUCUUCACUUGCCGACACGUUAGACAUUUGGCAACAUGUUUAGAAAUAUCCUCCUUCAUACCGGUUCACCAAUAGUGUUGACGCAGAUUCUGAUAUAUCUUCGUACUGCUUGGAUGAAUGCUGUAACUACUACAAUGAGCUUCUGACAAGAUCUAUUCUUUAAGCUCUUCCUCGUUAGGUACACACAAUUGUCCUCGGAACCUUAGUGUUCCGUCUUUAGAAAUUUGAAAAUUAGCCUUUCUCUUUUCGGUAUCCUUUUGCAGGAUUUUCUAAAUAUCUGGGUCUGUCAACUGAAGCGUCUUGAUUCUGAUUCUCACUUCCGGCUCAAUUCUGAUGGUGGCCAUAAGAUUUGAAAUGUGACCUACCUCAAAUUUGAAAACCGAAUCUCGAGCUCUUUCGAGUAAAAUCCAUUCCUUAACUAUCAUUUGUGCAACUGAAGACUUCCUACUCAAAGCGUCUGCGACCUUGUUAGCCUUUCCAGGGUGAUACAAGAUGUUGCAAUCAUAGUCAUUCAGAAGUUCCAUCCAGCGACACUGUCUCAUAUUUAACUCCUUUUGAGAAAAUAUAUACUUGAGACUUUGAUGGUCUAUAAAGAUUUGGAAUCUUUCUCCACAUAAAUAAUGUCUCCAAAUCUUCAGAGUAAAGAUGAUUGCUGCGAGUUCCAAGUCAUGCGUCGGAUAAUUCAGCUCAUGAGGUCUCAACUAAUGGGACACGUAUGCAACAACCCUACUAUGUUUCAUUAACGCGCAACCCAGUCCUCUAAACGACGUAUCACUAUAGAUCUCAUACCCUCCAGGACCAUAUGAAAUUGUCAACACUGGUGCGAUAGUUAGUUUCUACUUAAGCUCUUGGAAACUACGCUCACACUUAUCUGUCGACACAAACUUCUCUUCCUUCUUCAACAGUCAAGUCAACGAUGAGGCCAAAACUGAAAAUCCUUCCACAAACCUUUUGUAGUAACUUGCCAAACCCAAAAAGCUUUUGAUCUCUGUCACUGUUGUCGUUCUUGGCCAGUUGAUAACUGCUUCGAUCUUGGUCCUUCGCCUGAAAUCACGUGACCUAGGAAUGCAACAUGAGUCAACCAAAACUCGCACUUGCUAAACUUAGCGUACAACUCAUGGUUCCGUAGUGUUUGAAGCACCAUCCUCAAAUGCCUUUCGUGCUCCUCAGGACUUCUCGAGUACACCGGGAUAUCGUCGAUAAAAACAAUCACAAAUUGAUCCAGAUAUUCUUUGAAAACUCAGUUCAUCAAAUCUAUGAAAGCAGCUGGGGCGUUCGUCAAACCAAACAACAUUAAAGUGAACUCAUUGAUAUAGCUAGUAUAAGUACCUAGAGGGGGGUGAAUAGGUAUAUAAAUAAUUUUUCGAGAUAUGAAAGCAAUACUAGGCAGACAAUAAAAAGAAGACUCCUCUUUUGUUAAUAGAACGAACUGUUGACAAAGUAAAAGGAGUAGGGACUGCCAGACUCAAGACUUAAAGUAUAUUCCCAGUGACAGUUUUUAAUCCGUUGAAGUAAGGCUAUCCAGAUCUGUGUGAUUCUUUGUGGACUCAGCCUUAUCGACUGGAGAAGAUCUCUUGGCUGGAUGUGACAUAACGGAUUCCUUUUAAGAUUGAUUAAGGAUCCGAUGAUUGGCGAAGUAUUCUCGGAAGGUUCUACUUAUGGAAACCAAGAUCCUGAUUGUAUGGGCGAGCAUGAUUGAUGGGCUAUCGACAUGUUCCUUUAAUAGCUCGAAUGAUCUUCCAAAAUUGAUUCUGUCCAACGGGAAGAUUGGAAGAAUUCAUUUGGUAAGUGCCAACGAGUAUGAUGGCAUAAAGGAGUAUAAAAGGAAGACGUUCCAGUUGUUCGAAGUGUGUGCACGAUAAAGAAUUCCAAAGUCUGAAGCUCCUUGAUUCGUAGUCAAUUCAUUAAUUGAACGACAAUCUUGUAUACUGAGAGAGUUCAUUUUGAGACAUACCUGGAGGAAGAUUGUAGAUAUCAUACUGUGGAUCAGGAGAGCAUGGCUGUAACAUCCCUUUUGUCNNNNNNNNNNNNNNNNNNNNNNNNNNNNNNNNNNNNNNNNNNNNNNNNNNNNNNNNNNNNNNNNNNNNNNNNNNNNNNNNNNNNNNNNNNNNNNNNNNNNAAGGAUGGCUGGGCAAUCCAUUCCUUCUCGCUAUGGAUGUGAGUCACGGUGACUAUCAGGAGAAAUGAAAAAGAUCGAGAGUACUCGACUCAUAUAAGUUUGAUUUAUAGUUCUAUGUGUGUUCUUAGAACGGCGAGAUUGAACUCAGAGAUAUGCCAAGCGGUCUUUGAAUUGAAAAAAUCGCCUGGUUUGAUUAAUACCUAUGUCCCCAUGUGAUGUAACUUACCGAAUCAAAAUGCAAGUUGGCCUUCGAAGCAUUGGUCUCUAAAAUGGUAUGAGCCAGACCUGGUGUCAAUCCUCUUCUUUCACGGAAGCCUUCGAUUCUCCUCGGAGAUCAAUCAAAACCCAGAGCCGACCAAGUAAACUGGAAAAUCCUCCGAGGGAAAGCGGAGAUGGUGGGAGGUGUGCAAGGAGCGAGCAAGAGGCGACCGGAUGCCGUCCGGACGCAAGCGGUGAUCGUGAGCUCUCGCGAGAGAAUUGGACAACGUCGUCGCACAAAUGGAGAGAGAGAGAGAGCCACGCGACCUCAAAACGCACAAGAAUUGGAGCCAACGCCGUCCAAGACUUCGUCUGGUUAGUUGAACAACCGAUCAUGACCAAUGAUCGCUCCUCGCAGAGAUAAAAGCUCUCUGUUCUGUUUUGAGUGUCGCACGUGUGAAAUAGAGACCGGGAGCUUGGAUGUUUGCUAGCAAUGAAAAUUGCUCACAUCCAAGAUUAUAUUACUAACAACUGCGAUUCGGUCUUCAUGAUCUCGUGCUGAUUGGGUCGUGAUUCUCGCUCUCUCGUUGCUGGACUGUGCCAUUUCAUCGAAUGCACAUUAAAUGUCUGGUGAAAUGCCUGAGCCAUAUUAGUCUGAAUACACAUCGUCUUUGUCUGCUUGAAUGACUCAUUGUACCAGUUGGAUAGGUUAAGUAGAUCUAAAUUGAUAUCCACUUUUGAGUCCAUUCCCGAAUGUCUCGGUCUUGGUAGGCUUCCGGUACUCUAAGGCAGAUAACUCGACUCUCUGAAAUUAGCUAAAAAAGAUGAUUCCGGUACUCUAAGGCGGAUAAACUCGACUCUCUGAAAUUAGCUAAAAAUGAUGAUAUGCUGAAUUGUAAAUACUCUGUCGAUGGUUGCCGGUGCGCUCAUGAAGCAUAGGCUGAUCAUGGAGACUAAUACAUUGUAGUGUGGAUCCCAUUUGAUGUACAUAUCUUUUUCUAAUAUUGAAUUCCAAAUCACGGCUUCUCUGCGAGUGAACGUGAAUAUGUGUUCAGCGGAUGAAAAAACAGUGUGGCAGUGCCGGCACGUUCUUGUUGCAAAAUUAAAUGACAAAAAAGGUAGAAUUGAAAAUAAGUUGGAAUUUUUUUCUAAAAAAUAAAUAUGAAACGUUAUUAAAAAAAAAAAAAUAGUCGACUCGCGUCCUCACAAAUCUACAAUGAUGCAGAUCUAUUAGAAAACUCGAUACGUCUAUAAUCAAUCAUAGGCAAUGUAUAGCUUUUUAUAACUCAAAGGGAUGAAUAGACUCAAAGCUCAUGGAACACCCUAUUAUAAAAUAAAUAGUUACAAAAACAGGCCACACUAUUUCCACACUCGAAAUAGAGGGAAAGGUUGAAAGGGAUUAAAAAAAUGCAAGAAAUGUUCUCAUAUGAGUGGAGAGCUCCAUUUAUUUCUGAUUCACUUAUGAUCGGACCAUCAUCAGAGAGCCAUUAUGCCAUUUCAAAAUAGAGGCAAAAUCCCAAGAAAAUCACCAGUUUGACAAGUUCUGGAAAUUCUCUCCCUAAUUUAUUAAUAAUUUCCAAUAAAUUGGACAAAUUGCGUCACCCUAAGUUAAAAAAGAUGAAUAGUGCUAGAGACACUCAUAUUUACAUAUUCAAUUGACUCAAACUUUAUAAUACUCAAACAAUAAAUAGAUUUAUAAAAAUUAGAUAAUGUCACCAUUUUGCCACAUCUAAUGGAAACUGAAGGUGGAAUUGGUAAAAAAUCUUCCAACAAGGAAUGCGUUCAUCAGUAGUUAAGCGCACAGGAGUAGACUUAUUGCUCUCAGACAUUUCAAAAAAGAGACUAACUUGAGCUGUUCAAGCGCAACAUCUUGACAACGUUCAAGAGGGUUUGAACCACAGCAGCAUCUGCUACCUUGGAAGCUGCUCUAAGUUAUUGAAGAGUUGAGAUUCGAGGUACUAACCCCCUUUUAAUUACAACGGGCAUGCCUUUUCAAAGGCUUGUUGCUCUUUGCGGCAUAAAUCGAACUCGUUUGUGUGGUAAUACAUGCAACCAACAUAAGCAUCCAUCUCUUUUGUGCACCUCUGGUGAAGAUCUUUCAGUCUGCAUAGCCAAAAAUACAUGGUUUAGAUACUGCAACGGAAAGUGGUAAGUAAAAUGCAACAGCUACUUUUAUCAGUUGAAAGAGGUGUCACAAAUUUUUCCAGCACCUCCAUUUAAGUUUCCAAAAAAUCCAUUUGUAUCAGACUUCUGUGGGCGAACGUCAUGAAUCAUUGACGGUAAAGCUUAUAGCCAGUUUGAAUUUGCCAAUGUAAGGGUUGUGCAGCUCAAAAAUGGAGACAGAGUAAUGCAACAACUAAGAGGCUCACAAUUAUGUCUGCAUCUAAAACUAUGAAAAGAAGUAGGCUGCAUUCCUCUCACUUGAAAUUGAAAGUGCAUAGCCCAUAAGUCAGUCACCAAGCCAUGUACUCUGUAUAUCAAGAUUAUCAAGUAUCUAGAAUGAAAUCCCUUUCAUCAAAUGGUGUAAGCAAAGUCUACAGAUCCAAGCAAAAGCCAUAGAUCCCGCACACAUCAUUAUGGAGAGAAAACUCAACCAUACUGAUUCUAAAGCACUAAGUCUUAAGUGCUGCACAAAACAGAAGCCCGACCUAUAUGACUACCUUCAAAGCAGAAUUAAUUGUUCUACCUUCAAAGCAGAAUUAAUUGUUCUACCAAGAGAUUUGGAAUUAGGAUCCAGAACUAAGACCCAAGAUACUACUCAACUACAUUUGAUUUAACCAAAAUGAUAAAGAGGUUUAAGGAAGGAAGCUCCAGAAGAAUAUUCUUAAUGUUUGAUUCUGAUGGAAAAAUGGAAUGCCCCUUGCUUGUGUUUUUUUUUUUCUCAAUUCCACUUGAAUGUUCCUUGCAUUAAAGUGGCAAAGCUAAAUGAGUUUUUUUCCCCAAAUGUACCUUUCCUUCUCUCCCUCUUUUACUUUUACAGAAGAGACGAAUUUGAGAAAAAAAACAAGCAAGGGGCAUUCCCUUGGAAUUCUUGUUCCUAUCCUAAAUAUUGUUCAAUUCUUAGUGGAAUGUGGAUGUAAAGAAGACUAAAUUUUCCAUCAAAAUCCAUUCAAAAGAUUGCAUGCUUAACCGCAUAUGAAAAUGGAUAACUAAAAACUGGCCAAAAGGGAAUUGAGAAGCGACCCCAUGUCAGAUACCCAACACCAUGUUCUGUGUUCUCCAGACCAUUAAUGACUCCCUUACGAACUCACAUAGGGAGGAGAUGAACUUGAGAAAACACACAAGCAAGGGGCAUUCUGUUGGAAUUCUUGUUCCUAUUCUCACAAAAUUGCGUUAGAAACUCCAUGGAAUGUGGAUGUGAAGAAAACUAAAUUGUACAUCAAAAUCCAUUCAAAAUAUCGCACGCUUAACCGCAUAUGAACAGACAUAGCUACAAACUGGCCAAACGGGAAUUGAGAUGCGACUGUACGUCAGAUACCCGAAACCAUGUUCUGUGCUUUCCAAACCCAUUAUGACAACAUUUCGAACUCGGUAUGCAAACUACCUUAUACCAAAACCUUUCCCAAUACUAUCCUUAGUUGCUAAUGAUUCAAAUUGCCCAUUUUCAAGACAUUCACAAGCAACUAAGAAAAUCCCACGCUCUACUCUUUGGGGUUUUCUCAGCAACAUUCCCCAAAUCACAUAUGCCAAUCAAACGACGCGAGAAAUGCCCCCACUUCCUCGCAUUUCAGAUAAGCGAACAGACGAUGCGGCACUAACAAGAACAACAAUCAUAACGAAGGCGAGCGCGACCGAAUCGGGAAGCAUCAAGAGAGAAAGAAUAACGCUCACAGGUGGAGCACGCAGCGGGUGACUUGCUGGCCCUUCUCGAGGCACUUCUCCGGGUUGGGGUCCUUCUGCUUGCACUUGAGGAAGGCCACGUUCUCCGACAGGCAGCUCGCCCCGAUGUGCUUCGACGAUGCCGUCAGCACCGCCGACGUCGGGAUCGGGCCCCCGGCGGCAUCCAGCGACGUCGCCAUCCCGGCCGACAUCGAAUUCCUCUCGGGUUAUCUUCUCUUCCUUCUUAUUCUUCUUCCCUGCGGCAGAGAAGAUGGGUGAAGCAGAUUCUUCUUCAACGAAUGCGUGAUCCGGGAAUUCAAGACCAAGAGAACUCCAGAUCGAAAGGAGAGAUCUUUGGAUUUCUGGGCAAAGUCGUCAUCUUUACGCGAUUGACUGUUCGCAGUUGUAGCGCAGAGAGAGAGAGAGAGAGAGAGAGAGUGGAUUCUGCAGUGAUGGAUGAUGAUAUUCUCAACAUCCGCAGUGAAAGUAAUUCUUAUAGAAUACUUUCUUUUCUACAAAUGAAAUGCUUGUUAAUGAGAAUUUUAGAAUGGCCAAUUGAUAAAAUCCAUCUCAUGUCGAGGUGUUCUUAUGUUUACAAGAAAUAUUUGUACAUGGAAAAAAAUUCAUUAGUAAUCUUAAAUUAUACUCAUUGUGACACACUUAUUUUUAUUUUUUUUAUGAUAUGAAAAAUUCUAAACUUGUAUCCAUGCGAUAAAUUUAUUUUAAAACAUUCCCAAACAUUUAUUCUCAUGACACAUUAUAUAUAUAUAUAUAUAUAUAUAUAGAGUUUUUUAUGUUAUUAAAAUAAUUAUAAGUUUGGGAUUUUUUGGGAUAAGUUUAGGGUUUUUCGUGUCACAAAAAAGUUUAGUGUAAAUGCAUCAUAGUGUGCAUAGUUUAAGGCUUCUUGUUGCUUUGUCCCUUACAUAUAUAUUGAAGUUUCACAAAUUAUAUUUCAAAUUUACUUUCUUGAGUAAUUUAUAAUUAAUGAAAUUUGGGAUAAUAUUAAGGGUUAACACUAAAAAAAAAUUAUCCUAAAUUACUAUACUUGUGCCACAUCCAAAUUAAUUUUAGCGCCACAAAAAAAUUCAAAUUAGUAUUCUAAUGAUGUAUUUAUCCUAAAUCAAUUUUCAUGACACAAUCAUAAAUCGGUAUAUUUAGGCUGCAUUUAUCCCAUUUUCCUUAGAUUCUAAUAAAUUUUAUUAUGGAUGUAUUACUUUGAAAUUAUGUACUAGGCUGGAAUUUUUUGUAGUAUCAUUCCUAAAAUUAAAUUUUUUCUUCCAGCCUUAUGUUUUUUCAUCAACCCGAGUCCCGAUUUGUCCCAAGAAAAGCCAAAGUCAGAUUUUAAAGGGGCACUCUCGUAAUUAUGCGGACACAAGUGUUUCCAUUUACGAGAGAGAAAUUCAAAAGUAUUGUGUUAAUUUUUUUUAUCUUUGAUUAGUGUUUAUAAUCAAUUCUUUACUUGUGUUCUCAUGUAUUUGUAAAAUGAAGUUCAACUAUGUGUUUGUGCUGAAAUUACAAGAGUUAGGCUCAGCGGUUGAUUGUCGUUUGAGUUCAACGAACUGGAAAUGUCGGUAGAACUGCAUUUCUUGUGCCUUAGACAGACGCAAGUGAUUAAGAAAAGACCACAAACUUGAUCUUGAUUCUUGGAUUUUGAAGUCCGGUUUAGGACGAUUCAGACACUCAAUCGUAGGCUCUCAAAAUUGAUGGCGGGAUUUCUCGAGCUAAAACUAUAGAUUAUAUUAGAUCAUACAUUGUUGGGAAGUGAAGGCACAGGAGAUUGAAGAAUAGGAAAUUUGGAAGUCAAAGGAAAUUAUAAGCCUCUAAGAAUACUGAUAAUCAUAAGCCUAUUCGUCGUGGCUCUAGCCAUUUCGGUCAUGGCAGUAGAAUCAGCUUUUAUCUCAUCAAAUUAAGCUUCCUUUGUUUUAGGGAAGAUAAAUAAUUGAAAGAUAAAUAAUUGAACCUUAAGGGAUGAGAUAAGCUGUGGAUCUGAGAGAACCAUAUUGAAAUUUGAAAAUAGCAUAAUGAACAUUGUUCUUGCACCGAGAGUAGUCUGGAUGGUACCGAUGCCUUGAAAAUAAUGACUUAUAUUGCUUAAAAUAAUUAGUAAAUCGAAAAAAAAAAAUACUUUUAUCAUCGCCAAUCAUUCAUGUCCAAAUAUUUUCUAGGAUUAUGAAAAUAUUUUUCAUUGAUUCAUUAUUGUAAGAAAGUUAAACGAUCAUUUUUUAAGAAGAUAUUUUGUAAAUUAUUCAUUUUUUUCGCAAAAUAUUUUGUGAGCCUUACAUAGAACCGAUUCCAAAUGAUUCUCUCAUUUUGUCAGUUUCGAUCUCCUUUCAAAGAAUUUUUUUUUUUCCUUUAACUUGCGAACGCAGUCUAACAUCUGUUUUGGCGUUUUGUAUACUAUUCAAGUCAAAUGAGAACAAAGAGAAAGAUAGAACCGACGCGUUUAGAGUGGAAUGCUAUUACUUUUGGAAUGAUAAUGGGUGCCGCGUGUUUGAUCUAAUGCUACUCGAGUUCAUAAAAAUCGGAAUGGGGAUUGAUGGAUCCCGUGAAGAUGGAGAAAUCGCUGGCCUUGUUGGAGAAACAGGCGAACCUCUUCAUGGAGACAGCAAAGAAAUAGGCGACAACCGAUGGUUAGACUUGGUAGGAUUUGGUGGCGAUACGUUCAGGGUUUUGAUUUUGGUUGGGGAACUUUGGAGGACUUAAAUCACUGUAUUGUGGAUGAACUGCAGUUCUUCAUUAGUCACAAUCUUAUAAUGCUUCUCAAAUCAACUGCAUGACUGUUAAGUAAGCCUUUCAUCAUCAAAAUGUCUGCAAUAUUGAUGCAACGACAUAUUUAGCUUCCUGAGCAUUGGAUUUUUCAGCUGGAAAUGUACAUCGAGUUUGAAUCACAUUUCCUUCUUGCAGUUGUUCUUUUCUCAUGCCACAGUGGAGAGUUGUAAUCGUUGUAGCUCGCAAUUUCUUUUUCCCGCCUACUUUCUUCCCUUCACAUCAAUGGAAAAAAUCUUGUUCUCUUUCUUCACUUCACAACCAUCAAAAUUAAAAAAAGAAAAAGCAGAAAGAGAAUGACAAUCUAAUGAGGAAUUGCAUCAGGUGCGAGUCUCUGGUGUAGUGGGGUGGCGACGACUGGGCAGAUGGGCUGAUCCAUGUGCCAGAGAGCAGCGGAGAUGCUGGGGUGGCUGCAGAUGUGGAGGAGACAGAGGAGCUUAUUGAAAGAGCAGGCGGCACCGGUUGAGCAAUGCAGUGACGUCGGCAGCUACAAGGAAAGAGGUGAAGAUUAAGGAUAACAAAGAGGCAGUUUGAGGAAUUGUUGGGGAAGCCAGACAUAAAGGAAAGAGGAUCCACUCAAUUUCAUUUCGCAACACUGGAUUUCAGAGCUCUAGAGCUCGUUGUCAUGCUGCUUCUUCUCGAUGUUCCUCAGUACACUCUCCUUGGCAUUGGUAUUCAGGUGGCGUCAAGCUCACUUGUAUAUUAGUUCGAGCUCAUUACAGGCCUUUGCUGAAUCUCCUUCUGUCAACAUCAGUGUGCACUUAAUGAGAGUUUCCAUCUCCGGCCUCAUAAGGAUCCUCAAGCUUGGGAACCCCACGUAGGUUCUCUCUCUUUGACCCAUCAGUUUGCUUUAGGUCUUUGCUCUGCUUGAAAUUUUCUGGUGAGAGGAGCGACUGGACAGUUACAGACGCUUCCACUUCAUUAUAGCAAGCAUAAACAAAAGUCUCCUAAAAAUCAAUGGGUCAAUUUCGUUAAAUUCACUAAAGAAUGUCCAACCUUUUUGUAGGAACUUGUCAGAUAAUGCACACUUCAAUCCGAAGCUGCUAGUGUCGAAGUUUCCUUGGUUUGAGAGACAAAUGCAAGAUUGUCAUAAAACCAUAAAUAAAACCCAUGAAUGACUCAAAGUUUUGGGCUUUGAAAUUGGCAUUCUCACACUUAUCACAAGAGCGAAGGUAGGGUGACCGGAUGUAGCACUCACCUCCACGAUGAACUUUCCGAUGUAUCCAAUGCCUCCGAUCACCAGCACUUUGCUCUUCUCGGCCAUCUCGGAGGGUUCUUUUCCGGCGGAGUUGCAGUUCUUACCGACGAACUUGCUCGGUCUCGUGCUGCAACUGUUGUUACCUGUUGGCACGCAUCGAGAUGAAUCGUCCUUUUAUUUUGGUUCCAAAAGGGCAUAAUUGCCUUUUCGGUGAAUUGACUUUCCCACCCCCAUCACCCUUCGCCCGGAAAAUGAGUACACACAAAAGUGGUCUACGAAAGACGGAAGAAAUUUACGGUGGAGAAUGAGUACGUGACGUGAACUUUUUUGAAAUGACAACUUGACUUACUAAAAGUUGUCUAAAUUUGAUCAAGAAAAUUGGUUAUUGCGUCGACCAAACCUCCAUUGAGAUAGAAAAGAAGUCAAUAGUUCUGAUUUAUGAUUGGCUGCGUAUUCUUUACAAAAUUCAAAAAUGAUAACUCUCCUGUUAAAAACAGAUGUUGUUGACUGUUACUUUCUGACCAAAUAAGCUAUUUAAUCUUGUUUUCAUUAGAUAUUCCUGACUUAUGAUGAGUUUAGGAAAAUCGAACCAAACGCACGCUUAGUUAGACAAUAAUCCACAAUAUAUCAAGUUUUGGAAUAAGAACUUGUCUCAAGAUUUAUCCAGAUUCAUCGCGCAUGCUUCUUUUUCUUCCCGUUUGUUCCCUCGCAGCCUCUAAGAGUCCCCCAAAACAUUAACGAUAAUUCAAAAUUGCGACAAGUUUGACAGUCGGUUUACGCCUAUUUUAACUUGUUAUUCUUUUAGACGAGAAAGAUAACUUGACAUACAAAAAUAGAGAAACCCGUGUCUUUGUGUUAGCUUCGAUUGGCCCAUGAACCCAUAUCAAACUCCAAAACAGAAGCAAUUUCUCCAAGCACCGCAGAGACGCGCCACAUUGAACAUUCAUACUUUAUAGUGUCCUCAGACUUGGGGGUUGUACAUGCCAUGUGGUGAUCAGCAGAAGCGACAUUUCACACUAGGAUCCUGAGAAGCAGCAUCCUAUAUUAUUUAUUACCGCAUGGUGAUGUGAGAAAUUUACAAGCAUGUUCGGUUUCGAUAAUCAAACAAAUUGAUCGAGGUACUGAUCCACGGUCAUGUAUUUGACAUCGGGGUAGAGCUCCGAAGCUUCCACUCCAAAUGAUGACUCAAUCUCAAAGUUCGUUUGGUCUCCUUUCACAAAGACAGAAUGGGAUAAUGCCAAUAUCAUGUUGUGUGGAACCGCCGCCUCUACAAUAUGAUUGGACAAGCUUUAAAUGUCAGAGAGAACAGAGAGGAUUUCAGGCACUUAAAUCCAAUAGAAAUGCAUCCCUGACCUUGAAUGUUCUUCAGAACCUGUUCCUCUGGAACAUACACCCUCUCUAGGGUCUGCCGNNNNNNNNNNNNNNNNNNNNNNNNNNNNNNNNNNNNNNNNNNNNNNNNNNNNNNNNNNNNNNNNNNNNNNNNNNNNNNNNNNNNNNNNNNNNNNNNNNNNAGGUCCUUGGAUCAUCCACAGCUUUGAUGGUAUAGGUGCCGAUGUCAUCCUCCUUGUUAAACACCGCUACAUAUUGACAGGGAGAGUUUUACAAUUUGGCUAAUAAAUAAAUCACAGAGCCAUCGAUCUUCCUAGGGCUACUUUCGGCUCACAUUGAAGAAGAAUUAUCUUAUCAAACAGAUUCAUUAGACAACAUGCAGACAAAUGCAUUCAUAUGUUCUUUUCCCAAACAAAUACAUAAAGAGAACCUUCGUGAUCUGCCCGCUAGGUGGUAUUAUGCCAAGAUAAACCACAACACAUUCAUAUCACAUAUUAGUCUCUGAAAUUGAAGACUAAUGGAUGUAAGAGUCCCAUUAUCUCCAGACAAGGACGUUACCCUGAAAUUAUCAAGCUUCAAGAAUUGCCUCUCACUUUGAUCACUACUGUAAUUAAUUCGUUGUUAAUGUACAAAAAAAAUAUUAACUAAUUAAAAUGCGCAUUUCAAUGAAUUGCUUCUUACCUUUUGCAUUUCCAUCCCCUAAGAUGACAACUUUAUCUCUAGGGGGAGCUGUAGCCUCGGGCUGUGACAAUGUUGGAAGGUAGUAACUUCCAAAAGAGUUAGAAGCCACAUAUGUAUAAGGGAUUCCCUCAGCCUCAACAAGGCGGCGGAUCUUGGCUUUGAUAGCAUAUCCAGUUUUUGCUGGCUCCACAGCAUGGACACGAUCCACAUCAGUUCCAAACUCUGAAGGCAAGAAUCUCUAAAUAGAAAAUUAAUUGAUUCAGAAGAGGCAUUUUUAUUAGAAAGCAACAAAAAACUAGAGUGCAUUCCCCUCAUCCAACAAAUUUACAUGAGUUAUGGCAAAAAGAGAAACCAAAUUUAUAUGAGACUGAAUUUCACUUUUUUCUUCAAUAUGUGACUAGAACAUAGUGACAAUAAAAACAAACAAACUUAUAUGAGACUAUAUUUCAUUUUUUUUUUCAAUAUGUGACUAUAACAGAGUAAAAAUUAUUAUAAAUGAAUCAAUACUAGCAAUUAAGGUGUUGUUAGGUAAUGCUCCGGGAAACUUUUUUUUUGGUUUUUUUUUUCCUAGGCACAAAAUUAGAACAGAAACGCAUUUGGUAAUUUUUUAUUCCUAGGAACAAAUUAAAAAAAAACAAAACAAAUAAUAAUUAUUUUUUGUUUGUCUUUUUUGUUUUUAGGAACAAGUUAAGAAACAAGCAUUUUCUCUUUUCUUUUCUUCUUUUUCUUUUCCUCUCUUCUUCUCCUUAGCCGGUAGUUGGCCUUGGCAAUGGCUGGCGACUGGCCAAACGAGGCCUGACAACCUCGCCGAACCCUCGCCAGCCCCUGGUGAGGUCACCCCAAGCUCAUCGAUUGCUAGCGAGGCCCCCCUUAACCUUGCCCAACCACUGUGAGGUUGGCAAUGCCUAGGUGGGCAAUGCCGACCUUGUGGUGGUCGAGCGAGGUUGAGCCUCGCAGGUCGCCUCGUCAGUCGCCGGCCAACCAUGGUCAAGGCCGACAAUUGACUAGAGGAAGGAAAUGAAAAGGAAAAAAAGAAAAAUGUAAUAAAAUUAUUAAUAAAUNNNNNNNNNNNNNNNNNNNNNNNNNNNNNNNNNNNNNNNNNNNNNNNNNNNNNNNNNNNNNNNNNNNNNNNNNNNNNNNNNNNNNNNNNNNNNNNNNNNNUAGUGAAAUCCAGCCAGUGGGCUGUCAGUGAAGAAGAGUGGAUGUAGGUUUGGAACAAGCCGAACCACUAUAAACCUCGUGUUGAAUUUUCUCUUUCCUACUCCUUUUACUUUGUCAACAGUUCGUUCUAUUAACAAAAGAGGAGUCUUCUUUUUAUUGUCUGCCUAGUAUUGCUUUCAUAUCUCGGAAAAUUAUUUAUAUACCUAUUCACCCCCCUCUAGGUACUUAUACUAGCUAUAUCAAUUGGUAUCAGAGCCCGUGUACUCAUUUUUUUUUUGAAGUGUUUUACUUCAGAGUUAAAGAUCCAUGGCUAGUAUGCUAGCUCCAAGGCUGGUGGAAGGGCAAAGCAAUACCAGACCACCCUACUUUGAUGGAAAGGAUUACAACAUCUUGAAAAACAAGAUGAAAGCAUUCCUACGAUCAAAGGAUCCUCUGGAAUGGGACGUUGUAGAAAAAAGGAAUUACUCCUAAAGCUGCAUCUGUCUCAGAGAGAGGAAAAGAAAUUGUUGAGUCAAGAGAAAUGACUCGAGAAGAGAUAAUCAAGAGACAAGCACUCGAUGCAAAAGCAAUUUAUUCUUUAUAUUGUGCUUUGUCACCAAUUGAAUAUAACAUAAUAUCUUCUUGUGUUACAGCAAAAGAAGUCUGGGAUAAAUUACAUAUCACCUAUGAAGGAACAGAUCGAGUGAAGGAGACCAGAAUCAACAUUCUCCUCGGUCAAUAUGAAGCCUUCAAAAUGAAAUCAGGAGAAUCUAUAAUUGACAUGUUUAGCCGUUUUACAGAUAUCGUCAAUGGUCUUGAAAAUCAAGGUCAACCAAUUUCUAAUCCCAUGAAGGUAAACAAGUUACUGCGAGGACUCUCCAAGGAUUGGAAUCAUAUAAAGACUUCAAUAAGAGAGACACAAAGAAUCAUGCCACUAUCUGUCAAUGAGUUGGUUGGAACUCUUCAGUCUUAUGAAGUGGAGCGAAUCAAUGAAGAUGAAGAUCCUAAAGGUAAGAAAUCCAUUGCAUUAAAAUCCAAUGAUGAUUCUGAUGUUACAGAUUCUGAAGACGAUAUGGACGAUGAGGAACUUGCUCUUAUGAUAAGAAGAUUCAGAAAGCUGAACAGAAAAGGAAGAAGAUUCAAUCCAAGGAAACAAAGCUUUCAAAAGCAACAAACCAAGUCUGUUGAUGAUGAUGAAUCAAACAAAGAUGUAGUCUACUUUGAAUGUAAGAAAAAUGGACACAUCAGACCCAACUGUCCCCUUUUGAGAAAGAAGAAAGGAAAAGCUGAAAAAUAUCGAAAAGCUCUUAAAGCAGAAACUUGGAGUGACACAGAGUGUGAAGAAAGCGAUGAUGAUUAUGCCAACAUAUGUCUGAUGGCACAAUCAGACUCGGAUUCAAACUCUGAAACAGACUCAGACUUAGACAGUGAAAUAGGAGAAGAGAGUGUUUCAUGCUCUUCUGCCUCUUGAUCUGCUCUCUCUUCUUCUUCUUCGAACCUCUCCUCCUCUGUUCUUUCUUCAGCUCUUCUCUCUUCUUCUUCUUUUUCCUCUACUUCUUGCUCCUCUGCUUCUCUUUCUCCUUCUUCUCUCUCUUCUUCUCCUCUUUCUUCUUCUUCUUUCUCUUCUUCUUCUCUUGCUUCUUCUCUCUCUCCUUCUCUUUCUUUCGCCAGUUCUUCUCUUUCCUCUGCUUCCUUCUCUUGUCGUUCCAUUGAUUCUGGAACAGAACAACUUAGCUUUUUCAAGGCUAUAGCAGAAAUGGUGAGAUCAUCCUCAUCAUCCUCAUCCUCAAUGAAGAGAGCCCUUCUCUUUUUGGAUGAAGCAACCAUUGGCUCCUUCCCUUUUCUUUUCGAGCCAGAAGGACCAUGAUGAGUUUUGACAGGGGUUUUCUCCUUGAACUUCUCCAAUGCCUUGUUAAGUUCUUUCAGACGCAUUUUCUGCACCAUUUUCAGUCCUACCACCAUUUGGUCACACGGUCAAACACAGAGAAAUUGUGGAGGCUGAAUAUUCAAGUGUCUGAAUAUUUUUGUCACAAGACCUUGAUAAGGAAGUUGUCCCUUGUCCUUCACCAGUGCUCUAUACAUGUGGAAUAGAAUGGUGUGAGGAAGAGAAAACUUUUUCCCAGCAUUGAUUGCGUACAUCAACUUUGCCUCUGAGUUGGAAACAUCAGUCUUGGAAGUUGAUUUGGGUCUAAGGUAAUUGAUCACAAUCUUGUGAAGAAUGAUGUUGUUCGCACGCAUCCUUGAGUAGGUAAUCCUUCCCUCUGUCAUUCUGUCUUUGACAAGUUCCAAUGUUGUGCGAGCAAUAGAGGCAUUGAUUGGUUGAUACCUUCCUCUUUCAACCCCAAUCACAUCCGCCAGCAUAUUCACAUCAACAACAAAGUCUUGAUCUCGGACACUAAAAGAUAUUCUAUUCGCAUCCAAGAAACUAAGAUUUGAAUAGAAAUAUGCAGUCAAUUGUGCAUAACCCUCUGUGGUGUCAGUACAGAACUGUUCCAAUUGAAGAGAAUUGAACUUUUCUCUUAAGUUCACAUUCACAGCAUCUAGGAAGUCAAAAUCUACACUCCUAGGGUUUAUCACCCCACGCUUCAACAAUCUUGAGUAUAGAUCCUUAUGUUCCUUCGAUGUAAACAAAUCUAUCAUUUUCCCUCGAAUAUUCGCUGCAACACCCAUUCUCGAUUGAAAUUGGCUGUACAGUUUAUCAUCAUCAUUCCCAUAUGUUGGAUUAAAACCACCGACACGCGGAUCACUUGGAAUGUUCGCAAGGGCUUGUUCUGCCAUCCCUCUUGGAGCAAUUCCCAAGUUUUCCAUUUUUCGCAAGAAUAUGUACUCAUUUCCAUGUCCCUUAUCCUUAAGGAACUCAUCGAUGUAUUUCAAUGGAGUACCAGUACUCUUUAAAGCACGAUAAAGCUUAUAAAUAAAGCCGGGCUUUUGAAUUCUUACAGGUUCGACGUCUUCAAUGAUUUCUUCUUCCUGUUGAUGACCCACACCCUGUGGACUAGAUGGUGGAGAAUGACGCGGUUGAGAAUGUUGCGGACUUGGUGAAUCUUCUUCCCCUGUAAGAUCAAAAUAAGUAGGCCCCUCACUCGAUCGCUGUGGUCCCCUGCUUGCUAUCCUCGAAGACUUUCUUGAAGACGACAUCUUUCUUUGUCUUUGAAAGAUUCUUUGCUUGACUUUCCCAAGAAAAAUGACAACUUUUUCGAAGAUUAAACAAUGGAGGAAGGCACGAAUGGAAGAUUGAGACUUUUUAGGGUUUUGGAGUUUUGCAGAGAGGAAUCGAUUGUAAAUAACCAAGCCAAGAAACCAAACGUCAUAAAGGAAAGUGAAAAAGUGCCUUUUUUAAACUUAACUGCCUUAAAAAAAAAACUUCCAUAGAAAUUGAAUUUUUGAAAAGGCAAAUUUGCACUUUUCACGGAAAUUUAAAAUCAAUUACCAAUGAUCGUACCUUUUCGAGAUAUAAUAAAUAAGAGAGAAUAACUUACAGUCAAGACCCACGAUUUAUUGAGUCUGAGAGUCUAAGAGUCUGAGAGUCUGAGAGUCUCUAGACUUUAACUUCUUCAAGCUUAAAGAUGUUGAGACUAGAACGGAUGAAUUCAAAUUGAUUUUUCUCCAGAGGCUUUGUGAAUAUAUCCGCCAGUUGGUUCUUUGAGUCAACAAACUGAAUCGAAAUUUCUCCAUUUUGAACAUAAUCUCUAAUGAAGUGAUGUCGAAUCUCUAUAUGUUUUGCUCUUGAAUGAAGAAUAGGAUUUUUGGUAAGAUUGAUUGCGCUGGUGUUGUCACAGUUAAUUUCGGUGCAUGAAUCUUCAAUUCCAAAGUCUCUUAGCUGUUGUUUUAUCCACAAAAUUUGUGAACAACAACUUCCGAGAGCUACAUACUCUACUUCUACUAUAGAAAGAGCUACUGUACUUUGCUUUCUUGAAAACCAAGAUACUGUUCUGUUUCCAAGUAACGGACAGGUACCCGAUGUGCUCUUUCUAUCAACUCUGCAACAGGCUAGAUCUGCGUUUGAGUAUCAAAGAAGAGUGAAGUCUCCCUUUUUGGGAUACCACAGACCGAUACUUGAGGUUGAAGCAAUGUAUUUGAUAAUACGCUUCGCAGCACUUAGAUGAGAUUCUUUAGGGUCUGCUUGAAAUCUAGCACAAAUGCAAACAAUAAACAAAAUGUCAAGUCUAGAAGCAGUAAGAUAAAGAAGUGAACCGAUGAUACUUCUAUAUAGCUUCUGGUCAACUUUCUUUCCUCCUUCAUCUUUGUCUAUCUUCAAGGAACUUGACAUUGGUAUAUCAAUCUUUUUGCAAUUUUCCAGUCCAAACUUCUUGACAAGAUCAUUAGCAUAUUUUUCUUGAUAAAUAAAAGUUCCUUCCUUCAAUCGUUUCACUUGAAGUCCAAGAAAGAAGGUUAAUUCUCCCAUCAUACUCAUUUCAAAUUCAUCCAGCAUAGACUUAGAGAAUUUCUUGCACAGACUUUCAUUAGAGGAUCCAAAAAUAAUAUCAUCAACAUAUAUUUGAACUAGCAAGAAACUUUUGCUUUCUCUUUUGAUAAAUAGAGUAGUAUCUACUUUACCUUUGACAAAGCCGGUUUGAAUCAAAAACUUACUUAGCCUGUCAUACCAAGCUCGAGGUGCUUGCUUUAAUCCAUACAAGGCCUUUUUCAGUCUGAAUACUGAGUCUGGCUUCUUUGGAUCUUCAAACCCAGGUGGCUGUUCCACAUAGACUUCCUCAUGGAUAAAUCCAUUUAGGAAAGCACUUUUGACGUCCAUUUGGAAUAACCUGAAAUUUUUAUAACAAGCAAAAGCAAGUAGUAAUCGAAUUGCUUCUAACCUUGCUACUGGUGUGUAAGUCUCAUCGUAGUCUAUCCCUUCCUCUUGAGUAUAUCCCUUGGCCAUGAGUCUUGUUUUGUUUCUUACAACUUUGCCAUUCUCGUUCAUCUUGUUCUUGAAAACCCAUUUAGCUCCAACAAUAGAUUUACCUUUUGGUUUAGGAGUCAAUUCCCAGACAUCAUUAAUGCUGAAUUGUCUGAGUUCUUCUUACAUAGCUUCAAUCCAGCUUUCAUCAGAUAAAGCUUCUUCUAUGCUUUUGGGUUCUACUUCAGAAAUAAGAGCCACAUCAUUAGACUUUUCGCGCCUUUUGGAUCUUGUGCGAAUUCCUUCAUUAAUGUCGCCAAUAAUAAGAUCUUUGGGAUGACUGGACUUAUGCUUCCAGUUACUGGUUGGUUCGUCAGGUUGAUGAGCACUUCCUUCAAUUGAAUCUUCAAUAACCGUUUGUUGCUGGUCUUUCAGAGUCUGGUCUGCUUCUUGAGAUUUAGACUUUGUAGAGUCUGGAGCAAGUUCAGAUUCUUCGAGAUGAGUCUGAAUAGAUUCAUUUUGCAUAGAAUCCUAGAACUUGAUAUUCAUUGAUUCUUCCACAGAUUGACUUUUCUUGUUAUAGACUCUGUAGGCUUUGCUUGAGGUAGAAUAUCCAAGGAAGAUGCCUUCGUCUGAUUUUUCUUCAAACUUACCAACUCGAUCAUUUGCAUUUUUCAAUAUAAAGCAUUUGCAUCCAAAUAUAUGAAAAUAUGAAACAAUAGACUUUUUUCCUUUGAAUAAUUCAUAGGGGGUUUUAUUUAGAAUCGGCCUUAGAAAAACUCUAUUGAUAAUAUAACAUGCUGUUGAAACAGCUUCAGCCCAAAAUCGUGAAGAGACGUUACUUUCAAUUAGGAGAGUUCUAGCCAUUUCUUGAAGAGAUCUAUUCUUUCUUUCCACAACUCCAUUUUGCUCUGGAGUCUAUGGAGAGGAAAACACAUGCUGAAAACCCGAUUCAUCACAAAAUUUUGUAAAUUCUUGAUUUUCAAAUUCGCCUCCAUGGUCUGUUCUUAUACUAGAGAUAGCAUAUCCUUUUUCAUUUUGAACUCUUUUAGCAAACUUUUCAAAAUAAGAAAAGGUUUCAGACUUACUUGCCAGGAAGUAUACCCAAGUAAAUCGAGAGUAGUCAUCCACAAUUACAAGGCAAUACUUCUUACCUCCAAUGCUUUGAGUUCUGGUUGGUCCAAAGAGAUCCAUAUGCAACAAUUGCAGUACACGAUUAGUGGAAACUUUAUUUAUUGGUUUAAAGGAAUUUCUUACCUGCUUUCCCAAUACGCAUGGUGUGCAUAGAUCAGACUUUUGGUAAGAUAAAUUGCGUAAACCACGAACAAGCUUCUUUGCUGAUAUUUUGGCUAUCUGCUUCGUAUUGAUGUGCCCAAGCUUCCUGUGCCAUAAGCUUGCUUCGUCUUGGAUUGAGAUUAAACAUUGUGAUUCAUCUGGUUUCACAUCCAAGAGGUAGAUAUUUCCAUGUCUUCGACCCAUAAACGACUGAGUAGAGUCUUUAUUGGUUCCUGAACAUAUUCCCUCUUGAAAAUUGAUUUUGAAACCAAUAUCACAGAGCUGGCUGAUACUGAGCAGAUUGUAGUUAAGUCCUUUCACUAGGGAAACAUUGCUUAUCGUGAGGUUCCCAAUCUUUACAGUUCCAAAUCCCACAAUCCUUCCUUUGAUGUUUCCUCCAAAAGAGACUUUUCCACCAUUUACUUGAACGAGCUUUAUGAAGCAAUUUGAAUCUCUUGUCAUGUGUCUUGAGCAUCCACUAUCCAGAUACCAUUUUACAUUUUUCUUGAUAGUGACUUGCAUUUAAAAAUGAGACUCAAGCUUUCUUUGGUACCCAUAUUUUCUUGGGUCCACUGGUGUUAGUAUUAAAUGCAGUAUUUGCCCAUACUUUCUUAACAGGUUUCCAGACCAUAGGACACUCUUUUUCAAAAUGAUCUGCACUAUUGCACUUUGAACAUCUGAGAGCAUUUCGACCUACAGGUUUUACAAACACCUUUUUGAAAUGUUUUCUAUAAGUAUCUCUUGAAGGUCUUUGCUUAAUUCUUUCCUUUACUUUAGGAAAAUCAAUUCAAGGAAUUGUUUCUUCUGUCAUUCCUAAACCGGAUUUAUUGAAAUAGGGUCUUUGUGCAAAAAGAAUUUUUUCAAGUUUCUCAGAUCCUAAUGAAAUUUUUUUUGAAACAUUUGAUAAGUCAUUUUUCAGGAAUGCAUUUUCUUUUAAAAGAUUGACUUCACUUUCUUUAAGAGAAGAAACAUUCAUGUCUAAACAUUCCAGCUUUUCUUUCAAAGCAUUCUCCUGUUGUUUUAUAAUAGAGUUUUCUUUUUUAAGUUCGGAAAUCCUCUUGAGAGAUGUUUUAAGACUAGAACACAGCUCAUCAAUGUAUUUAAAAACUUUAACAGGGAUUUUAAAGUUACUUACCUCUAUUUCACUGUCUGAGUCUGAGUCUGUUUUAGAGUUUGAAUCUGAGUUUGAUUAUGCCAUCAGACAUAUGUUGGCAUAAUCAUCAUCGCUUUCUUCACACUCUGUGUCACUCCAAGUUUCUGCUUUAAGAGCCUUUCGAUAUUUUUUUAGCUUUUCCUUUCUUCUUUCUCAAAAGGGGACAGUUGGGUCUGAUGUGUCCAUUUUUCUUACAUUCAAAGCAGACUACAUCUUUGUUUGAUUCAUCAUCAUCAACAGACUUGGUUUGUUGCUUUUGAAAGCUUUGUUUCCUUGGAUUGAAUCUUCUUCCUUUUCUGUUCAGCUUUCUGAAUCUUCUUAUCAUAAGAGCAAGUUCCUCAUCGUCCAUAUCGUCUUCAGAAUCUGUAACAUCAGAAUCAUCAUUGGAUUUUAAUGCAAUGGAUUUCUUACCUUUAGGAUCUUCAUCUUCAUUGAUUCGCUCCACUUCAUAAGACUAAAGAGUUCCAACCAACUCAUCGACAGAUAGUGGCAUGAUUCUUUGUGUCUCUCUUAUUGAAGUCUUUAUAUGAUUCCAAUCCUUGGAGAGUCCUCGCAGUAACUUGUUUACCUUCAUGGGAUUAGAAAUUGGUUGACCUUGAUUUUCAAGACCAUUGACGAUAUCUGUAAAACGGCUAAACAUGUCAGUUAUAGAUUCUCCUAAUUUCAUUUUGAAGGCUUCAUAUUGACCGAGGAGAAUGUUGAUUCUGGUCUCCUUCACUCGAUCUGUUCCUUUAUAGGUGAUAUGUAAUCUAUCCCAGACUUCUUUUGCUGUAACACAAGAAGAUAUUAUGUUAUAUUCAACUGGUGACAAAGCACAAUAUAAAGAAUAAAUUGCUUUUGCAUCGAGUGCUUGUCUCUUGAUUAUCUCUUCUCGAGUCAUUUCUCUUGACUCAACAGUUUCUUUUCCUCUCUCUGAGACAGAUGCAGCUUUAGGAGUAAUUCCUUUUUCUACAACGUCCCAUUCCAGAGGAUCCUUUGAUCGUAGGAAUGCUUUCAUCUUGUUUUUCCAGAUGUUGUAAUCCUUUCCAUCGAAGUAGGGUGGUCUGGUAUUGCUUUGCCCUUCCACCAGCCCUGGAGCUAGCAUACUAGCCAUGGAUCUUUAACUCUGAAGUAAAACACUUCAAACAAAAUGAGUACACGGGCUCUGAUACCAAUUGAUAUAGCUAGUAUAAGUACCUAGAGGGGGGUGAAUAGGUAUAUAAAUAAUUUUCCGAGAUAUGAAAGCAAUACUAGGCAGACAAUAAAAAGAAGACUCCUCUUUUGUUAAUAGAACGAACUGUUGACAAAGUAAAAGGAGUAAGGAAGAGAAAAUUCAACACGAGGUUUAUAGUGGUUCGGCUUGUUCCAAGCCUAUGUCCACUCUUCUUCACUGACAGCCCACUGACUGGAUUUCACUAUGAACAAAAGAGAUGUUACAGCAAUGCUCUUCCUUGAUUCCACAGUAUGGAUAUUCUACCACACUUCCUCAAGGUAUCUCACAAAAUGAACUCUCUCCUGUAUACAAGAUUUUCGUUCAACUAAUGAAUUGACUACGAAUCAAGGAGCUUCAGACUUUGGAAUUCUUAUAUCGCGCACACACUUCGAACAACUGGAACGUCUUCCUUUUAUACUCCUUUAUGCCAUCAUACCCGUUGGCACUUACCAAAGGAAUUCUUUCAAUCUUCCCAUUGGACAGAAUCAAUUUGGAAGAUCAUUCGAGCUAUUAAAGGAACAUGUCGAUAGCCCAUCAAUCCUGCUCGCCCAUACAAUCAGGAUCUUGGUUUCCAUAAGUAGAACCUUCCGAGAAUACUUCGCCAAUCAUCGGAUCCUUAAUCAAUCUUAAAAGGAAUUCGUUAUGUCACAUCCAGCCAAGAGAUCUUCUCCAGUCGAUAAGGCUGAGUCCACAAAGAAUCACACAGAUCUGGAUAGCCUUACUUCAAUGGAUUAAAAACUGUCAAUGAGAAUAGACUUUAAGUCUUGAAUCUGGUAGUCCGGAAGUCUUCAAACUUAGAAUGGAUGAGUCUGCAGAACUUCAGACUAGACUGAUAGAAACGUUUUGUCAGCUUCAAAAUAUUCCAGAAAGAUUUCUCCAACACUCAUAAUGGCCGUAUCGACUACGAAACGCUGACUUCAGUAUGUCCUCAUUUCUGAUCCUCAGUUGAUGAUACUAUAUCCUCAAGUCGUUCUUAGAAAAUAUCAACAUUCCUUGCAGCUGGUCAAACAAGUCAUUGAUCCUCGACAGUGGAUACUUGUUCUUGAUCGUCACUUGAUUGAGUUGACGAUAGUCGAUGCACAGGCGUAACGAAGCAUCUUUCUUCUUCACAAACAAAACUCGUGCUCCUUAACGUGAUGCACUAGGAUGUAUGAAUCCCUUAUUCAACAAUUCCUGCAUUUGCACCUUUAGCUCUUUCAACUCAUACAACGUCAUACGGUAGGAAGCCUUAGAAAUUAGCUCUGUCCUGAGGGCUAGCUCAAUCACAAACUCAAUCUCUCUCUCUCUAGCAACAGACCUGACAAUUCUUUCGGGAACACGUCUGGAAACUCUUGAACCACUGCGAUAUCUACGAUCUUCAGCUCCUCAACUAUCGUAUCCACGACAAUCACCAAAUAACCUUGACAACCCCCAUCUAAUAAAUGGGUUGCCUCAAGCGAAGAGAUUAAGGUAAUCGAGGGUCCUCCUUGACUCCCAAUAAACUCAAAACUUUCACCCGCUAGCGGGUUAAACUGAAUCGCUUUACGAUAGCAGUCCAUUUUAGCGCGUUGUUUGGUGAGUAUGCCAAUUAUUACAUCGAAAUCAUACAUGGCUAGGACUAUCAAAUCUAUCCUCCAUUCCCGCUCACCAAUCACUAACUUGCAACUAGGACAACCCAUCAUAAACAACACCUUAUCCUUUAAUGGUGUAGAUAUGCUAACCACUGACUCCAACAACUUAGGACUCAAUCCUACCAGCUUAACAAAUUACUCAACUAUAAACGAAUGAGUUGUGUCACGUCCCGAUCCUCGAACGUGUGCCCAUCCCUCACAUGGUCGAUUAAUAGCGAUGUUCCAGGACGCAUCGCUGACCCAUUUCUUUUUAUACGCAUGAGGAAGCAUAAGAUAAUCCCUAGACAAUAAAACAUUUGGAUAGAAAAGUAGGAUUAAAAACUUGAAAUUGGAAACACCCACACACUUAUAUACAUUGCAAUUCAUUAUGCAAAUAUAUACAAGAUCAACUACUAAGUCCGGUCCUACUCAAGCUUGCUCAACAAUGAAGUCUAAAGAUAGGGGUGAGGUUUCAGUCCUUUGCUGAGUCCUCAUCUGGGUUCUUCUCCUGCUCAACGAACUCUCUUCCUUCCACGCUCCCGCUGGAUAGGCUCUAGCAUACUCAGGUGAUACUGGGUCUUCAAGAUCGGGAGUCACCGGGUCAAUCACCUCUCCACCUCUGGGUUCUGCAAUGCUCUCUCCAUACACUACUUCCAAAGCAUACUUAGGCACCUCAAAUUCCGGUAUCAGGCCCACCCUUCGCCUAUUGCUAUAGUAUCGAUACCAUGCCUGGUAUUGAUGGGGCACCUUAUGGGGUUUACCCAUCUCAACCUAGACAAUGGAUUUCACCAUUACGUACUCCAAUCCUUCCACGUGCCUUGGCAUUGGCACAUGGAGCUUCUCUUUGGUGAUUUCCUCCGGUAAACCAAAACCCAUGGGAGGAGGUAGAGGUACUGCCAUUUACGGGCCUGAAAUGGUUAUUCAAUAACCAAUGAGACAACGUCUCAGCGAGUUCUACCCUCUAAGACUCGAUUAGUAAACCAAUACGCUAUCCGGGCCACUUAUACACGCACGGGUCAAAGGACUUACCUUGGCCUUAGAUUCCAUAUACAAAUCAGCACAGUUCAAUAGGCACCCAAUCAUAAUAUCACAGAUCGAUAUCUCGAUCAAUCGACCUAAUCGAUUACAUGUCAAUCGGACCAUUCACCAGUCGUUUCCAUCCAUACUAUGCAAUUUAUAAGAUAGUAUACCUAGUCGCCAAGCCACGUGCAUUCUCUAAGGUAUCAUAUAUGCCAAGGCGAUGUACUUAAUCACAGAGCCACGUGCAUUCUCUAAGGUGCCAUAUCACCAAGGCGACGUACUAAUCACUGAGCCCCGUGCAUUCUCUAAGGCGACUUAUACGCCAAGGCGAUGUACUAAUUAUCAAGCCACGUGGAUUCUCUAAGGUGAUAUACCAAAUUACUGAGCUACGUCACACAGCAUUUCUUCUCAUCUUUUAUCAUACCUGAUAAAAUAUCGUACGUGGGCACACGGUUGGCCUUAGGCAAAAAUAUAAUAUUUUCAUUUCCAUAACUUCCACAUUUUCUGCAAUCUACUAAAACAUUUUUGGCAUUAUCAACCGAUGCCUGGUUAAUUUUUCAGUUAAUAACCAACAUUAUUCGAUUUAGGAAAUACAUCAUGAAUUCACAAAUAAUUCAUUUCAGCACAAAAUAAAGCUCAAUUAAAUAAACAGACUACGCCACGACAAUUAGCAUAAAAUUAUGAUCGUUGACUAUCCCUGCCUAAUUUUCGAAAAUUAAAUAAUUAAAUAAUUAAUUUCGAAAAUUAAUAAAUAAAUACUAAAAAUCCAAUUUAUACUCGUAAUGCCUAAUUGGACGCCAGAACAGAUCGGGAAAAAAUCCUGAGAUACAUUCAAUAAAUACAAGUACAUCUCUACUUGCUAAUUACACGAAUCAAACACCUAACAUGCAUCAUUAAGUCACUAAUUAAAUUAUUCUAAACUAAUCUAACCACCUAAUCAUGCUUAAUUAACGCUAAUCAACCACUAAGCAUCAUUAGCAAUUAAACAAUGAUUAUUGAGCUAAACUCACCCGUUUAACAAUCCGUUCGGAUUGAAACGUCGGGAACGUCCCAAUGGACGUUUAACUCCAAAGCGGGCCUCGGGUUUGGGGCCCGUAAACACCUCAAAGUGGCCUUAGAACCUUGCUGGAAACCCACUAGCUGAGUUGUUGGUCUUGGCGGCGAAGGGCAGCUCCGGUUGAGUUCCUCAGGUCACAGCACAGUGGCUGGACGGCGAGGGGAGGUGAGUAAGGUGGACGGCGUGCGUGGCUUGGCGCGGGUGGAGGCGGAGCGGCAACCAAUGGUGGCACGGCUACUGGCGGCUUAGCAUGCAAUGGCUGGACGACGUGGCUGCUCCUUCCGCUGGCUUCUGCUAGCGUCUUCCUUGCUGGUUGGGGGUGUUGCACGAAGCAAGAGGGAGAGGAGAGAGAUAUGGACAGUGGAGUGAGUGAGAGAGAGAGAGAGGAUAAAGGAGAGAUGGAAGGUCCCUUGGCCAAUAUUUUCCACACCCUUGUCCCCUACAAGCUUGUCCACCAAGCCAGCCCUCCAUGGCUGUCAAUUGGCCACCAAGGCACUCCCCCACAACUUGUCAAAUGGUCCAAAAAUGCUAGGGGGAAUGGGGCACACGAAUUUGACAUCAUUUGGCUUUAAUUGGAUUCCUCAACUUACUUAAUUUAAUCUCAAUUGGCCAUAGUAAAUUCAAUUGAUGCCUCAUUGAUCCUCUUAGAAUUUUUCCUCACCCACAUAUCCAUCUUGCUUCCCAUUUUUGCAACAAAAAUUAAUCCCCAGCCUUUUCUGCACAAAACAGUCAUAAAUUAACUUUUUCCCAAAAAACAUCGGUUGUCAGAAAAAUCUUCUGAGACUGAGUCGUGAAUCCUAGAAUUUAUUGUGACAUGACAGAAUCUUCAAUUUCUGAAAUUGGACUUGAAUUGGUAGUUAAUUUCCAUUCGGCGCGUUUUUAGCAUGAUCUAGACUACUUAGUAGUUUUCAUAACUUUUUAGAGCAAAUGACCCCUGGUCGAUUUUCUUUAAGCCAUUAUGAAUCCACUCAACUCAAUGGCAACUCUCAAUUGUUGUGAAAAUCUCGAGGAUUCAAUUAUCGACACAGAGUACCAAAACGACACUAAAAUCAGAUUAGUACUGGUUGACGAGAAUUUUCCAAUUUAGUGGAGUCACCCAUGAUCAGCCACACAUCUUAGUCGAACAGACCUACCUCUGAUCUCAAAUCGAUUUUUAACUGUGCCGUAAUGACCUCUAAAGAUAAGCACGGUCGAAAAGCCGAUUCCUAGUUGAAUUCUCAAGUCUAUUUGCUUUAAAGUCCUUAAUAGCUUCCCCAGACAGUCAAGUUAUCUCGAGAGUGAUCAGCUCUGAGAACAAUCCUAUAGGCACGUCAAUGAAAUGCUCGAUUAAUUCAGUAGAAAAUAGGGUUGGAAAUAUGGGAUGUCACAAGUUGCACCAGGGUCAAAUAAAGCAUAAGUAGCGUUGUUGUUCAAUGAGACCGUACCUGUGAUCACAUCAGGAGAGUCCUCUGCUUGUCCUCUGGUGAUGGCGUAUAGCCUUCCCUGUGCUGGAGGCCUAUUCUAUCCACCCUAUUAUGCAAUUUGUGGCGCGAACCCUCUAUUCUAACCUAUCGGUGGCGACGGCAGCAACUAUUAUGGUCCCAUCUGUCUUCUGAGACAAUCUCUAACUUAGUGGCCUUGCUGGCCACACCCAUAACAAGCACCCGGCCUAGAAUGGCACGGGGCCGAUCCAUGUCGCCUUCAACAGAAGCAACACACGUCCAUCUGACUCGGCGCUAACUUACCUACUCCACCUUUCCUGUUAGGUGGGACAGGGAAUCUUCCUCCUGUCAUAGGUCUCUUCUCAAACCUAUUUCCAUCUCUAUUUGAACUAAACCGCGACCCAGAUGUAGCGGCUUAUUCGUUCAGAUUCCUUUCUAUUAGCUAGGCUCGACCGUACAGCUCAUUGUAAUCCUUCAGGUCGAAUGGCACCAGCGGAUUCUUCAGCUCUAGUCAAAGGCUAUUUCUGAACCUCUAAGCUCUAUCUUCCAGAUCCUUCACCAGUCUAGGAGCGUAUUGCGAUAGCUCCGCAAACUUAGCUUCAUACUGAUCCACUAUUAGCAUGCCUUGACGGAGGUGUUGGGAUUCCUCCAUCUUCUACUCUCGGGCACUAUUAGAAAGAUACUUGCUAGUGAAGGCUCUCAGGAGGGCGUUCUACACCGGAACCUCACCUUCAGGGACUACUCUGGCUCUAGUGGCCCUCUACUAGGUACUCGAAUUACCCUGCAGUUGAUACACUGCUAGGUACUAGUGCUGGCCUGAGCCAAUGCUUAACCACAACCACCUCGAGUACCGACUCUUGUCGGCAUCCUACCCCGAGUUAUUGGUCCCAUGGUCCUCUUCCUAGGAGUCAUCUGCUCCUAAUCACUCAUUAUGCAAGUUCUUUACAGAAACCUGAUUUCCAAUUCUACACAGAAUUAGAAGCUGAGCGAUCACACCAAACAAGCUACUAAACAACUAUCACUCAUAUGCAUCAGCAUAAAAUAAAAGCCGUUCCUACGAACUAUCCCAUGAACCCUCGCACCUUAUCACUCCAACUAUCGACCAGCUCUGGUACCACUCCGGGCGGGGAUGUCACACCCCGGAGCUUCGAGCGCACACACAUCUCUCGUUGGUCAAUGAAAUUGCGACGUCCCAGGACGCGUCGCCAACCCAUUUAUUUUAUUGUACAUACGGAAACGAAUAAAACAAACCCCUGAUAGCAAAUAGCAUGAGAUGGAAAAGCAAAAUAACAAAUUCACAACCAAAACACACUUUUAUACACAAACUAAGUUAUAUACAAAACUAGUCUGUCUACCAAAAAGAUCAUCCCUCAAAAAGGAAACUAUCCUACAGUCCACUAGUCGGAUGCGUUUACCGAUCCUUCGGACUCCACAAGCUUCGAGGGUGUCGAGUCCACCACAGCACCAUCAAGAGGGUCGGUUGUACCCUCACCAAAAGCGGCGUCGACUACCACAGUGGGGACCUCAAAUCCCUGGAGGGGACCAACUCUGUAUCCAUUGAGCCCGCGGCAAAACCAUGCCCUAAAUCGAUGAGGUACCCUUUGAGGUAGGCCCUCAUCGACCUAGACAGUGGUCACUACGAGCUCAUAGACCUAGACCCCGUGGCCUCUGGGAACAGGGUAGUUAGUAACUAGCUCGGUAACCUUCCGAGGCUACCCAUAGCGUACCGGUGGGGCCGCCAUCUAAGGACCUAAAAAGAAUUGAGCCCACAAUGAGAUGAGAAAAUGUCUCAACAAGUUCAACCCCUAAACUCUAACUAUAAAUGAAAUACGCCUAGCCACACAAUCACACAACCAUAGAGACUCACCUUGUCUCAGAUUCUCCUUGCAAAUUAGCACAGUUCAAAUACACAAUCAUAUGCAGUAAUCAAACUCAAUCAAUUGGAACGCCACCACUUUCAUCUCAAUAAACACAAGGGUCCCGAUUAUAAAGCCAAAUCGUUAUGACACGUCCCAUACCGUGCCACACAAUUUUGUCCUAUAAUCAGGCGUGUCAAAUCAAUCAAUCAUGUUUCUCAAUUGAUUACAACCCAAUUGCCACGGCCGACUCAACAGUUAGUGGUCUUUCGGCGUAGCCAGGCGUCGUCUCGCACCAUCGACCAUGGCAACGUCUACAUCUAGACGGAAUUCCACAUAGGAGCAUUGGUCUAGCCUCCACUGCGACUGACAUCCGUUGACCUAGGGCAUUCCCGAAGGAGCAUCGCCCGGUCCCAAAGGCUCGUGAUGGGUUCUCAUAUAAUUCAUGCACCCAUCUAAUCCUAGCCAAGACAUCGUGCUUUGCAUUCAAAUGUCCUAAUUAAAAUAAUGUACUUAGCAUAUUUUCUUCCUAUUAAAAACACACGGUAAAAUAAACGUGCGUGGUUACACAGUCAAUUUGAACCAAAAAAACUUAUACCCUUCUUUUUAAAAUCCCAUUAUUUGGUAUAGUAUUUAAAAUUAUUUUCGGUGUCAAAAUCCGACACUCGGAAUUUUAUAAUUAAAUAUCGAAAUUUCACAAUUUUUGAAUAAAUAAUCAAAUUUCCAAUCACCACUCAAUUUGCAUAAAUUAACACUCAAUUGCAUAAACUAAGCACGCCAUUGCAAUUAGCACGAAAUUCCAGUCACCGGCUAUCCCAGUGUAAUUUCCAAAAAAUAUUAAAUAAUUAAAUAAAUUGGAAAAAAAAUUAAUUAAACCAAUUGAAAUACCAUAAAUACCAACUUAGGCCGAAAAUACUAAUCUAACCACCUGAACGGGCCUAGAAAAUUUUCGAACCUAACUAGAUAAAUAGUACAAUCUAUCUAGUCUCUAAUUAGUAUAUUCUAACCACCUAACAUGUAUAAUUGAACAAUUAAAUCACUAAUCUAAACUAACUAACCACAUAAUCCUUAAUUUGCUUAAACUAAUUAUCCACUAAGCAUCAUUAACUCCAUAAGCAGAGUUUAACAAGUAAACACACCGGUUUAGCGGGCUAGUGAGUCCACGACGUCGAUGACGCAGAGGUGAGCGAUACUGGAGCCUGCGGCGACACCAAUGGAGGUCCGGACGGGCCUUAAAACGGGCCACAAGCUCUUAGCUAGGGGCUAAGCUUCAGCCACUGCUCGGGGCUACUGGGCUGGAUCGAAGGGGCUAAAACGGCACGAGAUGGGAGGCGGUGGCUACAGUGACUCUAGGUGGUGAUUCCGGCUGACUAGACAGCAACGAACAGCGACUGGACGGCAACCAGGAGGUCUCAACAAUGGCCAGGACACGCGGGGGAUGGCGAACGAGUGGGACGUGAGCUGGGCAGACGGACGGCUCACAGGCGGCGUGCAAGCUCGCGACAAGCAAACGGGUGGCAAGGGGGGCUUUGGCGGCGAUCGACAAGCUAGGGGGAGGGCUUGCCGGUUUCUCUAGUUUUUCUCAAGCUCUAAAACUCUCAACAAUGGAUAAAGUGGGCUCAAGGAGGGAGAUGAAGAUAGCUGUAGCAAGAAGGGGACCCAAUGGCCUCAAAUAUCCAACAAAAUGCUCAUUGCUUGGUCCCCACUUGAUCAGCCCUAUCCUCAGCCAUUUUUCCUUACUCAAACUUCCCCUAGAAGCUUCUCUAAAUGGUUCAAAUGUUGCUGCACCCCCUUGGCUACGAAUUUGGACAAUUCCCUCCAAAUUUCAUUCGAUUCCCAUCCAAUUGAGCUCAAAUUGGAGUCCAAAAAUUCAGUCAAUGUGCCAUCGUCCAUCUCAUGAUUUUUCCUCAUCAAUUGAACCAACUUAAUGGUCAAAAAUGCGACAAAAAAGGCCCUCUAAUUUUCUUGGUCCAAAAUAGCCUUACUUUGAUUUUUUGCCAAAAUCUCGAGUUUGCAGAAAAAUCUUCAAAUGAUGAGUCAAUGUUCCUAAAAUGAAUUGUGAAUGACAGAACUUUCAAUUUCUUAAAUUGGGUUUAAAUUCACCACUAAUUUAAACCAGACACAAUUUUAACAUGAUCUAGCCUACCGAGUAGCUCUUAAAAUUUUUUAGUGCAAUUGACCUGUGAUUGAUUAUUUUCGAGCCACAUUGUGCAUCUUCGACACAUUGACGACUCUCGGUUAUCGUGAAAAUCUCAAGGUUUCAAAUAUGGGCAUAGGAUACAGAAAUAAUAGAAAAAUUGGUCUAGUGCUGUUGACAGAAAUUUUGCAAUCCGGUGGAAUCGCCUACACACUAAUUACAUACCUCUAUCGAAUCGACCUAUCUCCGGUCUCUGAUCGAUUUUGAUAGUGUCGUAUUGACCCUUGCAAAUUAGCAUGGUCGAGUAGUUGAUUUCUGGUCGAAUUCUCAAGUUUAUUGCGUCAAAAUCCUUAACUGCUUCACCAGAUAGACUAGUUAUCUCGUGAGUAAUCAGCUCAGAGAAUAGAACUAUGGGUGCGUCGAUGAAAAGCCAAACUUAUUCAAUUGAAAAUAGAAUUGGAAUUUCGGGAUGUCACAGGACUCCCUCACAAGAGCGAAGGUAGGGUGACUGGAUGUAACACUCACCUCCAUGAUGAACUUUCUGAUGUAUCCAAUGCCUCUUAUCACCAGCACUUUGCUCUUCUCGGCCAUCUCAGAGGGUUCUUUUACGGCGGAGGUGCGAUUCUUCCCGGCAAACUUUCCCUGUCUUGUGCUGCAACUGUUGUUGGCUGUUGGCACGCAUUGAGAUGAAUCGUCCUUUUAUUUUGGUUCCAAAAGAGUAUAAUUGUCUUUUCGGUGAAUUGACUUUCCCACCCCCAUCACCCGUCGCCCGGAAAAUGAGUACACAAAAAAGUGGUCUACGAAAGAGAAGAAAUUUACGGUGGAGAAUGAGUACGUGACGUGAAUUUUUUUUAAAUAACAACUUGACUUACUAAAAGUUGUCUAAAUUUGAUCAAGAAAAUUGAUUAUUGUGUCGACCAAACCUCCAUUGAGAUAGAAAAGAAAUCAAUUGUUCUGAUUUAUGAUUGGCUGCGUGUUCUUUACAAAAUUCAAAAAUGAUAACUCUCCUGUUAAAAACAGAUGUUGUUGACUGUUACUUUCUGACAAAAUAAGCUAUUUAAUCUUUUUUUCAUUAGAUAUUCCUGACUUAUGAUGAGUUUUGGAAAACCGAACCAAACACACACUUAGUUAGACAAUAAUCCACAAUAUAUCAAGUUUUGGAAUAAGAAUUUGGCUCAAGAUUUAUCCAGAUUCAUCGGGCAUGCUUCUUUUUCUUCCCGUUUGUUCCCUCGCAGCCUCUUAGAAUCCCCCAAAACAUUAACGAUGAUUCAAAAUUACGACAAGUUUGACAGUCGGUUUACGCCUAUUUUAACUUGUUAUUCUUUUAGACGAGAAAGAUAACAUGACAUACAAAAAUAGAGAAACCCGUGUCUUUGUGUUAGCUUCGAUUAGCCCAUGAACCCAUAUCAAACUCCAAAACAGAAGCAACUUCUCCAAGCACCGCAGAGACGCGCCACAUUGAACAUUCAUACUUUAUAGUGUCCUCAGACUUGGGGGUUGUACAUGCCAUGUGAUGAUCAGCAGAAGCGACAUUUCACACUAGGAUCCUGAGAAGCAGCAUCCUAUAUUAUUUAUUACCGCACAGUGAUGUGAGAAAUUUACAAGCAUGUUCGGUUUCGAUAAUCAAACAAAUUGAUCGAGGUACUGAUCCACGGUCAUGUAUUUGACAUCGGGGUAGAGCUCUGAAGCUUCCACUCCGAAUGAUGGCUCAAUCUCGAAGUUCGCUUGGUCUCCUUUCACGAAGACAGAAUGGGAUAAUGCCAAUAUCAUGUUGUGUGGAACCGCCGCCUCUGCAAUAUGAUCGGACAAGCUUUAAAUGUCAGAGAGAACAGAGAGGAUUUCAGGCACUUAAAUCCAAUAAAAAUGCAUCCCUGACCUUGAAUGUUCUUCAGAACCUGUUCCUCUGGAACAUACACCCUCUCUAGGGUCUUGCCGAUCUUUCUCUCCCACAAAGACACGAGCUCAUUCAUCGAGUAGGUGUUGGCAGGAGGUUUGAUAUACAAAAUUUUGUCCAAGGUCCUUGGAUCAUCCACAGCUUUGAUGGUAUAGGUGCCGAUGUCAUCCUCCUUGUUAAACACCGCUACAUAUUGACAGGGAGAGUUUUACAAUUUGGCUAAUAAAUAAAUCACAGAGCCAUCGAUCUUCCUAGGGCUACUUUCGGCUCACAUUGAAGAAGAAUUAUCUUAUCAAACAGAUUCAUUAGACAACAUGCAGACAAAUGCAUUCAUAUGUUCUUUUCCCAAACAAAUACAUAAAGAGAACCUUCGUGAUCUGCCCGCUAGGUGGUAUUAUGCCAAGAUAAACCACAACACAUUCAUAUCACAUAUUAGUCUCUGAAAUUGAAGACUAAUGGAUGUAAGAGUCCCAUUAUCUCCAGACAAGGACGUUACCCUGAAAUUAUCAAGCUUCAAGAAUUGCCUCUCACUUUGAUCACUACUGUAAUUAAUUCGUUGUUAAUGUACAAAAAAAAUAUUAACUAAUUAAAAUGCGCAUUUCAAUGAAUUGCUUCUUACCUUUUGCAUUUCCAUCCCCUAAGAUUACAACUUUAUCUCUAGGGGGAGCUGUAGCCUCGGGCUGUGACAAUGUCGGAAGGUAGUAACUUCCAAAAGAGUUUGAAGCCACAUAUGUAUAAGGGAUUCCCUCAGCCUCAACAAGGCGGCGGAUCUUGGCUUUGAUAGCAUAUCCAUUUUUUGCAGGCUCCACAGCAUGGACACGAUCCACAUCAGUUCCAAACUCUGAAGGCAAGAAUCUCUAAAUAGAAAAUUAAUUUAUUCAGAAGAGGCAUUUUUAUUAGAAAGCAACAAAAAACUAGAGCGCAUUCCCCUCAUCCAACAAAUUUACAUGAGUUCUGUCAAAAAGAGAAACCAAACUCAUAUGAGACUGAAUUUCACUUUUUUCUUCAAUAUGUGACUAGAACAUAGCGACAAUAAAAACAAACACUAGCCAAACGAGGCCCAACGACCUCGCCGAACCCUUGCCAGCCCCUGGUGAGGUCACCCCAAGCUCAUCGAUUGCCAGCGAGGCCCCCUUAACCUUGCCCAACCACCAUGAGGUUGGCAAUGCCUAGGUGGGCAACGCCGACCUUGUGGUGGCCGGGUGAGGUUGAGCCUCGCAGGUCGCCUCGUCAGUCGUUGGCCAACCAUGGCCAAGGCCGACGAUCGACUAGAGGAAGGAAAAGAAAAGGAAAAAAAGAAAAAUGUAAUAAAAUUAUUAAUAAAUUAAAAGAAAUUUCAAAUCACAAAAAUAUUUGGGAUCGUACCAAAUGCAUUUUUGUUCCAAGGAUAAAAAAUUGUGUAGUUAUCAAACGCAUUUAAAUGCUCAAAAACAUGUUCAGAAUAGAAACAGGAAAAAUUAUUUUUGAACAGAAAUUGUUCCCGAAAACAGAAAUAUCACCAUACGUACCCUAAGUGCUAUUAGAAAAGUAGAAGAAAAGAAAAUUGAAGAUUUAAUUGUUAGGGCAAUAGCCAGAUAACUUUGUCAAGUAUAAAAUAUGCAAAGAUGCUGCUUGCUUGGACACUUUUCACAAGUAUUAAAAUAUCAGGUAAGUUCUAACCAUCAACCCCCUCAAAGCAACAAGUACUAAACUAUCCACUAGCUGGGUUCUAAAAACUUAUUUGCUACAUUAAUAAUUCUACCGAAAAAGACCAUUUGAAGGAUUAAGUAGUUCAUGUUUCUCAUUAUUGUUCAAAGAGCGGGGUACAUGACUGUAAUCCAUAUUGAGUGCUUAAAACCUUUUGACUUUUUCGAUGACCUAGAGGAAAAAACAUAACCAUGGUGAAGCCAGCAUUGUCCGGUACUUGAAUUUGAAAUAGUUAGCCUCAAAUUUCACCGACGACUUCUACACAAAGUUAUGACCAUUUAAAAAGGAAAGAAGUGAAGUCUAUAGAUAAAAAGUGAAUCCAUCCCAUUUCAUCAAAGCAGAGCUCACAAUAAGAACGUGAUGCACUCAUACUAGAAGAAAAGACUUAGGCUAACAACUAACACCAACCUAUAUCGUCAAUCAAAUGCUAAACAAACAAUAAUAACUCGAAAUGAAAUUACUAGACACGGCACAACCUUGAUAUUCCCGGCUGCUUUGAUGGCUGCAACAAUCCUGUCUUGGUCUUCUAGCUGUGCUCGCCCCACAGCAGAGAUUACCACAUCAACUUGCUUAAUCGCACUCAACAGACUCUUUUGAUCGUAUAUGUCUCCCUGAGAAUCAAAUAACCAAGAGCAUGGAAAAACAAUCAAUAAAGUGAGCAAUCAUCAACCGAUCCAAUUUUGGCCAGUAGGACGACUAUGAAAAAGGAGAAAUACGAAAUCUGAUGUAGAUAAGACUUCAAUACCUUCACCAGACGAGAAAAAGUGUUAUGAGAAAUUUGAAAAAAAAAAAAAAGCUGCUAUCCACAGAAUUCUUGUCCAUGCAUUACCUACCAAUCUUUUGAAAGGUUACAACAAGGUAUUUGCAAUGACAUCUGAAUUACAGAUCAGCCACAUGUACUUCUGUAUAAAAAUUCAUCUACACAGUACGAAACAUAUGGAAAUUUUCAUAAUAUUUGCCUAAAAAUGGAAACUUUUACAAGAUUUGUCUAAAAAUGUACACGUUCGUUUCAGCAUGCGAAGCUAAGGAGAUUCGCCAGUCAGUGUGAAAGACGAGAGGGAGAUUGUUUCUGGUUUCGCCAACUUACGAGGCCGAAAUAUCAGAGAAGAUAAAAAGCAACGCCGAAUUGUGACAUGACUCCAUCAACUCGAUCUUGUGAAAGAUAAAGAUGAAAAUCGACUCCGAUGCUACUGGUUAAAGACAUUUCUCAGAAUUCCGAGCAUGAUCAAAUGGCAAGGGACGCUUCGAUUCCUCAAAGCGGCACCAAAUGUGGGAAACGACCAAAUCACACGGGAAUAACUACUCACAUGGACUAGGUUCACGCUUAAGCUCUUGAAACCUUCGAUGAUUUCGGCCUUGGCGGGGUUGGAGAGAGUGGACUCCCUCACAAGAGCAAAGGUAGGGCGACCGGACUUAGCACUCGCUUUCACGAUGAACUUUCCAAUUUCUCCGGUGCCUCCGAUCACCAGGACUCUGCUCUUCUCUGCCAUCUUGGAGGGUCUUUUCACAGCGGGCGUGGUGUUUUCCGGCGAACUUGAUCAGAGAGAGAGAGAGAGAGAGAGAGAGAGAGAGAGAGAGCUAAAGCGGGGGGUUCCUGUCUUCGUGACGGGACGGAGUGUCAUUGGGAUGAUUCUGGAAGGCAUAAUCGUCUUUUCAUUGAAAUAAUUUUUCUUANNNNNNNNNNNNNNNNNNNNNNNNNNNNNNNNNNNNNNNNNNNNNNNNNNNNNNNNNNNNNNNNNNNNNNNNNNNNNNNNNNNNNNNNNNNNNNNNNNNNUUGAUUUAUUUGUUUCAGUCGUAGAUGAUCUAGGCGGUGCUGUGUUCAUAUCUGGCUCAUUUAGCCACAAUUAGGUUGAUAUUUAGGAAAUGCAAAGGUGAGCAGCGCGUCUGCAAGUUGUUUAAGGCCCCAGACCUACCGAAAGCUGAAGCUAAGUCGAUACUGAGUCUACAUAUAGAUAGGUGGAGACCUGAUUUAAGCAGGGUGCUCAUAGUAUACUUGAUGGUGUAUGGAGAUCCAUGAACACGUUGAAUACAAAUUUUGUGCAGAGUAAUUAAACAAAAAGAAGUGGAUAUCCAGAAUUUUUUUAAGCAGGACUCCUAAGUUAGUUGUGCAGCCUAUGCUAUGUAAACUGCACAUCUAUCAAAACCAUCACUUACUUAUGUAAGAAAUUUUAGCAAGAGCUCAUAUGUCAAUAGGGUGAGAUCGACAAACACAUUGUCACGCCCCGAACUCGGAGCGCGUGCCCAUCCCUCUCUGGUCGAUAAAAUUUUGCGACUUCCCAGGACAAGUCGCCGACCCAUUGAUUUUUAAGCACAUGCAGAAACGAAAAUAAAUCCCCUGACAAUAAUCAUCUUGGGAUAGAAAAGCAUGAUGUCAAUUCAUAAAAGCACACUUUUACAAACAACGAGAUUCGGGCACAAAACGAGUUUAGUCGAAAGCCUACAAAAAUGUUGACUCUCACAAGAGUUUAGUCGAAAGCAUAUCUUGUUAAAGAAAAUUCUAAACUAUCAUUUCCUGCUCCCGAAGAAUUCAUUGACCCACAAAACAGAUAUCUUCAUGCUCCAAAAAUAGCAACCCCCACUAAUGUGGAUGAACAUGGGAGACAGAAAAAAAAAACCCCUACUGCUAAAGCUGUUCUAAACUGGCAAUCAGAGAUUCUGUUGGCACAAAACAAUGCCUUCAAGGCUUCAUGCCUUGGAAUCAGGACAACAAGAGAUUCUGUUGAUUCCAAAAUUGGAAAUGUGCAACAAGAUCUUCGAAGGUAUGAUGAAAGUACCAAAAAGAUACUUCUGAGUUCCAGAAAAGGCUUCAGGCCUUGGAAUCAGGACAACAUCUUGGGUAUCAUUAUCUUGAAAGUUCAAAGCCAGAAAUAGAAAAGCUCAAAAGGCAAAUCCAACUUCUUGAAGAAGGAAUGUUCAGACCUUUUGAUCCAUUAGCACCUCCUGUUAGAACUGGGUAUUUACCUCCACCUCCACAGACGUCUAUUUUUGCCACCAUUCUAGAAGAUCCCUAUAGAAGAGAACUGGAUAUGGCAGAAAUACGAAAUCGCCUCAAGGCACUGCAGAAGGAAAAAGGGAAAGAAAAAAUGCCGCCAAAAUCAAGUUCAAUUGUUAUAAGAGAAAGGCCAGAUCAGAUGAUGUUAUCCAAUCCAUUAGAAUCUUUUCUAAAGGAUUUGGGUACCCAGGAACUUGACCCUGUCAUCCAACAACCUGAUCCUGCCAUUCUAGAAAAACAGAUUCUACUCCCAGCUGAACAAACUUCUCCUGAUAUUGAAUCAGAUUUAGCAUCUCUUUCCUCCUCUUCAUCCUUCUCAAUUCCCAUAGUGGAUUCCCUCCCCAUUGCGCCAGUAACUUCAUCAUAUCAUGGCUGACCCCCCAGAUGAUGAAAUGGAAUCCAACUAUUCUGAGCCAGAAAUUGCUCAGACGAGCAAUCCCGCACAGCAUGUGUCCAUAGCAUCAAAACAAUUUUUCACUAUUGAUGAUAUUCCUUAUCACAAAUGGCCAGAAAGACUUGAAGAAUUUCAUACUUGGUUGAAUACUCAGUCCAUCACCAACCAUGAUAUGAAUGAUGUCCUUUACAACUUUGUUACAAGGUUCACAGGAAGCCUUAGACUCUGGUGGCAAUCAAUUUCAGAACAAGACCAUAUCCAUUUUCUGAUGUCACCUAAUUUCAGCCAUGCCAUCACUCUCUUAUAUCAUGUCUUUGUGGGAAAACCCACUGAUCUCAUAGAGAUAAAAAGAAGAGAGUUUUUGAGAGAAAAUGCUGCUCCCUCCAGGAGAAGCAUCUUGAUAAGCAUUAUCGAGUAAUGCUUCAGCUCUUUUACCAAGUCGGCGCAGAUCCAAAUCUGAAGCAUGUUUUCCUUACUUCUAUCCCCAAAGAACUAUCCCAAAUGGUUGAAAGAUCUUUCUUUGGAAAACAAAGGAGAAUACAAGAUAUUCCCCUGGGAGAAAUACAACAAGAAGUUCAUUUAUGUCUCAAAGAAUUAUGCUUAAAGCGCUAGAUGGUCCGUACCUACAUCACAGAUGACAAGUGCCUUGAAUCAGCUUGUUCUCGCUAGAAGUUAAAAAUCAAAUGCUCCAAGCAAGACUGUGAUGAUACUUGUGGCAAGUAUUCCCGGAAGAAAAAACACUACAAGAAGUUCUGGAUAAAAAAAUCCAAACAUGGCUCCAAGCAUUUCAGGAAAAAGAAGAAAUGGCGACACCUACGCAAAAGAAAGGAUCGCACAGGCCAUAAGAAAUCAAACCGUUGCUACAUUUGCAAUCAGAAAGGAUAUUUUGCCAAAAAUUGUCCUCAAGCGAGAAAAUGUCAGAAUCGUCUAAUUCAUUACAUUGAGAAUGAAACAGGUAUUUCUCUUGAAAAUGAUGAUAUUUAAUCCUUAUUCUAUGCCGACGAAGAACCAUCUGAACAAACUCUUUGUGUCAUUCCCUCUUACCAAACUUCCAGUGAGACUGAGUCAGACUCAGAAUCUGAAGACAUUUUUCACAUAUCCCCCACAUCUUCAGAACCAAACCUUGACAUAUUUUCAAGUCAAACUCACUGUCCCCAUUUCCCUGUAAAAAUCCUCACCUCGAAGUUUGCCAAACCUAUCACUGUCAUUGCUCUCAUUGAUACCGGAGCAAGUUGUUCCAUCUUAGAUACUAAAGUUCCGCUUGAAGAAUAUUAGACUCCCUAUGUCCGAUAUUUCAACUCCGCUUCUAGAGAUACUUUCUCCACAAAUGUCAUGACUACUCCUGUAACUGUUCAGUUCUUUCCUCAGUGCUCCAUAAAUGCAAAAAUCUUUGGAUCAAACCACCCCAAUAAAGAUCUGAUAAUUGGGUGGGACAUCAUGACUCAAAUCUCUCAGCUUCGAAUCAUCCCUGGAAAAGGUCUUAGAUAUAAAGACCAAUUCUCCGAGUUUGUCAACAUUCAGAGACUCUUUUCCAUUCAAAUGAGUUUAUUAGAUCCAAUCAUGCAAAAGUUGCUAGAAUCUUGUUUGGAAUCCCAUUCAGAAUUCGCUCAAAAGUGUUCCCAUCAUUUAUGGGAAAAUCUAGAGUUCUUUGUUCGCAUUCCCUUAAAAAAGAAUGAAGACAUAAAUCCAACCAAAGCGAGUCAUAUGGGAAUGAAGCCAAAACAUUUGGCUUUAGCUCAAAGGGAAUGCUCAGAACUAUUGCAGCAAGGCCUUAUUGAAAUCUCCAAUUCUCAAUGGGCUUGCGAAGCCUUUUAUGUCAAUAAACGUGCUGAGCAAAAUAGGGGAAAAAUGAGACUGGUAAUCAACUAUCAACUUCUCAACCUUUUUCUCCAAGAUGAUAAAUUUCCUUUACCAUCCAGAGAUUCUCUCUUUACUGGUCUAACCAAGGCCCAUAUCUAUUCCAAAUUCAACCUCAAAGCCAGAUUUUGGCAAUUGGGCAUCCAUCCUGAAGACAGAUCCAAAAUAGGAUUCUAUAUUUGAACCAGCACUUCCAAUGGAAAGUUCUUCUUUUUGGCCUAAAGGUAGCACCAUCCCUUUUCCAAAAGGCCAUGUGUCGUAUUUUCCAACCAAUCUUGUCAAGUGCAGCCGUAUACAUCGACGAUAUUUUGCUCUAUAGUCCUGACGAGCAGUCCUAUUGUCAACUCCUUGAGCAGUUUGCAGAAAUCGUAAAAAAGCAUGGUAUUAUGCUUUCUCAAAGGAAAAUGAAUAUUGCCCAAACAGAAAUCGAAUUUCAUGGUAUGCACCUCAACAAAGGUAAAUACUAUCUAGGGCCACAUAUCGCUCAAGAAUUAUUGAAGUUUCCUGAAGAUAACUUCACGACAAAACAAGUUCAGCAAUUUCUUAGGAUAAUCAAUUAUCUCAGAGAUUUUGUCCCAAAUAUUGCAAAGCUCCUGAUUCCUUUGCAAUCUAUGCUGACGAAGAAUCCCCUACCUUGGCGAAAAACUCAGACCAAAGUAGUUGCUGAGCUUAAGGAGAUUAUGCAGAAUCUCCCAUCAUUACAAAUACCAUCAACAGGAAAAAGAAUUCUUCAAACUGACGCCAGUGAUGAAUACUGGGCAGCCAUCCCGUUCGAAGAAAUUGAUGGUAAGAGACACAUUUGUGCUCACAAAAGUGGAAAGUUUUCUCAAGCUGAAAUACAUUACCAUUCCACUUUCAAAGAAAUCCUAGCAGUAAAAAAUGAAAUCAAAAAAUUUGAGUUUCAUCUCAUCGGCCAUUACUUCCUGGUAGAAUUAGACAUGACAUCUUUUCCCCAGAUGACCAAGUUUAAACAGAAGUAGAUUCCAAAUUCCCAACUGCUUCGAUGGCCUGAAUGGUUCUCAAAGUACUCUUUUGAAACCAAACAUAUUCUUGGAAAAAAGAAUGUGCUUGCUGACUUUUUGUCAAGACCCAAAGCACCAGCUGAAAAAGAAUGUGAUAAAAAUCUUUUAGAUUUUCUAAACUGGUUCCAUCAUCCUACUCACUGGAAACAUCUCCUUGAAAAAGAACUGAGAACCAUGACACCAAACCUUGAAGUCCACACCAUCCUGUUUUUCCGAUGUCCAUGGUAUUUUUUCAGAAAUAAUGGCAAUAUUCUCGAUGCCCCACUGGAUAUAGGAACCACAUCCUAUAAACCACACUUGAACAGCCGAGAAGCUCAAAUUCACAAAUCUUAUCCAAGAUCUGUUAGAUUUUGUGAACACGAGUACCGAGAACUCUAGAGAAUCUUAUGCCAGGAAAACAAAACCAUUCCUGAAGAUGUUUGGAAUUAUGUACCCACUACAUGGGAUCAUUAUGACCUAGCACUAGAAGCUAAGGAAGCACUCGGGCAAUACAGACAAGCUGCAUCGUCCCAAAAGCAUGAAAUGACAAGCGAAGAUGACAUUGUCCAAUCUACUCAAGACCCCUAUGCACGCUUUGGAGGACCUCUGUCCUAGAAUCCCUACAAAUAGAGAUCUUCGUCCUUAUUCCAGAACAUGGACACAUCCUUUUAUCACAACCAUCCAAUUGGCCUUAGCCAAGCAUUCCUACCAACACUACAAGUGACAAUACAAACUGGGUAGAAGAAGAGGCAUCCCAUUGGGCUCAUGAACAAGCAUCCUCAUCAAGAAGGCUGAAUCAAAUCCUCUCACCUGAAGACCUUGAAGCCCUUGAGCAGAAAUACGAGGCACAUCUCCUAAAAGAUAGCUCAGAUGACUUAGUCUGUAGCUACAAUGCUCGUGACGGACGAGACCGCUGAGUCUGUACAAUUUCACUGUAGCAAAUCACUGUUCACUUUUACUGUAGCACUAGGCUAGGGAAAGUAAUGUUUACAGUACAAUUACUGUUCAUAGUGUGCGAAUAAUUCCCUCCCGGAAGUUUCCGGUGCCUCUGUUUGUUUCUGAACCCGUGAGCUUGGUCCCUGUGUACGUCCUUGUGACCUCUUAUUGUCUAUAUAAGGCAAGGAGGGUGUAUUGUUUUGGGCAGAGCCCCCUGAAGUAAAGUGUGUACUUUGUGAAAAACCUCUCCAUGGCUUUCUAAAUUCAUCUUCUUCUCUAGCCUGGUAGGAUCCUUCAAGAAAUGCAACUUGGGUAGGUUAGAAACGUUUCCAUCCUGGCAUCUCUUGGUGUCUCUAGGCUCUGAACUAAAGGGCUGAGUAGUUUUUUGCGAAAAGGCUGUCCUUGAAGGGCUUGAACGGGAGUUGUUCGCCCACUGUGGGAUGCAUAUCUGCAGAAAAUUUACUCUCAUUCCUUGGUUCUAAGUCUAGGUCCAUUCAUGACGACAUACCGAUAGGACAUAUCCACCGAUCCUCCAUACUCCUCCUCCUCACACUUCGAGACCUUGGUCUUCCACGACCACUUUCUAAGGACCUGAAAAUGGUUAUUCAAUAACCAGUGAGACAAUGUCUCAACAAGUCCCCCUACUAAACCCAUAUUAGGAGGGAAAUACGCUUCAGGGCGCUUUAGUCACAUAACCACACAAUUAGAACAGGGAACUUGCCUCGCCUCAGUUCCUUCUUGCAGGUCAGUUUAGUUCAUAUCUCAAAUGCAUGCAAUUUAUGCAUAUGACAAUUGAAACGCCUUACUUUUCUCAAUCAACUACAAGGGUUUCAGCCCGAUCCAUCACAAGAGUCCCAAUUAUAAAACUAAACCAUUAUGACCCGACCCAUACCAUGAGACAUAGUUUUGUCUCAUAAUCAGAUGCAUCAAACUUAGACAAUCAUGCAUUCCAAUUGUUAAUUAAGCCACUCAAGGCACUGUCGACAUCUAUGUUCGACAGUCUACUAGCAGAGCCAGGCAUUGUCUCUUCCCCAUUGAACACGGCUAUGUCUCAUUGACGGCAUUCCCGAAGGCGCAUAGGUCCAGAAUCUACUGCGACCCGAUACCCUAAUGCAUGGGUAACCCGAAAAGGGAUUUAGUAAUGUCCGGCAUAAUUGCACGAGACGGUUUCUCUUAAUCAACACACAAUCAAUCAAUUUCAGCCUUGGACACUGUACAUUGCAUUCAAAUGCCUCCAUUAAAAUGGUGAUCCUGGCCUACUUUCUUCGUAUUAAAAAUACACGGUAAAUUAGUAGUGUGUGGGUACACGGUUAGAUUAGACCCAGAAAAUUCAUGACCUUUUGAAAAUCCCACUAGUUUAUACAGUAUAUAAAACCAUUUUUGGUGUUUAAAAUCCAACACCCGAGAUUUUCUGAAUAAAAUUGAAAUUCACAAUUUUUGGAAUUAAAUAUUCAAAAUUCCAAUCAGCACUCAAUUUGCACAAAUUAACACUCAAUUGUAGAAAUUAACCACACCAUUGCAAUCAGCACGAAAUUCCGAUCACCAACUAUCCCGGACUAAUUUCCGGAAAAUAAUUAAUACUUAAAUAAUUUCUAAAAUUAAUUAAAUAAAUCAAUUUAUAUACCAAAAUGCCAACCUAGGCCAACAUCACUAAAUUAAAUACCAAUACAUACCCGGAAAAUUGCUGAACCCUUCUAGAUAAAUAACACAAUUUAUCUAGGCCUCACUUGAUCUAAUCUAACCACCUAACAUGCAUAAUUGCAUAAUUAAAUCACUAAAUUAAUCUAACUAACCACCUAAUUCCUAAUUAAAUAAAUUUAAACACCCCUUAGACGUCAUUAGCCUACUAAGAAGAGUUUAGUAAAUAAACUUACCGGUUAAUUGCAGAAACCGGUUCACCGCGACGACAACGCGACGACGGCCGAAAUCCGAAUUUUUGGCGAUGUCGACGAACACUCGGACCGGGCCCAAAGGCCUUGCAAGCCCACAGCAAAUUGUUGGGCUUGGUCUGGGCUUGGGCUGACUUGCUUUGCGGGCUUGGGUUUCAAAUGGGCCUGUUCGCCCACUGUGGGAUGCAUAUCUGCAGAAAAUUUACUCUCCUUCCCUGGUUCUAAGUCUAGGUCCAUUCAUGACGACAUACCGAUAGGACAAGAAAAUACUUUGGGCUUGUAGGACUGAAAUCAUGUGGCUUUGCUGGUCUUCGAGCUGGGGGAAAAGGCGCAGCCAUGGAUCUGCUUCGGUGGAGGGUUUUCGCUGCUGGUUGUUCAACUGAAGAAGACGCCAGGUGGGGCAGGCGUGCUGGCAGAAGAACGGAUGAAGAUGCUAGACGCUCGGUGGAACAAAGCAAGUGAUGGUGGGCUCACUUGUUGCUGGAUCGUGGGGGAAUGGUCAACAAAGGAGCUCUACUUGCAAGGAUGUUGACUGAAGCUUCAGUGGAUUUGGAAAACAAAAGGCCGAGGGGUGUUGGACGAUGGUGAAUGAUGAUGGUGAUGGGGGGCAGAGACGUGGGCUUCGCUGGGGACGUCGCAAAUCAAGGAAAGAAGACGUGGGGUCUUCGGCGGCAGCUUGAGGAACAAACGGGUAGAAGGGAGCGAAGAAAUCGUGGUUGCUUCGAUCGGGGUUGGACGCGUGAAAAAGGAAAGAAGAAGCAAGUGAGGAAUCGGUGGAAUAGCCGAGUGAAUAAAUAAAUAAAAAAUGAAAGAGAAACAUAUGUGCAAGGAGGAGGUCGGCGAAGAGUCGUGCAAGGAAAGUCAAGGUGGAGGGGCCCAAGGUCAAACAUUUAUCCCUUCCAUUGAUUACAUGUCUCCCCUAUUACUUUCCACCCAAUUUUCCAUCAAAAUAGUCCAAAUUGAAGUAAAAAAUUGAAGUCUCUUGCAAAGCUCCGAAUUUCCAUUUUUGGUCUUCAAUUUCCUCACUCAAUUCCCCAAAUUAAGGUCUAAUUUUGCCAAGGAAAAAGCCCGAACAAUUUUCUGUAAGUCUCUGACACUCAAAGGCUUGACUUGGAAGUCUCAAUUUUAGGGGUGAUCGAUUCUCGGUUCGGUCCGGUUCCAAGGUGGAACCGAGAACCGGACCGGGAGAAUCGGUUCCCAAUUUUGGGAACGGUGGACCGAACCAUUGGUCUUAGGACCGAGAACCGGACCGGACCAUCGGUUCCGGUCCUGUCCAGUCCGGUCCAAAAGAAUUGGCACUUUAUUUUUUCACUAAAGAAUGACAAUUCACUAAAGAAUAAUCAUGUUCCGGACCGAUCAAUCAAAUUCGGUUUCCGAGCAAUCUAAUAAAAUUACUCACACAUGUUUCCACGUGCAAAAUAUUCAAACUUUACUUGUGUGAAUAUCAAUCACAGUUUAUGUGUUUCAUGCUUAAUUUUAAGCAUAAAACCCAUGAACAACGUCAUUAAAGGUUGUGCUUGGCUUAGGUUUUAUAGACAAUCUCUCUUCUAUACUUUGAAUGUUUAGUCGAUAUGAGACUUUUUAAGGCUUGAAGUGCCUUGUCGUUUGCAAGUGAGGGGAGCAAGAGAGAGAGAGUGUGAGCAUGAGGAGAGUUUUUUCUAUAAAUAAAUAGUAACAACAAGAGUUUUGGUGGUCUCUUGGCCACAUAAGAGGUUGUUACCUAAAUUGCAAUUCCGAUUGCAAUAAGUUUCAUAUAUAAUAUUAAUAUAUUAUAUGAAUAUAAAUUAUAUAUAAAAAAUUUUGGUCCGGUCCGGUCGGUUUGGUCGGUCCGGUUCCCACCUUGGAACCGGGAAUCGGACCAACCGGCCGCCGAUUCCAAGAUUAGGAACCGGGAACCGGACCGCCGACCGUGGAAACUACCCAAAACCGGCCGGUCCGGUCUGGUUCGAUCAGGUUCCGGUUCGGGCGGUUUUCGUUGCACACCCCUACUCAAUUUCCUUUAAUUUGGUCAAUCCGAAUUUCCGUUAAUUUUCUAUGGCGUCCAAAUCAAUUUUCCGUAAAAAUAUUGGGAUCUCCGAAAAUUCCUUGAAGAAUGAGUCGACGUUUCUAAAAUAGAUCGUGACAUGACAGAACUUUCGAUUUCUGAAAUCGGGUUCCAGUUCGCGAUUAAUUUCAAUUCGAUGCGCUUUUAGCGUGACCUAGUCUACCAGGUAACUUUUAGAAAUUUUUGGUGCAAUUGAUUCGUGAUCGAUUUAUCUCAAGUCACAUUGUACAUCUUCGACACAUUGGCGACCUUAAGUUGUCGUGAAAAUCUCGAUGUUUCAUUUACGGGCACUGGGUACCAAAACAAUAGAAAAAUCGGUUUAGUGCCGAUCGACGAGUAUUUUGCAAUCAGGUGGAAUCACCUAGGCUCUAAUCACAUAUCUCAAUCGAAUCAACCUAUCUCCGGUCUCUAAUCGAUACUGACAGUGCCGUAAUGACCCUCGCAGAUCAACAUGGUCGAGCAGUCGAUUCCUGGUCGAAUUCUCAAGUCUAUUGCGUCAAAAUCCCUUAAUGGUUUCACCCGAUAGGCUAGUUAUCUCGUGAGGGGCCCUCUCAGAGAAUAAGGCCAUAAGCGCAUUGAUAAAAAGCCCAUUUCAUCUCAUCGAAAUCAGACUCGAAAAUUAGGAUGUCACACGCACGCUUUUAAGAUAACAACAGGAGCAUAGCCAAUGAGACUAAAGAGGUCUCUCCUACCAAGAUGGCCGGCGAAGUGUUUUUUUAUUUUAUUUUUUGGGUUAAAUUGCAAUUUGAUUUUAGUCAUCGUACUGAUAGCUACCUCUAUCUUCAUGUUAAGUUUGUAUUGGUAGGCAUCAAGCUCCUUUUGACAGUUUUAAAAUUGCACGAGAGGUUACCGCUUUAGCCUUAAUAUCUAAUAUGCUAUCAUUCUCUUAUUAAAGUUCACAUGACCCUUCACAAGGUGUUGUGUAAACUUGAUUUCCAUAUGAGAACCAGCACGCUCCAAGUUAUAAUGGUUCGCAUUUGUUCUCAUAUGACAAUAUCGUCUUGGUCUGAUUUACUAGUAGAGAUUCUAUGCGGAAAAUAUUACAUUGGAUAGACUUUGCAUGACGGCUAAAUGAAAUGCCAGAAAGAUAUUACUGCACAAAGCAUGAUCAGGUUCUGUAAAGGCUUGGUUUUAUAAGUACAUAUACAGCUACAUAAAAACGAUGUCAUCUCAAACUCUCAAUAUAGAGCAACAGACCAUUAGAGCUGAAAAAAUUGUCAAUGUAUGAGAAAGGGUGACUGGGUCAUAAGCAACAGAAGGCCAUUCAAUAGCUAAUGGCCUGGCCAAAAGGGGCCACAAUGCAUAUGACUCAGCAGUGCAAGGACAAGUUCGCAGCACUCCCAACUCUAGGCAUACCGGACUCCUUAGUCUCUGCACCACUUCAAAUGUAGUGCUUUGUACUCAGCCCAAGCUAUUCACCCUAAGAACUAGCUUCACCUCAUUCGGUGCAUGCUCGUAACUCCUCAAACAUUUAGAGCUGGUAAAGAAGCAUCCUGAGUUGGAAAAGAAGGCAACGUUAACAGGUGAACGAUUUGGCACUCAAAAAUCAUUGGAAGAGCAACAUUGAACGUGAAAAGGCACAUUUCAAUACAAGGAUACAGGUAAAGAACACCAUUUUAACCUUAGGUUAUAAAUUUAUGUUCGAAACCAAUUCUUCCAAAAUGCUGUUACCUAACAACAUAACAUUCUCCUCUGAACUCUGCUUAAUAUCAGCAGAGCUCAUCCAUCCUUACUUUUCAGAUUGCUAUGCAUGGACCAAAUUCCAGUGGAGCCGCAUCAACAAACUGAAAAAGUAAUUACCUUUAGGAAAUGGUGCGAAAGACUUCCCAAAGCCCAUCUUCACGACUUCUGCAUCAUCUAAGCGAACGAGACUGCCUCCAGAAUCAAUUCCCCAGAAGGAAGGAAAACUACCAUAACAUCCUGAAUGAUUCAGAGGACAGAAAGGAUUAGAUAUAGAUCACAGGUGGAGGGAGAGAUUGAGAGUGAUAUCCCAGAACAAAACCAAUGAACAUUAUUGUUACUCACACAGGCCAGAAAAGGGGUUUUAGAAGAGCUAUCGAAGAGCACAAAACCAAACUUCCUGCUGAUGUCUCUCAUGACUUGAUCAGCAGGGUAGGCCUCUGAUCCCUCAGAGUUCAAUAAGCUUCUACGAUGAUAAUGACCUCAUUAGUAGUUUUAUUCCAUCCAUAUUACUGCUUAAGAAGAGCAACAUUGCCUCUGUCCUUGGAACAAGCAACCGCAAACAAUCUGUCACAGAGGGUAAGGCAUGUCAAAUCUCAAUGUGGGACGAGCUGAUUGAGAAGAGAAGAUAGUAUGGCAAUUUCCGUCAAUUAACAAUCCAAUAAAUUUCAUUUUCUGGCUUUCAAAAUGAACCAGAGACUCGAGUUCCACUAUCUCCUUUAGGCUGACAAAUGGAACCUUUCAUGGUAUCACCGUAAAGUCCAACAAAAGUCAGUUUGAUCUAACCGUUGCCUCUCUAAACAAUGAAAUCACGAUUUUUUUUUUCUUUUUUGGUGGUUAAAGCUACCUUUAUCAAGAGAUGGAGUGGGAAUUUGAAUAGAAGAAAGAUAAACUUUAUUCUUUGACCAGGUAAUGGGUUUUUAAAUGGGUUUCGGCCAACAUAAUUCAUUCAAAAUUUAGCUGUUUCAUUCACAUAUUCAAACCUCUUUUUUAAAUUUAUCCUUCCAUUUAUACAAUAACUGUUAUGGGAAGAACAAGAGCUUCUUAUUUUGAAUAUUGACCUGUAAAUGUUAUAAGGAUAUUAUCUAACCAAUUCACAUAAGAAAUUCACAUUGUAUUUUGUGGCCCCUACAAUAUAGUCACUAAAAGCAAUUCUGUACUUAGAGUCAAAAGUACAACUUUUUAACCUAUUGGCAAGUGAUACUGCAUAUUCAAUGUUAAAAACUUAAGACUUGUCCUUCCAUGAGCCCCAAUCAAAAUGACAGACGAGGCCCCCUGUUACUGUGAGUACAUCAUGUAUAUCAGCAGCAAUCCUCUCUUCAUCCUUUUUGGCUUUCUCUGUGUAACAAAGCCUCAUUUUAUGUUUUAUAAGGUAAUGUGAUGUGAUCUCAUUGAACCACUCUUGGCUGAUGACAAGAACUAAACUCACCUGAUUCGAUGAGGACUGAAGUAUCUUAUUAUGAUCCUGGAAAUUCCCAUAGAAAGGCGCCACCUUGCCUUGAGAAACCACCCAAAGCUUGUCCAUGCUUCCAGAUAUUGGAUGCUCAUCGUGACUAACUUGCAAAUCAAGGUGAAAAGAUGGCUAUUAGCUGUAAAGACAAUCCAUCAUUGGUCAAAUUGAAGUAUUCUAGCAAAAAAAUCAAUCUCACCAUUAGACAUCUUCCUUGGAACAAGACCAGCCCUCCAAUGAGCGCCUCAACCGCAUCCAAAUCCUGUAGUUUGGGAUAGUAAAAAACACAGAAUCAUACUCAUCAAUCCUUAGACAAGAAACUAGCAAUUUACAAAGAUAGAACUUUAGUAGUCAUAGGUCAUUAAAGUAGAACUUAAAGUUGCUUUGGUGCAAGUGGAUCCACUCCAUGUUCCUUAAAAGGAAGAACUUUUAGGUGGUUAAGAAGCCGAUCUAUUGCUCUUGGGCCUGGAAGAAAAUUUUACAACUCAAGAGCAGAAGUCUGGCUCAGUUUCUGGUGGAGAAUUGGGGAUGGCCUUUCUAUGUCACUUUGGUUUGAUAACUGGCAUCCUAGGGGGCCGCUGAUUGGGUUUUCUCAGAUGUGUUUAUCUAUAACUGUGGCCUUUCUAGAGAGGCUUCGGUUGCAGACCUCUAUGCAGAGGAUGGGCAGGCUUUAAGGUCGGUGUUGGAGUCGUGGAAGAUUCCCCUCCCCUCCCUAUCUCUUAACCAAGAUUGCUUUUGCUGGAAGGAUAAUCCAGUGGGGUUCACCAUGGCCAUGGCGUGGGGGGCCUUUAGGAGGAAGAUGCCCCGAGUUUUAUGGCAUCGUUUCAUUUGGAACAAUGCCAUUAGACCCAGGUACCAAUUUCACCUUUGGCUUGUCGCCAAGCAUAGGCUUCCCACCCAAGCUUUCGUCCUCUCUUAUGGCAGGAUUGAUACUACUUUUUGCCCCUUCUGUGAGGAGGUGCCUAUUGACCAUCUAUUUUUUUAGUGUCGGGUCACGGCUGGUUUGGCUUUCUUUUGGGCAACCAGAUGUAACCUUCUGUGGCGAAACUGGUCUUGGGAUGAAAAUCUCCUCUGGGCCACAACCUUUCUUGUGGGCAACGACUUCUUCAAAAGCAUGGUGUGGUUUCCUUUUGGCGCUCUUUGUCAUAUCAUUUGGAGGAAUAGAAACAAUAUUCUCUUUAGAGACGAGCUGCUGUCUAUUCCGGCCAUGAAGAAUCAUCUCCUCAAAGUGGUCAAAGAUAAGGCACUCUCUUUCAGGGAUGUGGAAGAUUCCUUCAGUAAUAGGAGACUACAGCGCAGCUGGGACCUGGAUCAGAGUAUUUUUGCUCCACGCAUUUCCCUUUCGAGUGACUAGCCGUCUUUAGACCGACUGAUGUUGGUCUUCGUGUUGUUGUGCUUGUCUAGCGGUUGUUCAUGCUGUUUGGGUCUCUUUCUUUUCUUUUCUUGCUCUUGCCGCUUGGCCUCUUUCUCGGCUUCCUUUCACUCAUAAUGAGGCUGUUCAUCUUGAGUGCAAGUUUCUGAAGCUAGUUCGUUUUGUACUUUUUGGUCUUCCCCAUUUAUAUAUUGCUUAUUUUACCAAAAAAAAAAAAAAAACAGAAACUUCCACAUUAAUUACGUGCAAAACCCAAUGUUGCCUAUAGGAUAUUGGAACUACUUGAUAUUACAGAUUACUGCAAUACAAAAAACACUGAUCAUGCUAGCAUACAUGUUCGAUUCCCAAUAUUUUGCCAGUUGGAACAAUUAGAUUGGUUCUGUUCCAUUAUAAGUUAGAUAUAAGAUGGCAGAGGCUCCCUGUUGUGAUCACUAAUUGGUUCCAUUGUAUUUUCAAUGCAAAAACCAGAUUCCAAUAAGUUCAAAUAGUGCAAGAACAAUAUAACAAGCUAACUGAAAAAGUCAUCGAAGUCACAAAAUGGAGAAAAAUGAGUAAAACUUACCAGAUGAUCAGAUGGCUCGCAAGCAAAACUAUGUGAGGUUUCUCAAAAGCUAUUUGGGUAAAUGCAACUUUCUGACCACCUAUUUAUAUGGGCAAAGAACCAUGUUAUAUGUGCAAUAACAUUCAAAAAGCCUAAGAGAAAGUACACAGUGAACCGCAAUUUAGAUUACAAAUUAACUCACCUCUAAAAGAGCUUCACGAUCUCACACAAAAAUUGCUUCAAUAAAAAAUUUACAUAUGCAACAGUAACAGAGAGGGAGGAGAUGUAUCAGACAAGGUUUGCAUUCGUCGAACUGCAAGAUUUCUAGUUACACCAAACAAACACAAGUAAGCUCGAAACUUUUGUUCUGGAACUCCCCCCACGAAAAAUGCCACAUAAGAAGGUAUUUUCAGAUAAAAUAACAUAAUGUAAGACAAAAUAAUAUUCCACAUUAGAGUAAACGCACAUGACUGAUACUUUAAAGAACUGAAUAGUUUUGCCCUAGAGGUCACUGCUGACAACACAAUCACAGAAGCAAGUAGCAUAUCAUUUCAAUCUCAACCAAACAAGCAUAAGUAGUUUGGCUAAAAAUUUCUUGCAAGCUUUUAGUAAUAGUUCCUAACCCACCAGAGAUCAAGACCCAAGCGGAAGGUGAUUUAUGGAAUAUCAAUGCUGUCAUGAAUUGGUGUGGCAUUGAAAGGUUGGAGCCAUGAGGCGCCCCAGAAUUUUAUCCUAGAUUGACUAGUUAAUACCACAAAGGAUCAUCAUCAACAAAAAGAAGGUUCUCAAUGAUAAAGGAAACCAUUGAAAAAAAAAAGGAAGUGCAUCCCUUUUCUUCACAAUCAUAUCACAGCAUCCACAUAACUAAUCAUGUUUUUAGAUUUUGGAAAAGAUUAUUCUUAUUUAGAUCGUAUUCACUAGAAGAAAAUUUAGAACAUCUCAAUGCACCAUAUAAAAUUAAACGCUUCUUUUUUCUAUUAUUAAAUUGCAAAAGGUGACACUUAACAUCGACAGCAUUAGCCCCACCUCAACAGCAUUCGCAAGUGAUCCUUCCAAGAGAUUUUGCCAAUACAGGUCACAGUGGUAUCUGCAAAGCAACCGCAGUGAACAAGCUUAAGGGCAGAAGAAAAAAGAAGUUGGGAAGAGAAAAUACAACAAACGCUAAAAAGCAUAGUGCAUUUUGAUUCACAAUUUGUUUGGCAGGUCACGCAAGUGCGAAAAUAAGCACAGUUUUUGGGCAUCAAGAAGAGUUCAAGAUAUGUCAUCAAUAUAGCAAGAUGCAGCUUUGUAAACAGUUCAUUCUACAUAUGUCAAUCUUUCACCUUCGGUGGCUGGUUUUCGAAAAUUUAUGUGAAAAGUCUGAAUUAGGAAAAUCAGUUCGUAUCAAGCAUCAAAUUUAGGAACUGGCUUCACCUCCUUUGGUGGGUGCUCAUAACUCCUCAAACCUCUAGAGCUGGUGAAGCAACAUCCUGAGUUGGAAGAGGAGGCAAUGUUAAAAAGGUGAACAAUUUGGCACUCAAAAACCAUUGGAAGAGCAACAUUGUAAGUGAAAAUGCACAAAUCAAACAUGCAUACUGGUGAAGAGCACCAUUUUAAACAUAAAUUAUAAAUUUAGGUUUGGAACCAAUUUUUCCAAUAUGAUGUUACCCAACAAAAUAACAUUCUCCUCUGAAUUCUGCUUAAUAUCAGCAGAGCUCAUCCAUCCUUACUUUUCAUAUUGUAAUGCAUGGGCUGAACCCCAGUGGAGCCGCAUCAACAAACCAAAAAAAUAAUUACCUUUAGGGAAUGGUGCGAAAGAUUUCCCAAAGCCCAUCUUCAUGACUUCUGCAUUAUCCAAGAGAACAAGACUGCCUCUAGAAUCAAGUCCCCAGAAGAAAGGAACACUUCCAUCAACAUCCUGCAUGAUUCAGAGAACAGAAAGGAUUAGAUAUAGAUCACAGGUGACGGGAGAGAUUGAGAGUUAUAUCCUAGAACCAAACCAAUGAACAUUAUUAUUACUCAAAGGCCAGAAAAGCUUUUAGAACAGCUGUCGAAGAGCACAAAACCAAGCUUCCUGCUGAUGUCUCUCACAACUUGAUUAGCAGGGUAAGGCCUCCGAUCCCCAGAGUCCUAUAAGCUUCUAUGAUGAUGACGACCACAUUAGCAGUUUUGUUCCAUCCAUAUUGCUGCUUAAGAAGAGCAACAUUGUCUAUGUGUCCAUGGAACAAGCAGAAGAUAUUAUUGACAACCACAAACAAUCUGCCACAGAGGGUAAGGCAUGUCAAAUCUUGAUGUGGGAUGAGCUGAUAAAGAAGAGAAGAUAGUAACACUGAUAAAGAAGAGAAGAUAGUAACACAAUUUCCAUCAAUUAACAAUCCAAUAAAUUUCAUUUUCUGGCUUUCAAAUGAACUAGAGACUUGAGUUCCACUAUCUCUUUGAGGCUGAUAUAUGGAACCUUUCAAAAUACCACAAUAAAGUGCACCAAAAAUCAGUUUGAUCUAACCGUUGCCUCUCCAAACAAUGAAAUUAUGAUUAUUUUUUUUUUUUUGGGGUUAAAGCUACCAUUAUCAAGAGAUGGAGUGGGUAUUUGAAUAAAAGAAAGAUAAACUUUAUUCUUUGACCAGAUAAUCAGUUUUUAAGUGGGUUUCGGCCUGCAUGGUUCGUUCAAAAUUUAGCUGUUUCAUUUGCAUAUUGAAAGCCCCGUUUUCAAUUUAUCCUUCCAUCUAUACGAUAACUGUUAUUAGAAGAAAGAAAGCUUCGUAUUUUGAAUAUUGACCUGAACAUGUUAAAAGGAUAUUAUCCAACCAAUUCACAUAUAGGAUUUCAUAUAGUAUUUUUGGCUAGGCAUAGCCUACAAUAUAGUUACUAAAAGCAAUUCUGUACAUAGAGUCAAAAGUACAAACUUUUUAAGAUAUUGGCAAGUGAUACUGCAUAUUCAAUGUUAGAAACUUAAGACUCGUCCUUCCAUGAGCCCUAAUCAAAUGACAAACAAGGGCUGCUGUUACCGUGAGUACAUCCUUUAUAUCAGCAGCAAUCCUCUCUUCAUCCUUUUUUGCUCUCUCCGUAACAAAGCCUCAUUUUAUGUUUUGUAAGGUAAUGUGAUGUGAUCCCAUUGAACCACUCUUGGCUGACAACGAACUAAACUUGCCUUAUUCAACGAGGACUGAAGUAUCUUCUUAUGAUCCUAGAAAUUCCCAUGGAAAGGUGCCAGCUUGCCUUGAGAAACCACCCAAAGCUUGUCCAUGCUUCCAGAUAUUGGAUGCUCAUUGUGACUAACCUGCAAAUCAAGGUGAAAAGAUGGCUAUUAGCUGUAAAGACGAUCCAUCAUUGGUCAAAUUGAAGUAUUUUGACAAGAAAAUCAAUCUCACCAUCAGACAUCUUCCUUGGAACAAGACCAGACCUUGAAUGAGCGCCUCAACUGCAUCCAUAUCCUGCAGUUUGGGAUAGUAAAAAUCACAGAAUCAUACUCAUCAAUCCUUAGAAAAGAAACUAGCAAUUUGCAAAGAUAAAACUUUAGUAGUCAUGGGUCAUUAAAGCAGAACUUAAAGUCCACAUUUAUAAACAAAGAAAUUUCCACAUUAAUUAUGCGCAAAACCCAAUGCUGCUUAUAGGAUAUUGAAAAUACUUGGUAUUAUAGAUUACCGCAAGACAAAAACACUGAUCAUGCUAGCAUACAUGUUCGAUUCCCAAUAUUUUGCCAGUUGGAACAAUUAGAUUGGUUCUGUUCCAUUAUAAGUUAGAUGUAAGAUGGCAGAGGCUCCCUGUUGUGAUCACUAAUUGGUUCCAUUGUAUUUUCAAUGUAAAGACCAGAUUCCUUUAAGUUCAAUUACUGCAAGAACAAUAUAACAAGCUAACUGAAAAAGUCAUCGAAGUCACAAAAUGGAGAAAAAUGAGCAAAACUUACUAGAUGAUAGGAUGGCUCGCAAGCAAAACUAUGUAUGGUUUCUCAAAAUUUAUCUUGGCAAAUGCAACACUGCUUUUCUGACCACCUAUUUAUAUAGGCAAAGCACCAUGUUACAUGUGCAAUAACAUCCAAAAAGCCUCAGAGAAAGUACGCAGUGAGCCGCUAUUUAGAUCACAAAUUAACUAACCUCUAACAAAGCUUCACAAUCUCACAUGAAAAUUGCUUCAACCAAAAAUUUACAUAUGCAACAGUAGCGUAGAGGGAGGAGAUGUAUCAGACAAGGUUUGCAUUCAUCAAAGUGCAAGAUUUCCAGUUACACCAAACAAACACAAGUGAGCUUGAAACUUUUGUUCCAGAACUCCCUAUAGGAAGAAUGCCACAUAAGAAGGUAUUUUCAAAUAAAAUAACAUUGUGAAUAUUGACAGUGCACCUAAUUCUUUCCUCUUGCAAUCAAAAGGCAAUCACAUUGAAGUACUUUCUUCUCUCGCAAACUUCACACAAUCGCAAAUUGCCCCCGCCAACGGCUUUGGCGAAAAUAUCCAUCAGAUAUCACCAUGGCAAAGCAAGACUACCAAACACAACAAUCAUCAGUAUGGCCAAUUGAAGUCACAGAACAAGAGAAAUCUAAGAUGAGAGUGGAUACAAGAGAAACCGAUUCCACACGAGGUCCACAACAUAAGACUUCACAUCAGUAGCGAUUGAUUUAGUCAUCUAGUCAUCAAGAGAAAUGACAACAAUGACUACCGC